AGUUUUGGUAGAUCUUGGAGUUUCAGAGUGGUGAGCUGUGGAAAGACAAAAUAAGGGAUCACUUGAUCUGCUCUGUUUUCAGAAAUGAUCUCCUGUAAAUCCUCACAGAAGCGUAUAUCUAGGUGUUGGAGCUGCUUAAGGCUUCCGAUCAUAGAUGCUGAAAAUAUGUAUUUUAAUUUGUGACAACGCCACACAAUCAAUCGUGUUAAACUCUGAAAGUGAGGAAACACGGCCGCCGGAAUUUGAUUGCAAUGCCAAAUCUUGGCGACAUCAAUUUGAGAUAUCUCCAAAGCCUCCAAGUUAGGCAACGCAACCUUAAAAAAUAAGAAUUUCUCGUUAGAUCCAAUAUCCAUAUGGGAAGCACUUGUUGAAAUUUCCUUCUUUGAUUACAAAUUAAUGCAAGUCAGAAUCAAUUUCCAACUGACAGCUGAGUUUGAUGCAUUCUAAUUCAUACUACUUGUUAAGAGCUCAAUUAGUAAGCGUGUGAGAUUCUUUUUAUCCUUUUUUCCAUUUUCUUGCAAUUCUUUAAAUGAUUUAAUUAUUUUCCACGUAUGACGUCAAAAGAGAACGCAUGAUAGAAUAAAAUCUGUUAUAUAUAUAUAAAGAAAAUGUUAGCCUACGCACCUUCUCGUUGAAAAGCAGAGUUGAAGUAUCCAAAGUGAUUUCGCUGGAGCUAUACGUAGUCGUCGAUUCCUCUUGCGACGCUCGUCUGUUCGGUGAUGCUGAAGGAGUCUUUACUUCACGGCAAAAACUUGUAACCUCUGGAAGAUUCCCCAGACUCAAAGAUCUUAAUUGAGCAAACUCUAUCUUCUCAAUUGCAUUAUCAACUUCUUCCCCAAUUGCAAAAAUCUCUUUCAUCUUGCUGCAAUUAAUAACUGCAAUUCUCUCAAGUCUUGGAAGGCAUUUUGUUGUAGAGAGCCAAAAGAUAUUACUCAAUUUAUCACAAUUAUAUGCUUGUAUGAUUUUGAGUUCGUUGAAGGACUCUACUUUGAGCCGAUCAAUACAUAUCCUCUCCAUGUUGAUCAAAUUGUGAAGGCCAAGUGACUCCAAAAGAGGAAAGGCAUCAGAAGCGACCAUCUCCUUUGAAUCGACGAUGCAAAAGAAGUCAGGAUUAUUUUGAACCCCGAGAAGCUUCAAUUGUGAAAAGCCCUCCGUGUCCAAAUUGAAAAUAACGUUCUUGAUACCUCGCAGCUUGUCCAACAAUAAGUAUUCAACUUUAUUGAUGCCCUGCAAUUUGAUGGAGCAAAUGUCCAUAAAAUCAAGCUUGAGCUUCAAUGCUCUUGAAAACUUGCGAUUACUGUCGAUCAAAAAGUGCGGCCGACUUUCAAACCAAUAUUGUCCAAAAAGCACGGGAUGCCUGAAUGACUCAUUUCCAAUAGAUAUUUUGAACCUUUCGAGCUUUCUGGCCAAAAAACCUUCUGGUAAAAUACUGUCAUUUUUAACGUCAAUUUCUAGAGCGGUUAGCCGAGGUAAAUGCAUCAAUUCGUCAAGGCUAGCAUUACUUCUUUUGCUGUUGGCUCUUUCAACCUCCCAUUCAAUGAAGCAAUUACCCAUAUACAAUUCUUCUAAUCGGAUUAAGCUUGAUAUGACAUUUGGGGCAAUAACUUUCAGAAGGAAACAGUCUGUUAAAUCUAACAGCCUUAGCUUAGACAGUUGACCUAGUUCUUCGGGCAACUUCUUAAUAUCAGACUUCAAAAAGCUAAGGACUUCUAGAUUCUUCAACUUCCCAAUGAUUGCUAUGUCGCCCAACGCACUUUGAUCCAGACAUAGUGUGUGAAGAUUUACUAGAAGAUCAAUUGAAGAUGGAAAUGAAGAAAACUGCAUUCGAGUAAAAUCUAGAACUCUAAGCUUUUUCAUCCCUACAAAAAAGUUCUCAGGAAUAUUGAUUUCAAGAGAAGAAUCUUUGAGAGAGAGAUAUAAAAAUUCAAGGUUUGGGCAUUCUAAUCCUUCAGGAAAUUCACGAUUACUAUUAUUUCUUAAAGAGACAGCAUUGCAUUUUCGAAGUGCAUCCUCAUCUGGCCAGUCCCACACAUCCUCAUUUUCGGCCAAAAAUACAUGUUGGUGGCGGCAUGCAAUUGAUAUGGCGACAUCGCGAACAACAUCAUGCAUUGAAAAUUCUUCAUUGCUAUCACCCUCAAGCAACAAACAAGAGUCUCUAAGUUCAUGGACCAAUGCAUAUAAUUUGUCUCGUGCAUCUUCCAUCUUAUUGACUCCUUUAAAUAUACCCAAACCCAUGGAGUACUUAAACAGGUCCAAAGUAUGAAUACCGUUACCCAUUAGACUACCGAGGAGAAAAAUUUUCUUGAGUUGCUCACCUUUUAAAUGGUUGAAACUCAGCUCAAUACUUGAAUAAGUCUCUGCAGAUACUCCUUCGAAGUUCACCAUUGAAGGCGUUCGGAGUUCGCGCAAGGAAUUCUUCCAUUGAUGCGGACUCUUGCUUCUCAGUGCCUUUGCUACCGUACUCAAGGCAAUGGGCAAACCUCCACAUGCCCUGGCGACGUCUAUUGCUGUAGAUUUCAACUCACGAUUUUCAACAUCAUCACCGGCCAUCAUCUUAAACAAUCUCCAAGCUUCUUCUUCAUUUAAAUUGUUAAUCAAGAAGUUGUCUUUAGAUCCCAUUUUCAAGAGGACACUACGAUCUCUUGCCGUCAGCAGUAGUUUGCAUCCUUUAUGAUCUUCCCCAAAAGGAAUUCCAACGGUCUCCAAAUCAAGGUGUUUCCAGAUGUUAUCCAGAAUCACAAGGAUCUUCUUCUCAUUUCUCAAUCGCUCAUAUAGCCUACUUGCUCUUCUAGAUUCAACUUCCUCGUGCAACUCCAGGCCCAACUUCUCGGCAAUUUCCUGUUGAAUCUUUUUUAUGUCUGGAGUUUGCGAAACCUCUGAAAAGACCACCAUAUCAAAGUGCUUGUCUUCCAGAGCUUGCCUGGCGACCUUCUUCACCAGUGUCGUCUUUCCAAUGCCGCCCAUGCCGUACACCCCAAUGAUGCUGACAUUAACAUCGAUCAAUGCGUUUUUUAUAGCCUCCAAAGUAGAACGUCUUGAUUCGAAGGCCUCGUAGCCUUUGUGAGACUUGAGCCAUAUAUCCUCCGGAACAGUACGGUAGGAAAUUCUAUCAUCAAAUCUCCCAGCUUCUUCUCGGAGUUUAAAAAGGGCCUCCUUCUCUGUUUCUGCUUCCUUUCCAUGCUGAUAGCGAGUAAUCCAAUUAGGAAACAGCCCCAUGAGACAUCGUUCAUUUGCUUUCUCUUCGUCUUGAAUGAAUUUGGCUGCCUGCUCAAUGCUCUUGUUCGCAUUAACUAGCCAUUUCUCAACCUUCUCUUCAAUCUUUUCACUUUUUCUUUCAGCCUCAGAAACUCUGCGCUGAAUGCUUUCUCUUUCAUCCUUGAGCCUAUCGAGUUCUGCCUUGAGAUUCUCAAAGUUGGCAGAGGAGUUAUACCAAUAACUAAAUUCGCGUUGUGCGUGAGGAGACAAGCAGUUUACAACUCCUGGAACAAUGCUUUUCAAAAUGUCCAUUUUUUUUUUCUUUUUUGGGGAAGUGAACGAAAUAGAAAUAGAACAGAGUCAACGACCGCGCAAUUGAUAAUUAAGUAGAAAACAAGGCAAAAUUGAAAAAAGAAAUUAUAUUUGUACAAAACAAGGGGAAAAUCAGUGUAACAGAAGAGAAUCAAAGUGUUUUUGAGAUCAGAAAAUUGAACCAAGAAAAGGGUUGCUUGAUCCAAUGAAAAUGCAAAGAGCAUGGCAAAAGGAAACAAAGCUAAAUAAGAAAACGGUUAGCACGAGCAGUGACCACGAUCAACAGAAGCAAAGUGUGUAUGAGAUCAAAAGACGAAAAUCAGGAGAGGUUUUCUUGAUUGAGAAUUGAAGGCAAAGAGUAGGAGCUGACGAAUACGGGGAUCAAGAGGGAAAAACUGCUUGCUCGUAAAACUGCUUUCAAGCGAAUCUGAUAAAAUUAUUUCAGUACAAGUGGGCGACUCCCUUUUAAACUGCAGAAGGAAAAAAAAAAAAAUUCUGAUUUUCAAUAUAUUAAUCUCGUAAUCAAUGAUUAAUUAGUAGAUAAUCUUUCUAACAAAUAUGUGUUGAAUAGAUAUAUUUCUUGAUUAUUCGUAGGUUCGAUAUACUUUAGUAUAGGAAUGAAAGUACAAAUUGUGUCAUAUUAGAAUAAAAAUUAGACCUAAAAAUAUUGUCAUAAAACAUGUGAUCCUCAUCCAAAGGCCAGGUGAACAAAUAUAAACGACAAAUUCUUUUCAAUUAAAUAAUCAUCAAGUGAUAAUAUUCUAUUUCAGUACAAAUAGCGAGUGCAGAACAACUGUCAAGAGAUAAUCAUUGUUUAUGGAGCCAUAUAUAUUUUCUAUUAAAAUAGUUGCGUGAACAAUAGCCAGAAUCCGAAAAAAUUGUUGAAAGGUCUAUUAUUUUCGUUUAAAAUUGUUGAAAGGUCUAUUAGUUUCGAUUAAAAUAUUUUCGAUAAAAAUAGUUGUGUGAACAAUUACCAUAAAUAGUGUUUACAUUUUGGAUUGGACUGAGAAUCUUGAAGAGUGGAAAUCUUAGAAUUGAGAGUAUGGAGUAGAAGUGGGUGUAAGUUGUUUACUUACACUGAAAUAUAAGCAUGGAAUGAAGAUUAUAAUCCAAUUUAUGUAUUUACUUUAUCUUGGAUUGGGAGUAAAUAGUUUCAAAUUAUAAUUUUAUCUUCAUUUAAAGAAUUAUAGUUUUUAAUUACAAAGUUAAUAAAAAUAUAUAUUUAAUGAAUAAACAUUUAUUUUAUUAUAUUUAUAAAUUUAUAAUAAUUAUUAAUAUUCUUAAUUAUGUACAUCAUAUUUUUUAUUAAUUUUAAUUUUAAAUAUAUAAAUUAAAAAUUAUUGAUAAGAGCAAUGUAAAUGAAACAUUUUUACUAUUAACAUAGUACAAAAUUAAUAUUUUCUUAUAAUUAACUAUUUAUUAUUACUAAUUAUUGAUAUUAAAUAAAUAUAAUACUAUUAUUUUUAAAUAAAUAUAAUAAUAUUAUAUUUUCAAAUAAAGAUAGUAUAUAGUAAUAUUAUUAAUUCUCUAUUAAUAUAAUAAUAUUAUUUUAAGUAAUUUAAACUUAGAAUCAAACCAAAUUAUUAUUUAGUUAAAUAUAAUAUUAUUAUUUAAAUAAAUAAAAUAUUAUUUAUUUUAUUUUAUUAAAAAUAAUUAUAGUAAAUUUAAUAAAAGGGGGUUAAAAAAGGAAGGUAAAUAUAAAAUGAAAUAUUAUUUUAUUUAAUUAUAUUAAAUUUAUUAUUAUAUAAAUAAUAAUAUAAUAUUAUUUAGUAUAAAAUUAAUAUUUUCUUAGAAUAAACUAUUUAUUAUUAUUAAUUAUUAAUAUUAAAUAAAUAUAAUACUAUUAUUUUUAAAUAAAUAUAAUAAUAUGAUAUCUUCAAAUAAAGAUAGCAUAUAAUAAUAUUAUUAAUUCUCUAUUAAUAUAAUAAUGUUAUUUAUUUUAUUUUAUUAAAUAUAAAAUAUUAAAUUUAAUUAAAUAAAGGUAGAAAAGGGAGAGGUGGGAGUGGAUUUCCCAUGGGAGUCCCACUCACACUCCCCACUCCAAAAAUGGGUGGGGUCCACGGAGUGGGAUUUCCAACCCCUCCUUAAAAUGGUGAAGUAAACACUGGAGUGGGAGGAAUGCACACUGCUCACACUCACCCCAGAAAAUAAACACCGAAAAGGCCAGAUGAUGAAGAACCACUAUAAGUUCUUUUAUGAAUUUAAAAUGCUAAAGAAACUUGACACCAACGCUAAGCUAACAAGUGCAUAUUUUUCUGUGGCCCUUGCCUCAAUGUCUUUUGGGCAUUGCUCGGGGGUAGUUGAUAUAUUGAUUAAAAUAUGAAUGAAUUGGAAUGGAAUGAGUUGGAAUUAAAAUAUGGAAUAGUAAUUAAUUAAUUAAUUUAAAUUGUAAAAAUUAAAAUAAAAAUAAAUUAUAUCAUCAUUGAUAUAUUUAUUUUAUUUUAAAAUCACGAUGAGUUGUUACAAAUUACAAAAUAUCUUUAAUUUUUUAUCAUAAUAAUAAUAAUUUAUUAUAAUAUUUUGUUGGCCUAAAUGGUUAUAUAAUCCUUGAUUUUGAUGAUAACAAACUACAUAGAGUACAAUAGUAAAUUUAUUUCUCACAAUCUCACAAGUUUUUGAAGGGCAAAAAUCAUUCAAGUGGGAUCAAGAUCAAGAUACUCAAUAGACAAUGACAAUCAAGGACGAAUACUAAGGGUACUAGUUUAAGCCAUCUUUAUUGUUAAAUUUCUUGUAAAGCCAGUGUAAUUUAACGUGUGCAUGAUGUAACAUUUAAAAGCUCAAGACAUUUUUCAUGACAUUUUCAAAUUAAAUCAUCAUUUUCUAAAAUAUAAAAGUUUUAACGAUUUUAUAAAAUUAGUUGCUUUUUCCAAAUUUAUGAACUAAAUUGAAAAGUUUUGAGAACUUUGAAAUCAACUAAUAAUGUUUUAAAACAUAGAAAUUGACAUAUUUGUAAAUAUUUCAAACGUUUUGGGUCGUAAUAUAAUUUCAAAAAAAUUAGGUCUAAUCUAUAAAUCCUGGAACAAUAGUGGCUAAUCGCUUAACCAAUAGCGACUAACUACUUCAAGUCCAAAAACAUAGCAGCUAACCGCUUAAAUCAAGUGACAAUCCGCUUGAACCAAAGUUUUCAAAUUUGAUUUGCAACUGUAACUUACCAUAUCAACAUAGUGGCUAAUCGCCUCAUUUUAACGGCGAUCCAGCAAGUCCCUAGAAAAGCCAAUAAUUGCUAGUUUGAUUAUUUAAACUAUAAAAUUCAAAUCUAACAAUUUUUUUUUUCAAUCUCAAUUAAGCUAAAACUUAUUCAUAUAUCUUGAGCUUUCAUUUUGCUUAUCUACAUACAUUAAUCAUUAUAGAGCUAUCAUUUGCUUAUACACUCUUAUAGAGUGUAAUCUUUGUAAUCUUCAAUUAAAUAUCAAAAUUGAGUGAGUAUAAGUGUGGGAAACACUUGGGAAAAGAGGUGUGUGUAUACAUAAUUACUUGUAAAGGUUUAUUGACACCUUAGAAGUCAAUUGUAAAAUUUUGGAGCCUUGGAAGGUUUGGAUAGUAGAAUUCUCAAGUUUGGAUUGCUUGGAGGCGUAGUCAUAGGCGGGUUUGCCGAACCACAUAAAAAUUCAUGUGUUUGUUAUCUUCUCCCUUAUCUUUUUAAUUUCACGUAUAGUUAAAUUUACCAUUAUUAAAUUUCUUGAAGUAUUUGUUUAAUUUGUAUUGUGUUUUUGUUAGUAUAAUUUUUAAUACCUAAUUCGCCCCCCUCUUGGGUUGCUUAGCUAGAAUUUCAUUUGGUAUCAAAGGAAGUUCUCUUGUUAGGACUUAACCAUCUAGAGUAAAAGAUCCAUAGUAAUCCAAAAUGAUCCCAGAUUUGGGGAAGGUUAAUCCCUUACUAGAUCACCAUUCUUUGAUGGGAAUGAUUAUCCAUGUUGGAAAAUUAUGAUAAGAAUUUAUUUGCAAGCAUUAUAUUAUGAAAUAUAGGAAGUUGAUUGUGAUGGUCCAUUCAUGCCUACUGCUAAAAAUGAAGAAGGGAAAGAAAUUCUAAAACCUUCACAAGAAUGGAAUGAGUCGGAAAAGAGAAAAGAUUCUCUUAAUUUCAAAGUCAUGAAUGCUUUGUUUUGUGACUUAGAUAAAAAAGAAUUCUAUAGAGUUUAAGGUUGUUCCAAUGCUUAUGAAAAUUGGAAAAAACAUAAAGUCAUUUAUAAAGCUACAAAUCAAGUCAAAUAGUCUAAAAUUAGUAAAUAUACUAGGCAAUACGAAUUGCUAUAAAUGGAACAAAAUGAGAGUGUUAAUCCCAUAUACACUAGAUUAACAGACAUUAUAAACACUUUAGGAGCUCUUAGAAAGACUUUUUCAAACAGCGAAAAGGUAAAAAAAAUCAGUAGGUCUUUACCAAAAGAAUAGAGACCUAAGAAAAUUCCCAUUGAGGAAGCCAAUGAUAUUUUAUCUAUUGAUGAUUUAAUUAGUUCAUUUAUUUCUUAUGAAAAGGAUUUGACAACUGAAAAAUAUAAUGAAGACGAGAAGAAGAAGAGUUUUUCCUUAAAAGCAUCAAGAUCUAAAAGUGACAACGAAAGUGAGAUCGAAAAUGAAGACAUGGCUAUGAUAGCUGGAAAAUUCAAAAUAAUUUUCAAGAAAUCCAUCGAGCGAAGGAAAUUCAAAAAUUAGAAAGAGAAGAAGGAGGCAAUUAUUUUCUUUAAAUGCAGGAAGCCUAGACACAUAAAACUAGCAUGUCCUUUUCUCAAAAAAUUAAAGAAGAUAGCCAUGGUAGCAACACGGGAUGAUAGCGAUAAGGAGACUAUAGAUGAAGAGUAGUCCCAUGAAGUGUCAAAUUUGGCACUUAUGGUUAUAGGAGAUGAACUUGAUGAGGUAAACCUCUUAGGAUGAGUUGUUUGAAGUAUUCUCUAAAUUGCAUAAAGAUGUAAAGAAGAUUGAAAUGUAAAAUGUUUCUCUUGGAAAGAAAAAAGUAGAACUUUUAAAUGAGAAUGACACUUUGAAUAAAAAGAUUAAGUGCCUAGAAGUAUUUGUGAAGAAAUUGCAUCUUUUAAAGAAAAAACAAAAUGUUUCAUCUAAGAAUAAAGGUUUACUUGUAAAUGAUUUGAAAAAGAAAAAUGAAAUAUAUUGCUUUAGAAUUUGCUUAGUAUUAGUCAAUUGUGUGAUAAAUGUUACAAAGUUAUUUUUAUGUGAUAAAGACUAUAGAGUUAUUUUUUAUAAAACAAAAUGUGUUAUUAAAAAUACAUGUGAUGACAAAGUUUUAUUUGUUACAUAAAGAUGUGUUAAUGUAUACACCAUUGAUAUAGAUAGUGUAUCAACUCAUGAUAAAUGUUUUUUUCACAUUACAUGAUGAUAGUUGAUAUGGCAUGGAAGACUAGGUCAUGCGAGCAUGGAUUUGUUUUCAAAAUUUUUUAAAAAUGAUUUGGUUAUAGGUCUUCUAAAAAUUGGUUCUAAAAAAGAUAAAAUUUGUGAAGUUUGCCAAUUUAGAAAACAAAUAAAACGUCCUUUAAAAAAAAUUCAUAUUUCUACUUCAAAACCACUUUAACUUUUUCACAUGGAUUUGUUUGAAUUUUCUAAAUAUGCUAGUUUAAGUGGUAAAUAUUAUGCAUUUAUAAUUAUAGAUGAUUAUUCUAUAUACACAUGGUAUUACUCUCAACUAAUAAAGAUGACACCUUUAAUGCUUUCAAAGUUUCUAUAAAAAGGUUCAAAAUGAAAAAUGAUAUGUUAUUUCUUGCAUUAGAAGUGAUCAUGGUGGAGAAUUUGAAAAUUAUAUUUUGAAAAUUUUUACAAUAACUUUGGCAUUGAGCAUCAAUUCUUGUUACCAAGAACUCCAUAAUAAAAUGGAGUAGUUGAGAGAAAGAAUAGGUCUAUCCAAGAAAUGGCUAGGACCAUGUUAAAUGAAAAUGUUUUACUAAAAUAUUUUUGGGUUGGAACCGUCAACAUUGUUUGUUAUAUUUUAAAUCGUGCAUUGAUUAGACCUUACCUCAAUAAAACUCCUUAUGAGUUUUGGAAAAAUAGAAAAACAUUGACUAUUUCAAAGUUUUUGGUUGCAAAUGUUUUCUAUUGAAUACAAAAGACAAUCUUGGUAAAUUUAAUCUAAAAUCUGAUGUUGAUAUUUUUCUUGGGUAUUCAAAUACAAGCAAAACUUAUAGAGUGUAUAAUAAAAGAUCCUUGGUCGCUAAAGAAUCUAUACAUGUUAUAUUUGAUGAAUCUAACUUUUCUUCUAUGAAGAAAGUUGUUGUUGAUGAUGAUGCAUAUGAAGAGUUACAAAAACAAAAAGUCUUUAAAAGACAAACAAGAUGAUUUACCGGUAAAAAUCAAGAUGAGCAACAAGAAAAACAAGUUAAACAGAUUCAAAAUGAAGGUAAUUCACAAACACUCUCUAAGGAGCUAAGGUAUGUCUCUUCACACCCUAAAGACUUAAUCUUAGGAGAUCCUUCAUGAGGUGUAACUACUAGAUAAUCACUUAGAAAUACAUGUGAACAUACUGUAUUCAUAUCUCAAGUUGAGCCAAAAUCCUUUUCAGAUGUGGAAAAUGAUGAAUCUUGGAUUAUAGCAAUACAAGAAGAGUUAAAUCAAUUUGAAUGAAACAAUGUAUGGAAACUUAUUCAUAAACCAUAACAUCAAUCUGUAAUAGGCAAUAAAUGGGUAUUUAGGAAUAAAAUCGAUGAAUCUGGUGUAGUUGUAAGGAAUAAAGUUAGAUUAGUAGCUCAAUGAUGCAACCAAGAAGAAGAAAUUGAUUUUGAUGAAACCUUUGCACAUGUAUCGAGAUUAGAAUCCAUUACAUGCUUUUAUCAUUUGCAUAUCAUAAUGAUUUUAUUUUAUAUUAAAUGGAUGCUAAAAGCACCUUUCUAAAUAGUUGUAUUAUGAAGGAAGCUUAAGUGAAACAACCCCCUCAUUUUAAAAAUGAAAAAUGUUUUUGGAUCAUGUUUACAAGUUGUCCAAAGUUUUAUAUAGUUUAAAGUAAGCAUCUAGAGCAUGAUAUGAUAGACUUAGUAAAUUUCUUUUAGAAAAUAGUUUUUCAAUGGGUAAAGCGAAUACUACUCUAUUUGUUAAAUACAAGGAUCAAGGUAUACUUGUUCAAAUUUAUAUUGAUGAUAUUAACUUUAGUUCUAUUAAUGAGUUUCUGUGUAAGGAAUUUUCAUCUUGCAUAAGUAGAGAAUUUGAGAUGAGCAUGAUGGGAGAAUUGAAGUACUUUCUUGGACUUCAAAUUUAAAAGAAAAAAAAGAAUUCAUUAAUCAAGCCAAGUAUUUCAGAGAUCUACUCAAAAGAUUUUGCAUUCAGGACUAAGGACACUCCAAUGAGAACUACAAUCAAUCUCGAUAAGGAUAAAAAAAGUAAAGAUGUUGUAUCAAAAGAUAUCGAGGUAUGAUCAUAUUUUUACUUUACUUUACUACUAGUAGACAUUACUUUAGUGUAUGUUUGUGUGCAUGAUUUCAACCAGAUCUCAAAGAAUCUCAUUUGCUUGCGGUUAAAAGAUUUUUUUCAUUAUUUAUGAGGAACAAUUGAUCUUGGUCUAAGGGAACUCAUAUAAAUUAUUAGCUCAAUAAAUUUUUCAAAGAAUCCCAUUCAACAUUCUAGGACCAAACAUAUUGAAAUUAGGCAUUAUUUCUCACGUGAUCAUGUUCAAAUGAGAGAUAUUGCUUUAGAAUUUGUUUCUAUAGAAAAAUAUCUUGCUGAUAUUUUUACAAAUCCUUUUUGUGAAGAAUAGUUUUCAAAGAUUUGGAUUGAGUUUGGAAUGAUGACAUUUUCACAUCAAUAUUUCAUUGCAUGAUAUUGAGACUACAAAUUUGCUUGAUUUUCUAUCUUGAUUUUAAUGUGUUAUAUGCUUGAAUUUACUUCUUUGAAUGUUUAUCAUCAUAUCUUAUGCAUUAAAAAUGGCUUUUGAAAUACUUCGGGAUCACAAAAUGGUCUCAAAAUUAAUUAAAUUUUGGCCAAAAAGCAAAAUCGUGCAAAAUUUAGGGGAACUAGCUAACCGUUAACAACAAGCGACUAGCCAAUUAUGAGGCAGAAACUAGCUGGUCAGUAGGGUUGGCAAUGGGACGGGAUGGGAUGGGAUUUACCAAUCCCAGUCCCAUCCCGUAUAUGCAAAUGGGAUGAAAAAACGUCCCAAUCCCGUCCCUAUAUUUUUUUUGGGACAAAAAUAUGUCCCAAUCCCGUCCCAAAAGAGAUGGGAUCCUGCGGGAUCCCAUCCCAAUUGGAAAAUUUUUCAUUCUUAAUCGGUAAUGAGACGGGAUGGGACGGAAUUUAUCAAUCCCACUCCCGUCCCGCAUAUGUAAUUGGGAUAAAAAAAAUGUCCCAAUCCCAUCCCAAAUUUUUUUAUGGAACAAAAAUAUGUCCUAAUCCCAUCCCAAAUGGGAUGGGAUCCCGCAGGAUCCCAUCCCAUCGGGAAAAAUUGCCAUCCCUACUGGUCAGCCGGCUUAAAGCAAACGGUUAAUUGCUUGGUUUCUAAAAAUGAAACGGUUAACCGCUUUCUUCAAGAGGCUAGCUGGCUUCACGUUUUAAAUGUUGUUCAUCUUCUUUUUCCCACUUUCAGUUGUUACCCUCUCUCUAUCACUGUCAUCUCUCAUUUCUUUUACUCUCUCUCUAAAAUCUUCCGUUUUUACAUCACUUUUGUGUCAAAUUAAACUUUCCAAAUCAUUUCCCAUCAAUUAAUCUUCACUCAUUUGCUUUUAAAACACAAUCUAAUCACUCUUCUCUCAAAAUCUUAAAACCUAAGUCACCAAUUUCAACAUUCUCAAAUUUGAACCAUUAUUUGACCAUUUUUGACCAAAAUAAACCCAUACAUUCCUUAGAUCUUCUCAAAGAACAUUUUAAUCGGUUCAAAAUCAUCUAUUUCUGUAAAAACUUUGUGAACUCGAAUUUGUGCAAUUUUGGACACAUUUUGAUAAUUUCUUAAUGGCUAGUGGUGAGAAGUCUAAGGGUAAGCAUAUGCCUAAAAUGUAAAAAAAAGAUUCAUAAAGACAUUUUCAAAUUCAUUUCCACCCACUUCCCAAAUCCGCCCCAAUGGAAUGAUUCUCUGAUCGAUUUAUGACAAGGUCAGUCCUCCCAUACUAUAUAUGUUAAUCUUGAUUAAUUAGAAAAUUUGUCAAGUUGUAGCAAAACUCUUAGAACUUUACUUGCUGAAUUGGGUUGGACAAAUGUCUUAGUUCUUAAGGAACAUAUUUGUCCUAAUUUGGUACGAGUAUUUUAUUCGAACAUGCUUAUUUCUACAAAUACUGCCAAUAUGAUUAUUACUAAUGUUAUUGGGAUUCCUAUUAAGUUUACUGUAGAAGAUUUAAACAUGAAUCUCAGAUGAUAGGUUGCAUUUGUAUACAUCUAGGACUAAAAUUGAUUAUCCCUGGUAUUUAGUUGUAGAUGAUGUUUGAAACAUAGAUGUUCGAAACAUAUGUAGGUGAUCUGAUCUAUCCAUGGAGCUUUUUAACUCCUCUCUUAGAUCACAAGUGUUGCCUCUUCAAGUUCGGAUCCUACAUAAUGUUCUUUAGCUUGUGAUCAGUCCUCGCAAGGGACAUGGUGCUGAGGUUACACGCUUAGAUGUUACUUUAUUAGAUAGCAUCCUUGAGGGUAAAAGCUAAAUGUGCGAAUAUUAUCAUUCAGCACAUGCUUAAUACACUGAGUAUAGGAAACCAAUCCUUUUCGGUCGGUAGUGUCAUUACCCACAUCCUUCAAUAUUUUUGGGUCCCUAUAGCUGAACCAUCUCAUAAUGAACCCAAGGAGUUAGGGGAUGAGGUCAUUGCUAGCUUAGGAUUUGGGUGGGUAGAUGACCAAUAGGUUAAAAAUUAGAACUUGUUGAGCAAACCCACAAAGCUGGCUCUUUUUUAUCAUUGCAUCUUUAACGAUGUGCUUCCCCUUACUGGGUUCUUGAUCUUAGUUCUUCCAUGAGGUCACAAGCUCUACAUUGGCCUUCUGAUGCUCCACCAUCAUCAUCUUCAGCCAUUCCCAAUAACCCAAUCCAACAGUUGUUGAAUAAAGUGCGUUCCAUAUCCGAACAAUAAAGCAAAUUUAAGAUAUCGUUCGCAGCAUUCCAGGAUCAUUUUCUUUCUGAGCAACAACGUCUCUUUCUUCAACAAUAACAAAUUCUAGACCAUCACUAGCUUAUUUUCAUUGCUCUCAAAUUUUCGCCACCAUCCUUAUUAUCUUGUUUGCUACCUCAUCAGUGAUUUUCUUUUAUCUCUUUUGCUUCAUUGUUUUAUGCACCGACAUUAUUUAUCAUAUGCAUUUUCGUUUUUAGCAUCAUGGAUACUUGAUGGAUGUUAUUUUACUUAUGCAUUAUAGAUACUUGAGUUGAUAUGGAUUAUCUUUAUGCAUUCUAGUUAUUGAUUGUGGUAUCUUUAUUAAUUAUCUUUAUGGAUUAUCUUUAUUGAUUAUGGAUUAUGUAUAUGGAUACUUGAUUAAUGGUUAUGUGUGGAUUUUCGAUUGAUGAUCUUUGUGGGGGAUAAUUAUUGAUAAUAUUUGUAUAAUAGAGGAGUGAUUUUUCAUGAUGAAGGGGGAGAAGAUAUUGACAUGUAUUUUGAAGUGUUUUGACAUGUUUUUGGCUCAUGGGGGUUGAUUGAGUGUUUGUAGUAUUUUAGUUGCUUUCUGAGUCACUCAAGGAGAGUUUACAAAUGUUGUACAAUUAUUGUUAGCCUAUAUGGUUAUAAAUAUUGAUUUUGAUGAUAACAAACCACAUGUAUUGAUUAAGAAAAGAUUUAUUAAUUGUACUUUUAUAAUAAGAAAAUGAUGUUAUGGAAUUAAAGUAUUUUGGACUAAAAUGAAAGUAUUUUAAAAUCUUUGAUAGUGUUUUAAAUUUCGGAUUUGGACCUGUUUGAAACUAUUUAAAUAUUUUUUGAUUAUUCUAUAAUUUCAUAUAGUUUGGGUGAAAUCAUAAUUUCAGAAAGUUUUGGGAUUGACAAAGCAUUAUUUAAAAUUCUGAAAUUGGACCUAUUUGCAAAGUUUCAUAAAGUUUUGAGCCAUAAUAUAGUUUUAUAAAGUUUUGGGGUCAAACUAUAAAUUUAAAAAAUAUUUCACUGUAGCAGUAACUGUAGCAAGCGGCUUACCGGAUAUGGUUAAACGACAAACUGGAUAUUGGGCAGUAAGCGUCUGGAGCAUAAACGGCUUACCGGAUUUUGUAAGCAGCAAGCCGGAUAUUCUGAAAUUCAAAAUUUUGCCAUAACGGUAACAUAAAAGCGGCUUACCAGAUUCCUAAAUGGCAAGCCGGUUAUAACAGAAAAUGUGCAUAACAGCUAGUUUUUUAGCUCAAACUAUAAGAACUCAAAUCCAAAUCAUUUUCAAGCUCUCCAACAAGCAUAAACAAAAAGCACACGAGAUAUCUUGAGCUUUCAAGUUGCAAAACACAAAACAUUUAAUCAUGUCUUGUUUUUCAUUUUUGAAUAUCUGCUUUUUGAGUGAGUUUUAUUGUAACUUUCAUUUCUUCAUCUCAAUUGUAAGAGUUUGAGUGUGUGAGACACUUGAGUGAAGAGAUUGUUAGAUAAUCUCUUUGUUGUAAAGGUUCAUUGACACCUUGAAGUCAAUUGUAAACAGUUAAAACCUUGGAAAGGCUUGGAUAGUGAAAACCUCAAGCUUGGAUCGCUUGGAGGUGUGGACAUAGGCGGAGAUUGCCGAACCACGUAAAAAUUCGUAUGUUUGUUUCUUUUCUCCCUUACUCAUUAGUUAUUGUGUUUUUAUUGAACUUAUUGCUUUUAAUUUUUAUUAAGACAUUUAGAUUGCUUGUUGUGUGGAUUUGCUAAGAAAUUUUUUAAAAUUCCAAUUCACCCCCCUUUUUGGGUUGCACACUUAUAUUUCAUUUGGUAUUAGAGCGAGGUGCUCUUAUUUGGACCUAACCGUUUAGAACUAAAUAUCAAUGGCAACUCAAAAUGAUUCCACAUUUAGGGAAGGACAGUCCACUACUAGACCACCUUACUUUGAUGGAAACGAUUACCCAUAUUAGAAAACUAGGAUGAGAAUUUACUUGCAAGUCUUAGAUUAUGAAAUUUGGGAAAUCGUUAAUGAUGGUUCUUUCAUGCCUUUGACUAAAAAUGAAGUCGGAGAAGAUAUUCCAAAACCUUCACGGGAAUGGAAUGGAUUCGAAAAGAGAAAAGCUUCUCUAAAUUCCAAGGCCAUGAAUGCCUUAUUUUGUGCACUAGAUAAGAAAGAGUUUCAUAGAGUGUCUAGUUGCGAAAGUGCUAAUGAGAUUUGGCACAAACUUGAAGUUGUCUAUGAAGGCACGAACCAAGUGAAAGAAUGUAAAAUAAGUAGGUGCACUCGACAAUAUGAAUUGUUCCAAAUGGAACAAAAUGAAAAUGUGUACUCUAUGUAUACUAGAUUUACAGACAUAGUGAACACUCUAGGAGCCCUAGGAAAGACCUUUUUAAAUAGCGAGAAAGUCAAGAAAAUCAUUAGGUCGCUACCUAAGGAAUGGAGACAAAAAAGGACUGUCAUUGAGGAAGCCAAAGAUUUAAAUGUAUUACCUAUUAAUGAUUUAAUUGGUUCUCUCAUUUCAUAUGAAGAAGAUUUGGCAGCUGAAAAAGGGCAUGAGGAAAAGAAGAAAAACAUUUCUCUCAAGGCUUCAAAAUGUGAGAGUGAUGGGGAAAGCGAAAUGGAUGAUGAGGAGUUGGCAAUGUUGGCUAGAAGAUUUAGAAAAUUUUACAAAAAGAAUAAUGAGCAGAGAAAGUUCAGAGGCUACAAGAAUAAGAAGGAGAAGAAUGAGUCAAUCACUUGUUAUGAAUGCAAGAAACCCGGAUACAUACGACCGAAAUGUCCUCUUUUCAACAAACUCAAGAAGAAAGCUAUGGUGGCCACAUGGGAUGAUAGCGAUGAGGAAACAAGUGAUGAUGAUGAGCAACAGGAAAUGACAAAUUUAGAUCUCAUGGCCAUUGGGGAAGAAUCAUGUGAUGAACUUGAUGAGGUACGUGUUCUUCCUACAUAUGAUGAAUUACAUAAUGCCUUUAAGGAUUUGCAUGAUGAGCUGAUGAAGAUUGGUAAAAAGAAUAUAUGUCUUAAAAAGAAGAUAAUAGAGCUUAAAAAUGAAAAUGAAUCAUUUAGUGCAAAGAUUACAUGCCUAGAAUUAGAAAAUAAAACAUUGCAUGAUAGCAUUGCAUUAUUUGAGAAUUCUAGCACUCCACAUGAGCACUUAGAGUCACACAUGAAUGACUUGAAAAAUGAAAAUGAAAUGCUUAGAAAGAAGAGCAAUGAACUAAAUGAAAUUCUACUAAAAUUCACAAAUGGGAGAAAGAUGUUGGACAAUUUGCUAAACUCACAAAAAUGUGUAUUUGACAAAAGUGGCAUUGGUUAUAAACCAAAUUUGAAACAAAAAUUUUACAAGAGUUGUUUUGUGAAGAAUACAUCUAUUAACAAUCAAAUUGUAUGUCAUUAUUGUAAUCAAAAUGGUUAUAUGAAAAAUAGAUGUGCAGUGAAGAGAAAUGCAUAUUAUGGUGUGAAAUGUGUUUGGGUUCCGAAAGGAACCAUUGUUAACUCUUAAGGACCCAAAAAGGUUUGAGUACCUAAAACUUGAGAUUUUCUCUACAGGGCUUGAAGAAGAAGAAUAAUAAGUGUUACUUGGACAGCGGUUGUUCAAGACACAUGACAGGGAAUUAUUCUUGGUUUUCAAGUUUUACUAAGAUCGAAAAUGGUGGAGAUGUAUCAUUUGGAGAUAAUUCAAAAGGAAAAAUCAUUGGGAUUGGAAAUGUCGGUAAUGCAUCCUCUACUCUCAUUGAAAAUGUGUGUUUGGUUGAAAACUUGAAAACACAACUUGCUUAGUAUUAAUCAAUUAUGUGAUAAAGGAUAUAGAGUUAUCUUUGAUAAAUCAAAAUGUGUUAUUGAGAAUGCAUGUGAUGGGAAAGUUUUGUUUGUAGGAAAUAAAUGUGUUAAUGUCUAUACUAUUAAUAUAGAUUGUGUAUCAACAAAUGAUAAAUGUCUCUCUGCAUUACAUGAUGAUGGUUGACUGUGGCAUAGAAGAUUAGGUCAUGCAAGCAUGGAUUUGAUUUCAAAAAUCGUGAAAAAUGAUUUAGUUAAAGGUCUUACAAAAAUUAGUUUUCAAAAAGAUAGAAUUUGUGAAGCAUGCCUAUUUGGAAAAAAAAUCAAAACUUCCUUCAAAAGCAAGAAUCAUGUCUCUACUUCAAAACCACUUCAAUUACUUCACAUAGAUUUGUUUGGACCUUCUAGAUAUGCUAGUUUAAGUGGCAAAUUUUAUGCAUUUGUAAUUGUGGAUGAUUAUUCUAGAUACACAUAGGCAUUGUUCUUAGCUAAUAAGGAUGAUGCCAUUGAUGCAUUUCAAAUUUUCUCUAAAAAGGUUCAAAAUGAAAAAAGGUUAUUCUAUUACUUGUAUUAGAAGUGAUCAUGGUGAAAAAUUUGAAAAUCAUGCAUUUGAAAAUUUUUGUAAUGACUUUGGCAUUGAACAUCAAUUUUCAUCACCUAAGACUCCACAAUAAAAUGGAGUAGUAGAGAGAAAGAAUAGGUCUAUUCAAGAAAUGACUAGGAGCAUGUUGAAUGAAAACUCUAUGCUUGAGUAUUUUUAGACCGAAACCGUCAACACCGCUUGUUAUGUUUUAAAUCGUGUGUUGAUUAGACCUAAUCUUAAUAAAACUCCAUAUGAGCUUUGGAAAGAUAGAAAACCCAACAUUGGCUAUUUUAAAGUUUUUGGAUGCAAAUGUUUUGUUUUGAUCACAAAAGAUAAUCUUGGUAAAUUUGAUCCAAAAUCUGAUGUUGGUAUUUUUCUUGGUUAUUCAAAUUCAAUCAAAACUUAUAGAGUUUAUAAUAAAAGAACUUUAGUUGUGGAAAAAUCUAUGCAUGUUACAUUGAUGAGUCUAACCCCUCCUCUACGGAGAAAGUCGUUGUUGAUGAUAAUGCAGAAGAAGAACUACAAGAAGAAGCAUCAAAUGACAACCAGAAGAUGCACCACAUGAAAUUCAAGAGGAACAUCAUGAAGAAAACAAAUGUAGAGCAAAAUGAAGUACUUCUCAAACACUCCCAAGGAGUGGAGGUGUGUUUCCUCUCACCCUUAGGAUGUAAUUUUAGGAGAUCCCUCACGAGGUGUUACCACUAGAUCAUCUCUUAGGAACACAUGUGAGCAUGCUGCAUUUAUUUCUCAAAUUGAACCAAAAUCCUUUGCGGAUGCAGAAAAUGAUGAAUCUUGGAUUAUGGAAAUGCAAGAAGAGUUGAAUCAAUUUGAGAGAAACAAUGUGUGGGAGUUAGUUCUAAAUCCAGAACAUCAAUCCAUUAUAGGCACUAAAUAGGUAUUUAAAAACAAAAUGGAUGAAUUUGGUGUGGUUGUAAGAAAUAAAGCUAGAUUAGUGGCUCAAGGUUACAACCAAGAAGAAGGAAUUGAUUUUAAUGAAACUUUUGCACCUGUAGCAAGGUUAGAAUCCAUUAGGAUGUUGUUAGCAUAUGCAUGUCAUAAGGAUUUUAUUUUAUAUCAAAUGGAUGUCAAGAGUGCUUUCUUAAAUGGUUAUAUUAUGGAGGAAGUUUAUGUGAAACAACCUCCUGGUUUUGAAAAUGAAAAUUUUCCAGAUCAUGUGUAUAAGUUAUCUAAGGUUUUGUAUGGUCUAAAACAAGCACCUAGAGUUUGGUAUGAUAGGCUUAAAAACUUCUUGUUGGAUAACGAUUUUUCGAUGGCUUAAAAAUCAGAAUGCCAAAAUAUAAAACAACAGUUAAAUUCCAUUUAAACUCCAAGAAAAGUAAUUCAAAUUCCGGCCACCGAGCCAAGUUCUCCAACAAAAUUUCCAAAGAUUAAUGGAAAUAUUCCAAUAGCAAGACUUCCAGAAGCAAUACCCUCUUCCAGCGGCAAUACAUUGUUUAGAACUACAACACUAAAACAUAAAAGCCAAAUACUAUAUUAAACUCAUAAAAAGCUUAUAAUUUACAGGAGAAACUGAAAGUAUCAAUCAAUUUUGAGGCAACCAAUUUGACAAUUUAAUAUUAAACUCAUAAAAAGCAUUGCCAGUAGUGAGUUUAAAUAUACCUGCAUCUGUGUCCUUGCCAAUUCAAUGGGGUAGCAACUAAUACAUGCUAAUGAACGUGCAACAGACCCAGCAACUAGGGGAACAUAUUGUGCCAACAUUGGAGCAUUGUCAAUAGGGAAUUUUCCAUCAAAUUGCGAAAACUGUCAUAACAAGGAAGGUAAAUUCCCACCUGAAAAGAGUAAUUAACAGAAAAAAAAGAAAAUAAUCAUCAUAAUGCAAAAAAAUUUCAAUGCCACACUGAUGUAUGGGAUGAAAUAUUUGAAGAAACACAAGCAAUUUAUGUACAAGAGAGACUUAUUGUUGGCAUAGACAACGCUAAACUUGCAUAAGUGCCUCUCCAUAGUCGGGCAAAUCCCUCCUGCACAUGUUUAGCUCUUAUGAAACCUUUGAUAUUAAAGAUCAAAAUUUAAGAUUCACUAACAGUAGCACCAAGAAAUCUAUUUAUUGAAGGCACAUUAACUACACAAUACAAAAUCUCUUUCCAUAAUAUAUGUAAUCACACUGCAAGUAUAAUGCAGUACACUAAAAUGCCAUCAGUUGACUUGUUCUAAAAAAUGUCUAUAAGACAUUCUGUACAAAUCCCAGUUCUUACGGAGUUAUUUUGCCCAUGGAUCAAAUCACUUUAGGACUGGAAAAAUGACGUCAUCUAAAUAGGAAAUUAGGAGUAAUAACAUGUAAUUCCAAUUGAAUUUAGUUUUUCUUCUUCAUAAUUUUCCUGUGAACUAUAACAACUGCUUUCUAGGAUCUCUUUCUUCUUUAGAGAUACAAUAGUUUUACAAAGAUCCAAUAUAAAACUCUUUAGGAUAAAAAUAGUCCAAGGAAAGCUUUUCUCAACAGCAUAAACUAUACACUUUUGGAAAACUUCAGUUCUUUUUAUUAGAUAUAUGUGUAAUUUAUUCAUAAAGUCCUUGUAUCCACCAACCUGGCAUACGAAUUUGUAGAAAACAUCCAGUGUUCCUUUAUAUUUAUUACAUUCUGGAGCUGGUUUAGAGCCUGGAACUGCACACGUGCAUGAUGGGGAAUUUCUCAUAUCUGGAAGCAUCUACAGAAACAAUUUGAAAGACAACACUUGUCACAAGAUCAUAUAACAAAGAGCAAUAAGAAUAGUAAUUGUUGAGUGUUAGAAAAUGUAUAUUUAUAAAGGAGAAAAUCGUCAUUUUACAUUUCAAGUCUUACUAACAACCCUUACUUUUAUGUAUUUAAGCCUCUUGUAAUUUAAUUAUGUGUGUUUUAUUUUAAUUAAGUAUUUUAUGUAUUUUAGGGACAUCAUAGUCAUUUCACAAUAAACGAGAGAUCAAAUGGCAAAACGACAUCACUUUUGAACUCAAGACGGUCGAAAACCUUAGGAGGAGCAUAAAAGGAAAAAUGGUAUUGUUCACAUGUACGAUACUAUUCACGUGUACGGUACUGUAUACGUUACUGUUCACGACAUGUUCACAUAGACGGAAGAUGACGUGGCAUUGACCGAUGAUGUGCAUUGACUGAUGAGGUGUCACGAUCCUGUUGGACUAAAAUUCUUAUGUACUGGAGGUAACGUGGCAGCAUAUAGUGGACUAAAAAUCUCGCGUACGGUACAUGCAUACACAUGAUUAUUUUCAACCAAACCGCGUUACUGUUCAAACCCGGUCAAAUCGUGUUACUGUUCAUCCGCGUGGUCAAACCGCGUACUGUUGACUGAUGACGUGGCGCAAUCCUGAGUAUCCAAACUGUUUUUAAUCCGAUGACCAUGAUUUACUCCAUGUAUCUAUAAAAGGGGCCUUCCCCCCUAAUUUGCAUCUUGAAUCUAUUUUUGGGAUCCAUUUUCUGUAAUUCCUUCUCCAUUUUGUAUUUUCUACGUAUUUUAAUAAAUUACCAUUUUGCCCCUAGUUCAAUUAUGAGUAGCUAAUUUUCUUUCAAACUUGGGUUGAAGGUGAAAUCUCAACAUGUGUCAUGGGCUUUAUUUGGGAAAUUUAUUUUCUUUUCCCCUCUAAUUUUUGUGGAUGAUUUGACUUUUUCGUCGACAAAUAAUAAUAAUCUUGUCUAAAUACCGCAUUGGUUACACCGGCUCUCUAGUACAAUGUUAUUAUUAUUUGGCACGAUAAGCCCUUAGCACCAUAUUGAUUAGAGCGUGGUUCAUGAGGUGUGGAUUCCCCCCUCAUGAUUUAAUUGCAUUAAUAUGGAUUAUUUAGCCCAUGUUGCAUGUUGAUACGGAUCCAGAUACCCAAGUACAUCAUUUCAAUAGAUUUCACUUCAAUUUAUUCUCACCAUUUCAAUUCCAAUUUUAGAAUAAUCUAAAGUUACUUUCACCACAAAUCCAACCACCCAUUUACAAAAUUAAUUCUACACACAAUUAAAAUCUACCUCCUCGUGGGAUCGACACUCGUCACCAUUGAUCUAUACUACAAUAGAUUCGUGCGCUUGCGAGUACAUUAAAAUUUGCACAACACUAGCCUCCACUUAUAAAUGACUUAUUCACCUAAUUAGGGCAUGUCGUCAUCUCUUUGCUUCCUUUUCUUCAAUUUUCUCUCUAUCUUUUAAAUCAUCAGUCAUUUCUCCACUUUAGGAGGCCAUUUUUAUUCUCCACCUUUAUCAUAUUCUCUAAGAUAUUAUCAUUCUCAAUAUCUUAUUAACAAUCUUCAUUUUUAUCAAUACCAAACAUCUCUGUAUUGCUAUCUAGCUUGUGUUAUUCAUUUUGAAUAAUGUAAAAUCUUAUAUAACCUCUCAUUUAUAUAAUGGAUUGGUGAUGAUCUGCUCUCAUGGAUGUAGGCCAAAAGGUGAAACAUGUAAAUACUGUGUGUUCUUUAUAUUUAUGUUUUAUUUUGCUAUUUUCAAUUUGAGGUCGAGAUUGUUUUUCAUGUAUGAGCUUAUCAAUAGAUACCCAGUUACACCAAGUAUUCUGUGAGACUAUCUAUACUAUUCCUUGAGUAUAUCUGAGCCAUACCUAAACAUAUAUUAGCCCUCUAUCAAAUCCUACAAGACUCCAUUGAGCUCUCCCUAUUUUUCCUCCCACCUGAACUCACUAUAUCUACUACUUUUGCUCACUAUCUAGGAUAAUUCAGCUAAACUACCUGGCCCAAAUACUAUAAAAAUACACGUAAACCCAAACUUAUCACAAGCUCCCUUCAAAUAUAAGUUUAUUUGUUUGAAUCAAAUUUAAACUGGGUCCAAUGAGAAUCAGCCAAUUGGUACGAAUAAGAUCUUAAUGAAAAUUUGGUGAACACAUAUAUUAAAUUAUAGAGUAUGAUUGCUACAACUAUUUUAUUAUACUUAGAAUAAGAAAAGAUAAAAUAUUGUGUGCAUUAUUUUAAUCCAUAUUCCAAGAUACUCAUUGCCCAAAAGAUACCAAAAUCAGUUUCAAGAUUCCAAUAUGUGAAUAUAUAUAUAUACAUAUUUUUAAAUUUCAUCCGUUAAUGCAUACAUACGCAAGAUUCAAAAUCCCAACUACAUCCAUAUAAUUUUUAUUAAUUUAUGAAAUUAAUAGUACCUAUCGAAAUGAUGAAUGAUACAUGACCCACCAUAUUGUCACUUUUUAUAUUUUCUUUAUACAAACAUUUAUUCAUAUCUCUAAAUACCCACUUUGUCAUAGAGUUCGGUUAUACGGUUCACAGCUUAUACAAAUAUAGUGGUUGAUUUUUUAAUCAAAUUUUAAAUUCAAUUUCCCAAAUUGGUUUAAAUUGAACUUUAAAGAUAAAACAGUUAUUUUAUUUUAUUUUAUUAUCACUGCUACACAAAAAGAUAAAAAAUUGAUACAGUUUAUAAAUUUGGAGUUAAAUCGUUAUUCGUUAAACAAUGUAUAUUUUUUGAUUUUUUAAAACUAGAGAAAGUAAUAACUGGACAAUUAAAAUUAAAAAAAUCCAAACUUACAUAAUGCUUGCACAUUAUACAUUGUUGCAACGGUUGUUCCAUGGUCAAAUUUACAUCUGCAUAAAAAGUAUCAUACUUUAACACAUGUAUAUUAUAUCAUUCAUAUACUGAUCUAAUAAAAUUUUACUGUAUACAUAUUCAAUUUUGAGAUAAAUCAUGAUGUGUGAUAGGGAUUUUAUUAAGAAUAUCUGAGGAUAUGAAAAACAAGGAUUUUUCUAGUUUAGCAAGUCGUGAGAGCAUAUCAGGAAUAAGGUUGUGGUCUCUUUUAUAUGUUUCACUGAGAAAUCAUAUUUUGAAAACCAGUCUUUGAGCCUAAGCAACUUUUACUUUUCUAAAAGCUUGUGGCUUGUAAUUAUGACUUUGCUUUUCAAAAAGUGAUAGGGGUCCUGUCCUAUCCUUUUUCUUGGUUUGCCUCCUAUUUAAGCUCGGCUUCUCUUGGUUCCCAUAUGCCUAAUAAGGAUAUCUUGUUAGGAUUUGAUAUCAUUCACCAGAAUAAAACACCUUCAAAUCAUUCCUAUUGAAAUUCGAGUCAAGUCCAUGUUUAAACCAUACAUAGUAGCUAUGCUUAAAAAUCAUUAAACGUGUAAGGUGUAUUUGACACAUUAUAUUACAAUAUAGUGUAUUGCAUUAACAUGCAUUGCAUUAAGUUGUAAUGCAAUACUAUGUUUGGGUAAUAUGGACUCUAUAUAUAAAAUAAUAUUAUAUUAUAUAAAUGUUAAAAUUAAAUAAUAUUUAUUAAUAUUUAAGAUUUUAUUAUUAAUUUUUUAAAUUAAGUACUUACUAAUUACUUUUAUAUAUUAUUAUUAUAAUACAAAAAUGACCUAAUAAUAACUAUUAUUAAAUAAUAAAUAUUAAAUUGGUAAAGGAAAUUAUGCAAGAAAACGACGAGCUCGAAGAAUUUCUGUUGCUUGUCAUAAGUGUGCCAGAAUGGAGUUGCGAUAGAAACCCAUGUUCUUUAGGAAUGGUGUCUGAUAACAGGGAAGAUAAGAUUCAAUUCAUUAGGGAUGGCUUGAAUAAGGAGUCAUUGGAUGAUAUCCUUUUGUCUCUUGAAACGCAUCCCAGUGGAUAUGUGCAAGGAGCGAUUCUCCGGUUAUGGCCAUUAUUCCAGAAAGAGCAUGCACGAUAUAGUCUCGGGAAUCUGACUAUAAACGACCCUGUUUGCCAGUUUAUAAGAAAACUGGAUGGGAAGCCCAUCCUCGACCUAUAGAGGGCGUUCAAGCCGUUUCUGGACGUAAAACCAGAGGAAGAUGUGAGCCACAGUCGCAACUACGUGUAAAUAUCCUUUUACUUUACUGUUAUUUUAUUUCAUUUCACUGUUGUUUUAUUGUUUGCAUUAUUGUCUUUAAUAAUUUUAUUACUGUUUGUUUUUUCCUUUUUACUAUUUCCUUUUUGACUCGCGAGCCACGUGCUUUACGCGUUAUUUGACACUGACAUGUUACCUCAUUCACAGCUGUGAUCCAUUGUCACCAAGAUUCUUAAAUGUGAUUUAUCUUUUGUCAAGCACUCACAAAUUAUUUUUGAGAAAGUAUCACAAUGGCAGCUACUCCCAAUAGACAAUUCAAGAACAUUUGUGUGCUUUCUGGAUUUACCUAUGGCAAACAUAAAGAGUUCGUGGAGGCAGCCAUAGAUCUUGGUCGAAGCAUAGCAGCGAGAAAAUUACAUUUGGUGUAUGGAGGAGGUAACCGAGGGUUUAUCAAAAAUGGUCUCAGAAGCAGCUUUUAUCAGAGGAAGUCAAGUGUUAGGCAUCAUCCCAAGAGUCCUAAAACCAUUGGGCAGUUCGUCUGACUCAUCAACUGGAGAAGAGUUAGUCGUCUCAGGUAUGCAAGAAAGAAUAACUGAAAUGCUUAAUCAUGCUGAUGCUUUUAUUUUCCUUCCAGGAGAUCUUGCAACACUAGAGGCACUUUAUGACACUAGCAUCUUGGGCCCAUCUGCACAUCCACCAGAAACCCAUCGGUUUGUUAAAUGUCAAUAACUUUUAUGAUGGCUUUAUCGCAUUUCUUAACCAUGCAAUAAAAAACUAUUUCAUUCCUUCUAAUGUGAAAAAACUCUUUAUUUGUGCUCACACUGCUAAUGAGCUACUUGAUAUGUUACAAGCUUAUAAACCGGAGCCAGACCCCUGGACCUUUGUGUUGGAGCGACCAAAUAAUGAUGGUAACAGUAGCCGCAGUAAGAAGUACAAAUUAGAUUUAACUCUCCGCCUGUAAAUAUUUUCUUCUGUGUUGCACCACCCAGGUGAUGUCUUCUAAACUCUACUUCUUUCCUUUAAAACAUUGAGGACAAUGUUUCAUUCUGGUUGGGGGGAGGGAAUAGUCGACAAUUGUGGAAUCUUGGUUAAGUUUUUACUGAUUUUUUGUUGUAGAAACUAACUGUUGCUAACGUUUUGUGUUGAAGAUGGCUGAAUAUGGAGUGUAGUUACUCUAGAAACGCAUUUUUUGUUGUAGAAACUAACUGUUGCUAACGUUUUGUGUUGAAGAUGGCUGAAUAUGGAGUGUAGUUACUCUAGAAACGCAUCUUCAUUGUUUAAAAAAAAAAAAAAAAAACCGUUUUCUUCCUCUUUCUCCUUUAUAAAUAUGCAGUUUCAAAUUUUUUAGUCGAAGAUGGCUGAAUAUGGAGUGUAGUGCCUCUAGAAACGCAUCUUCUUAGUUAAAAAAAAAAAAAAAAAAAAAUUCUUUUUCUAAUUAAUUUUUUCUACAUCAUUUUCACAUUUCUGCAUGCAUAUUUUCCUUUCAUGUUUAGAAUAGGUUGGGGGGUAGAAUGUUGUUUAAAAAAAAAAAAAAAAAAUUUUGUGUUAUUUGUUUUAACAUUGGAUGACAUGAUUAAUUUCAAAUUUUAGUAUUUGUAUUAUCUUUGGUCUUAAGUGAUGUUACGCUAUGUUUGCUACUUUACAUGUUGAUGUCAGAGACAAAUAUGAGUUGCUUGAAGGAAUGAACAUGUCAUAAAUAAGUGCCAAGUGAGUAGUUGAGCCUAUCAUUUUUCUUGGAGAGUAACCAUUUUGCGCAUUCUCUAUACAGCUUAGCAGUUUAUUAUUUUAUACACGAUCUCUAGAUUUCUUUUAAGUUAACCCUUUAAAAAAAAUAUGGUAAAAUUAAAAAAAAAAAGAAAAAAAAAAGAAAAAAGAAAAAAAUGUGUGUUGCUACAUUGGGAGGCCCAUCUAACUAGUAGAUAUGGAUAAUUAUUUAGAGCCCUAAAAGACGAUGGAAAGGCCAUCUUUGAUCCGUUUGAGCCUUUCUAGCCAUCCCUUUUAUUAAAUAUCCAUAGUUACCCCUUUUGAGCCUUUAAAAAAAAAAAAAAAAAGAACAAAAACCUUUUCUUUGUCAACUUAUCAUCUUGACCCACUCCGAUUUGGAGUAUUACCCAAUGUCUUUUAAGUUCCAUCACCUAUUUAUGUUUGAGAAAAUGUAAAUAAUUAUGUUGUUCAGUGAAGUUAUGCCAAAUAAAAGCAAAAAGAAAAAAAAAAACAAAAACAAAAGUUGUUGUUUCAAAAGAAUAAAAAUAACAAUAAUAGGUGAAAUCCACCUUGCAAGUUCCAAAAAAAAAAAAAAAAAUUCUGCAUUUUUCUCAAACAUACACUUUGUUUUCCUUAUUUCCUUUCUUUGUUAGCCAUAUCCCUAGCCUACGUUACGUCCUAAUAAAAGUCCUUCUUGAUUUUAGGGAACUAUAGUUUGAAGUAGAAGCUAGUUAUAUGGGCUAAAAAGAUGUAGUGAUGCAUAAUAAAAAAAAAAAAAAAAGAUAAAUAAAGUGGGUUGACUAACAUUUUAUUUGACUUGAGAUCGUAUUAUUUCUAAGCUGAGGGCAUAUUUAUUUCAUCUUGGUGAGAGCAUGUGAUAUCAUUUCUUUAUUAUUUUCUCUCUCAAUUACCAUUCAUUGGAGUGACUAUGUUUAUUGGGUUUUAAUUUCUUUGUGAGAGUGUCAUUACUUCCAGUGAGAUUUUGGGGUUUGACAUGUCAUUCUUGAAAGUAGCUAUAACAAAGUCUACUGGGCUAAUUCAUGUGGAUGGUUGAUGUGGGUGUGAUGUUGCUUUAGACUGAAGAUAAUGCUUAUACUUUUAUUUGAUUGCUAUCAUUAAUCUGAUUGAAUAAACACGAGUGUUUCCCAUAAAAAAAAAAAAAAAUCAUUUUGAAUUUGAAUUUUGUUUUCGCUUUAUUUGCUAGGGACUAGCAAUAAGCUGGUUGGGGGGUGUAUUGAGUGUUAGAAAAUGCAUAUUUAUAAAGGAGAAAACCGUCAUUUUACAUUUCAAGUCUUAUUAACAACCCUUACUUUUAUGUAUUUAACCUUCUUGUGAUUUAAUUACAUGUCUUUUAUUUUAAUUAAGUAUUUUAUGUAUUUUAGGGGCAUUAUAGUCAUUUCACAAUAAAGGAGAGGUCAGAUGGCAAAACGGACAUCACUUUUGAACUCAGGACGGUCGAAAACCUUAGGAGGAGCAUAAAAGGAAAAAUGGCACUAUUCACAUGUACGGUACUAUUCACGUAUACGGUACUGUCUACGUUACUGUUCACGACACUGUUCACAUAGACGGAUCGAUGACGUGGCAUUGACCGAUGAUGUGGCAUUGACUGAUGAGGUGUCACGAUCCUGUUGGACUAAACUUCUUAUGUACUGUUGAUGGUGACGUGGCAGCAUAUCAGUGGACGAAAAAUCUCGCGUACGGUGCAUGCAUCACACAGGAUUAUUUUCAACCAAACCGCGUUACUGUUCAUCCGGGUCAAACCGUGUUACUGUUCAUCCGCGUGGUCAAACCGUGGACUGUUGACUGAUGACGUGGCGCAAUCCUGAGCGUCCAAACUGUUUUUAAUCCGAUGGCCAUGAUUUACUCCAUGUAUCUAUAAAAAGGGGGCCUCCCCCCCCUAAUUUGAUAUCUCUGAAUCCAUUUUUGGGAUCCAUUUUCUGUAAUUCCCUCUCCAUCUUGUAUUUUCUUUGUAUUUUAAUAAAUUCCCAUUUUGCCCCUAGUUCAAUUAUGAGUAGCUAAUUUCUUUUCAAGCUUGGGUUGAAGGUGAAGUCUCAACAUGUGUCAUGGGCUUUAUUUGGUAAAUUUAUUUUCUUUUCCCCUCUAGUUUUUGUGGAUGAUUUGACUUAUCGUCGACAAAUAAUACUGAUCUUGUCUAGAUACCGCCUUGGUUACACCGGCUCUCUAGUAUAAGGUUAUUAUUAUUUGGCACGAUAAGCCCUUAGCACCAUAUUGAUUAGAGCGUGGUUCAUGAUGUGUGGAUUCCCCCAUCAUGAUUUAAUUGGCAUUAAUACGGAUUAUUUAGCCCAUGAUGCAUGUUGAUACGGAUCCAGAUACCCAAGUACGUCAUUUCAAUAGAUUUCGCUUCAACUUAUUCUCGCCAUUGCAAUUCCAAUUUUAGAAUUUAUUAUCGCAAUUUCAAUUCCAAUUUUAGGAUAAUUUAAAUCACUUCCACCACAAUUCCAACCACCCAUUUUGCAAAAUUAAUUCUAUACACAAUUAAAAUCCACCUCCUCGUGGGAUCGACACUCGUCACCAUUGAUCUACACUACAAUAGAUUCGUGCGCUUGCGAGUUCAUUAAAAUUUGCACAACAGACAAAUAAUAAUAAUUUUGUCUAGAUACCGCUUUGGUUUCACCGGCUCCCUAAUACAAGGUUAUUAUUAUUUGGCACGAUAAGCCCUUAGCACCAUAUUGAUUAGAGUGUGGUUCAUGAGGUGUGGAUUCCCCCCUCAUGAUUUAAUUGACAUUAAUAAGGAAUAUUUAGCCCAUGGUGCAUGUUGAUAUGGAUCCAGAUACCCAAGUGUUUCAUUUCAAUAGAUUUAUCUUCAAUUUAUUCUCGCCAUUUUAAUUUAAGUUUUAGAAUAUUCCAAAUCAAUUUCACCAGAAAUCCAACCACCCAUUUACAAAAUUAAUUCUACACACAAUUAAAAUCCACCUCUUAGUGAGAUCGACACUUGUCACCAUUAGUCUAUUGUACAAUAGAUUCGUGCGCUUGCGAGUUCAAUAAAAUUUGCACAACAGUAAUGUCUAUGCAUAAUGAUCAUAACAGAAAAGAGAAUUCAUCUAUCACAUUUAUCAUUCCAACCCUCUCAAAAUACUAACUGAAGGAAAGGAGGAGACAAAUUUAACAAAAGCAAACCAAGGGGGAAAACUAGAGGAAAGCAAAACAGAUGACAUGCAUUUUUAAAACAUUUGGAUUCAUUCUCUUAACAAGUUAUCUAACACUUAAUACAUUUAGUACCUAUAGAAGUUAGACGAUGGCAAGAGCUUAGACCAUAAUAGCAAUUGAUGAAAUUUCAUUACGUAAAAUACCACUCAGUUUUGGUAAGACUGUUAUGUGUGCUCAAUAUAAGUCAUUUUGAUAUCAGUACACUAAGAUUUUUUUUCUUGAUAUGGCUGUUCAUGUAUAGAGAAGAUACCCCACUUUCUCUAAUAUCAAUGUUUCAAGCAUUUUCUUUCCUCAUAAGAUACCAUUUCGGAUAGUGUACAAUGCAAAGUAAAGAAUCCCAAAAAGGGCAGUUCACAUACCAUGUUACUUUCAAAAGAUGCUGUACAACAUAGACCCUCAUAAGGGACGCCAGCAGCCUGGGCUUGCAACCUUGUCUGAAGAUGAAGGCAGGAAAUCUAUUAGCUUUGUAGCUUCAUCAUGAAAUCUCAAAAGAUGAAGCAAUGUGAAGACUAGGAUUUCUGAAAAAAACUGGAGAAGAGAUAGAGGAUCCAUGCAACAAGCAUCACUCAAAUUUAGAAAAUAAUUGGGUGACUUUAGCCCACGUUUAAAAUAUUUAUAAUAAUUAGUAAAAGAAUAGUGAAAAGUAGCUGAAUAAAGAAAAUUUAAUUUUUCCAUCUUUUUGCUUCCUUUUCUUUCAUUCUCCGAAAGAAUCAUAGCUUCUCAAGGACUGAGAAUAAUGACACAACAUUUGGAUUUUAUUCUUGAGAUAAAGAGAAACAAUAAUUAACAUCUAUCCACAAUACCAUUCUCAAAAGUAGAAAAAAUAAUAAUAAUACUAACAAUAAUAAAAAAUAAUGAAAAUGACAAUUAAAGGGAAGAAAAUUUUUGAUAUAACAGACAAAAUUAGCAAUGAAUAAGUUAAAUAAAGAAAAAAUGAAAUGAAAAUUUAGGUGGAGUAGAGUCAUUAUAAAACCUUAGUGACAUCGAGAGGAUUAAUAAUAACGGCAGAAACAAUAGCAGCGCCGUUAGCAGAGAAAGCCCUUUCUGCAAACCCCAAACUGAAAUCUUUUAUGGCUUCUGAAUGUCGUAAAGCUUCCUCUUUAGACGAAGUCUCUGAUGAUACUGAGAUAGACAAAACGCUUCCCUCCAAAUCAACCCUAGUCGCCGCCAACCUGAAACGGAAUUAAGAAGCGGCAGCGAGCUGACUGAGGAGAUCGAAAAUACGCUUCUGAAAAGUAAAAUAAAUUGAACAAAUCUUGAAAAUUUGAACAAACACCCAUAAAUUUGAACAAUUUUUACAAAACAAGAAUCAUCAAAACCUAACUCUAGCAAAAAUUGAAAAUUAAAAAACAAAACAAACAAGAACAUCGAAAUCACACAAGCUAACCCUGAAUAGCGCGAACAAAUCAAAGCUUGAAAUUAUGAAAACACAAUUGAAAUCAUGGCAUAAUGGAUUCACAUAAGCGACGAGAAACAACAUGCAAAUGAGAAAUUGGACAUGAGGAGUGGCUAAGAGGCCGUUGUUGAAGAAGUGCUUGCUGUACCAGUGCUUCUUGCUGCUGCUGAUGCUGCUUCAACCUCUAGUACUGCAUUUUCCUUCAGAAUCGAAGGAUUUGUAAACUGUUUGUCGAAGGAUUUGUAAACUGUUUGGUUCCCAAGAAAAUUUCGUUAUGGUUUCUCGAGAAAAUGAAAUAAAAGAAAUAAACAAAGAAAACGAGAGACGAGAGAAGCAACGUUUUAUUUUCUAAGUGUGUAUUCGUUUAAUACUUAGGGAAAAAAAAAAGGAAGAAAUAAAGUUUAAAGUACCCAAAACGGUACAGUUUUGCUAGCAUUUUUUCUUAAUUAUUAAAAACCACCUUUUGUUUUUUAAAUAAAAUAAUAUAUAAAAUUUGAGUCAAAUAUAGUCAAAGUAAUUUUUCUAUCAUAAUUUCUUGAUAGAUUAAAUUUCUAUCACGAUUCUAUCAUAAGUUCGUGAUAAAUGAUAAUCAUAUCAUAAAGUCAUCAUAUAUUCAUGAUAGAAAAUAUUUCUAUCACAAGACCAUCAUUAAUUAAUGAUAGAUUGAAAAUUAUGUCAUAAGUUUAUCAUAAUUUUAUGAUAUACCUAGAAUCUGUCAUAAGUUGUUUGUCAUCUAUUAGCAAUUUUCUUGUAGUAUUCAAAAUGAAUAACUUUAUUCUACCAUCUCUCAAAUAAUAAAAACAUCAACAGCACAUCAUCGUCAUCAAUAAUAAUAAUAAUAAUAAUAAUAAUAAUAAUAACAACAACAACAACAACAACAAUAAUAAUAAUUUAACUUUGUAGGAUGGAGCUCUCGCAAAUCUUCAAGACACAAAAUGUGCUUGGCCCCGUUGUUGUUAUUAUAAUUUCAAAAUGACUUGAAUUAUAUAAAAUUUGGGAAUAAGACAUAGCAAAAUUGAUGGUACAUAUGUUGCAAUAUACUUGUUCAUGUAGCGACACAUUAAAGUAAAGCAAAACAAUAUACUUGUUCACUCAUUAUGUAGAUUUUCAAUAGAAGUAAUGCAAAUUUCACAAGGGCAAUGGCCUUAUUUCGAAUGUUGCACUUGUGGAAUGACAUGAACCUUCGAUACGUCACAAAUGUAUCAUGAAAGUGUGAUAAAUUUGUGACAUAUAUAUAUAUGUUCAGAGUUUAUAGCAUAUUCAUGACUUAUAAUUUAACUAACAUAAAUAAAUGAUAGAUAUAAGUGAUGCUCAAGUUUUGUGGAUUUAUAAUAUCUUAAAAUGAUGACUAUUUAAACGACAAGUGUUGAAUAAACCCCUCUCUCGCCGCAACCUAAAAUCAAUGAACUUUGAGCCAUUCUCAACAACAUUGUGUAGAACCCUAGCCCUAACCCUCACUUCCACCACCGAUAAAGCUAAGAAAGUUUUCCGUAUAUCAGAACCAUGGCGAAUUGCCUUCAGCUCGUAGGACCCAUAAUAAAUCUUGUAGUCCCUCGCUUUCACUUUGCUAAUUUUUUGUAUUAUUCCAUCUCUUUCACUUUAAUAACCCAAAAUCUUUCUCUGUUUCAAUUGAAAGAAGACCCUAGCUUAAAUUAAGUUGAAAUUUACGUAUCAAAGCUCUCGCUCAGCUUCCCUCCUUCAAUUGAAACAAAACGAAGCCAUAAGACCCCAAUAUGCCACGCCCUUUUGUCUCAGGCCAACAUUCAUUUAAACCCUACCUUUUGGUUCAAUGCCAUUUAAUGCGAUUGCAGAUGCCGUUUCAACUCAUUAUUUAGUUAACGCCAUUCAGUUCUUUGCGGUAAGCCUUAACCCUAAUAACUAAUCAACUGUGGUAGCACGUUGCUGACUGGGGUGGGAAUACAUUAAUUGAAUAUAUGAAUUGGGUGAUGUCAGUGAUUCAUCCCCCUAUUUGCCGUGAAUUGAGAUUUGUGUAUAAUGUUUGUAAGAUUGUUAAAAAUUUCAUGUUCCAGUCGAAUUUCUUGCUUGUGGAAGAUAAAACAAAAGUUUAAUCUAUAUAUAUAUAUAUAUAUAUAUAUAUAUAUAUUAUCUUCUUUAUAGUCAGGCUCUGGCUUUGCUGCUAUGCUUAGAGCAGUUCAUGGUUUCAAGAUUAAAUUAGGUUUAUUUGACGACAUCGAUAUCUUAUCUAGCUCUGCUUGAAAAUGAAAAUGUUUUACUAGCAAUCAUAGACUUUGUUUAUUCAGUUGAUAUUUUAAUUAUACGUAUAAGAAUGAAGGUUUAUUUGGGAAAAAAAGAAAUAAAGAAAUAGGCUCUGUUGAAGCUAAUUAAUACUUCAUUCUUUCUAUACGUGCGACCUGUGGUGGAAACAUGAUAUGAGAAUGUGUUACUGGUGAGGUUGCUGCUUGAGAUGAGAAUGAUGAGAAUGCCUUCUAUUCGGAAAUCCUUGGUAGGUAUUAUAUAAUUAUAUUUGAUGGAAUAUUAAAUAGCUAAAGAACCUGUGAUAAUGUCUUUGUUCAAUGGUUACUGUAGUAGUGUUUGUUGGUCUUUUUCUGGUUGGCGUUUGGAUGUUAAUGUCAUCAUCAGUUGUACUGGUGUGGGAUCCAGGAUGUUGUCCUCUUAAGAGCCUAUAAGCAAAGUGAAACAGAGAGGAUCUGAGAUUUUUCUGGGCCUUUCGUAGAAAAUCAAGGUGAUGAAUGACAGGAUUCAACAAAUGGGGAUGGGGAUGAUGUUCCUGUUGAAAAGUUAGAGAAUAGAGUGGAGGAUAAUCACGAAGAGAUGAAUAUGUAUGAGGGUGAUGGUGAGACGAGUGAAUCUAAGAAUAUGGUUAAUCAAAACCAGGAAGAGAAUUUAGUGAAGGAGAGUUUUGAUGAGAAUACUGAGUCUGAAGAGGAAUCUAAGGCGGUGUCUAAAAAUUACAAUGUUAGAAAAAGGGAAGAUAAGGAAUCUAAAAGUGAAGGUGGAGAUUCAAAUUCAGAAGCUGGAGAAACAGAAGGCGGCGAAUUGAAUAAAAUUGAGCAAAUUGAAUCAGAGAAUAGCUUGGAUGAAAAUAAAUGGAUGAGGCUAAUCAGAUUGAAAAGGAGAAGGAUUCUCAAGAUCAAGAUAAUGACACUGAGAGCCGUUGAAAGGAUCAGGCUUCAACUGAGAUUUUUCCUUUUGGUGACUAGUCAGAAAUUCUGAAGGAAACUAAUGCUCAGAAUGGGGCUUGCUCAACUCAACCUAUUGAGUCAUAGAAUCAGAAAAUAUCACAACAAUCUUCUAUAUCUAAGGACCAGUAUGGUCAUCGUUGGAAAGUGUGUAAUGCCACUGCUAGGCCAGAUUGCAUCCCUUACCUGGACAAUUUGCAAGCAAUUAGAAUGCUUUCCAGCACAAAAGCAUUAUGAACAUCGAGAGAGGUAUUGCCCUGAAGAAACUUGUACCUGUAUUGCUCCUUUACCGGAAGGAUACAAACACUCAAUUAAGUGGCCCCAAAGCAGGGAUAGGGUAUGAUCUUAUAUUAUGCAUUAUAAAAUAUAUACUUGACUACUUUUAAUUCACUUGGGCUAAGAUUUGUUCUCAUGCUGUGUGGGAUAGAUUUGGUAUUAUAAUUUUCCCCACACAAAGCUUGCAGAAGUUAAGGGUUAGCAAAAUGGGGUUAAAGUUACUGGUGAAUACCACAUUUUUCCAGGUGGCAGAAUUGAAUUUGAGAAUGGUGCUCUUCAUUACAUUGACUUCAUUCUGAAGGUGAGCAUUUUUCAUUUAUCAUUUUAUGUCUGUUGUUAGCUUCAAUUAAUAUGUGGCUUAUUCUUUUCUUUGUAUGAACCAUGGGCGGUCCAUUUCAUUUUAUAAGCUAUUUCUUGGGUUUUAGCAAGACAAAUAAUAAGAUUUGUGCUGUUUUUGUUUUAUGCGUCUAUAUAAAUUGUGUGCGCGCAUAUCAUACUAGGGGAGUAUUGCUUUAAUGCUAUAUACAGUCAAGGACACACGGUGGGUCACAUUCUGACUCGUUUCAAUGCUUCUUUUAUAAAUAUUUACUUGUAUAUAUUUUGUAGUACUUUUAGAGAUGUACUCUGCACUGGAUUUUUUAAGUGCUUUUAAUGUAGCCUACUGUCUUUGUCUUUAUCUCUCUUUUUGUGAAACUGAAAGGUUCAUAUAAUUUUUUAGAAACCAGUAAUCUUACAAAAAAUUUUAACCUGUUAAUUAAUGCGGUUUCAUUAUCUUGAAAAAUUUUCAAGCGUGCUUGCUUUUUUCUUUUCUUUCUUUUGAAAUAAUUGUUGAUAUUCCCCUUCUCUUCUAUCAAGUUUCUGAUUCUCUAAAGCCCACAUUAUUUUUGUCUUUCUUUAUACAGGCCUUUAUCAUUUAUUGGCCAGCACCCUUUCCUCGGUUUUAUAUAAGAAUGUAAUUUCGCCGGAAUCUGCCAAAAACCGUGUACUAUUGUCAACAACAAAUCAGAAUUCCAUCUCCACCUCCUGACAAACCAUGCGUCACCACCUGCUUAGGAAUCCGAAGCCUUUGCUGGUGUUGAUAGUAUGUUCUCUCUCUAUCUCUGUUUUUUCCUCAGUUGAGCAUUUAAAACAACAUCAUACUCAUCAUAUACCCUGUUUGGAUUCCUUGAAAUAAUAUUUUUUUUAAUUUUUAUUGUUAUUUUGAAUUGUUUUCUACAUAUUUUGAAUCAGAGUUGUUUGAGUAAAAUUUAAAUAUCAAUAUUACCGAUACGUGCCUAAUCUCAACUUCUUACCUUAAUAGCUUACUCACCUGUGCUUUUUUUUUCUCCCCCCUUUUAAGAAUUCAAAAGCUAUAUUAUGGAUUUUUGUUUUUGUUGUUUAUUGUCAUGAAGUAGGAGUGGGCAGAAAAUUGAAGAACUGUAUCAGAUUCCGUUUGAUAUUUGAUUCGGUUGUGCAAUAACCUAAAUUGGACAGUUUCAUUUCGGUUGGGAUGAAUGAAAACCGAAACCGAACCAAUAAUAAAAUUAACAAGCAAACCAAAUGAAAGUCCCAAAACAGUAACAAAACAAACACGUUGUGGUUUCUUAUCAAAUUUCACAGCACGACAUGGUCAUUCUCUUUGGUAAAAAAAUAGAAAAAAGAAUAAUGGGUCUCGAAAAUUUUUUAGAGCAUUUCUGUCGCUUACAUUUUUUUUCCAUCGAUUAAUGUUAGUUGUAGGUGAAUGAUUGUUGCAAAUGCAUGUUAGCUUGUGAUUGAUUGAAAAUGGCUUGUGAUUUGUUAUGCUGCCGUGUGACAGAUUGAAAAUGGCUCUGAAAUUUUUUUAUUUGUUUAAGGUAUUACUGCUGAUUAUUGAACAGAGAUUCAUGCUAGAUUUUGUUAAAUUGAAGAUGAGAUUUUUUUUAGGAGAUCUGCAAAACCUUCUCUACUAUAGAUUUGGCUUCUAGCAUACCUGGUUGGCUGGAAAUAAUUGUUUAUACAGUCAUUGCUGCCUAUAUUAAUCAGGAAUAUUGAUUAGCAAUGUACUGGGUUAGAGAUUGGUAUAAUUUUGGAAAAUUAGUUGUAGAUGCAACUAGGGGUGGCAAUAUGGGUCAGGAUUUGUUUAUUCGAUUCGAUUUGAUGCGAAUUAAAUGGGUUUGGGUUUGAAAAAAUUGAUUCGUUUAAUAAAUGGGUGAAUUCGAUUUGAUUCGCUAAUUAAACGAAUCGAAUGCGGGUUUGAAGAUUUUGAUUCGUUUAUUCGUUUAGGAUUCGUUUAAUAAACGGGUCAUAAACGAAUCGAAUAUAGGUCGAUUCGUUUAAAAUUUAUUUAUUAUUUGUUUAAUUAAAUUACUUUUUAUCCUUAAAUUUAUUUAAAAACUUUUUAAAAUAUCAAGGUUAAUAUUGUAAUUUUAAGCAUAACUCAUAAAGCCAAAAGAUCAACCCUAAUUUUACACUUCAUUUCCAUCUCCAAAUCCUUUUCUUUUUCUUUUUAAUUUUUGCAUCCAGCAAGUGCUACGUUUUGCCACUGCUCCAAAUCCUUGGAUUUGUGUGAGUGUGAUAAGUAAAAUUUUAUCUUGUUUAAUUAUUAUUUCCUUUAAAAUAUUACAAAUUUACUAUAUAUUUGAUAUUUUUGAAAUUUUACAAUGAUUAUUAUCAAUAUUGCAGUAUGUUAGAUUGUUAAUAACAUUUUAUUUACUUUUUGGUGUAGGAUUUUGUUUUCAAGGUGAAAAAGACAAAUGAAGAGAAUUAAAGAAAUUACCUUACUUUAUAAUUUGAAUUUGAAUUAUUAUUAUUUGUAUUAUUAGGGAUUUAUAAUUUGGUAUUUAGAUGACUGCAUAAUAUGGUUUGAGUUAUUUGUAUUUUGUUGUGGGAUGUUAAACUUGUGAUUUUUUUAUAUUUUAUUUUGCUUAAUUUUAUUUAUUAAUUAUAUUUUUCUAAACGAAUUGUAAACGAAUCCUGAUUCGGUUCGAUUCGUUAAGGAUAAACGAAUAAUAAACAAAUCCAGACUCGAUUCGAUUCGAUUCGUUUAUCAAUUAUUUUAAACGAAUUAAACGAAUCGAACCGAAUAUUCGUUUAAUAAACGAAUCGAAUCCGAAUCCUGAAAUUUCAAUUCGUUUAAUAAACGAAUCGAAUCCAAAUCCUCAUAAUUUUGACCCAAUUAGUUUACGAUUCGAUUCGUUUAUUCGUUUUGCCACCCCUAGAUGCAACCUGAUUAUGGUCUCAAAUAGUGUGAUCUGUCAAUUUUGUUUGCUCUGGCCUAAUAACCUUGAAUAUGAGCUAUGCCACUAUACAAAGUCUGACCUAAUCACACUUGUUAGCCAAUGUCCAAAAUUGCAGUGUCUUUAGAUAAGUCCUGUCUUUUUUGUUUGAGUUAUAAAUGAAAAUUGCAGUGUCUUUGGAAAAAUCACGCUGAAUGUUCAAGUUAUUGACGAGAGGAGACCCCCAGAUUCAAGGGCGGAGCUCCCUGUUAAGAAGCUUUACAUAUAUAGGAUUGUCGCCUGGCAGAGGAUUGAUAUGCCUGGUUUUGUUGUUUGGAAAUAUGGAUGAAGAUUUUGCAUUGAGGCUUUUUUGAUAGAUCAUUUGGCAAAUCAAGCUCCAUGUAUCUAUCUUCAGACUCUUGGAUAUUUAUAAAGCAGGUGCAUGCUCCAUAUGUUACUUAAUGUAUCACGAUUAUUUUUCUAUUGCUUAAUAUAUUUGCAGUCCUUGAUGAAGUUGAGGACAACUUAUGGAGGGUAUACAGAGGCUCAAGAGCUCGAUCGCCAUUCAUUUUACACUGGGCUGGGCUAUAGCAUACCAACUAGUGAUUAAUAAAGAGAAGGUAUGAAGGUCAUGUUGCUGGUGGUAGUAUCAAUCAGAAUUGUUAUUUUACUUAGUCAUACUUACCAUGUAUACUAAUCGUAGGCUUUUUUCAUUUUCAUGCAUUCGCAUCAUCUUCUGGUUAAGCUACAGAUGGUUGAUUUGUGUACUCAUUUGUAUCACUUGUAGCUCUUGAGGAAUAAAAUUUAAAAAUUAUGUUGCAUCUCUUGUACUAAAUAGUAAUUUUUGUUGGCUUUAUGUAUGGGAAAUGGUUUGUUGUCUUAUUUCUUUGAUGUGUAUGGUGUUACAUUGUCUAAAGUUAAGAAGUAUUUCUAUCACUUGUGUAAAAAACAACCUACUUUUUUCAUUCUUCUUAUAUUGAAUAAAAGAGGGACACCAAGAUUGAACGAAAUUUGAUUCAGAAAGCAUAGCAAUUAGGCCAGUGCAAAACAGCUUCCUUCUGAUUCUUUGAUAUUUGACUUAAAUCUUUUGUUUAUUUCAUUUAUCAAAGUCAUUUUGGAAAGUAACGGGGGUGAUUUGAUAUUUUAAUUGCAUUCACAUCCCUUGGCACCAAAACAAACAUGCUGGUACUAACCAAUAAUUUUUUAUUUUCAGUAUACAAAUUAUUUUUUUCUAAAUUAGGGGUAUUAAGAAAAGGUAUAUUAGCACCAGGGGAGGUAUUUGAGAAUACACAAAUAUAAUCUAUUAAACUAAGGUGGCAUUUGUUUUUUAAUUUAAUGACUUAAAGUGACUUAAUUAAUUAAGUUAAUUAGAGGUGUUUGUUUUAUAACUUAAUGAGAUUUUUUAGAUAAUUUAGACUUAAUAAAAUAAGUUAAUUUUUUUUGGCUUUUUUACUUAAUAGAGACAUUUGAAUUAAGUCAAUAACUUUCUAAUGUCAAAAAUAUCCUUGUUUUUAAUUUAUUCUUCAUGCCUAUUCCAAAAUUCACCCAUAGACAUUUAACUCCACAUAAUAAUCUCAUCAUUAUUUUUUUUAGCCGUCAUGAAAUCCCUCCUCACUUGAUAUCAACUCCUCGAGUAUUGAAGAUCAAAAUUACAUGCGAGAAUUUUGAGAUGAAAUGGCAAAUCAACUGUUUCAAGCAUUUUAUUAGUUUUUUUUUCUUAUAUUAUAUACGAUAAAAUUUGAAAUUUAUGAUAUUUUAUAUAUUAAAAUUUCAAAAUCAAUUAUGUAUUCACUUGAAUAUAAUUUUACUUAUAAACGUUAAAAUAUUGUGGUAUUUAAUAUAUUAUUUAUUUUGACAUUCAAAUUUAGUAAGGAUACAAAUGUAAAAGUACAUAUUUCAGUUUUUUAAGUUGAAAAAAACAUAAUUAUAUAAUUAUUUUUCAAGAUUCAAACGAAAAAACAAACAUAUUAUUCUGAUUCAGACAUUCAGAUCUAUUCAGAAUUCAGACUAAUUCAGGUCUAUUCAGAUUUUAAACAAAAAAUCAAACACCACCUAAGAAUAUGCCAAACUUCAGGGGAGGUUUCUGAUAAAUCUCUUUUUCUUUUUCCUCCAUUCACCAUAGGUUCAAUUUAGAAACUGUUGACCAAACGGAAGGUUUAGGUUGGUAAACGCACUAAGUGCCUGUUUGGUAUGGCUUAUUCAAGAGCCAUAAAUGCUUAUUUAAUCGCAUAAGCACUUUUUUAAAUUUUUAUGGUGUUUGGUUAUUUUUUUUAGUAGAGUUUUUUAGCUUAAAUAAGCUAAUUUACCUCUACUAGUAAAAGCCCAAAAUUUAAGCUUUUGGGAGUAGAGGUUAGAGAGCUUUUAAAAAAAUAUAUAUAAUAUAAAAAAAUAUCACACAUUUUAAUGGUUCAAAAGUGUUUUUUUUAUUGACAACCAAACACCUAAUGACUUUUUAUCCAAAAGCUCUAUGGUAUAAGCUCUACUGCUAUAAACUCUACUGUUAUAAGCUCUAUUUAAUAAGCUGUACAAACGGAGCCUAAGUGUUAAUGUCAACAACCCAAGGGGCUUCAUGGUCCUCUGGGCCGAAAUAAUUAUUAAUUCUCCUCUAGUGAAAAUCUUCAUCUUGGGACAAAUAAUUACAAAUUGACAUUAUAGCUGUGGAAAUUUGGAGGUGUAAUUACCGGAAAUUACAUCUAUUUCAAUUUGCUAAAAGUAAUGGUAUCAUUUCUUGUAUGGAAAAUGGAUGAUUAGAUUUUCUUUUUUGUUAUCCGACGAAGGAUAUUCAGUUGUUCUUUUUUGUUCAUAGGCAAGAGCAUGAGCAUAUGCAUAUUUAAUAUAUGCUUCUUGCAUUUUCUAAUUAAGUGCUCUCUUUCCUUGCCUUCUUAGUUUUGAAAGAAAGUUGUGAAGCAAAGCAAACCCAGUGAAAUACACAGAGCAACAGAACCAUCAGAGGAAAAACUAAAUAACAGAACUACAAUUGAACCAAACAAAAUCAAUAAACCGAGGCAACAGAUGCCCUGAAUCAGGCAUCCCUUUUUCUCCAAAGAAAAUAUUUUGCAUGGGUGGGAACCUAGUAAUUGUUGGGGAAAAAUUAGGUUUUUAAAUUUUUAUAAAACCUUUUGAAGAUCGCUCUCAUAUAAUAUAUAAGAAUUUGUAUUCUAGAAAUCGUACCUUGAAAAUUUGAGUUUGCUUUUUCCGCUGAAGUGAUUUAGGCUCCUAGAUCACGAUCCGCCACCACCACUCCUGUUAGAUCACGAUCCGUCACCACCACGCUUGUUAGAUCACGAACUGUCUCCAAUGAUUUUCCAGAUUAUGACUCAGGUUCGAUCUGCACUUGACGUGUGGGCGCCUUUAUCACUACCAAAGCAACUAGCACGAUAAAAUUUUCUCUCAACAAUAGAGAGAAAAAUCUUAUUCUCCGAUUUGUAUAAAGUGGCUUCUCUUAUUCUUUAGAGAAAAUAGCCUUUUAUAUCACCCUUUAGUGAAAACCUUAGGCUCCAAAUAAUGCCCUAAAUAAAUCACGUUACUUUCUUUUUCAAUAGGGGACCCACCUUGUAAAAUACAUAAGGCCCCUUAUACAAAAGCUAAUUAAAUGGAGCCUCCCACUAAAUGAUAUAUUUAGGCUUUUGACCCAAAUAGCUAGUUAUCUUACUUAUUAGUCCAGUAGUGGUGCAGUCAAUUAAAUGAGCUAACCCGGGGAUCAUUUGGGAACAUACAAUAGUGGCUACAAUAAUUAGGCCUGUAAUUAAACUAGCCCAAAUAUUUAAUUCCAAAUCUACUCCACUAAAAGAUUGGAACUGACUUCCAUAAUUGUAUGCUCGAAUAAUAAUUCGUCCCAAGCCACAUUGAUUUCUUUACUGCACAAUCCUUUGUACCACAUCGUUAAUUAAAUUGAUAUCUCAACUGUCCAAUCAAUUUAAUAACAUCUUAUUCCUUGAUCCUUACUGGUUUUCUAAUGAUCAUUUCAACAUACUAAAUAUGUUGACACACUCUGGCCAGAGAAUUCUAUGAUCAAGUGCCGAAAACCCAUCAAGAGAUGUAGAAACUGUUGACCAAACGGAAGGUUUAGGUUGGUAAACGCACUAAGUGCCUGUUUGGUAUGGCUUAUUCAAGAGCCAUAAAUGCUUAUUUAAUCGCAUAAGCACUUUUUUUAAAUUUUUAUGGUGUUUGGUUAUUUUUUUAGUAGAGUUUUUUAGCUUAAAUAAGCUAAUUUACCUCUACUAGUAAAAGCCCAAAAUUUAAGCUUUUGGGAGUAGAGGUUAGAGCUUUUAAAAAAUAUAUAUAAUAUAAAAAUAUCACACAUUUUUAAUGGUUCAAAAGUGUUUUUUUUAUUGACAACCAAACACCUAAUGACUUUAUCCAAAAGCUCUAUUGGUAUAAGCUCUACUGCUAUAAACUCUACUGUUAUAAGCUCUAUUUAAUAAGCUGUACCAAACGGAGCCUAAGUGUUAAUGUCAACAACCCAAGGGGCUUCAUGGUCCUCUGGGCCGAAAUAAUUAUUAAUCUCCUCUAGUGAAAAUCUUCAUCUUGGGACAAAUAAUUACAAAUUGACAUUAUAGCUGUGGAAAUUUGGAGGUGUAAUUACCGGAAAUUACAUCUAUUUCAAUUUGCUAAAAGUAAUGGUAUCAUUUCUUGUAUGGAAAAUGGAUGAUUAGAUUUUCUUUUUUGUUAUCCGACGAAGGAUAUUCAGUUGUUCUUUAUUUGUUCAUAGGCAAGAGCAUGAGCAUAUGCAUAUUUAAUAUAUGCUUCUUGCAUUUUCUAAUUAAGUGCUCUCUUUCCUUGCCUUCUUAGUUUUGAAAGAAAGUUGUGAAGCAAAGCAAACCCAGUGAAAUACACAGAGCAACAGAACCAUCAGAGGAAAAACUAAAUAACAGAACUACAAUUGAACCAAACAAAAUCAAAUAAACCGAGGCAACAGAUGCCCUGAAUCAGGCAUCCCUUUUUCUCCCAAAGAAAAUAUGUUUGCAUGGGUGGGAACCUAGUAAUUGUUGGGAAAAAUUAGGUUUUUAAAUUUUUAUAAAACCUUUUGAAGAUCGCUCUCAUAUAAUAUAUAAGAAUUUGUAUUCUAGAAAAUCGUACCUUGAAAAUUUGAGUUUGCUUUUCCGCUGAAGUGAUUUAGGCUCCUAGAUCACGAUCCGCCCACCACUCCUGUUAGAUCACGAUCCGUCACCACCACGCUUGUUAGAUCACGAACUGUCUCCAAUGAUUUUCCAGAUUAUGACUCAGGUUCGAUCUGCACUUGACGUGUGGGCGCCUUUAUCACUACCAAAGCAACUAGCACGAUAAAAUUUUUCUCUCAACAAUAGAGAGAAAAAUCUUAUUCUCCGAUUUGUAUAAAGUGGCUUCUCUUAUUCUUUAGAGAAAAUAAGCCUUUUAUAUCACCCUUUAGUGAAAACCUUAGGCUCCAAAUAAUGCCCUAAAUAAAACUCACGUUACUUUCUUUUUCAAUAGGGGACCCACCUUGUAAAAUAACAUAAGGCCCCUUAUACAAAAGCUAAUUAAAUGGAGCCUCCCACUAAAUGAUAUAUUUAGGCUUUUGACCCAAAUAGCUAGUUAUCUUACUUAUUAGUCCAGUAGUGGUGCAGUCAAUUAAAUGAGCUAACCCGGGGAUCAUUUGGGAACAUACAAUAGUGGCUACAAUAAUUAGGCCUGUAAUUAAACUAGCCCAAAUAUUUAAUUCCAAAUCUACUCCACUAAAAGAUUGGAACUGACUUCCAUAAUUGUAUGCUCGAAUAAUAAUUCGUCCCAAGCCACAUUGAUUUCUUUACUGCACAAUCCUUUGUACCACACGUUAAUUAAAUUGAUAUCUCAACUGUCCAAUCAAUUUAAUAACAUCUUAUUCCUUGAUCCUUACUGGUUUUCUCUAAUGAUCAUUUUCAACAUACUAAAUAUGUUGACACACUCUGGCCAGAGAAUUCUAUGAUCAAGUGCCGAAAACCCAUCAAGAGAUGUGUUGUACAAAUUCUAUAUUGUUAAUCCAUAACUCCAAUACUCAUAAUUGCUCCCACCAAGAUACCGGGUACUCUGACCACAAUGAUGUGUCGUGCCCAUUGGUAACUCAAAUGGAAUACAAUUACAAUCAUGAAAUCAUAAUUAACUCAAGAUUAAGAUUACAGUAAAAUCAACGCCUAUGAGAUUUAAUAAGUCUGACAGUUAUUACAAAGUUAAUUAAAUCUCAUAUGUGAUCCUGUUCAAUGUAGUCGUACUACAUCAAUAAAUUCAUACAUGAUUAAGACAAAUCAUUCAAUGAAUUUAUUACAGUCUAUACCUAAAUAAAGUGCCCAACUUUAUUUAUCAACUGCGAACUAAAUUUAUUUAAUCAUAAGAUAACUUGUAUUUAUGUCUUCUGUGAAUCCACAUGGUGAUCACAUAAAUACAUAUAAUAUGAUUAAAUGAACUUUUAAUACAAGUAUUAAUGCAAUUAAGAUAUUUGAAUAAAAUACCUCAUUUAUUUAUUAAUCAGAAAAAUUGUUUAUUACAAUUAAAUAAACACAUAUGCUUUAAAAGAGCAUAUUUUCCAACAAUCUCCCACUAGCUCUCAAAGCAUAUCUAGCAUAUUGCUCAUGCUCUAGGGCUCUAAGUGCAGGUUAUAAAGGUUUCCCACUAAUGGCCAUUGUAAUAAGAUCUGCCAUUUAGCAUCUAAUGCCAUUUGGGGUACUGUCAAGUGACCCUUCUGUCCACAUUUGUAACACUUGCCUUUUGGCUUGCCACUUCUUUUAAUGGACAGUUUGCCGAUCCCAACUCUUGCUUGCUCAUUCUUGUCUUUCGACUUAAGCCUUGAAGAGAAUCCUUUUUCAGGAAGUUUUCUGCUAUUAUAAAAUUCUUCUAUAGCAUGUAGUUCGUGCAUUAAUUCAAUUAAGGUCAUAUCUUUAUUGUUAAGAUAUAGCUGACCUUAAACUCUUUGAAUGUAUCAGGUAAAGAUUCAAUCACCAUGUUAAUCUUUGAUUUAUCAUUGAUUUGAACACCAUGAAUCUCUACCUCAUUCAAAUAGUCCAUCAUUUUGAGGACAUGAUCACGAACUUUUGUGCCCUCUUCCAUCUUAGUAUCCAUAAUACGUUUUAAUGCUGCUUCUCUGGCAAAAUGGGUAUUUUGCCCAAACAUCUGAUGAAGACUAGCCAUUAUUUCAGUGGCUGUUUCCAUGCUCCGAUGUUUCUUAUGCAGUUCCAUAGAAAUCGAAGCCAAUAUAUAGCGCUUAGCCAUUUUGUUAGCUUCGCACCAUUUCUCAUAAGGCUCCCUCUGAUUUCUAUAAUCGUAUAACGAUGGUUCAGGAGGGCAAGGCUGGGUCAACACAUAUUUGCUUCCUUUAGCAGUGAGAUAUUAAAUAGAUUGCGUUUCCAAUCUAAAUAAUUUUCGCCAGUGAGUUCAUUUUUAACAAGGAUAAAUAAUAAUGGGUUGAUGGAAGACAUUUUCUGAAAAAAAUAAAAUACACAUGCAUAAAUACUUUGAAACAAUAUUCACAAUAAAUGACAAAAAUGCAAAAAACCAUAAAUGCAUUUUAAUUUAUUGUAACGAUAAUCUAGUACCGCUUCGACAAGCUAUUCGUUGGGGAAGUCAUGUCUACACUUACUAGACCCAAUUAUCCAUUGGAUUAUUUCAUUUCACAUGAUAAAUAAUUAUCGUUAUCCCUUUGGACCUAAAUUUGUUAACAGAGCUUCGUUGGGAAGGUUAAUAACAAACUUUUAGUUGAGUGUAUAACCAUUGUUUCAAUCUACGUAUUUUUCAUAUCAAUAGUCACCGUUGGGGUGAACAAUCGAUUGAAAAAUAUUUCAAUUUUAUCUUUGAAGAAGUUCAUCAAAUAAAAUAUCUAAUAUAUAUACCCUCGAAGGAGCAUCACCGUAUCAUGAAGUCGAGGUAUAUAUAUAAUUUUAUUAUUGAACUAACAAUGGAGCCCGUGGGAAAAUUAUCUUGAAUUUUCCCUCUCCCACUCAAUAUUUUAAAAUUGGUUUUUCCUUUUUAAAACAUACAUAUUGUUAAUUGCAUGCUUCCUAUAAUAUUAUCUAGAUGAUAUCAAAUUAUUAAGCAUACGCAAAUUUCAAACAAUAUAAUGAAAUUCAUUAUUAAUGAAUGACAUGUAUCAUUAUGCAUAGAGUGGCACUACCUAUUCUAUAUGACAUGUUAUCAUGGCAUGUAAUCAUCCAAAACAUAACAUAUAGAAAAAAUAAUUAAAUAAUCUUAAUUCAUGGCUUUCCUAAUAAUGAAAAAUACAUUAACCCUAAGCCUAAUCUUCAUUGGGCUUCUUGUCAAUAUCCAUCUUCCAUAGCUUGUCUUUGUUGAUGGACUAGGGGAAAUUGAGCUUUUAAAUUUAUAAUUGGUCCAAUUUUAAUUUGGAAAGAAAAUAAAUAAUUAAAAUUAAAAUUUAUUAAAAUAAAACUUUUGGACCAAAAAUAAAUUUAAUAUAUUCAAUUUUAUCUAUGCAUUUUAAUCCAUUAAGCCCAAUUGAAAUUGGGCCUAAAACUAGGAUUCAUUAAGCCCAAAACUAUUUUUGGAUUUAAACGCAAAAAAUUAAAAAUGUUUCUGCCCAACUGAAAAAAUAUGAAACUAUAGGGACCUCCACGAUAAAAACCAUGAAACCCUAAAAUCACAUUUUCUUUUCCUCCUCUUCCCUAGCCGCCACCAGCACAAAAACCCAGCCGUUGUUUACUGUUUCCACACCGGACAGCCGUCAUCAACGCCGGAAAGACGCCAACCAAAACGCUCCGCGCCUUCAGCCCACGUUCACGCUGUUGCUUGGGUGCUGCAGCUGCUGCUCGCGCGCUGCGGUUGCUGCUGUGCAGCGCGCGCUGCAGCUGCUGCGUGUGUAGCUCGCGCUGCUAGCAGCGUGGCUGCUGGCCGCUGCGCGUGCAGCGCGCGCUGCUGGCAGCAUGUGCUACUGGCCGCGCGCUGCUCGCACAGCAGCUUGUGCUGCUGGCCGCUCGCUGCUGCGUGUGCUGGUUCGUUGCUGCAGUUUCCGGCCUCGAUUGUUUGCGCUCGUUUUCCAGUGAUGAUGCUUCGGUGAUUUACAAAUUUUCAACGCAAAUUUUUGCUUACAAAAUUUCAAUUACAGUAAAAUAAAUCAAGAGAGAAUUAUGGUGAUAAAAAACCACCCCUCUUGUUACAGAUCCAAACGAAAAAUACAAUAGAAAAUCUAACAAUGAAUUAACUGCGUUUACUUUUUGGAUUGGAGUGGGAAUCCUGAGGAAUGGGAAUCCUUGGAUUAGGAGUGUGGAGUGGGAGUGGGAGUAGGGUGUUUACUUAGACUAAAUGAAAGUAUGGAUUGUCAAUUAGAAUUCCAAUUAUUUGUUUACUUUGUCUUGGAUUGGGAGUAAAUUGUUUUAAAUUACAAUUUUAUCCUUAUGUACAGAAUUAUAAUUUGUAAUUAAAAAUUAAUAAAAAAUAUAUUUGGAAAAUAAAUAAAUAUUUUAUUAUAUUUAUAAAUUAUUAAUAAUUACUAAUAUUCUUAAUUAUGUAAAUCAUAAUUUUUUAUUAAUUUUAAUUUAAAUUAUGUGAAUAAAAAUUAUUAAUAAUAGCAACACAAAUGGAAUAUUAUUAUUGAUAAUAUAGUACAAAAUUAAUAUUUUUAGAAUAAAAUAUUUAUUAUUAUUAAUAAAUAAAUAAUUAAUUAAUAUUUAUUAAAAUUAAUGUUUUUAUUAUUAAUUUAAAUAUAAUAUUAUUUAUUUUUAUUUAUUAAUUUUAUAAAAAAAAAUAUGAAUAUAUAUUUUUUAAUAAAUAUGAUAUUAUUUAUUUUAUGAAAUUUAUUUAUUUAUUAAAUAUUAUUUAUUUAUUAAAAUAUUAUUUAUUUAUUUUAAUUUUAUAAGGAUAAAAUGGGAAGAGGGGGAGUGGAUUCCCACUCCCUCCCCCAAUGGGAGUGGGAAUCCCACUCCCCACUCCAAAUUUAGGUGGGACCCGGAUUCCCACUCCCACUCUCCCUAUUUUUAAAGUAAGUAAACACUGGAGUGGGAGGAAUCCACACUCCACACUCCCACUCCAGAAAGUAAACACUACCUUAAGACAAACCAUAAACAUGCUUUAUUCAUAUAUUAAACAAAUAAUAUAUAUCUGAAUAAAUUGUGCCACUCUAAUACAUAAAUUUCAAGAUUAAUUUCAUACGAAAUUCUUAUUUAUUAAUAUGAGAUGGCUCUGAUACCAAUUGUUAGGGAAAAAUUAGGUUUUUAAAUUUUUAUAAAACCUUUUGAAGAUCGCUCUCAUAUAAUAUAUAAGAAUUUGUAUUCUAGAAAUCGUACCUUGAAAAUCUGAGUUUGCUUUUUCCGCUGAAGUGAUUUAGGCUCCUAGAUCACGAUCUGCCACCACCACUCCUGUUAGAUCACGAUCCGUCACCACCACGCUUGUUAGAUCACGAACUGUCUCCAAUGAUUCCAGGUUAUGACUCAGGUUCGAUCUGCACUUGACGUGUGGGCGCCUUUAUCACUACCAAAGCAACUAGCACGAGAAAAUUUUUCUCUCAACAAUAGAGAAAAAAAUCUUAUUCUCCGAUUUGUAUAAAAUGGUUUCUCUUAUUCUUUAGAGAAAAUAAGCCUUUUAUAUCACCCUUUAGUGAAAACCUUAGGCUCCAAAUAAUGCCCUAAAUAAACUCACGUUACUUUCUUUUUCAAUAGGGGACCCACCUUGUAAAAUAACAUAAGGCCCCUUAUACAAAAGCUAAUUAAAUGGAGCCUCCCACUAAAUGAUAUAUUUAGGCUUUUGACCCAAAUAGCUAGUUAUCUUACUUAGUCCAGUAGUGGUGCAGUCAAUUAAAUGAGCUAACCCGGGGAUCAUUUGGGAACAUACAAUAGUGGCUACAAUAAUUAGGCCUGUAAUUAAACUAGCCCAAAUAUUUAAUUCCAAAUCUACUCCACUAAAAGAUUGGAACUGACUUCCAUAAUUGUAUGCUCGAAUAAUAAUUCGUCCCAAGCCACAUUGAUUUCUUUACUGCACAAUCCUUUGUACCACAUCGUUAAUUAAAUUGACAUCUCAACUGUCCAAUCAAUUUAAUAACAUCUUAUUCCUUGAUCCUUACUGGUUUUCUCUAAUGAUCAUUUUCAACAUACUAAAUAUGUUGACACACUCUGGCCAGAGAAUUCUAUGAUCAAGUGCCGAAAACCCAUCAAGAGAUGUGUUGUACAAAUUCUAUAUUGUUAAUCCAUAACUCCAAUAUAUAAAGUACUAGAUGUUUUACUGAGAAAAUGACUAGAUCAUUUACCAAAUUUCUUGCGCAUAUAUACGUAUGUAUACAGAAAUGGGAAUCAAUGAUUAUAAGACCUUGCAAUGAGACAAUAAUACAUCAUCAAAUCUAAAAAUACACAAGAAAUUCGGGACAUAUAUAUAACAAAGACCUCUCAUUGAGUCAUACAUAUUGAGAAUAAAAUGUCAAAAUGCAUACAAAGAGCUUAUACAGAAAAUGAAUUUACACAUAUUUAGAAUAAAUUGUCUUUGAACUUUUGAUGGUCAAAUAAAGGAAACAGACAGGAUAUAACACACACUAUCAUAGAUGUAGCGACACGGUGAAGUAAAUCAUGAAGAUGGAAACGGAAACCCUUCACAAUAUAAAAUUUGAAUAGAGGGGGGAAAAAAGGCUUCAUUUGGAAUGUUGCACAGAAGAAGAGUGACUUGAAUCUCCAUCAGUAUCCAGACAUUCUACAACACAGUGCUGAGAAUUUUAACAAGAAUAACAGACAAAAUAUUGUGCUUCUAUACUUGUCACAAAACUAGACCAAAUUAGUUCCCUUUUGGUUUGUGAAAACUUGAUAUUUUUGAAAAUUCUAUCCAAUGCUUUUAAACAAUAUUUCCAUAAUAUAGUUGUUCAUAGCUAACCUUUGAUGGUUUAAGCAUUUGUUGUAGGCAUGACGGGCUGAUUAGAUUAUUAUUUUUUUUAUCCGAUGAAUGAUAUUCAGCUGUUCUUAAUUAUGUGUUAAUAGGCAAGAGCAUUUUCUUAAGUACUUUCGUUGCCUUCCAAGUUUCCAAUGAACAAACAGAGCACAAACAAAUUUAACGAAACAAACAGAGCAUUUUCUUCAGUGUGCUUUCUUGAGACAUUUUGAUUUAGUCUCAUUAUGAUUAAAAAAGGAAGCUCGCUUCUCGAGACAUUUUGCUAUAGUCUCAUUAUGGUUAUAAAGAAGCGAUGGUCUAGGAGACAUAUUGUUUUCGUCUCAUUUUGCUAGACAUCUGGACUUUAUGGAAAUGAGCAUGUUGAUCACAUUGUCAUGUUAUUUCCAUAAUUAUACUUGUAUACUACUACAUGGUCACGUGUUUAUAAGUGUCUUGUUAUAUGGAGCAUCCUGUCGGUGCACAUAUGAUUUGAUAUUUAUGGCACAUUUUGGACUUGUUUAUGUUCUGGGUGAUUGCUUGUAUUUGACCUUUUGUUAUAGUCACAUAUUGAUUAAUUCGGUUGUUUUCAAAAUAUUAUUUUAUUUUAAAUUUAUCAUUGGAGUGAUUUCUGUCGUCCAAGUGGGAGAUUGUUAGAUUUAUUUCUCAUAUUAUGUGGACUGACAUAAAUCAUUCUAAUUGUUUUCUAUAUUUUACCGAAUUAAUACGUGACUAUUGUCAAAUAUUAUGGAGCAAUUUUGACAUACCUUGUACAGUAGUAUAUUAUGGACAAGUAUAUCCUUAAUUGUGUUAUUUUCGCCCAUAAUGGGAUGGGCAAUUUUGUACUAACACAUGAGGGGUCCCUGCGCUCAACCACUGUAUUUAAGUAACUUCAGCCCAUUGGAAGUUAACUGUUCAAGAAAUCUGUGGCAUGAGUGCAGUGCAUCUCUCUCUCCGUUUGUCUCCCGUGUGUGUGCACAGUAAAUUUUGAAGCAAGCCGAUCCUUGAGCUAAGGAAAAGAAAGCGGAAUUCAGAAGCUAAACCGAAGCAGCAGCAACUCUGUUGAAGCUCCAUAACAAGCUGCAAGCUUGGAUUCAUGGGAGAUCGUGGUAAAUUUCGAAAUUUACUACAAUAUGUGUUUAAUUUGGAAAUGCACGAUUAAAGGGCAUAAAGUAUGUUUUUGUUUCAUCAAUUGGUAUCAGAGCCCAUGGUUAUGCGUUUCCUUGUAAACCAUAGUUGUUUUGUUGAAGAAAUCUCACUCAUGGAAUUUUUUUUUUAUUUUCGGAUUUUUCGAAUUCUUCGAAUUUGGACAUAUUUCCUCAAACGGUUGUUAAAUAAUGCAUGAGUGAUGAUUUUGGAGCAAAGAUAUAAUUUUUUCGUGUUUUUUGGUGGCCAAAAUCGGGUUGGUAUGGAUGUGGAUGCUGUAAAUGUACUGUACAAUACUGUAGCAACAGCCCGAGGUUGAAGAUGAUGGGACAAUUUCAUUUGGAUCCCUAAAUUUUGUGAAUUGUCACUAUGGCCCAAAAUCUUUGCAAACUUUUCGAAAAGGUCCUUGACCGAGGGUCAACUAUGUAAAAGAUAAGUUGGUCCCUUGAAUUUUGGGAAAUUAUAGUAUGGCCCAACAGUUUAUUUUAUUUUAUUUACAGUUUGGGCCAAAAGUUUUAAUAGUUAAAACAGUAAAUAAUUCUGAAAAUUUUUCAUUUUAGUCCAAAAUCCUUUCAAUUUUGGCGAUUUUUCAGAAUUUAAAUUUUAAAAUAAUCCAUCAGUUAUUGAAUCUUAUGGGCAUAUCAUUUAUAUAUUUUAUUGAGGCAUGUAGAUAUUUUAUUUGAUUUAAUAUCUUGUUAAUUUCAUUUGACAAAAUUUAUUUAGCCUCAAUUUUGUUAAUAUACGAAAUAUAUAUAUGAUGCAAAACUACAAUUUAGAGUGAUUGUGUAUCUACUUAUCGUAGGACCAAUCAUGAUAAAUUAUUUGGUGGUUUGCAAUUGAUUGUCCAUUUACAAUUAUGAAUUAUGGAUUAUGUGAUGGAUUGUUAUUGUUUGACCAAGAUCCAUACGGGUGAUGAUACUGCCCUGUCGGCAAAUCACUACUUGGUACUUGGUAGGAUGCUUGGGAAGAUAAAGAGAUUUGUUGAGUAUUUUCUACUGAGUGGCUUAAUUACCCUGUCGGUAAUAGGUCAAUGUUGGUGUUAUAUUCAACUUGUCUGCUUUAUCUUUAGGUUAGUGCAUUCCUAUAUUGUUAAAGGAUGCCUAACAUAUUGUGUUGCUAUUGGAGAAACUUAGAAUGAGGAGCAAUUGAUUAUAGCAUGAUUUUAAUUUUUGCAUGCUUGAUAUUCUUUUGUUAUUGCUUCCUCAGCUCUAGAUAUUCUCUCCUUUCUCCAAGUAGCCUCCCUCAAGAAUUUAACUGGGACAAAUUUUGAGGACUGGCGUGAGUCCAUUUUGUUUUAUUUGUCUACACUGAAUAGAGACUUGGCAUUAAGAGUUGAUGAACCAGCCAAGCCCACAGAUAAGAGCACUGCUGCUGAAAAAGCAGAGUGGGCAGCUUGGGAUGAAUCCAAUAGACACUGUCUGGAUACAAUGAAAUACACCAUUGAUAGAACCACUAGAGAUAGCAUCCCUGCAUGUGAUAAGGCCAAAGAUUACUUGGCAGCUGUGGGAAGAACCUUUAAGAAGGUAGAUAAGGCAGAAAAGGGUAACUAUCUGAGGCUGCUUGCUAAUACCCAGUAUGAUGGUGUUUUCUGGGGUCAGAGAACACAUCCUUAAGAUGACUAGUUACCAUAAGAAGCUGAAGGACAUGGAUGUCACUUUGCCUGAUGACUACCUGGUCUUCCAAAUCCUUGAAUCUCUUCCACCACAAUUUGGCAAUUUGAGAAGCCAAUACAAUACUCAGAGAGACACUUGGAAUAUCACUGAGUUGACUGCUUAUGUGGUUCAGGAAGAGGAAUCAUUGAAGAAGGGGAAAUCUCACACUGUCAUGGUGGCAACUACUCAAGAGAGUGGAAGUGUGAAGAAAGGCUCUUCAAAGGGCAGCAAUAAGUUUUUUAAGAAGAAAAAGUUUGGCAAGAAAACUUCACGUGGUACUUCUUCUACCACUUCUGGUUCCACUUCUGAGAGCUUUAAGGGAAAGUGCCACUUUUGUAAGAAACCUGGGCACAAGAGAGCUGACUGCAGGGGAUUCAAAGCAUGGUUGGAAAAGAAAGGUAUUCCUGUAGCCUUUGUAGGCUUUGAAUCUAAUCUUAUUGAUGUUCCUUCUGAUACUUGGUGGUUGGAUACUGGUGCAACCAUUAAUAUAACGAAUUCCUUACAGGAAUUCAGAAGCAGGAGGGAGCCCAAUGAAGGGGAGUUGAUAGUUCACAUGGGCAAUGGAGUGACAGCCAAAGUUGAAAGCAUAGGAGUUGUCAGACUACAUCUAGCCACAGGCCAUGUUUUGGAUCUAUUAGAUACAGCUUAUAUUCCUUCUAUUAGGAGAAACUUGAUAUCUGUAUCUAUUUUGGAUAGAUGUGGCUAUACUUUUCAUUUUGGUGAUAGAAAAGUUUACUUAUUCCGCAAUUCAGAGUUAGUUGGUUCUGGCACUCUAUAUGAUGGCUUGUAUAUGAUUGAUUUAUUUUCUCGUGCUGUUGAAUCAUCAUCCAAUGCUCAUGUUAUGCAUGUUGUUAGCUCUAAUCGUGUUAGGGUUGAUGAAAAUUCCUCUAUGUUGUGGCAUAAACGGUUAGGUCACAUUUCUAAACAGAGGAUGAGAGGCUUAUUAAAGAUAUUCUACAUAAGUUGGAUUUCUCUGAUUUUGGCACUUGUGUUGAUUGUGUCAAAGGCAAACUUACUGCCAAAACCAGAAAAGAGAGAACUCAGAGGAGUCAACAGGUGCUGGAGUUGGUACAUACAGACAUUUGUGGGCCAUUUACUCCUAUUGCCAUUGGAGGUUAUAAGUACUUCAUCACGUUCAACGAUGACUUUUCUCGUUAUGGUCAUGUUGAACUUCUUGCUGAAAAGUCUAAAUCCUUAUCUGUGUUUCAAGCCUUUAAGGCUAAUGUUGAGCUCCAAAAGGGCAAGCAAAUUAAAGCAGUAAGGUCAGACAGAGGUGGUGAGUACUAUGGGCGAUAUGAUGAAACUGGGCGUAAUCCUGGACCUUUUGCUAAAUUUCUUCAGGAAUGUGGAAUAGAAGCCCAGUAUACAAUGCUCGGGACUCCUGAACAUAAUGGAAUUGCAGAAAGGAGAAAUCGUACCCUUCUUGACAUGGUGCGGUGUAUGCUGAGUAACUCCACCUUACCAGAUUUUCUGUGGGGUGAAGCCUUAAGAACUGCAGCUUACAUUUUGAAUCAGGUACCUAGUAAAUCGGUGCCCAAAAGUCCUUAGUUGUGGUCAGGAAAGAGACCGAGUCUUCGUCAUUUUCAUGUAUGGGAUGCAGAGCAGAAGUGAGGCCCUAUAAUCCACAAUCAAGGAAACUUGAUCCGAAAACAAUUAGUGGUCAUUUUAUUGGCUAUUGUAUCGGCUCAAGGGUUUCUAGAUUUUAUUGACCUUCCCACACUACUAGAAUCAUUGAGUCUGAUCGUGCCAUUUAUUUUGAGGAUGAUCACAAUGGUGGGAGUUCUGAGCCUCGCAGUCUGACAUUGAGAGAAGAACGUGUGGUUUUGCCUAUUCCAUCUUUUCCGACUUCUGCGAUGGGAUUACCACAUAUUGAUGAUUCUUCUGUUGAUCCUAAACUUCAUCAUAAUAUGGAGCCUAUGAUUGUAGAGGAUGAUGGUACUGAUGUGCCAUUGAGGAGAUCAGAGAGGAUCAGGAGACCUGCAAUUUCUGAUGAUUAUGUUGUUUACUUGCAGGAGCAUGAUUUUGAUGCUGACUCUUCAUCUGAUCCUAUUACCUUUCAAGAGGCCAUCAGUUGUUCAGAAUCAUCAUCUUGGAUACAUGCGAUGCAUGAUGAGAUGGCAUCUAUGUAUCAUAAUGAGGUUUGGGAUUUAGUUGAGUUACCAGAUGGAUGCAGACCAAUUGGUUGCAAAUGGGUUUUCAAAACCAAAAGAGAUGCCAGAGGUCAGGUAGAGAGGUAUAAGGCCAGGCUUUGUGGCUAAGGGUUUCAGUCAAAGAGAAGGCAUUGAUUACACUGAAACCUACUCUCCUGUUUCUACCAAGACUCUUUUCGUAUUAUCAUGGCAUUGGUAGCUCAUUUCAAUUUAGAAUUGCAUCAGAUGGAUGUGAAGACAGCUUUUCUUAAUGGGAGCUUGUCUGAAGAUGUAUACAUGGUGCAACCUGAUGGUUUUGUUGAGUCUGGUAUAGAAAACAUGGUGUGUAAGCUUAAAAGGUCCAUUUAUGGACUUAAGCAAGCAUCCAGACAGUGGUAUUUGAAAUUUCACGAUAUUGUCACCUCUUAUGGGUUCCAGGAGAAUGCCGUUGAUCAGUGUAUAUACUUGAGAGUCAGUGGGAGCAAGUAUAUCAUUUUGGUGCUUUAUGUGGAUGAUAUCUUGCUCGCUGCUAAUGACAGUAAUUUGUUACUUGAGACAAAGCAAAUGUUGUCAUGCAGCUUUGAUAUGAAGGAUCUUGGUGAAGCCCAUUAUGUAUUAGGGAUAGAGAUUCUUCAUGAUAGAUCUAGAGGAAUUCUAGGUUUGUCUCAAAAGACUUACAUUGAUCGCAUUUUGAAAAGGUUCAAUUUGCAGUCUUGUGCUCCUGGGAAAGCUCCAAUUUCGAAAGGUGACAAAAUUUCCAAGUCUCAAUGUCCCGAUAAUGAUGUAGACAAAGCUAGAAUACAAACAGUCCCGUAUGCAUCCGUUGUGGGUAGCUUGAUGUAUGCUCAAGUCUGUACUCGCCCUGAUAUUGCUUUCCAGUGGGAGUACUUGGAAGAUACCUGAGCAAUCCUGGAUUUGAACACUGGAAGGCUGCAAAGAAAGUACUCAGAUAUUUGCGAGCCACUAAAGAUUUUGUAUUGACAUAUCAGCAAUCUGACUUUUGAAUAUAGUUGGAUAUUCUGAUGCUGAUUUCGCAGGGUGCUUGGAAGACAAGAAAUCCACAUCUGGUUACAUCUUUAUGAUGGCAGAGGAGCUAUAUCGGAAAGUGUCAAGCAGACACUUAUAGCUUCUUCAACAAUGGAAGCAGAAUAUGUAGCAUGCUUUGAGGCUACACGUCAUGCUUUAUGGAUGCAAAAUUUUAUCACAGGGCUAGAUUGUAUAGUGGCCGUACCGAGGCCAUUAAAGAUAUACUGUGAUAAUUCUGCUGCUGUUUCUUUUUUCACAAUACAGGGAGUUCCUCACGUUCCAAGCACAUUGAUAUUAAAUACUUGUUUGUGAGAGAGAAAAUUGCUCUAUCUUGUGUAUCAGUAGAGUAUAUCCCUACAGAACUCAUGUUAGCCGAUCCACUUAUUAAAGCUUUAGCUCCAAAAGUAUUAGGGAGCAUGUAACGCAUAUGGAUUAUUUGAAUCCACUUAUAUAUGCUGAGUCAGUGGGAGUUCUGGUUGUAUUAUGAGUUGCAACUUAAAUGAGCUUAUGUAUUACUCAUUUUGUUAUCAUGCAUGCAUGUUGUUAUGUGAUAUUGAUAUGCCAUAUAUUGUGUACACAUUUGGCUGCGUAUGGCAUUAUGUAUAGAAUGAGGAUACGAUGGUCCGAGACAUUUUGCUCAGUCUCAAUAUGGACAUUAAAGACUGAAGCAUUAUGAUUUUCUUCAGUGUGCUUUCUUGAGACAUUUUGAUUUAGUCUCAUUAUGAUUAAAAAGGAAGCUCGCUUCUCGAGACAUUUUGCUAUAGUCUCAUUAUGGUUAUAAAGAAGCGAUGGUCUAGGAGACAUAUUGUUUUCGUCUCAUUUUGCUAGACAUCUGGACUUUAUGGAAAUGAGCAUGUUGAUCACAUUGUCAUGUUAUUUCCAUAAUUAUACUUGUAUACUACUACAUGGUCACGUGUUUAUAAGUGUCUUGUUAUAUGGAGCAUCCUGUCGGUGCACAUAUGAUUUGAUAUUUAUGGCACAUUUGGACUUGUUUAUGUUCUGGGUGAUUGCUUGUAUUUGACCUUUUGUUAUAGUCACAUAUUGAUUAAUUCGGUUGUUUUCAAAAUAUUAUUUUAUUUUAAAUUUAUCAUUGGAGUGAUUUCUGUCGUCCAAGUGGAGAUUGUUAGAUUUAUUCUCAUAUUAUGUGGACUGACAUAAAUCAUUCUAAUUGUUUUCUAUAUUUUACCGAAUUAAUACGUGACUAUUGUCAAAUAUAUGGAGCAAUUUUGACAUACCUUGUACAGUAGUAUAUUAUGGACAAGUAUAUCCUUAAUUGUGUUAUUUUCGCCCAUAAUGGGAUGGGCAAUUUUGUACUAACACAUGAGGGGUCCCUGCGCUCAACCUGUAUUUAAGUAACUUCAGCCCAUUGGAAGUUAACUGUUCAAGAAAUCUGUGGCAUGAGUGCAGUGCAUCUCUCUCUCCCGUUUGUCUCCCGUGUGUGUGCACAGUAAAUUUUGAAGCAAGCCGAUCCUUGAGCUAAGGAAAAGAAAGCGGAAUUCAGAAGCUAAACCGAAGCAGCAGCAACUCUGUUGAAGCUCCAUAACAAGCUGCAAGCUUGGAUUCAUGGGAGAUCGUGGUAAAUUUCGAAAUUUACUACAAUAUGUGUUUAAUUUGGAAAUGCACGAUUAAAGGGCAUAAAGUAUGUUUUUGUUUCAUCAAUUGGUAUCAGAGCCCAUGGUUAUGCGUUUCCUUGUAAACCAUAGUUGUUUUGUUGAAGAAAUCUCACUCAUGGAAUUUUUUUUUUUUUCGGAUUUUUCGAAUCUUCGAAUUUGGACAUAUUUCCUCAAACGGUUGUUAAAUAAUGCAUGAGUGAUNUAUUCUAUAUGACAUGUUAUCAUGGCAUGUAAUCAUCCAAAACAUAACAUAUAGAAAAAAUAAUUAAAUAAUCUUAAUUCAUGGCUUUCCUAAUAAUGAAAAAUACAUUAACCCUAAGCCUAAUCUUCAUUGGGCUUCUUGUCAAUAUCCAUCUUCCAUAGCUUGUCUUUGUUGAUGGACUAGGGGAAAUUGAGCUUUUAAAUUUAUAAUUGGUCCAAUUUUAAUUUGGAAAGAAAAUAAAUAAUUAAAAUUAAAAUUUAUUAAAAUAAAACUUUUGGACCAAAAAUAAAUUUAAUAUAUUCAAUUUUAUCUAUGCAUUUUAAUCCAUUAAGCCCAAUUGAAAUUGGGCCUAAAACUAGGAUUCAUUAAGCCCAAAACUAUUUUUGGAUUUAAACGCAAAAAAUUAAAAAUGUUUCUGCCCAACUGAAAAAAUAUGAAACUAUAGGGACCUCCACGAUAAAAACCAUGAAACCCUAAAAUCACAUUUUUCUUUUCCUCCUCUUCCCUAGCCGCCACCAGCACAAAAACCCAGCCGUUGUUUACUGUUUCCACACCGGACAGCCGUCAUCAACGCCGGAAAGACGCCAACCAAAACGCUCCGCGCCUUCAGCCCACGUUCACGCUGUUGCUUGGGUGCUGCAGCUGCUGCUCGCGCGCUGCGGUUGCUGCUUGUGCAGCGCGCGCUGCAGCUGCUGCGUGUGUAGCUCGCGCUGCUAGCAGCGUGGCUGCUGGCCGCUGCGCGUGCAGCGCGCGCUGCUGGCAGCAUGUGCUACUGGCCGCGCGCUGCUCGCACAGCAGCUUGUGCUGCUGGCCGCUCGCUGCUGCGUGUGCUGGUUCGUUGCUGCAGUUUCCGGCCUCGAUUGUUUGCGCUCGUUUUCCAGUGAUGAUGCUUCGGUGAUUUACAAAUUUUCAACGCAAAUUUUUGCUUACAAAAUUUCAAUUACAGUAAAAUAAAUCAAGAGAGAAUUAUGGUGAUAAAAAACCACCCCUCUUGUUACAGAUCCAAACGAAAAAUACAAUAGAAAAUCUAACAAUGAAUUAACUGCGUUUACUUUUGGAUUGGAGUGGGAAUCCUGAGGAAUGGGAAUCCUUGGAUUAGGAGUGUGGAGUGGGAGUGGGAGUAGGGGUUUACUUAGACUAAAUGAAAGUAUGGAUUGUCAAUUAGAAUUCCAAUUAUUUGUUUACUUUGUCUUGGAUUGGGAAGUAAAAUUGUUUUAAAUUACAAUUUUAUCCUUAUGUACAGAAUUAUAAUUUGUAAUUAAAAAUUAAUAAAAAAUAUAUUUGGAAAAUAAAAAUAAAUAUUUUUAUUAUAUUAUAAAUUAUUAAUAAUUUACUAAUAUUCUUAAUUAUGUAAAUCAUAAUUUUUUAUUAAUUUUAAUUUAAAUUAUGUGAAUAAAAAUUAUUAAUAAUAGCAACACAAAUGGAAUAUUAUUAUUGAUAAUAUAGUACAAAAUUAAUAUUUUUAGAAUAAAUAUUUAUAUUAUUAAAUAAAUAAAUAAUUAAUUAAUAUUUAUUAAAAUUAAUGUUUUUAUAUUAUUAAUUUAAAUAUAAUAUUAUUUAUUUUUAUUUUAUUAAUUUUAAUAAAAUAAAUAUGAUAUAAUUAUUAUUUUUAAUAAAUAUGAUAUUAUUUAUUUUAUGAAAUAUUAUUUAUUUUAUUAAAUAUUAUUUAUUUUAUUAAUAUUAUUUAUUUAUUUUAAUUUUAUAAGGAUAAAAUGGGAAGAGGGGGGAGUGGAUUCCCACUCCCACCUCCCCCAAUGGGAGUGGGAAUCCCACUCCCCACUCCAAAUUUAGGUGGGACCCACGGAUUCCCACUCCCACUCUCCCUAUUUUAAAGUAAGUAAACACUGGAGUGGGAGGGAAUCCACACUCCACACUCCCACUCCAGAAAGUAAACACUACCUUAAGACAAACCAUAAACAUGCUUUAUUCAUAUAUUAAACAAAUAAUAUAUAUCUGAAUAAAUUGUGCCACUCUAAUACAUAAAUUUCAAGAUUAAUUUCAUACGAAAAUUCUUAUUUAUUAAUAUGAGAUGGCUCUGAUACCAAUUGUUAGGGAAAAAUUAGGUUUUUAAAUUUUUAUAAAACCUUUUGAAGAUCGCUCUCAUAUAAUAUAUUAAGAAUUUGUAUUCUAGAAAUCGUACCUUGAAAAUCUGAGUUUGCUUUUUCCGCUGAAGUUGAUUUAGGCUCCUAGAUCACGAUCUGCCACCACCACUCCUGUUAGAUCACGAUCCGUCACCACCACGCUUGUUAGAUCACGAACUGUCUCCAAUGAUCUUCCAGGUUAUGACUCAGGUUCGAUCUGCACUUGACGUGUGGGCGCCUUUAUCACUACCAAAGCAACUAGCACGAGAAAAUUUUUCUCUCAAACAAUAGAGAAAAAAAUCUUAUUCUCCGAUUUGUAUAAAAUGGUUUCUCUUAUUCUUUAGAGAAAAUAAGCCUUUUAUAUCACCCUUUAGUGAAAACCUUAGGCUCCAAAUAAUGCCCUAAAUAAAACUCACGUUACUUUCUUUUUCAAUAGGGGACCCACCUUGUAAAAUAACAUAAGGCCCCUUAUACAAAGCUAAUUAAAUGGAGCCUCCCACUAAAUGAUAUAUUUAGCUUUUGAACCCAAAUAGCUAGUUAUCUUACUUAUUAGUCCAGUAGUGGUGCAGUCAAUUAAAUGAGCUAACCCGGGGAUCAUUUGGGAACAUACAAUAGUGGCUACAAUAAUUAGGCCUGUAAUUAAACUAGCCCAAAUAUUUAAUUCCAAAUCUACUCCACUAAAAGAUUGGAACUGACUUCCAUAAUUGUAUGCUCGAAUAAUAAUUCGUCCCAAGCCACAUUGAUUUCUUUACUGCACAAUCCUUUGUACCACAUCGUUAAUUUAAAUUGACAUCUCAACUGUCCAAUCAAUUUAAUAACAUCUUAUUCCUUGAUCCUUACUGGUUUUCUCUAAUGAUCAUUUUCAACAUACUAAAUAUGUUGACACACUCUGGCCAGAGAAUUCUAUGAUCAAGUGCCGAAAACCCAUCAAGAGAUGUGUUGUACAAAUUCUAUAUUGUUAAUCCAUAACUCCAAUAUAUAAAGUACUAGAUGUUUACUGAGAAAAUGACUAGAUCAUUUACCAAAUUUCUUGCGCAUAUAUACGUAUGUAUACAAGAAAUGGGAAUCAAUGAUUAUAAGACCUUGCAAUGAGACAAUAAUACAUCAUCAAAUCUAAAAAUACACAAGAAAUUCGGACAUAUAUAUAACAAAAGACCUCUCAUUGAGUCAUACAUAUUGAGAAUAAAAUGUCAAAAUGCAUACAAAGAGCUUAUACAGAAAAUGAAUUUACACAUAUUUAGAAUAAAUUGUCUUUGAACUUUUGAUGGUCAAAUAAAGGAAAACAGACAGGAUAUAACACACACUAUCAUAGAUGUAGCGACACGGUGAAGUAAAAUCACAUGAAGAUGGAAACGGAAACCCUUCACAAUAUAAAAUUUGAAUAGAGGGGGGAAAAAAAGGCUUCAUUUGGAAUGUUGCACAGAAGAAAGAGUGACUUGAAUCUCCAUCAGUAUCCAGACAUUCUACAAACACAGUGCUGAGAAUUUUAACAAGAAUAACAGACAAAAUAUUGUGCUUCUAUACUUGUCACAAAACUAGACCAAAUUAGUUCCCUUUUUGGUUUGUGAAAAACUUGAUAUUUUUGAAAAUUCUAUCCAAUGCUUUUAAACAAUAUUUCCAUAAUAAUAGUUGUUCAUAGCUAACCUUUGAUGGUUUAAGCAUUUGUUGUAGCAUGACGGGCUGAUUAGAUUAUUAUUUUUUUUUAUCCGAUGAAUUGAUAUUCAGCUGUUCUUAAUUAUGUGUUAAUAGGCAAGAGCAUUUUCUUAAGUACUUUCGUUGCCUUCCAAGUUUCCAAUGAACAAACAGAGCACAAACAAAUUUAACGAAACAAACAGAAGCAUUUUCUUCAGUGUGCUUUCUUGAGACAUUUUGAUUUAGUCUCAUUAUGAUUAAAAAGGAAGCUCGCUUCUCGAGACAUUUUGCUAUAGUCUCAUUAUGGUUAUAAAGAAGCGAUGGUCUAGGAGACAUAUUGUUUUCGUCUCAUUUUGCUAGACAUCUGGACUUUAUGGAAAUGAGCAUGUUGAUCACAUUGUCAUGUUAUUUCCAUAAUUAUACUUGUAUACUACUACAUGGUCACGUGUUUAUAAGUGUCUUGUUAUAUGGAGCAUCCUGUCGGUGCACAUAUGAUUUGAUAUUUAUGGCACAUUUUGGACUUGUUUAUGUUCUGGGUGAUUGCUUUGUAUUUGACCUUUUGUUAUAGUCACAUAUUGAUUAAUUCGGUUGUUUUCAAAAUAUUAUUUUAUUUUAAAUUUAUCAUUGGAGUGAUUUCUGUCGUCCAAGUGGGAGAUUGUUAGAUUUAUUUCUCAUAUUAUGUGGACUGACAUAAAUCAUUCUAAUUGUUUUCUAUAUUUUACCGAAUUAAUACGUGACUAUUGUCAAAUAUUAUGGAGCAAUUUGACAUACCUUGUACAGUAGUAUAUUAUGGACAAGUAUAUCCUUAAUUGUGUUAUUUUCGCCCAUAAUGGGAUGGGCAAUUUUGUACUAACACAUGAGGGGUCCCUGCGCUCAACCACUGUAUUUAAGUAACUUCAGCCCAUUGGAAGUUAACUGUUCAAGAAAUCUGUGGCAUGAGUGCAGUGCAUCUCUCUCUCCCGUUUGUCUCCCGUGUGUGUGCACAGUAAAUUUUGAAGCAAGCCGAUCCUUGAGCUAAGGAAAAGAAAGCGGAAUUCAGAAGCUAAACCGAAGCAGCAGCAACUCUGUUGAAGCUCCAUAACAAGCUGCAAGCUUGGAUUCAUGGGAGAUCGUGGUAAAUUUCGAAAUUUACUACAAUAUGUGUUUAAUUUGGAAAUGCACGAUUAAAGGGCAUAAAGUAUGUUUUUGUUUCAUCAAUUGGUAUCAGAGCCCAUGGUUAUGCGUUUCCUUGUAAACCAUAGUUGUUUUGUUUGAAGAAAUCUCACUCAUGGAAUUUUUUUUUUUAUUUUCGGAUUUUUCGAAUUCUUCGAAUUUGGACAUAUUUCCUCAAACGGUUGUUAAAUAAUGCAUGAGUGAUGAUUUUGGAGCAAAGAUAUAAUUUUUUUCGUGUUUUUUGGUGGCCAAAAUCGGGUUGGUAUGGAUGUGGAUGCUGUAAAUGUACUGUACAAUACUGUAGCAACAGCCCGAGGUUGAAGAUGAUGGGACAAUUUCAUUUGGAUCCCUAAAUUUUGUGAAUUGUCACUAUGGCCCAAAAUCUUUGCAAACUUUUCGAAAAGGUCCUUGACCGAGGGUCAACUAUGUAAAAGAUAAGUUGGUCCCUUGAAUUUUGGGAAAUUAUAGUAUGGCCCAACAGUUUAUUUUAUUUUAUUUACAGUUUGGGCCAAAAGUUUUAAUAGUUAAAACAGUAAACAUAAUUCUGAAAAUUUUUCAUUUUAGUCCAAAAUCCUUUCAAUUUUGGCGAUUUUUCAGAAUUUUUAAAUUUUAAAAUAAUCCAUCAGUUAUUGAAUCUUAUGGGCAUAUCAUUUAUAUAUUUUAUUGAGGCAUGUAGAUAUUUUAUUUGAUUUAAUAUCUUGUUAAUUUCAUUUGACAAAAUUUAUUUAGCCUCAAUUUUGUUAAUAUACGAAAUAUAUAUAUGAUGCAAAACUACAAUUUAGAGUGAUUGUGUAUCUACUUAUCGUAGGACCAAUCAUGAUAAAUUAUUUGGUGGUUUGCAAUUGAUUGUCCAUUUACAAUUAUGAAUUAUGGAUUAUGUGAUGGAUUGUUAUUGUUUUGACCAAGAUCCAUACGGGUGAUGAUACUGCCCUGUCGGCAAAUCACUACUUGGUACUUGGUAGGAUGCUUGGGAAGAUAAAGAGAUUUGUUGAGUAUUUUCUACUGAGUGGCUUAAUUACCCUGUCGGUAAUAGGUCAAUGUUGGUGUUAUAUUCAACUUGUCUGCUUUAUCUUUAGGUUAGUGCAUUCCUAUAUUGUUAAAGGAUGCCUAACAUAUUGUGUUGCUAUUGGAGAAACUUAGAAUGAGGAGCAAUUGAUUAUAGCAUGAUUUUAAUUUUUGCAUGCUUGAUAAUUCUUUUGUUAUUGCUUCCUCAGCUCUAGAUAUUCUCUCCUUUCUCCAAGUAGCCUCCCUCAAGAAUUUAACUGGGACAAAUUUUGAGGACUGGCGUGAGUCCAUUUUGUUUUAUUUGUCUACACUGAAUAGAGACUUGGCAUUAAGAGUUGAUGAACCAGCCAAGCCCACAGAUAAGAGCACUGCUGCUGAAAAAGCAGAGUGGGCAGCUUGGGAUGAAUCCAAUAGACACUGUCUGGAUACAAUGAAAUACACCAUUGAUAGAACCACUAGAGAUAGCAUCCCUGCAUGUGAUAAGGCCAAAGAUUACUUGGCAGCUGUGGGAAGAACCUUUAAGAAGGUAGAUAAGGCAGAAAAGGGUAACUAUCUGAGGCUGCUUGCUAAUACCCAGUAUGAUGGUGUUUCUGGGGUCAGAGAACACAUCCUUAAGAUGACUAGUUACCAUAAGAAGCUGAAGGACAUGGAUGUCACUUUGCCUGAUGACUACCUGGUCUUCCAAAUCCUUGAAUCUCUUCCACCACAAUUUGGCAAUUUGAGAAGCCAAUACAAUACUCAGAGAGACACUUGGAAUAUCACUGAGUUGACUGCUUAUGUGGUUCAGGAAGAGGAAUCAUUGAAGAAGGGGAAAUCUCACACUGUCAUGGUGGCAACUACUCAAGAGAGUGGAAGUGUGAAGAAAGGCUCUUCAAAGGGCAGCAAUAAGUUUUUUAAGAAGAAAAAGUUUGGCAAGAAAACUUCACGUGGUACUUCUUCUACCACUUCUGGUUCCACUUCUGAGAGCUUUAAGGGAAAGUGCCACUUUUGUAAGAAACCUGGGCACAAGAGAGCUGACUGCAGGGGAUUCAAAGCAUGGUUGGAAAAGAAAGGUAUUCCUGUAGCCUUUGUAGGCUUUGAAUCUAAUCUUAUUGAUGUUCCUUCUGAUACUUGGUGGUUGGAUACUGGUGCAACCAUUAAUAUAACGAAUUCCUUACAGGAAUUCAGAAGCAGGAGGGAGCCCAAUGAAGGGGAGUUGAUAGUUCACAUGGGCAAUGGAGUGACAGCCAAAGUUGAAAGCAUAGGAGUUGUCAGACUACAUCUAGCCACAGGCCAUGUUUUGGAUCUAUUAGAUACAGCUUAUAUUCCUUCUAUUAGGAGAAACUUGAUAUCUGUAUCUAUUUUGGAUAGAUGUGGCUAUACUUUUCAUUUUGGUGAUAGAAAAGUUUACUUAUUCCGCAAUUCAGAGUUAGUUGGUUCUGGCACUCUAUAUGAUGGCUUGUAUAUGAUUGAUUUAUUUUCUCGUGCUGUUGAAUCAUCAUCCAAUGCUCAUGUUAUGCAUGUUGUUAGCUCUAAUCGUGUUAGGGUUGAUGAAAAUUCCUCUAUGUUGUGGCAUAAACGGUUAGGUCACAUUUCUAAACAGAGGAUGGAGAGGCUUAUUAAAGAUAGCAUUCUACAUAAGUUGGAUUUCUCUGAUUUUGGCACUUGUGUUGAUUGUGUCAAAGGCAAACUUACUGCCAAAACCAGAAAAGAGAGAACUCAGAGGAGUCAACAGGUGCUGGAGUUGGUACAUACAGACAUUUGUGGGCCAUUUACUCCUAUUGCCAUUGGAGGUUAUAAGUACUUCAUCACGUUCAACGAUGACUUUUCUCGUUAUGGUCAUGUUGAACUUCUUGCUGAAAAGUCUAAAUCCUUAUCUGUGUUUCAAGCCUUUAAGGCUAAUGUUGAGCUCCAAAAGGGCAAGCAAAUUAAAGCAGUAAGGUCAGACAGAGGUGGUGAGUACUAUGGGCGAUAUGAUGAAACUGGGCGUAAUCCUGGACCUUUUGCUAAAUUUCUUCAGGAAUGUGGAAUAGAAGCCCAGUAUACAAUGCUCGGGACUCCUGAACAUAAUGGAAUUGCAGAAAGGAGAAAUCGUACCCUUCUUGACAUGGUGCGGUGUAUGCUGAGUAACUCCACCUUACCAGAUUUUCUGUGGGGUGAAGCCUUAAGAACUGCAGCUUACAUUUUGAAUCAGGUACCUAGUAAAUCGGUGCCCAAAAGUCCUUAUGAGUUGUGGUCAGGAAAGAGACCGAGUCUUCGUCAUUUUCAUGUAUGGGGAUGCAGAGCAGAAGUGAGGCCCUAUAAUCCACAAUCAAGGAAACUUGAUCCGAAAACAAUUAGUGGUCAUUUUAUUGGCUAUUGUAUCGGCUCAAGGGGUUCUAGAUUUUAUUGACCUUCCCACACUACUAGAAUCAUUGAGUCUGAUCGUGCCAUUUAUUUUGAGGAUGAUCACAAUGGUGGGAGUUCUGAGCCUCGCAGUCUGACAUUGAGAGAAGAACGUGUGGUUUUGCCUAUUCCAUCUUUUCCGACUUCUGCGAUGGGAUUACCACAUAUUGAUGAUUCUUCUGUUGAUCCUAAACUUCAUCAUAAUAUGGAGCCUAUGAUUGUAGAGGAUGAUGGUACUGAUGUGCCAUUGAGGAGAUCAGAGAGGAUCAGGAGACCUGCAAUUUCUGAUGAUUAUGUUGUUUACUUGCAGGAGCAUGAUUUUGAUGCUGACUCUUCAUCUGAUCCUAUUACCUUUCAAGAGGCCAUCAGUUGUUCAGAAUCAUCAUCUUGGAUACAUGCGAUGCAUGAUGAGAUGGCAUCUAUGUAUCAUAAUGAGGUUUGGGAUUUAGUUGAGUUACCAGAUGGAUGCAGACCAAUUGGUUGCAAAUGGGUUUUCAAAACCAAAAGAGAUGCCAGAGGUCAGGUAGAGAGGUAUAAGGCCAGGCUUGUGGCUAAGGGUUUCAGUCAAAGAGAAGGCAUUGAUUACACUGAAACCUACUCUCCUGUUUCUACCAAAGACUCUUUUCGUAUUAUCAUGGCAUUGGUAGCUCAUUUCAAUUUAGAAUUGCAUCAGAUGGAUGUGAAGACAGCUUUUCUUAAUGGGAGCUUGUCUGAAGAUGUAUACAUGGUGCAACCUGAUGGUUUUGUUGAGUCUGGUAUAGAAAACAUGGUGUGUAAGCUUAAAAGGUCCAUUUAUGGACUUAAGCAAGCAUCCAGACAGUGGUAUUUGAAAUUUCACGAUAUUGUCACCUCUUAUGGGUUCCAGGAGAAUGCCGUUGAUCAGUGUAUAUACUUGAGAGUCAGUGGGAGCAAGUAUAUCAUUUUGGUGCUUUAUGUGGAUGAUAUCUUGCUCGCUGCUAAUGACAGUAAUUUGUUACUUGAGACAAAGCAAAUGUUGUCAUGCAGCUUUGAUAUGAAGGAUCUUGGUGAAGCCCAUUAUGUAUUAGGGAUAGAGAUUCUUCAUGAUAGAUCUAGAGGAAUUCUAGGUUUGUCUCAAAAGACUUACAUUGAUCGCAUUUUGAAAAGGUUCAAUUUGCAGUCUUGUGCUCCUGGGAAAGCUCCAAUUUCGAAAGGUGACAAAAUUUCCAAGUCUCAAUGUCCCGAUAAUGAUGUAGACAAAGCUAGAAUACAAACAGUCCCGUAUGCAUCCGUUGUGGGUAGCUUGAUGUAUGCUCAAGUCUGUACUCGCCCUGAUAUUGCUUUUCCAGUGGGAGUACUUGGAAGAUACCUGAGCAAUCCUGGAUUUGAACACUGGAAGGCUGCAAAGAAAGUACUCAGAUAUUUGCGAGCCACUAAAGAUUUUGUAUUGACAUAUCAGCAAUCUGACUAUUUGAAUAUAGUUGGAUAUUCUGAUGCUGAUUUCGCAGGGUGCUUGGAAGACAAGAAAUCCACAUCUGGUUACAUCUUUAUGAUGGCAGGAGGAGCUAUAUCAUGGAAAAGUGUCAAGCAGACACUUAUAGCUUCUUCAACAAUGGAAGCAGAAUAUGUAGCAUGCUUUGAGGCUACACGUCAUGCUUUAUGGAUGCAAAAUUUUAUCACAGGGCUAGAUUGUAUAGUGGCCGUACCGAGGCCAUUAAAGAUAUACUGUGAUAAUUCUGCUGCUGUUUCUUUUUCUCACAAUACAGGGAGUUCCUCACGUUCCAAGCACAUUGAUAUUAAAUACUUGUUUGUGAGAGAGAAAAUUGCUCUAUCUUGUGUAUCAGUAGAGUAUAUCCCUACAGAACUCAUGUUAGCCGAUCCACUUAUUAAAGCUUUAGCUCCAAAAGUAUUUAGGGAGCAUGUAACGCAUAUGGGAUUAUUUGAAUCCACUUAUAUAUGCUGAGUCAGUGGGAGUUCUGGUUUGUAUUAUGAGUUGCAACUUAAAUGAGCUUAUGUAUUACUCAUUUUGUUAUCAUGCAUGCAUGUUGUUAUGUGAUAUUGAUAUGCCAUAUAUUGUGUACACAUUUGGCUGCGUAUGGCAUUAUGUAUAGAAUGAGGAUACGAUGGUCCGAGACAUUUUGCUCAGUCUCAAUAUGGACAUUAAAGACUGAAGCAUUAUGAUUUUCUUCAGUGUGCUUUCUUGAGACAUUUUGAUUUAGUCUCAUUAUGAUUAAAAAGGAAGCUCGCUUCUCGAGACAUUUUGCUAUAGUCUCAUUAUGGUUAUAAAGAAGCGAUGGUCUAGGAGACAUAUUGUUUUCGUCUCAUUUUGCUAGACAUCUGGACUUUAUGGAAAUGAGCAUGUUGAUCACAUUGUCAUGUUAUUUCCAUAAUUAUACUUGUAUACUACUACAUGGUCACGUGUUUAUAAGUGUCUUGUUAUAUGGAGCAUCCUGUCGGUGCACAUAUGAUUUGAUAUUUAUGGCACAUUUUGGACUUGUUUAUGUUCUGGGUGAUUGCUUGUAUUUGACCUUUUGUUAUAGUCACAUAUUGAUUAAUUCGGUUGUUUUCAAAAUAUUAUUUUAUUUUAAAUUUAUCAUUGGAGUGAUUUCUGUCGUCCAAGUGGGAGAUUGUUAGAUUUAUUUCUCAUAUUAUGUGGACUGACAUAAAUCAUUCUAAUUGUUUUCUAUAUUUUACCGAAUUAAUACGUGACUAUUGUCAAAUAUUAUGGAGCAAUUUUGACAUACCUUGUACAGUAGUAUAUUAUGGACAAGUAUAUCCUUAAUUGUGUUAUUUUCGCCCAUAAUGGGAUGGGCAAUUUUGUACUAACACAUGAGGGGUCCCUGCGCUCAACCACUGUAUUUAAGUAACUUCAGCCCAUUGGAAGUUAACUGUUCAAGAAAUCUGUGGCAUGAGUGCAGUGCAUCUCUCUCUCCCGUUUGUCUCCCGUGUGUGUGCACAGUAAAUUUUGAAGCAAGCCGAUCCUUGAGCUAAGGAAAAGAAAGCGGAAUUCAGAAGCUAAACCGAAGCAGCAGCAACUCUGUUGAAGCUCCAUAACAAGCUGCAAGCUUGGAUUCAUGGGAGAUCGUGGUAAAUUUCGAAAUUUACUACAAUAUGUGUUUAAUUUGGAAAUGCACGAUUAAAGGGCAUAAAGUAUGUUUUUGUUUCAUCAAUUGGUAUCAGAGCCCAUGGUUAUGCGUUUCCUUGUAAACCAUAGUUGUUUUGUUGAAGAAAUCUCACUCAUGGAAUUUUUUUUUUUAUUUUCGGAUUUUUCGAAUUCUUCGAAUUUGGACAUAUUUCCUCAAACGGUUGUUAAAUAAUGCAUGAGUGAUGAUUUUGGAGCAAAGAUAUAAUUUUUUCGUGUUUUUUGGUGGCCAAAAUCGGGUUGGUAUGGAUGUGGAUGCUGUAAAUGUACUGUACAAUACUGUAGCAACAGCCCGAGGUUGAAGAUGAUGGGACAAUUUCAUUUGGAUCCCUAAAUUUUGUGAAUUGUCACUAUGGCCCAAAAUCUUUGCAAACUUUUCGAAAAGGUCCUUGACCGAGGGUCAACUAUGUAAAAGAUAAGUUGGUCCCUUGAAUUUUGGGAAAUUAUAGUAUGGCCCAACAGUUUAUUUUAUUUUAUUUACAGUUUGGGCCAAAAGUUUUAAUAGUUAAAACAGUAAACAUAAUUCUGAAAAUUUUUCAUUUUAGUCCAAAAUCCUUUCAAUUUUGGCGAUUUUUCAGAAUUUUAAAUUUUAAAAUAAUCCAUCAGUUAUUGAAUCUUAUGGGCAUAUCAUUUAUAUAUUUUAUUGAGGCAUGUAGAUAUUUUAUUUGAUUUAAUAUCUUGUUAAUUUCAUUUGACAAAAUUUAUUUAGCCUCAAUUUUGUUAAUAUACGAAAUAUAUAUAUGAUGCAAAACUACAAUUUAGAGUGAUUGUGUAUCUACUUAUCGUAGGACCAAUCAUGAUAAAUUAUUUGGUGGUUUGCAAUUGAUUGUCCAUUUACAAUUAUGAAUUAUGGAUUAUGUGAUGGAUUGUUAUUGUUUUGACCAAGAUCCAUACGGGUGAUGAUACUGCCCUGUCGGCAAAUCACUACUUGGUACUUGGUAGGAUGCUUGGGAAGAUAAAGAGAUUUGUUGAGUAUUUUCUACUGAGUGGCUUAAUUACCCUGUCGGUAAUAGGUCAAUGUUGGUGUUAUAUUCAACUUGUCUGCUUUAUCUUUAGGUUAGUGCAUUCCUAUAUUGUUAAAGGAUGCCUAACAUAUUGUGUUGCUAUUGGAGAAACUUAGAAUGAGGAGCAAUUGAUUAUAGCAUGAUUUUAAUUUUUGCAUGCUUGAUAAUUCUUUUGUUAUUGCUUCCUCAGCUCUAGAUAUUCUCUCCUUUCUCCAAGUAGCCUCCCUCAAGAAUUUAACUGGGACAAAUUUUGAGGACUGGCGUGAGUCCAUUUUGUUUUAUUUGUCUACACUGAAUAGAGACUUGGCAUUAAGAGUUGAUGAACCAGCCAAGCCCACAGAUAAGAGCACUGCUGCUGAAAAAGCAGAGUGGGCAGCUUGGGAUGAAUCCAAUAGACACUGUCUGGAUACAAUGAAAUACACCAUUGAUAGAACCACUAGAGAUAGCAUCCCUGCAUGUGAUAAGGCCAAAGAUUACUUGGCAGCUGUGGGAAGAACCUUUAAGAAGGUAGAUAAGGCAGAAAAGGGUAACUAUCUGAGGCUGCUUGCUAAUACCCAGUAUGAUGGUGUUUCUGGGGUCAGAGAACACAUCCUUAAGAUGACUAGUUACCAUAAGAAGCUGAAGGACAUGGAUGUCACUUUGCCUGAUGACUACCUGGUCUUCCAAAUCCUUGAAUCUCUUCCACCACAAUUUGGCAAUUUGAGAAGCCAAUACAAUACUCAGAGAGACACUUGGAAUAUCACUGAGUUGACUGCUUAUGUGGUUCAGGAAGAGGAAUCAUUGAAGAAGGGGAAAUCUCACACUGUCAUGGUGGCAACUACUCAAGAGAGUGGAAGUGUGAAGAAAGGCUCUUCAAAGGGCAGCAAUAAGUUUUUUAAGAAGAAAAAGUUUGGCAAGAAAACUUCACGUGGUACUUCUUCUACCACUUCUGGUUCCACUUCUGAGAGCUUUAAGGGAAAGUGCCACUUUUGUAAGAAACCUGGGCACAAGAGAGCUGACUGCAGGGGAUUCAAAGCAUGGUUGGAAAAGAAAGGUAUUCCUGUAGCCUUUGUAGGCUUUGAAUCUAAUCUUAUUGAUGUUCCUUCUGAUACUUGGUGGUUGGAUACUGGUGCAACCAUUAAUAUAACGAAUUCCUUACAGGAAUUCAGAAGCAGGAGGGAGCCCAAUGAAGGGGAGUUGAUAGUUCACAUGGGCAAUGGAGUGACAGCCAAAGUUGAAAGCAUAGGAGUUGUCAGACUACAUCUAGCCACAGGCCAUGUUUUGGAUCUAUUAGAUACAGCUUAUAUUCCUUCUAUUAGGAGAAACUUGAUAUCUGUAUCUAUUUUGGAUAGAUGUGGCUAUACUUUUCAUUUUGGUGAUAGAAAAGUUUACUUAUUCCGCAAUUCAGAGUUAGUUGGUUCUGGCACUCUAUAUGAUGGCUUGUAUAUGAUUGAUUUAUUUUCUCGUGCUGUUGAAUCAUCAUCCAAUGCUCAUGUUAUGCAUGUUGUUAGCUCUAAUCGUGUUAGGGUUGAUGAAAAUUCCUCUAUGUUGUGGCAUAAACGGUUAGGUCACAUUUCUAAACAGAGGAUGGAGAGGCUUAUUAAAGAUAGCAUUCUACAUAAGUUGGAUUUCUCUGAUUUUGGCACUUGUGUUGAUUGUGUCAAAGGCAAACUUACUGCCAAAACCAGAAAAGAGAGAACUCAGAGGAGUCAACAGGUGCUGGAGUUGGUACAUACAGACAUUUGUGGGCCAUUUACUCCUAUUGCCAUUGGAGGUUAUAAGUACUUCAUCACGUUCAACGAUGACUUUUCUCGUUAUGGUCAUGUUGAACUUCUUGCUGAAAAGUCUAAAUCCUUAUCUGUGUUUCAAGCCUUUAAGGCUAAUGUUGAGCUCCAAAAGGGCAAGCAAAUUAAAGCAGUAAGGUCAGACAGAGGUGGUGAGUACUAUGGGCGAUAUGAUGAAACUGGGCGUAAUCCUGGACCUUUUGCUAAAUUUCUUCAGGAAUGUGGAAUAGAAGCCCAGUAUACAAUGCUCGGGACUCCUGAACAUAAUGGAAUUGCAGAAAGGAGAAAUCGUACCCUUCUUGACAUGGUGCGGUGUAUGCUGAGUAACUCCACCUUACCAGAUUUUCUGUGGGGUGAAGCCUUAAGAACUGCAGCUUACAUUUUGAAUCAGGUACCUAGUAAAUCGGUGCCCAAAAGUCCUUAUGAGUUGUGGUCAGGAAAGAGACCGAGUCUUCGUCAUUUUCAUGUAUGGGGAUGCAGAGCAGAAGUGAGGCCCUAUAAUCCACAAUCAAGGAAACUUGAUCCGAAAACAAUUAGUGGUCAUUUUAUUGGCUAUUGUAUCGGCUCAAGGGGUUCUAGAUUUUAUUGACCUUCCCACACUACUAGAAUCAUUGAGUCUGAUCGUGCCAUUUAUUUUGAGGAUGAUCACAAUGGUGGGAGUUCUGAGCCUCGCAGUCUGACAUUGAGAGAAGAACGUGUGGUUUUGCCUAUUCCAUCUUUUCCGACUUCUGCGAUGGGAUUACCACAUAUUGAUGAUUCUUCUGUUGAUCCUAAACUUCAUCAUAAUAUGGAGCCUAUGAUUGUAGAGGAUGAUGGUACUGAUGUGCCAUUGAGGAGAUCAGAGAGGAUCAGGAGACCUGCAAUUUCUGAUGAUUAUGUUGUUUACUUGCAGGAGCAUGAUUUUGAUGCUGACUCUUCAUCUGAUCCUAUUACCUUUCAAGAGGCCAUCAGUUGUUCAGAAUCAUCAUCUUGGAUACAUGCGAUGCAUGAUGAGAUGGCAUCUAUGUAUCAUAAUGAGGUUUGGGAUUUAGUUGAGUUACCAGAUGGAUGCAGACCAAUUGGUUGCAAAUGGGUUUUCAAAACCAAAAGAGAUGCCAGAGGUCAGGUAGAGAGGUAUAAGGCCAGGCUUGUGGCUAAGGGUUUCAGUCAAAGAGAAGGCAUUGAUUACACUGAAACCUACUCUCCUGUUUCUACCAAAGACUCUUUUCGUAUUAUCAUGGCAUUGGUAGCUCAUUUCAAUUUAGAAUUGCAUCAGAUGGAUGUGAAGACAGCUUUUCUUAAUGGGAGCUUGUCUGAAGAUGUAUACAUGGUGCAACCUGAUGGUUUUGUUGAGUCUGGUAUAGAAAACAUGGUGUGUAAGCUUAAAAGGUCCAUUUAUGGACUUAAGCAAGCAUCCAGACAGUGGUAUUUGAAAUUUCACGAUAUUGUCACCUCUUAUGGGUUCCAGGAGAAUGCCGUUGAUCAGUGUAUAUACUUGAGAGUCAGUGGGAGCAAGUAUAUCAUUUUGGUGCUUUAUGUGGAUGAUAUCUUGCUCGCUGCUAAUGACAGUAAUUUGUUACUUGAGACAAAGCAAAUGUUGUCAUGCAGCUUUGAUAUGAAGGAUCUUGGUGAAGCCCAUUAUGUAUUAGGGAUAGAGAUUCUUCAUGAUAGAUCUAGAGGAAUUCUAGGUUUGUCUCAAAAGACUUACAUUGAUCGCAUUUUGAAAAGGUUCAAUUUGCAGUCUUGUGCUCCUGGGAAAGCUCCAAUUUCGAAAGGUGACAAAAUUUCCAAGUCUCAAUGUCCCGAUAAUGAUGUAGACAAAGCUAGAAUACAAACAGUCCCGUAUGCAUCCGUUGUGGGUAGCUUGAUGUAUGCUCAAGUCUGUACUCGCCCUGAUAUUGCUUUUCCAGUGGGAGUACUUGGAAGAUACCUGAGCAAUCCUGGAUUUGAACACUGGAAGGCUGCAAAGAAAGUACUCAGAUAUUUGCGAGCCACUAAAGAUUUUGUAUUGACAUAUCAGCAAUCUGACUAUUUGAAUAUAGUUGGAUAUUCUGAUGCUGAUUUCGCAGGGUGCUUGGAAGACAAGAAAUCCACAUCUGGUUACAUCUUUAUGAUGGCAGGAGGAGCUAUAUCAUGGAAAAGUGUCAAGCAGACACUUAUAGCUUCUUCAACAAUGGAAGCAGAAUAUGUAGCAUGCUUUGAGGCUACACGUCAUGCUUUAUGGAUGCAAAAUUUUAUCACAGGGCUAGAUUGUAUAGUGGCCGUACCGAGGCCAUUAAAGAUAUACUGUGAUAAUUCUGCUGCUGUUUCUUUUUCUCACAAUACAGGGAGUUCCUCACGUUCCAAGCACAUUGAUAUUAAAUACUUGUUUGUGAGAGAGAAAAUUGCUCUAUCUUGUGUAUCAGUAGAGUAUAUCCCUACAGAACUCAUGUUAGCCGAUCCACUUAUUAAAGCUUUAGCUCCAAAAGUAUUUAGGGAGCAUGUAACGCAUAUGGGAUUAUUUGAAUCCACUUAUAUAUGCUGAGUCAGUGGGAGUUCUGGUUUGUAUUAUGAGUUGCAACUUAAAUGAGCUUAUGUAUUACUCAUUUUGUUAUCAUGCAUGCAUGUUGUUAUGUGAUAUUGAUAUGCCAUAUAUUGUGUACACAUUUGGCUGCGUAUGGCAUUAUGUAUAGAAUGAGGAUACGAUGGUCCGAGACAUUUUGCUCAGUCUCAAUAUGGACAUUAAAGACUGAAGCAUUAUGAUUUUCUUCAGUGUGCUUUCUUGAGACAUUUUGAUUUAGUCUCAUUAUGAUUAAAAAGGAAGCUCGCUUCUCGAGACAUUUUGCUAUAGUCUCAUUAUGGUUAUAAAGAAGCGAUGGUCUAGGAGACAUAUUGUUUUCGUCUCAUUUUGCUAGACAUCUGGACUUUAUGGAAAUGAGCAUGUUGAUCACAUUGUCAUGUUAUUUCCAUAAUUAUACUUGUAUACUACUACAUGGUCACGUGUUUAUAAGUGUCUUGUUAUAUGGAGCAUCCUGUCGGUGCACAUAUGAUUUGAUAUUUAUGGCACAUUUUGGACUUGUUUAUGUUCUGGGUGAUUGCUUGUAUUUGACCUUUUGUUAUAGUCACAUAUUGAUUAAUUCGGUUGUUUUCAAAAUAUUAUUUUAUUUUAAAUUUAUCAUUGGAGUGAUUUCUGUCGUCCAAGUGGGAGAUUGUUAGAUUUAUUUCUCAUAUUAUGUGGACUGACAUAAAUCAUUCUAAUUGUUUUCUAUAUUUUACCGAAUUAAUACGUGACUAUUGUCAAAUAUUAUGGAGCAAUUUUGACAUACCUUGUACAGUAGUAUAUUAUGGACAAGUAUAUCCUUAAUUGUGUUAUUUUCGCCCAUAAUGGGAUGGGCAAUUUUGUACUAACACAUGAGGGGUCCCUGCGCUCAACCACUGUAUUUAAGUAACUUCAGCCCAUUGGAAGUUAACUGUUCAAGAAAUCUGUGGCAUGAGUGCAGUGCAUCUCUCUCUCCCGUUUGUCUCCCGUGUGUGUGCACAGUAAAUUUUGAAGCAAGCCGAUCCUUGAGCUAAGGAAAAGAAAGCGGAAUUCAGAAGCUAAACCGAAGCAGCAGCAACUCUGUUGAAGCUCCAUAACAAGCUGCAAGCUUGGAUUCAUGGGAGAUCGUGGUAAAUUUCGAAAUUUACUACAAUAUGUGUUUAAUUUGGAAAUGCACGAUUAAAGGGCAUAAAGUGUGUUUUUGUUUCAUCAGGGAACUCUCAAAACAAAAUACUCAAAUUAAAUUAAAUUAGACCAAAAGACGCUCAAUGACGCAAAAUCUGCCCAUAAAAGCCUGAACGAAUCAUGAAAAGUGCAUUCCAUAUUGACAGUAAACCAAGUGACCCAUUCUAAACAAUUGAGAUGAAAUUGUGAAACAACCCACGAGAUCAAAUAAAUAAAAUAAGAAUUAAUUACCAGCUGGGACUUUCUUCUUCAAAUUCGUAACUCCAAGUCAUAAGAAGCCAAUGAAAUUAGUCGUAAUCCACAGAGUAUGACGACGACCCCGCCAACAGCUGAAAAUAAAAUUCUUAUUCAUCAAUUUAAACUAACUUUAUAACAAAUAUCUUAUCGAUAUUUUAUUUAAAAAGAAAAAGCAAAUUUUGUAAAAUUUUUCCAUGGGAGAUAGAGAGUAACACGUAUAUCCGUACCUUCUCAGCAUGUAAUUGUUGUAUGGUCGUGUUAAGAUCAUUACUAGCCCAACGCCGUUGAUUCGAUGUCUCUCCAUACCAGACGUUUACUCUUGGAGGCGUGCUUGAUUCUCCUCUAGUGAAAAUCUUCAAUUUGGGACAACCAAUCACAGAUAGAUCUUGCAAAGAUGGGAAUUUGAAGGUGUAAUUGGCAGAGCAGAAACUUGUGAGGCUGUCUAAAUCACGCAGUUCCAACCUCUUCAAUUUGCGGAAAACAAUCUCUUCUUUUUCAACCCCGUCUUUGUCAUUUAUUACCACCUCUGUCAUUGCUCUGCAUCCGUAUACACAAAGUGAUACGAGUCGCACUAGAGUUUUUGCUGUGGAGGAUGUUACUAAGUGUAUCAAUUUCUUGCAAUCGAAAGCUACAAGUUUUGUUAGGUUCCCAAAAGAUACCGAUGAUGUUGGCAAUAGAAUUAACAGACUUUGACAAUGAUAUACUCUUAGAAUUUCAAGAUACUGAAAAAUGGGGCCAAAUUUGGAGUCUUGUUUGCACAGCUGCUUCAGAUGAUAGUGCCGGUACAGCUCUAAUUCUUUUAUCAUUGCCAACUUCCCCACAUGUUUCUCUAAGCAUCCUUCCAUCGAAAAUACCUCUUCGUGGAAUGAAAAAUAACACAGUACGAGCAUUUCGAGAUUGUGAAAUCUCUCCAGUACAUUCCAGAUUGGAAAACAAGCUGAGUCAUCAGCAGCAAUCCCUAGAUCUCUAAGACUGCCAAAAAGGUGUUGUGGGAAAUCGGCCUGCAAAAUCAUCUUCACGUCUUUUCCGCAUAGUGAUAGUUCCGUCAAGUUGGGUAAGAUCUGAUCAUCAUCAAUCAUAAUAACUAAUAAGGUCAAUUGAUGUUUUCUCAAAUGAUUUUGAGUAAUCCAAUCAUAAGCAGUGAGUUUAUAGUAUUUGUUUUAUAUUAUAUUUUAAAAAAAAUUGUAUUAUUGAUAAAAUUUAUUAAAUGAUUUUUUAUAUGUUAAUUUUAGAGGUAAAAAAGAAAUUAGGGAAAAAAGGUUGAUUUAUACUGACUCGAAAUUAUUUUAUUGCACAAUAAUAAAUUACUAAUUUAUUUUGUAAGUUCUUCUAUAUGGAAAGACUCAAGAUUCUUUUACAAAUGCUAUACCUAAAAAAGUUUAUAUAAUCAUUAAUCUACCACAUUGAUCCCUUAGUCUAGACUAGCAAAGAUUAUUGUAUAAUAAAAGUUUUCAAAUUUAUUGAGCAUUAAUUUAUCAAAGUUAAAAAUAAGCUAUAGAUAAAAAAUCUAGAAAAUGGCUUCAUACCUUUUCCAACGGCAAUAGGGGCUGUUGUGCAGGAAUACCAAGUUGAUCAUUCCCAUUAUUCUGCGAUAAAUCUGCCGCGAAUAUCUUUAAUCUGUCACAACGAUACACUAAAAGAAUUUCUAGGGCGGGCCAUUCCGAAGUAUGCAUUCCAGGGUACAAACAUCUAAGUUUUGGUAGAUCAUGGAGUAUCAAAGUGGUGAGCUGUGGAAAGACAAAAUAAGGGAUCACUUGAUCUGCUCUGUUUUCAGAAAUGAUCUCCUGUAAAUCCUCACAGGAGCGUAUUUCUAGGCGUUGGAGCUGCUUAAGGCUUCCGAUCAUAGACGCUGAAAAUAUGUAUUUUAAUUUGUGACAACCCCACACAAUCAAUCGUGUUAAACUUUGAAAGUGAGGAAACACUGCAGCUGGAAUUUGAUUGUAGUGCCAAAUCUUGUCGACAUUAAUUUCAGAUAUCUCCAAAGCCUCCAAGUUAGGCAACGCAACCUAAAAAGAUAAGAAUUUCUUGUUGAAAAUUUCUCUUUGAUUACAAAUUAAUGCAAGUCAGAAUCAAUUUCCAACUGACAGCUGAGUAUGCAUUCUAAUUCAUACUACUUGUUAAGAGCUCAAUUAGUGAGUGCGUGAGAUUAUUUUUUUCCCCAUUGUUUUCAUUUUCUUUCAAUUCUCUAAAUGAUUUAAUUAUUUUCCACGUUUGACAUAAGAGAACGCAUGAUAGAAUAAACUCUGUUAUAUAUAUAUAUGAAUAAAAUGUUAGCCUACGCACCUUCUCAUUGAAAAGCAAAGUUGAAAUAUCCAAAGUGAUUUCGCUGGAGCAAUACAUAGUCGUCGAUUCCUCUUGCGACACUUGUCUGUUCGGUGAUGCUGAAGGAGUCUCCACCUCACGGCAAAAACUUGUAACCUCUGGAAGAUUCCCCAGACUCAAAGAUCUUAAUUGAGCAAACUCUAUCUUCUCAAUUGCAUUAUCAACUUCUUUCCCAAUUGCAAAAAUCUCUUUCAUCUUGCUGCAAUUAAUAACUGCAAUUCUCUCAAGUCUUGGAAGGCAUUUUGUAGUAGAGAGCCAAAAGAUAUUACUCAACUUAUCACAAUUAUAUACUUCUAUGUUUUUUGAGUUCGUUGAAAGACUCUACUUUGAGCCGAUCAAUACAUAUCCUCUCCAUGUUGAUCAAAUUGUGAAGGGCAAGUGACUCCAAAAGAGGAAAGGCAUCACAAGCGACCAUCUCCCUUGAAUCGACGAUACAAAAGAAGUCAGGAUUAUUUUGAACCCAGAGGACCUUCAAUUGUGAAAAGCCCUCCGUGUCCAAAUUGAAAAGAACAUUCUCGAUGCCUUGCAGCUUGUCCAACCGUAAGUAUUGAACGUUAUUGAUGCCUUGCAAUUUCAUGGAGCAAAUGUCCAUAAAAUCAAGCUUGAGCUUCAAUGCUCUUGAAAUCUUGCGAUUACUGUCGAUCAAAAAGUGCAGCUGACUUUUAAACCAAUGUUGUCCAAAAAGCAUGGGAUGCAUGAAUAACCCAUUUCCAAUAUGUAUUUUGAACCUUUCGAGCUUUCUGGCCAAAAGCCUUCUGGUAACAUACUCUCAUUUUUAACAUCAAUUUCUAGAGUAGUUAGCCGAGGUAAAUGCAUCAAUUCGUCAAGGCUAGCAUUACUUCUUUUGCUGUUGGCUCUUUCAACCUCCCAUUCAAUGAAGCAAUUACCAUAUACAAUUCUUCUAAUCGGAUUAAGCUUGAUAUGACAUUUGGGGCAAUAACUUUCAGACGGAAACAGUGUUAAAUCUAACAGCCUUAGCUUAGUCAGUUGACCCAGUGCUUUAGGCAACUCUACAAUAUCAGAUUGCAAAAAGCUAAGGAUUUCUAGAUUUUCCAACUUUCCAAUAAUGGCUAUGUCUAUGCCUCCGAAAAUGCUUUGAUUAAGACAAAGUGUCUGAAGAUUUACUAGAAGACCAAUUGAAGAUGGCAAUGACAAUAACCGCAUUCUAGUCAAAUCCAAAACCCGAAGCUUUUUCGUCCUUUUGAAGAAGUUCUCGGGAAUAUUAGGCACAGCAAAAGAGUUCUUGGGAGACCAUGAAUAGAAGUUCAAGUUGUAGAGAUUCCGACCCUUCAGGAAUGUCAUUAACAAUACUAUCUUUUAAAAGAAAUUGCAAAAUAUUUUUUAAUUCAUCUGCAUUUUGGCCAUUUCAAUCAUCCUCAUUUUCACCACAAAUGCAUUCAUGUCACGAAAUGCAAUUGAAAUGGCAACAUCGCGAACAACAUCGUGCAUAGAAAUGUAUUUACUGCCACCAUCCUCAAGCAACAAACAAGAGUCUCUUAGUUGAUGGACCCAUGCAUGUAAUUUGUUAUGUGCAUCUUCUAGCUUAUGGACACUUUUAAAUACACCCAAGCCCAUGCUGUAUUUGAACAAAUCCAUAAUUGGUGCUGGCGUAAUAAGACUACACAGUAAAAAAGUUUUCUUGAGUUGCUCACCUCUUAAGUACUUGUAACUCAGCUCAAUUGUUGAGUAUGCCUCUGCUGGUACUCCUUCGUCGAAGCUUGCCUCUGAAGGCGUUUUGGAGUUCUUGCAAGGCAUUCUUCCACACAGGCAGCUCUUUUUUUCUCAGUGCCUUUGCUACUGUGGUUAGGGCAAUAGGCAAACCUCCGCAUGCCUUGGCUACACUUGUUGCUGUAGAUUUUAACUCACGAUUUUCAACAUAAUCACCAGCCAUUAUCUUGAACAAUCUCCAGGCUUCUUGUUCAUUUAAAAUGCCAAUCGAGAAGUUUUUUUCAGAUCCCAUCCUUAACAGCACAUCAAGAUCUCUUGUUGUGAAUAAUAAUUUACAUCCUCUGUGCUCAACUCCAAAAGGAAUGCCAAUAGUCCCCAAAUCAAGAGGAUUCCAGAUGUUAUCGAGAAUCACAAGGAUCUUCUUCUCAUUCUUCAAUCUUUUCAUAUAGUCUACUAGCUCUUCUAGACUCAGCUUCCUCGGACAACUCUAGGCCUAACGUUUCCGCAAUUUCCUCUUGGAUCUUUCUUAUGUCUGGACAUUGGGUAACCUCCGAAAAAACCACCAUAUCGUAAAGCUUGUCUUCAAUGGCUCGCCUUGCAAACUCCUUCACCAGUGUCGUCUUUCCAAUGCCGCCCAUGCCGUACACCCCAAUGAUGCUGACAUCAACAUCGAUCAAAUGCAUUUUGUAUGGCCUUCAAAGUAGAAAGUCUUGAUUCGAAGGCUUCGUAGCCUUUGUGAGACUUGAGCCAUAUAUCCUCCGGGAAUGGUACGGUAGAAAUUCCAUCAACAAAUCUCCCAGCUUCUUCUCGGAGUUUAACAAUGGCCUUCACCUUUGUUUCUGCUUUCUUGCUAAGCUGAUAGCGGGUCUUCAAAUUAGGACACAAGCCCAUGAGACAUCGUUUAUUUGUUGUCUUCUCAUCAUCAAUGAAUUUGGCUGCCUGCUCAAUGAUGAUGUUCGCACUAACCAGCCACUUCUCAACCUUCUCUUCAAUAUUUUCCCCUUUUCUUUCAGCCUCAGAAACCCUGUGCUGAAUGCUUCUCCUUUCAUCCUUGAGCUUGUCUAUUUCUGCCUUGAGUUUCUCAACGUUGGCUUUAUAGUUACGCAAAUAACCAAGUCGGCGUUCUGUUGAGGAGCCAAGCAUUUCACAAAUUCUAAAACAAUAGUAACAAUGCUUUCCACCAUCCUGGAUCCCUUUUCUUUUUUUUCGAAGUUUCUGACAAGAAAAUAAACAAUGAGCGAAACACAGAGAGAGUGAGGAGAAAAAGAAAAAGAAACGCAAAGAUGGACAGUUUAUCUGGUUGUGGAAGCGGAGAAAUGAAGAAAUCGUAAUAGCUGUUAUGGAUCUGCUGAGAAGAUGGAAACAAGGAAAAGGUUUCUAGUUCAACAACUGGAUUGCGAGCGGAGAGACUAAUUAACAAAGACUGGAGAUUACAACAAAGCAGAUGCCAAGAGAAAAGUUGAUCCAGUGAAAUUCAAGAAGUUGACAGCAAAAGGGAGCAAAGAUUAAUAACAAAACAGCAGUGACUACAAUGAACAAAAGCAUAUGCGUUUCUUGAUUGAGAAUGAGUGCAAAGAAUGAUCCUUAAUCAAUAAAAUAUCUAACAAUAUCUUCACCGAAAGUUUGAGACAUGUGAUCCUUAUUCCACUUCGUCAAUUACACUCCAGACCAAUGCUGCCGUCAUUAUCGAACGGUCGAUAUCCAACACUUGCACGAAGAUUCCAAGAAGUUGCGUGGCUGCCGACUUUUAGAUGCAAAGCCUCAUUGUGUCGAUGUUACACGAAAGAGAGCAGUCCGGGUAAUUGCCAAAACUUAGAACUAAACAGUAGCUUAGUCAGAAAAUCAAACGCCCAGUACCGGUAAAAUGACCGAUAAAAUAUAAAAAAAACAAAAAUUUUAAAGUUUUACUUCAUUGCUUUUUUAAUCUUAUUACUAUUUCUCCUUGCACUUCUAAAGAAACCAAAGCUUUAAAAGAAAUCAGCCAAAUCACGAAGAUUGAAAACUAAAUCUAUGGUUUUAGAUUUUUAUUUUAUUUUUUUAGAUAAUAGAUAUUGUUGAGUAAUGAAAAGUACCAGCUCAGCUAUCCCCGCUUCCCUCACCUUGGGGCGAAUCCCCAGAUGAAUGGCACAAGCAGAUUCCUGGUAAUACAUCCUGUACGGGGCAUAUGCCAACUAGAAACGAGUACCGACCAGAUGUACAUACCGACCAAGUACUCAUUAUUCAAAGAAAGAGGACACGAACUCAACAAACUCACGACAAUUUUGUUAUGCCCCCAAACCGUUGGGGAGAACAUGACGCCCCACGUUUACCCACGAUUCGGUGGUUGGAGACCCAUGAAGGUUUGUCAUCACCCGAAAAUGAGGGGCAUGAAUAAGACUCAGAAAACAGGGGAUGAUUGCCUAUAAAAGGCCAAGAAAUCGAUGAAAAAUGGGAGACACAAAUUGAGAGUAAAGGGGAAACUCUGUCAAAUUAUAAUCAGAAAUUCAUAUAUCCAAAUCCUUGAUACAUUUGGUAUUGAGAAUAUUGCAACUAAUAUGUACAACACAAAUCAUUCACUUUUCUCGUAAACACCUUGUACUAACUUAAGUAUCGAAGGGUUUAUGCCCAAAAAACCAUCGGCGUCUCUGAUUUGUUUCUGUGAACGCAGGCCUGGAAGGAAGAAGACGGGUGAUUUGGGUCCCAGAAGCUCGGGAAAUUGCUGAAGCUAAUGGAUCGCAGCCUCUGUUCCUUUGCCAAUACAAGCGUUGGUGAACCAAUCUGGUCGGUCCAAAGGCGACUAGAUUUCAGCAUCAACAGAUAUUAUUUUGAUGAAUUUUUUAAUAUUAGAAUAAUGUUAGGAAUUCCAAUAAUAAAAUUCUAACUUGAGACCCAAUUGUUAUGUGUUAUUUUUUUAUUGAAUAAUGAAUUUCACAACUAAUAAAAUUUAUAUUUCCAUCAUCUAAUAAAUGACUACCAUAUCAGUUGGGACUCAAUUAUUAGGAUCCUUAACAUUGCUCUUAGUAUUAAAUUGGACAUCUUAGCUAAAUCAGAUUAAAAAUCAAAUUAGUUUUUAAGCUUUUAUUCAACAUCUCUUUUUUUUUUUUUGUCUAUUGGAAGUGAACGAAAUAAAAAUACAACAGGGUCAACGACUGGGCAAUUGGUAGUCAAGUAGAAGCAAAUCAAGGCUAAAUGGGAAAGAGAAAUGAUAUUUGUGCAAAAUAAGGAGAAAAUCAGUGUAACAGAAGAGAAUCAAAGUGCUUUUGAGAUAAAAAAUUGAAACAAGAAAAGGGUCGCUUGAUCCAAUGAAAAUGCAAAGAGCUGAUGGCAAAAGGGAACAAAGUUAAAUAAGAAAACAGCUAGCGCUAGCAGCGACCACAAUAAACAGAAAAUUUGAGAUGGAUUUACAAUAUUUCUGCCUUUCUUUAUGCUUUAAAAAAUAUUGCUCUAUCAAAAAAAAUAUUGAACAUUUUUAUUAUUGGAGUCACAAAUGACCUACACAAUAUAGCAAGUGACUAGGAAUAAAUAAGAAUAUAUAACUCUCUCUAAUUCUCACUCUGGCUUUUAAUUGUCACUCAAAACCCAGAAUUCAUCCUUAAAGUGUAGGCAAAUCAAGGAUGACACCGUUUGGUUGUCAUACGUGCCUUUUAGUUUUCGGAUGACAUGGCGUACACUUCUUCUGUAAACCCAACAAGACAUGUCGUACUCUUUUGUUUUGAGAUUCUAUUUCAAACUUUUCAUGCUAUGAAUGAAAGAUAAACUCCAAUCAUCAAAAUAUUUAGUGUUUGUUUGGUAAUGUAAUGUCAUAGUUGUGAAUUGAAAUUAUUUCUAUAAAAUAAAAGGAUUUGGGUCAUUGUUUGUUAUUUUCUGACAACAUUUAUUAAAUAUUAAAAAAUAAAUUUAUAUUUAUUAGGUAUUAAAAAUAAAUAAACAAACAAAAAUAAAAGUAAAAGUUUAUACAUUACGUAAAAUAAUGACAAUAUCAAUAUUUCGCACUCUAUAAUUGAGUGAUGUGUUGUCCAACUGGCAUACAUUGGUCCCAAACGGAGACUUAAAUAUCAAAGUCCAAAGUUAUUAUGAUGAUGACUUAUAAUCGCCAAACUUGACAUACGGGUAAUCAUGCAUUAUAAGGUGCUAAUUUCUUCCGAUCGGAACCUUAUUUUUCAUUUACAAAUAAAUAAAUGAUGUGACUUCACGGUUGGCGGGGUCCUUUGUGUCAUUUGGGCAUUUCACUAAAUGAUUGAUUGUAGCAGGAAGAUUCCUGGAAGUUGCCAUUUGCCAAUGCUACUAACAUUUUCAAACUUGGAAAACCCUUCAAUCAAUCUUUUAGUGGUAGGCUCUGGUAACUUGGUUUGAUUAUGACGUAUAAUUAUUUGAUAAUAAAGUUAGAGGAUGUAUUAAUAUAAAAUUUGUUUAUUGGUGUUGAAGUUAAUUAUCUCAUUAAUAAUAGUAUAAAAAGUUAAUUACUAAGAAACACAUAGCAAUAGUUAAUUGGUGUCAUAUUAUUGGGAUUCUGGGAUAUAAUUUUAUAUCAUAACUUUGUAAGUGUAUACUUACUCAUCAAACUAAUAAAAUUAUUUAAAAAUUUCAGUUGGAAAAAAUAAAUUAUAUUAUUUUCAUUUCAAAUAAUCUAUAAGUUAACUCAAAACAUAAUCAAGCUGAGAAUUAAAAUAAUGCUACUGUAUGAGAGGAUUUUUAUUUUUUCCCGAAGUUUCACUAGGAAAUUAUUGAUACAUAGCUUUAUUCGGAUCAUCUCAGUUCAAACGACAAAUAAUUGAAAGACUAAGCUAAAUAGACCAGCCAACAACUUUGUACAAGAGAGUUCAAAAAUUAAGGUCAUGGUAUUAAGGUGUUCUAUCUUGAAAAGUAUAGAGUAGUAAUAAAAUAAAAACUAAUAGUUUUUGGUAAGAUAUGACAUUUAAAUAAUAAUUUUCACAAAAAUACAAGGAAUAUUUAUAAAUUACUUUUAUAGUGAGGGGACCCUCACUCUGUUAAAGUGAAAAUAUCAAUAAUAUACAAAAGACAUAUAUUUUAACACAUUAAAAAUUGUAUUUUUUUAUCUAUUGGUGUAUUGAAAUAUGUGUUAUUUAGUUUGUUAGUGAUAUCAUUACUUUGUUAAAAUGAGAAUGUCGUUACUAGAGAAUCAUUAUGUAUACAUAUAUAAAGUGCUUCUGUCCAAGACCUAGACUUUAUUAAAAUUUGAGAAAGCAAAUAUAUUUUAUAUGGUAUAAUAGUGUAAUAACAUCACACUAUUAUAUCAUAUAGAGUAAUAGUUUUUCGAACUUUAAUAAAAUUCAAGAUUAUAGAAUGAAUGAUUUUUAUAUAUUAUAAAUUUUUUUAUCAUAAAUGGAGGACAAAAUUAACAUAUUUUCAAAUUAUAAUAAGCAUUUAUCAAAUAAUUUAACAUUGCAAUUUCUCCUAACUAGUAUAGUAAAUAAUACGACCUAGGAGAUACAUUCAAAGCAUUUCAUAAGUUAGUUGUUAAUAAUAAAUUAUAUAUGCAGCUCCAAUCAUCAUUGUACGGUGAGUAAUUUCCAGUUAUAAAUAGAUAUUACUCCCUUCCCAGCAAUUUUUGAUGACUUAAUUUAGUGGGAUCAAAAUCAACAUUGAAUUUUUGACCAGCUGCCAACAACUUGUGAGCAGUUCACAGUGGGUACUGCACAUGAUGCCUGUUUCUCCUUUUGCAUCUAUUUUUGUUGUUAACAUUAAUUUCAAUAGCAGCUCGUUAAUCCCAUUUGUUGAUUUGGGACUAGAUAAGAAUUUAUCUUGGAACUCCAAUUCUCCAAUUAUUUUAGUUGACAAUAUAUUUAACAUUAUUAAUUGCAUAUUAUUUAAUUAUCAGUAUAUAAUAUUCUUUAAUUUUCUAAUUUUAUAGGAUUAGACACAAAAUUGAUUAUGCCUUUUGAAAUUUAAGGGUUAUGUCAAUUGAAUAGAAAACUUGGAGGUAAACUUGUGGAUGUUUUUGUUGAUUAUCAAUUUAUGCAUGAAUUUUUGUACGUUUACUUUGGUUUAUAAUUAUUACUUUUAAACAUUUUUAUUGGUUUGAUUUAGGGUCAAUUUGGUAAUCCUGUAGCUUUAAAAUAAUUACAAUUAGCUAUGCUGUAGAAAUGAUCAAUCGUCAAGAGAAUCAGCUGAGCAUUUAGUAAAAUUUAUUUUUAAAAGUACUUUUAGUUUUAAAAGCGUUGUAUGAAUAAAACUGUUACACUAAAAAAUUAAAUGUAUUGCCCACUUGGGUAAAUAAAGCUAUAUAUUACAACUGUUACACUAAAAUUAAAUGUAUCUUAAACCCAAACUUCUUCUUCUUCUUUUUUGACUAACAAAAUUAAAAACAAUAGUGAACACAUUCUUUAAUAAACAAUAAGUAAUAAAUAAAAUCGUGUUAAAUUUCUUAAAAACUUUCUUUCACGGUUUGCUAAAUAUUUUUAUUAGUAUUUUAAAUAAAUAAAAAUAGUUGAUUUUAAUUUUUUUAAAUAAACUUAUUAGGUUUCAUGUAAAGAUGUUUUUGUUAUUUUAAAAAGUGUAGAAAGUACUCCUAAAAAAAAGCGUAGAAAGUAAAACUUAAUUUUUUAAAUUUAUUAGCUGAGUGCAUAAAUAAUUGAGUGUUCAUAAUGAUUUUUAAAGUAUAGAUAGUCGGACCCUAAUAUUUUUAAUAAAUGGAAAUUUUGCUAAUAUGUUAAUGAGAAUUAAAAAGAUAAUUAAGGGAGGCAAUCGAGACAUUCAGGAUAGUUAGGAUGGGACAUGAUUGUGAGCGGUUAGAUAUUGGUCCUAAUUUUGAUCACAAAUAUAUAAACAGGACGAGUUUAUCUCUACUUACAUUCCAUUUGAUAAUUAAGAUGAGAGUGGAAUUGUCAAAUCCCAAAUCAUCCCGGACCACUGCCACCAAGGGUACUCUCACUAAUAAUAUCUAAAGAAAAAUCUACAUCUAUUUCAUACUUUUUUUAAUGGAAAGAGCCCUCAUGGGGCUUGAAAUGGUAUCCUAAAUAAUAUUGAGAAUAUCAGGUCAUGAUUGGGUUUGUGACAAACAAAUACUACAUAGUUGGGAUACGUAGUUAUAAUGUCCCAAUUUAUGUAGUAUCUAUCAUUUAGCGCACAUAUAAAAUAUUAAUCAGCUUAAUUAAUUUAUAAAAUUUAAAUCUAAUUAAUAAGUGAUACAUAAAUGCCAAGUGCAAUACUGUAUAUGCAAAUCAUGUUUGUGGAUCAUUACAAAAUUGGCUCUUGAAAACAAGCAAGAAAGCUUAAUUAAGAACUUAAAACAAAAGAAUUAGAUUGAGAACAGUCAAGCCUUAUUUUUUCAAGGAUGGAGCUUAUAAAUCUUCAAGUACCAACAUACGCUUGGCCCAAUUGUUGUUAUUAAAAUUUCAAUAUACAUAUAUAAGUAUGAUAUAGCAAAAAUUUGAUGGUACAUAUGUCGGAAUAUACUAGUUCAUGGGUGCAUUUGAUUAUUGUUUCCAUAAAUUUGAACCAGGAAGGACGACACGAUAAAAAUUUGAUUUAUGGUAUGGUUGAUUUCAUAGCUCAUGCACUCAUUUCUUAAGAUAAUCAAAUUUUCUCUGACAUCUUUUUCAACUGUCGAAAUAUCAAUUAUGAUCAAUCAAAACGAUUUCAAAACCUUUCAACGAGACAUAUUUCUAAUACAAUAUUGUGAAAAUUACACUAAAAAAUAAUUUAUUAUAUAUUAUUAUCCAACGAGCACACAAAAAUGAUUUCGUACAAAUCUAAAAUACUAAGCAAUUUUCAAAUAGAAUUUACCAUGUACUACAAGAAAAUAGGGUAUAUGUGACCCCUACUGUGAAUGCAAAAGCAGCCAUUACGCAUAACCCCGAGUUGCUUUUGUUACCCUUUAUGUGACGGCCACACUGCUGUCACAUAUGUUACGACCGCGUGACGGUGAAGAGCCGUUCGGUAUACUAAUAUUUUAGAAUUUUAAAUUUAUUUCCAGUUAGAAAACUAUUCGCUGGACUCCGUGUUGCUGGCCACCAUCGUAAACAUAACUGGUUGCCAGCGAACGGCGUAAAACGCCGGCCAUCUUCUUCUUCAACGUAUUCUCCCUUCAUCUUUGAGGUAAGCUUGUGAUUAUGAGUUUCUUCUCUUACUUAGCUUGUAAUUAUAGAUUUUGAUUUUUUUUAAUUCGUAUUGUAGCCGUUAUUGUCAAUUUUUGUCCCGCCAGCAAUAUUUUUUUAUUCCUACAAGUUGAAACCCCUGUGUUCUUGUUCCAUUGGUGAGUUUGCUCACUCAAAUUAAUUUUGUUCUGCGGAAUUUACAAAGUUCAAAUGGAUUCAUUUGAAUUACUAUUGAAUUUAGCUUUAAUUCCAACAUCCAUUCUAAUGUUUUGCAAUUAGAUUUAAUUUAAUUUUAUGUUUAAAGCUUCUACAAUGAAUAGCGGAGCUUGGGUUUUAGUUUCAUUUUCUGGAUAACUUGUUUUUAGUUUAUCUUGUAUGCUCACCAAAUGCUUGUUAUAUUGUCUGAUAAGUUAUAUACAUUGCUGAUUCUACAUUAAUAAUGUUACGUUGUAUUUUCAGAAAUUAUAAUACAAAAGUUUUUUGCAAUGGCGUGCAUCUACAAACUGAAUUGACUUGUAGAAUAAGAGCUCGGAGUAGUGUUAUGUUCUUGAAUAAUUGAAAGUUCAUAUUGUGUAAGAGCAUUGUAGAUGUAAAGCAUCAUUACCAUUUCUACAAAGUGCUUUCAUUCUGUUCAUAUGCUCUUCUUGAACUUUGAAAGGUGCCUCGUUCAAGUCCUAGCUAUAACUACUAGCUUUGAUUAAUUAAGUUCCUAUACUAGCUGAAACAGAUUUAUUUAAUUAAUUAAUUGUGUAUGUACUAAUUAUAUUGAAAGUAUAUGAAUUUUUUUUUUAACAUGAAUGACUUCUAAAUGACUUAAAAACCUAAAGGGAUGUGUGAAACAAUGCUCAUUUCAUUUGAAUGAGCCCAUUAAUACUUUUAUGUCUAUGAUUUUCAAUAUUGGCUAAAGCAUUUCAGUUAAGUGGUUUACCUAACAGAGAAAAAAAUUUAAUAGAAAACUUCAGAGUUUCUAACAGAAAUAUAGUUCACUAUGCAGAUAUAGUUAUUUUACGGUAUACAAAUCAAGUUGUCCUAAUCUCAAUGUCCUAUGACCGAUUUUAUUUUAUAUAGUCAUUAAUUUUUUUCCUUGGUUUUUUGUGUUUAUGAGUAUGAAAUAGUGGGAUUUGGUGUACCUUAGCAUCUUUUGAAAAUUCUCUUUCAGUGUGGCCAACAGAAAUAUACAUAUAAUCAAGUUCUUAAUCGUGUAUAUUAGUUUUGGGUAUGAAUGUUCUAUUCUAGUUCGAGGCAAAGCUUCUUCGUUUUUGGUCUUCAGAUUUCCAGUAGGUUAAGUUAAUCAACUAUCAUAACUGGCUAGCUAGUUAUUGUCUGCCUUGGCGCCAUUACCAGGCCAUUAUAUUGCAUAGCAUAAGGAAUAGUGAUUAGGGGAUUAUUAGUGAUUUGUUGAGCUUAUUAUCGACCAAACAAACAUAUUCGCCUUUGCCCACAACUUAGUUUGAUUAGUUAUUAGACCAUAAAGAGCCUUGAUCUAUUCAUUGGCUUUAUUAUUUUUAUUUGGUUUUUCUUUCAACAAUAUUGUUGAUUUCUUAUAAAAAUAUUCAUUGGUUUUUAAACACCUAAUCAUUGGCUAUAUGAAGCUAAUUAAAACUGAGGCUUUGGAUCAAUUUCUUCUAACAAGAUACAAAUGAGCAUUAACCUAUCUCCUAUGAGUAAAUUUUUUUAAUAUCCUUGAUUUGUAAGGAUCUGGAGGCCUGAAAUCCUCUAGAUUUUUUUUAACACUGUCAAUGUUCUUUUAUUUCUGAGAAGGAAAUAAAAGGUUUUAUCUUUCAUACCCAAAUAGUAAGCUGGCCUUGUCUUAACAUGGCCUCCGAGGACUUGCAAGAUUCAUAGUGCCCCCACCCCAAAAAAAUAAAAAUAAAAAAACACAAAUAGGAAGAUUUUGCAAGAUUCACCACCAGGUUUUUUUUAAUUUGUUAAUUGUGUGUACGUGCUAGUUAUAUGUUGAAAGAAUAGGAAAGAAGUAUUUCAACAUGAAUGACUUAAAACUUAUUGCUCAGUAAACAUAAUCUGCAUGUAUUUAUCGUUUGUAUUUUUUAUGGUUUUGCUAAAGAAAUGAUAUGUGAAAUAAUGCUACAUUUGCAUCAGGAAUAAAUUGAAGAGAUUUAUGAUAUUUAUGUGUUAUUCAAAUUUCAGAUUCAAUUUUAAACUUUUGAUACGUGCAUUGAAAGCUUAGACUUGUUUAAGAAAUUAUUAAUAGACACAUGUUUUUAUUAGUGUCAUCUUUGGAUGAUAGUGAGGAUCAUAUGUCUAUUAAUAAUUCUUGAAUUGUCCAGGCUUGGACAGUUUGGGAAUGCAUAGUUCACUCUGGUAGCUAGUAGCUGAAGUUUUUUCCCACGUAAAAAUGGGUUUUUCAGUAGCUGCUCCUCGUGUUCUCUGGGUACGUACUAGGUGAAUGGGUGUCAUGUGUUGUUUUGGCAUAACGCAUAAACACUUAUAUAGCUAUGUCGUGUGCUUGGAGAAUUAUAGGGAGAUGGUGCCGAAAUUUUUAUAAACGUGGAAGAAAACUUUAGGUACUUGAGAUUGAAGAAACUUAUGCAUUCUUGAGUGGGAUAUGUAGGAUUACUUACCUUUUGUAAAUAUGAAGGGAAUGUUGGAUAUAUUGGGGAUAGUGUAGGAGCUGAGUUGGAUGAAUGUAAUUGGUGAUGAUUUUUGCUGAGCUGACCUUGGUUUUGAGCUUGUAAUUUUGUUUGUAAAUGGAGUGCUAUCUCCAAUGUUGGUUUAUAAAUAUGUUUCAGGACUUGCUGACCUAAUUUUUUGUUUCUAGGUUACAGGCUUUAUAUAUCUGUAAUUGAUGGCGAAGUGAAGUUCCCAGAACUUGGCGAGGAUGUUUCUUUACAGAAGGUAUUGGAAACUGUUUUUUACAUUAAUUAUUGUUGUAUAUAUACUUUGAUUUUCACAUCUUUUUCUCUGAUUCUUGUGGCUUUGCUUGCUUUCAUAUAUGUAAAUUCUAAUGAAAAUUAACCAUAAAAUUGUUUAAAAUGAUCUUUUUAUUAUAUUGCAAAACUGUGCACACACGAAAAUAUAUUGUUUAGUAGUAGAAAUGAAGAACUAAAAUGAUUUACUUAACUAAUUUUUGUAGCGCAUUAAAAGGAGAUAGUCAUGGACAUGUGUUGGGUUGGUUUGCCAAAUAGAUAUCCAAGUCAUAUACUGAUGGGGAUGAAAAAUUUAUAGAUUUUGCAUUUGAGAAUGUUGUUGGUGGUACAAGAAUUUAAUGUCCUUUUAAGAAGUGUUGUAAUCUAUAUUUCGUUAUAAAGGAAAGUGGCUGAUGAUGAUAUGGUUGGAAUGAUACAAUGCAUCACGUAAUCAAAUGUUCAAGUUACACGGAGCAUUGUUAUGGACUAUCAGUGACUUUCUAGCAUUGCCAACUUGUCUGGGUGGAGUAUUAAAGGUAAAUAAGCAUGUCUUGUUUGCCAACAAAACACUAGAUCUAAUUGGUUGAUACAUAGUAGAAAAUUUUGUCACGUGGGUCACCGUCGAUUUUUACCAACAAAUCAUAGGUUUCGAAAAUAUAGUGUCUUUUGAUAAAACUAGAGAGUAGGGACCAGCACAUUCUCGGUUGUCUGGAUCUGAAGUGAAAAAGCAGUUUAAUAUACUUACUGAGUAUAAGAUUGAAGACUUGAAAAUAGGAGAAUGAAUAAAAUGAGAGAAAUGAUAAGAUUACUUGGAAGAAGAAAAGCAUAUUUUAUGAACUACCGUGUUGGGAGUUCAAUUUGAUUCAUCAUAUCUUGAUCUCAUGGGCUGUUUUGAUUUUUGUUAUGAACUCAGAUCAAAAGUUUAAUGUGAUCAAAAUUUCUUAAAAAUAGUGAAAACGACUCCUAAUAAUAUGGAAGAUGGCUAUAAAAAGAUAAAAGGAAAGGCUUAAAAAGAAAAGCCAUGCCUGUCCAAAAAAAAAAAAAUCAACAAAAAUCAAAACGGUGCGUUUGAGAGUGUAUAAAAUACAUUUAGAGUGGGAGUUGUGUUGUUGCUUGAAGGCAGAAAGAUAUUUGUCGACGAAGCCAAAACCAAAGAUGAAGCCCAUAAAGCUCAAACUCCACCGGAGCAAAUUCAGGACAAUUACGAGGGUUAUGUUUGACAUAGUCAAGGAAGACGGUCCUCUCACCGUUGCCGAAACUUGGGAACGCGUCAAGGUGUGUGUAUCUGUUAAAUUGAAUUUCAACCGUUUGAUCUGUAAUUAUAAUUAAUCCAAUCGAUCUGACAGUGAUCACUGACCAUAAUACUAGUAGUUGUUUUACAUUUUCAGCAGGCUAGAGCGGGUGGAUUGACGGGCAAAAGCUCAGGCUCGUCUGCAAUCACAUGGGCCCUCAUAAGCAAAUCCUGUACACAACUUGGUUCACUAAACCCAACAACUUGAAGCAGCCAAAAUCAGGGAAUGAUCCUUCUCCGUCACAACCCUAGCUGCCUUAACCUUGUAGUGACACGGUGAAGAUGGAAGCCCCUCAGCAUGUAAACUUUUCAACAGCGACAGAGCUCUUAUUCCAGAGGCUGCACAGAAGAGCGACCUGGAAUCCUCUUCAAAACUUUCAAAUUUUUAUCAAGUAAAGCUUUCAAAAUUUCUCAACAAACUGAUUAUUUGGUGUGGUUGCCACAUUUUGUGCAACUGCUAUUCGUCUUCAAGUACAAAUUCCUUGCCUUCUAAGUUAGGGAACAUAGAUGUGGAGCAAACAGGGAAAUAGAUGUGGAGCAAACAGGGAAACAGCAAUGAUGGCAAUUAACAAACUAAUAGCAGUAUUACAUUUGAUUCUUUAGCCCAAUUUUGUUCCUUCUGUCAGCCAUUCUUCAAAAGUUUUUGAAAAUUAGAUGUGAAGCAAAAAAAAAACAAAUUUAGACAACAGAAGCCCUGUGCUCAACAUCAUAUAUAUACCUUGAAUACCUAAUAUACUAAAUUUCACAUAUAAAAUACUAGAGAUUUCAAACAGUACCAGCAAUAGAAUAAUGACAACGACAACAAUAACAGAAAAUUACAAGAUUGCUGACAAAAUUUAUGUGAUUUACUGUGCCUUUAUGCAUGCAAAAUGAAACUGAAGAUAAAAAAUUUAGGGAAAAGGACACAGAGACCCCCAACGUUUGAAUAAGGGACACAAAAUCCCUUAAUGUUUCAAAAAAGACACUCAGACCCCCAUUUGUUAACAUUAAAUUAUAAUUUUACCAUUGUACCCUUAUAGCAUAUUAAAAAAUAAUUAUUCAUUAUCCAAUUUAUUUCUAUAUUAUUAAUAAAAUUACGAAUAUAACUUCAUUACUCAAUUUUUCCAUUUAAUUUUUAUCAAAUUUUAUCUUCAAACUAAAUAAAUUUAAUCCAUUGCUCAAAAAUAAAAAUAAAUUAAAUUGAUUAUUAAUAUAAUAAAAAUAACAAUUCUCCAUAUGUUAUUUCUUAUAAUUUCUUAUAUAUAAAUUAAAUUGAUAAUUUCUUAAAAAUAACAAUUCUCCAUAUAUAAAUUAAAUUUAUUUUAAUUUAAUAUAUGUUAUUUUUAUAUUAAAUAUAUGUUAUUUUUAUUAUAUUAGUAAUCAAUUUAAUUUAUUUUUAUUCUUGAGUAAUGGAUUAAAUUUAUUUAGUUUGAAGAGAAAAUUUGACAAAAAUUAAAUGGAAAAAUUGGAUAAUGAAGUUAUAUUCGUAAUUUUAUUAAUAAUAUAGGAAUAAAUUGAACAAUGAACAAUUAUUUUUUAAUAUGCUAUGAGGGUAUAAUGGUAAAAAUUAUAAUUUACUGUUAACAAAUGGGGGUCUCAGUGUUUUUUUUGAAACAUUAGGGGGUUUUGUGUCCCUUAUUCAAACGUUGGGGGUCUCUGUGUCCUUUUCCCAAAAAUUUAUAAACUAGAAAUUUAUAAUAAUCUAACUUAUUCUCGUUACUAUUAAAAAAUAAGUAAACAUAUCAAUAACAAUAUAGUUUAUUAUGAUUAUAAUUCAUUCAAUUAAAAUAAAUAAUUUAUUCUUAUUUCUAUUCUCUAUUCUAAUUUCAGUAAAUUUUGAUUUUAGUUUAUUUUAAUUAUUGAUUAGUUGUAAACUUAACUGGAAAUUUAUUGCAUAUAUUACGAGAAGCAGUACACACCAAUGGUAAAUUGAUACAUCGUUUUUGAGCUUAAGAUAGUCAAAUGAAAGAAACACAACGUAGGGUUCAUGAAACACUUUCAAAGCUGCUGAUGACUUAAAGUGAAUAACCUCAGCAUGUAAACUUAACUUCAAAGGACGGAGCACAAGUUUCACAGAAAAACAGCUCUUAUUUCUGAUGCUGCGAACACAGAGGAGUGACCUCAAUCUUCUUCAUCACUUGGGAAUUCUGCAAUUAUAGAGCACGACAUUGAGCAUGAACUAGAAAAAAUAUUUAUUUUCUACAAUUUUCAUAUAACCUCACUAACCAAGAUUAAUUUUGUGGUAAUGUAUUGGGUCAUUAAUUCAUAUGUUUUUACUGUCAUCACUUUAGAAAAAACUAAUUUCUCAAUGUGAAAUGGCCCAUAAAAGGUAUUCUCAUUUAAAAACUAAAUUUGACAAACCCUCGAUUAAAGCAGGGGAGAGAAAAGAAAAAAAAAAGAUCUGAAGGCUUUCCACAUGAAAAUGUUGUCACUUUGGAUGAUAUUUUCAAGGGAUUUCAUUCUAAAAAUAAAAUACCUGGGACCUUAUUCUUCAAAUUGACAGCUCGCCCAGUACUAAACGCGUAUGAGAUCAGUACUGGGACAAGUAACGAGACGACCCCUCCAACAGCUGAAAAUAAAAUUCGCAUUCAUCAAUUUAAAUUGAAAUUCAUAUUAUGAAAUUAAAACUAAUGAUUAAUGAAUUUUCAAGGAAUUUAAUAAGAUUCUCAUAUAUAAACGUGAUAAAAAAUUCACUCAUCAAUAACAAAUAUUCUAACAUUUUGUUGAUGUAAUUGUUGUAUGGUUGUGUUAAGGUCAUUAUUAGACCAACGCAGUUUGUCAUCACUCAUUCCGUACCAGACGUUUACUCUCGGAGGCGUGAUUGAUUCUCCUUUGGUGAAAUCUUCAUCUUCGGACAACCAAUCACAGUAAGAUAUUCCAAAGAUGGGAAUUUGAAGGCGUAAUUGCCAGAGGAGAAGCUUGUGAGACUAUCUAAAUCAAACAGGGACAACGUAGUCAGUUUGCUGAAAACAAUCUCUUCUUUUAAAUAUGCUGUUUCAUUUCAAGACUGGCAAAAUUCAUUGUGUAAUCAAAGUUUUCAAUGAUCCAACUAAUAUAUAUAUAUAUGUAUGUAUAUUCCUUCUCUAGUGCAGACAUUCUCAUUUUUUUUUUUCAUGUGGACCAGUUUUUAGAUCCCCUGGUUUAAAAGAGUUAGUUUUUAACUCUUUAAAACCGCAUGGCUUCAUAAUUUAUUUAAAAACUAACUCUCUUAAACCGCACGGUUUAAAAGCGUGUCCACAUUAAAAAAAAAUACGGACCCCCACACCUGAGAAUGAUUAUAUAUAUAUAUAUAUAUAUAUAUAGACACACGCUCUUAAACCGUGGGAUUUGAAAGCUUCUCCGCAUGAAGAAAGUAAAAAAUAAGGGCAUUCCCACUAGAAACAAACUCCAUAUAGGUAUUUAUUAAACCUCCUGAUCUGUGAGUGAGGAACAACAAAUAUAAUUGAUAAAAAAAAUCUAAAAUUUGGUUUCAUACCUUCUUGAACGAGAACAGGGGUUGUUGUGCCGGAAUACCAAAUUGAUCAUUCUCGUUAUUCUGGGACAACGUUAUUUUAUCACAAUUACAGGCCUCCAAUGUUUUUUAGUGCUGGCCAUUCUGAAGUAUGCAUUCCAGGGUAUAAACAUCCGAGUUCUGGUAGACCUUCGAGAUUCAGAGUGGUCACUUGUGGAAAGACAAAAUAUGGGGUCACUUGAUCUGCUCUGUCUUUGGAGAUGAUCUCUUGUAAACCCAUACAUAUCCGUAUCUCCAGGUGUUGGAGGUGCUCAAGGCUUUGGAUCAUAGAAGCUGAAAAUAUGUAUUUUAAUUUGUCACAGCCCCACACUAUCAAUCGUGUCAAACUUUGAAAGCCGCAAGUUGAUUGUCAUGCAAAAUCUCGUCGACAUUAAUAGCAUUCAGCUCCAAAGCCUCCAAAUUUGGCAACACUACCUGAAGAUAAUUUUCUCUUUAGAUCCAAUAUCCGUAUGGAAAGCACUUGUUUUGACACAAUAUCCAUAUAAGAAGCACUUAAUUAAGAGCUUAAUUAGCGAGUGUAUGAGACUUUUUUUUUUUCAAAUGCCAGUGCAUGAUAGAACUAAAAAAAAAAAAGAAGCAUUAGCCUACGUACCUUCUCGUUGAAAGCAGAGUUGACGUUUCCGAACUGAUCUCGUUGGAACUGGCUGUCAAUUCCUCUUGCGACUCUUGUCUGUUUGGUGAUGUGGAAGAAGUCUUCACUUCACCGCAAAACCUUGUAACCUUUGGAAGCUUUCCCAGACUCAAAGAUCUUAAUUGACCAAACUCUAUCUUCCCAUCAACAUCAACAUCAGCUUCUCCUCCAGUUGCAAAAAUCUCUUCCAUGCUGCUGCAAUUGAUAACUGCAAUCCUCUCCAGUCUUGGAAGGCAUUUUGUACUACUAGAGAGCCAGAAGAUAUUACUCAACUCAUCACAAUUUUCUACUUUUAUGGUUUUGAGUUCAUUGAAGGACUCUAUUUUGAGUCGAUCAAUACAUAUCCUCUCCAUAUUGAUCAAAUUUUGAAGAGUAUGGGACUCCAAAAGAGGAAAGGCGACACAUGGUUCUCUCUCCAUUGAAUCGACGAUACACAGGAAGUCUGGAUUAUUUUGAACAUGGAGAUGCUUCAAUUGUGAAAAGCCCUCAGUGUCCAAUUCUAAAACAACAUUCUUGAUUCCUUGCAACUUAUCCAAACAUAAGUAUUCAACGUUAUUGAUGCGCUGCAACUUCUCGGAGCAAAUGGCCAUAGAAUCAAGCUUGAGCUUCAAUGUUCUUAAACUCUCAUGAUUACUGAUCAUAAAGUGCUGCCGACUUUCAAACCAAUCAUUCUCAAUAACCAGGGUAGAGUCGAAUGAUGCAUCUCCUAUUGAUAUAUCAAACCUUUCCAGCUUUUUGGAAAAAAAGCCAUCCGGUAAAAUGCUAUCAUUUUUAACAUCUAUCUAAGGUGGUCAAUCGCCUCAUAUGCAUCAAUUCGUCGAGGGUGGCAUUACUUCUUUCACUAUUGGCCUUUUCAACUUCCCAUUCAAUAGGGGAAUUACCCAUAUACAGUUCUUCCAAUCGAGUGAAGCUUGAUAAGACGUUGGGCACAAUAAAUUUUAGUUGCAAACAAUCUGUUAAAUCUAACAGCCUUAACUUAGUCAGUUGACCUAGUUCGCCAGGCAACCGUACAAUAUCAGAAUUUAAAAAGCUAAGGAUUUCUAGAUUCUUCAACUUUCCAAUUAUGGCUAUGUCUCCCAACAUGCUUUGAUCUAGACAGAGUGUUUGAAGAUUUGCUAGAAGACCGAUUGAAGAUGGCAAUGAAAAUAAUCGCAUUCGUGUCAAAUCUACAACUCGAAGCUUUUUCAGCCCUUUGAAAAUGUUGUCAGGAAUAUUGACCUCAACAAAAGUGUUUUGGGAAAUAUGUAAAAAUUCAAGUUGCAGACAUUCAAAUUCCUCAGAAACUUCAUGAAUGCUACUAUUUAGUAAAGAGAUUGCAUAGCAUUUUUUAAGUGCAUCCUCAUCUGGCCACUCCCACACAGCCUCAUUUCUCACCAAUAAAGCAUGUUGGUCUCGAUUUAAACUUUAACUCAAUUUGAAAAACUGAGCAAGUAUGCGUUACAGGAAAUCAAAAAAGCUCCACAUACCCAGAUCAUGAUCUCACGUUGAAUCCAGGUGGGAGAUAUAUUUAUGAUCAAGCCCAACAUCGAAGGGGCAAAAAAAAAAAAAAAAAAAAAAAUCUACCAGACAUAUGAUCAUAUUGACCACGAGCUUCAUACGCCGUGGAUUUAUUAACAAAAGUGGGAAUUAAUUAAUCAUGAGCAUGUGUUCUAGUUAAGUCAAAAGAGAGACUUAAUUAAGAACGCAUAUAUAAUUCAUAAUCAGCACAUAAAAAGAUCACUAGUGCUUGCCCCUCCUGCCCUUGCCGUGCUUGCCGUGCUUGCCCCUGCCCUUGCUCUUUCCAUGCUGGUAGUAGCCGCCGUGCUUGCCGUGUGUGUAUGCACCGUGAGCUCCAGGAUAUGCGUUAUUAUCUGCAACAAAAUAAGAAAUUAAAUCAUAAGCUUAUAAUUAGCUCGCUCGCUAAGAGUGAUUAAAAUAAUACCGUGCGGAACGGAUGGGCCAGGAUAUCCCGUUGGUGUGUAACCACUGGCGAGUGCUGCUCCUGUAGGCGGGUAGCCGGCACCGGCUGGGCAGCAUGAUCAGCACCUUCCAUGAUUUUGAUGAUCACCUAAUAAAUAAUAACUUGGUCCAAAAUAAACAACAAUAAAUAAUUGUGAUUAAUAAAAAGUAAUAUAUUCUCUAAUUAAAACAUUAAUGAUCAUUGGAGAGCAAGCGAGAAAUACUUACUGAAUGCGAUGGGACAGACAACAUCAUGCAUAGAGAAUUGUUCAUCUUCAACGAAUUUGGCUGCCCGGUCAAUGAUGCCGUUAGCACUAACCAGCCACUUCUCAACCUUCUCUUCAAUCUCUUCCCCUUUUUCUUUUGCCUCUGAAACUCUGCGCCGAAUGCUCGUACGUUCAACCUUCAACUUCUCCAUUUCCGUCUUGAGAUUCUCAAGGUUGGCAUUGUAGUUCCGCUUGCGCAAAUAAACAAGUUGGCGUUCUGUUGGAGGAGCCAAGCAUUUUACAAGUUCCAAAACGAGAGUAACAAUGAUUUCCAGCAUCUUGAAUCCUGACAACAAUGUAGAAGUGAAGAAGGCCAAAGGACAGUCAAAACAGAGAGACAGCGUUACGACAAGCAGUUAUGGAGCUAAAAAUAAAUAACAAACAAACAGAAGCAAAGUGUUUUUCGAAUGAGAAGAAGGAAGCAAGAAAAACUUAAAACUAGUAUAAUAAAUUUAUACUAAAACUAGUAUAGUAAAACAAGAAGUCAAGAACCAGCAACUUUUACACACAAAAUAAAACCUUAAAACUAGUAUAAUAAAUUUAUCAUCAAGUUGCAGCCUUCUUAUUCAACAAUUACAGCAUUAUCUUGAGCUCUGUGUUUCUUUUUUUAAAAAUUAUUCAAAAAAAUCUGCAUUUGUUUUUCAACGAUAAAAAUUAUAUUUUUGUCUCAUAUAAUAUAAAAUUAAAAAAAAAACAAACAUAUAUUAAAGGUCUGUUUGGGAUUAUUUUUAGAGGCUCAAAAGUAAUUUUAAAAAGUUAAAUGCUAAUUUUGGUAUUUAAUAAAAUUUUUAGAAGUCACCUUUGGUAAAAUCAUCAAUCCUACAACAAAUUUUGAAAGCAAAUAGUUUUUCAAAUUUUUAUUUUGAUAAUUAAUUUUAUACUUAAUAUAAUUCCAUAUACAUCCCUACAUAUAUUAAUUAUCCUUAUUAAUUAGAAAAUAAAAUUAUUAACUUUAAAGAUAUUAUCAACAAUUACAUUGAGAUAACAAACUAAAAAAUAAAAUUAAUAAUAUAAAAUAUUUAUUUUAGUAAUCAAUUAUUAUACUUACAAGAUAAAAAAUAUUUUAUUUAAAUGUUUAUAAAUGUACAAAUAAAUUUUAUUUAAUAUUAUAUUCAAUUUAGUCAUUUACAUUGUCAAUAGGACUUCUAAAAAUAAAUUUUCCUAAAUGUUUAACUAAUUCUCUUCAUAGUGAUUAUUUCCAAACAUAACUACCAAAAAUUACUAUAAUAGAUACAACAUUACCAAAAAAAUAUUGAGAUAGAUUUUAAUUAGGUAAUUGACUUAAUUAUGAAUCAAUUUAUUAUUUCCAUAUGUGUUAUCAAAACCAGCUCAAUAAUGAGAUCACUCUUUUUCUUAAAUAAAAAUAUUUGUGCCAAACAAUUGUUGCAAAAUUUCAAAUAUAAAUUACAAACAACAAAAUUUUUCUAAAAUCAUAACAAUAAUUUAUGUUGUGAAUACAUGUAACUAAACCACAUUGAAAUUUUAUUGUUAGUAAAAUUGUUUUUCACGCAAAUGCAGUGACGGAUUCAGUUUCAUGUUUCACCCUCAAUAACUUAAUUUUCAUAUCUAACAAAUCAUCCAUAUUAUUAACAAUAUCAUCACCAAACAUAAUCUACCUAAACAUAAACUAAACAUAACACAUACAUAUAACUAUAUACAUACCGAAUCAGGAAAACAAUGAAAGCUACACGUAUCCGGCUCUACAAUUCCUUCUUGAUACCCUUGUGCUUCUGAAAUAAUCAACCAAUUAUAAAAAUUAGCUUAGGCGCAACUUUACCCCUUUUUUGGAAAACUUAACGAUAAAUAAAGUAUACAAAUCUCUAAAUUAACUUCGUCCCCAUGAAAUUCAGCAUAAAUAGAAAUAGAAUUAUAGAAACCUUACUACCUUUUAUGAGAAAUCCAACUUAUAUAUUUGAGACCUCUCUCUCUAAACACGCGCUUCCUCUCUCUGUACACUUUCCACCUUUGAAUUUUCCUUCACUAAGUCUACCUAAAUGAAUUUAGCAUUCUUCCAGUUUCUUUAGCAUUUUUUCUCCGUGAAAAUAGGUGAAAAAGAGAAAGUGGUUUGAUUAUUUUAAUGUAUGACAGAUCUGGUUUCCAUCUCUGUAAUUUAAGUUUGUCAAACGAGAUAAUCAACUCUUUGUCGAGUCAGUCAAAUAUAAAAGACAAAUUACUAAACCAAGCAGAGCCCAAAAAAAAAAUAUUUCCAAUUAAAUAAUCAUCAAGUCUUUUUCAAUUAAAUUAGGGAGUGCAGAACAACUGUCGAGAGAUAAUCAUUGUUUAUGGAGCCAUAUUAUAUUUUCGAUUAAAAUAGUUGCGCGUGAACAAUUGGCAGAAUUCGUAUAAAUUGUUGUCAGGUCUAUUAUAAUUAACAAGCGGAAUGGCCAAUGGAUGAAGAACCACUGUAAUUUCGUUUAUGAAUUCAAAAUGCUAAAGAAACUGGACAUCAACGCUAAAUGUCAGCCUGCGGCCCUUGCCUCAGUGUCUUUCAGGCGUUACUCUGGGUAGUUGAUAUACUGACCGUCCCUUUAUCAAUUAAUAAUCGAAAUAGGUUAAAAAUAUGAAUGGAUUGAAUGGUAUGACUUGGAAUUAAAAUAUGGAAUGACGAUUAGAUUAAUUAAUUUAUUUAAAUUGAGAAAUUAGAAUCAUAAUAAAUUAUAUUGUUAUUGAUGUAUUUGUUUUAUCUUAAAAUUGCGAUGAGUUGUUACAAAUUACUAAUAUGCCUUUGAUUUUGUAUUAUGAUAAUUAUUAUUUAUUAUAACAUUUGUCAUAUAAUAAUAAUAAUAAUAACAACAACAACAAUUAAUAUUGAAAAAUUUUUAUUGUUAAUAAUAAAUAGGCAAUUAUCCACCGAUCAUGUGAUCUUUUGGACGUUUUAAAAAAUAUACAAACACUUUUUUCUUUGCAGAAAUCCACCUGAAAUUUACAAGUGUUUCAAUUGUUCACUGUUCAUCUAAAUUUUGUUAGAAUUUUCUUGACGUUGUAAGGAUAAAAUUGUUAUUUUUACCUUGACUUCCAAAGAGGAUGUCUUUCAAACAUGAUGAAAAUAAAAAAAAAGGAUAAAAAAUUAUCUGUAAACUAUCUGAUCUUUUAGCCAUUAUACAAAAUAUUAAAAAAAUAUACGAACAUUUUUUAUUUUUUUCAACAAUCCAUCUGAUAGUUAUGAAGUGCAUUAGUGCUCCACUACUAUCAUAACCCUUUAAAAAUAUCGCUUAAACACGAGAACCUAUUGCCUAAAAUUAUUUUUCAAGAAAUGUAACUACAGAUUUGGUUUUGAUCUUCAUGACUUUUAAGUGUACAAGAACAAGAUGAACGAACCUUUGUCGAGUUGAUGAAUUAAGAUAAAUCAAUUACAAAUCGAGAACAAACUUACGGGUGACAUUUUAGUAUUAAGCAAACUAUAAUUGAUCAUCCAAUGAUAGGCUUAUUUUCAAUUAAAUUAGAGUAAAGAUAGACAUUCCAAAUUUUUCUCUCAAAUUUAAUCUAGAUAAUGUGUUAUUAAUUGAGUGCUUGGUAAUUCUUUCAAGAUCUAAGUGAAUUAAUUAUAUUAUCUCUCCAACCAAUUGAUGAAUAUUAUAUUAUUUGAGAUAAUUUUUUUUUAUCUCAAAUCCCAGCAAAGAAAACAGAACAAACGGAGCAAAAAUAUUUUUAGAAACCUAAAAUAACAAAAAAAAACUUUUUCUUGUUUUUCUUAUUUUCCACUGUUAAACUUCAAAAUGAACAACUUUAUUCUACCAUCUCUCAAAUAAUAAUAAUAACAACAAUGUCAUCAUCAUCAAUAAUAAUAAUAAUAUAUUAACUUUGUAGGAUGGAGCUCUCGCAAAUCUUCAAGACACAAAAUGUGCUUGACCCCAUUGUUGUUAUUAUAAUUUCAAAAUCAUCUGUAUUAUAUAAUAUUAGGGAAUAUGACAUAGCAAAAUUGAUGGUACAUAUGUUGCAAUAUACUUGUUCAUGUGGCGACACAUUGAAGUAAAGCACAAGCAAAACAACGAAAAAUGUAACGGGAGAGCUCUCAUUAUGUAGAUUUUCAAUAGAAGUAAUGCAAAUUUCACAAGGAAUGGCCUUAUUUCGAAUGCUGCACCUGAGGAAUGACUUGAAUCUUCUUUAGAACUCAAGCAUUCUGUAAUCAUAGGGUAUAACAUUUCAACAAAAAUAUUAUAUAGGUCGUUCCUUUAUAUAUUUUCUGGGUACACAUACAGAAAUAUUAUUUUAGGUACAUUUCUCACAAUAAAGCCUGCCCAAUCUAGCAUUUUCGUAGUUGGGUUUCUUAUUUACAUGUUUUUUCCAUUGGUUAAUUAUCACAAACCUCCACUGAGAUUUAGCAUGUUUUUAGUUUGAUAGAUUGUAUUCGCGUAUUCUCAAAUACCUUUUAGUUUACCACUUCGUAUAAAUUAAGUUGGUGAGGAUAAAAUCAUAAAAGUACACAUUAAUGAUAAAAAAAUUCAAGUAAACUUGAAAUUUUCAAGGGGUAAUUUUUCGGGACCUCCCCUGAGGUUCGGUGUAUUAAAAGUCUCAUAGAAAGUAUUCAUGUAAUUAUAAGAACCUCCCCUGACGUUAGUACACAGUUAACUUGACUGUUAGUGGACUGAUAAAAAGUCAAAAAUGCCAUUGGCUACAAAAAUGAGUGCAACAAUUUGGAGUUAAAUAGUAAACACCACAUUGGAGCACUAAAAAGUCUAUAAUAAUCAUGGAAAAAAAUCAUUGACAUUUACAUAAUAUAAAAAAAAAAAGUAAAAUAUAAAUUAAGAAAAUCAACAAAAUUGUCAACGUAUAGAAUAUUUACAGCAGCAGUGGCUAUAAAUACAACCGUCGUCAAAUUAAAAUAUCACCAUUAGUAAACUACUUCAAUAAGACAAUAAACCAUGAUUCACUCUUCAAAGCAUUCAAAAUACACAACCCGCACAAUAGAAUCACAUACGCACACCUGCUAAUGAAAUAUAAGAACAAACAGGAAAUUGAACUGACAUGGCUAAGAUACUCCUUCCCCAUAGCUAUUAGAAAGAUAAUGAGCGAUUUAUGAAUCAUGAUGCUUGCUUUACUUUCUGGCAGUGUUAGCUUCAAAUUCAAUGAUAGUAAAUGAACAAUGGUUCAUUCAUUAUGAAAGUAAGUGUAAAGCUAGGAAUUUAUAAUAUUCAGAUGUUGGAAUUGGAAAAAUAUUCCUUAAUCGUUUCAAUUGAAGCCAAGGAAGAAAAGAAAUGAGUCUUCUUUUUUCAGGAGACAAGCCAUAUGAAGAAGGCAGACCAGAGCAUAAGAACGAAUGCUACUGCCACAGUAAAAGCCUGGAUCAAUGGGUAAUGGUACCUGCCAUGUCAAUUUCAAGACAAACAAAAAUCAAUUAUCAUCCCCAGACCACAACACCACCAAACCAACCUUUUGAAUCUAAAAUAACAAGUUAAUAAAUCAAAGAUUUCAAUUCAUUUAAGUUUGAAAUCAACUAAAAUAGAAAAAAAAAACCCAAUUUCUUUUUUGUUCAAUAUAACUCAUUCAGCAUCUUCUUCAACACAUUUUUUAUCAUUCUUCAUCAUCCACAACAAUAAAAAGAAAAAAAAAAACAUUGAGUCCAACAUGCAAGUUUUUUUUUUGGAAAACUAACCGUUUUUAGGUUCCAAUUUCUAGUAGUCUUAAACAGUAGCCGCCGACGAAAUUCGCUUGGCGACACCCUUUUGCCACCAUUGCAGCUUGUCAUGUUCAUACUCAGCUUAAAAUUACUUGAAGGCAGCAGGGAUUUUAUAGUUACAAAAGUUUCUUCAGAGCUUUUCAAGCUUGAAAAUGGCUGAGAGUUUCAUUUCAUGAGAGAGAAAAUGGAGUUUUCAUUCAUCUUAGAUAAAUUGAAGAUAAUUUGCAUUGUGGUAAUAAAUUGAUUGUCAGUGCCUAAAUUUGGGUCAUUCGACACAACUUGGAAUUUUUUUUAUUUUUUCUUUGAUUUUUAUUAUGAAACUACUAAUUUACCCUCAUAUACUAACAUAUAUGAAAUGGCAUACUAACGUCAGUUAUGUCAAGCAGCUCCCUGUAAUUACGUGAAUAUUUUUCAUGAGACUGUCAAUACACAAAAUCUCAGGGGAAAUCCCUAAACAUUACCUAAUUUUUAAGUUGUGUUCUGAAAUUGGUCUCAACUUUGUAAUGUGUAAUGCCCACAAAAAAAGAAAAGGAAAAAUGGUCAUCUCUUUCCUCCAUUCGAACUGAAGCCAUGAAACGCAAUAUCCCUUUCAUCUUCUCUCUAAUGCUUUGAUUAAAAAACUUGCUUACGAACGGGAGACCAUGACACUGAAUCCGAAGACAGAAAUACCUGAGAUGACUGAUUCACGCCGGCGAUGUGGAAGAAUACCGACCAGUGACUUUCGCCGUCGACCCACAAACAAUCCCAGUGUUUUCGAGCCGCGAAUGAGGUAUGAAUAAGAUUAUUUCCGUGCGUGUCAGUUUUGUAAGGAGAUUUGAUUAAAAAAAGAAUAAUGGGUCUCGAAAAUUUUUGAGUAUUUCUGUUGCUUAAAUUUUUUCCAUCGAUUAAUGUUAGUUGUAGGUGAAUGAUUGUUGCAAACGCAUGUUCGCUUGUGAUUGAUUGAAAAUGACUUGUUAUUUGUUAUGCUGCCAUGUGACUCAUUGAAAAUGCCUCUGAAAUUUUUUUAUUUGUUUAAGGUACUGAUUCUGAUUAUUGAACAGGGAUUCAUGCUAGUUUUUAUUAAAUUAAAGAUGAGAUUAUUUUUUAAGAGAUCUACCAAACCUUCUCUACUAUAGAUUUGGCUUCUGACAUACCUGGUUCGCUGGAGAUAAUUGUUUAUAUAGUCAUUGCUGCUCGUAUUAAUCAGGAACAUUGAUUAGCAAUGUACUGGAAUAGAGAUUGGUAUAAUUUUGGAAAAUUAGUCGUAGAUGCAACCUGAUUAUGGUCUCAAAUAGUGUGAUCUGUCAAUUCCGUUUGCUCUAGCCUAACAACCUUGAAUCUGAGCUAUGCCACUAUACAAAGUCCUGACCUAAUCAAGCUUGUUAGCCAAUGUCCAAAAUUGCAGUGUCUUUAGAUAAGCCCUGUCUUACUUGUUUGAGUUAUAAAUGAAAAUUGAAGUGUCUUUGGAUAAUCACGCUGAAUGUUCAAGUUAUUGAAGAGAAGGGACCCCAGAUUCAAGGCCGGAGCUCCCUGUUGAGAAGCUUUACAUAUAUGGGAUUGUCGCUGGGCGGAGGAUCGAUAUGCCCGGUUUUGUUUGGAAUAGGGAUGAAGAUUUUGCAUUGAGGCUUUCUUGAUAGAUCAUUCUGCAAAUCAAGCUCCAUGUACCUAUCUUCAGACUCUUGGAUAUGUAUAAAGCAGGUGCAUGCUCUAUAUGUUACUCAUUGUAUCACGAUUAUUUUUCUAUUGCUUAAAAUAAUUGCAGUCCUUGAUGUAGUUGGAGACAACUUAUGGAGGGUAUACAGAGGCUCGAGAGUUUGAUUGCCAUUCAUUUGACACUUGGCUGAGCUACAGCAUACCAACUAGUGAUUAAUAAAGAGAAGGUAUGAAGGUCCUGUUGCUGGUGGUAUUAUCAAUCAGAAUUGUUAUUUUACUUAGUCAUAGUUACCAUGUAUAAGAUUCGUAGACUUUUUGCAUGUUUAUGCAUUCGCAUCAUCUUUUUGUUAAGCUAGAGAUGGUUGAUUUGUGUACUCAUUUGUAUCACUUGUAGCCCUUGAGGAAUAAAAUUUAAAAUUUUGUUGCAUCUCCUGUACUAAAUACUAAUUUUGUUUGCUUUAUGUAUGGGAAAUGGUUCAUUAUCUUAUUUCUUUGAUGUGUAUAGUGUUACACUGUCUAAAGUUGAAAAGUAUUUCUAUCACUUGUGUAAAAAACAAACAAUUUUUUUUUCACUCUUCUUAUAUUGAAUAAAAGAAGGACACCAAGAUCUUCACCAAGAUUGAACGAAAUUUGAUGCAGAAAGCAUAGCAAUUAGGCCAGUGCAAAAUAGCUUCCUUCUGAUUCUCUGAUAUUUGACUUAAAUCUUUUGUUUGUUUCAUUCAUCAAAGUCAUUUUGGAAAGUAGCAGGCGUGAUUUGAUAUUUUCAUUGUAUUCACAUCCGUUGGCACCAAAACAAACAUGCUGGUACUAACCAACAAUUUUUUAUUUUUAGUGUACAAAUUAUUAUUUUUAAGACAAAUAAGCUGGUACUAACCAACAAUAUUUAUUUUCAGUAUACAAAUUAUUAUUUUUUUUUCUAAAUUAGGGGUAUUAAGAAAAGGUAUGCUAGCACCAGGGGAGGUAUUUGAAAAUAUACAAAUACAAUCUAUCAAACUGAGAAUACACCGAACCGGCAGGUUUCUGAUAAAUCCUUUUUUUCUUUUUCCUCCAUUCACUAUAGGUUCAAUUUAGACGCUGUUGACCAAACAGAAGGUUUGGGUUGGUAAACGCACUGGUGUUAAUGCCAACAACCCAAGGGGCUUCAUGGUCCUCUGGGCCGAAAUAGCGUAAUUAUUAAUUCUCCUCCAGUGAAAAUCUUCAUCUUGGGACAAAUAAUUACGAAUUGACAUUAUAGCUGUGGAAAUUUGGAGGUGUAAUAACCGGAAAAGUAAAAAUCUUAAGAGACUUUUUAAAUAAAAAAGAUACAACACCUUCAAUUUGCUAAAAGUAAUGGUAUCAUUUCUUGUACGGAUAAUGGAUGAUUAGAUUUUGUUUUUGUUAUCCGACGAAGGAUAUUCAGUUGUUCUUUAUGUGUUCACAGGCAAGAGCAUGAGCAUAUUCAUGGUUUCAUAUAUGCUUCUUGCAUUUUCUAAUUAAGUACUCUCUUUCCUUGCCUUCUUAGUUUUGAAAGAAAGAUGUGAAGCAAAGCAAACCAGUGAAAUAUACAGAGAAACAGAACCAUCAGAGGAAAAACUAAAUAACAGAACCACAAUUGAACCAAACAAAAUCAAAUAAACCGAGGCAACGGAUACCCUGAAUCAGGCAUCCCUUUUUCUCGAAAGAAAAUAUGUUUGCAUGGGUGGGAACCUAAUAAUUACUCAAGAGUUGGAGUUGGAAAGAUUUGGUAUUCAUAUCUUCACAAUUCAUAAGCUUUAAUGCAGAAUCGACAGCUUUAUAUUAAUUUAUUCAACCAAAAACGAUAAAGUAGGAAAACCACAAUAAUCCACCAACUUUUGCUACUUUUAGGAAUAAUUUUUAGUCAACUUUCAAAAAGUGAGAUGACGAUCUUUGAGUUGAUAAAUCUUGGCCUGCUGCUUAGUACCCUUCCAACAUAUAAAGUACUAGAUGUUUAGCUGAGAAAAUGACGAGAUCAUUUAUCAAAUUUCUUGCGCAUAUAUACAUAUAUAUACAAGAAAUAAGAAUCAGAGUGAUUAUAAGACCUUGCAAUGAGGCAAUAAUACAUCAUCAAAUCUAAAAAUACACAAGAAAUUCGUGACGUAUAUAACAAUAGACCUCUCAUUGAGUCAUACAUAUUGAGAAUAAAAUGUCAAAAUGCAUACAAAGAGCUUAUACAGAAAAUGAAUUUACACACAUUUAGAAUAAACUGUCUUUGAACUUCCGAUGGNNNNNNNNNNNNNNNNNNNNNNNNNNNNNNNNNNNNNNNNNNNNNNNNNNNNNNNNNNNNNNNNNNNNNNNNNNNNNNNNNNNNNNNNNNNNNNNNNNNNNNNNNNNNNNNNNNNNNNNNNNNNNNNNNNNNNNNNNNNNNNNNNNNNNNNNNNNNNNNNNNNNNNNNNNNNNNNNNNNNNNNNNNNNNNNNNNNNNNNNNNNNNNNNNNNNNNNNNNNNNNNNNNNNNNNNNNNNNNNNNNNNNNNNNNNNNNNNNNNNNNNNNNNNNNNNNNNNNNNNNNNNNNNNNNNNNNNNNNNNNNNNNNNNNNNNNNNNNNNNNNNNNNNNNNNNNNNNNNNNNNNNNNNNNNNNNNNNNNNNNNNNNNNNNNNNNNNNNNNNNNNNNNNNNNNNNNNNNNNNNNNNNNNNNNNNNNNNNNNNNNNNNNNNNNNNNNNNNNNNNNNNNNNNNNNNNNNNNNNNNNNNNNNNNNNNNNNNNNNNNNNNNNNNNNNNNNNNNNNNNNNNNNNNNNNNNNNNNNNNNNNNNNNNNNNNNNNNNNNNNNNNNNNNNNNNNNNNNNNNNNNNNNNNNNNNNNNNNNNNNNNNNNNNNNNNNNNNNNNNNNNNNNNNNNNNNNNNNNNNNNNNNNNNNNNNNNNNNNNNNNNNNNNNNNNNNNNNNNNNNNNNNNNNNNNNNNNNNNNNNNNNNNNNNNNNNNNNNNNNNNNNNNNNNNNNNNNNNNNNNNNNNNNNNNNNNNNNNNNNNNNNNNNNNNNNNNNNNNNNNNNNNNNNNNNNNNNNNNNNNNNNNNNNNNNNNNNNNNNNNNNNNNNNNNNNNNNNNNNNNNNNNNNNNNNNNNNNNNNNNNNNNNNNNNNNNNNNNNNNNNNNNNNNNNNNNNNNNNNNNNNNNNNNNNNNNNNNNNNNNNNNNNNNNNNNNNNNNNNNNNNNNNNNNNNNNNNNNNNNNNNNNNNNNNNNNNNNNNNNNNNNNNNNNNNNNNNNNNNNNNNNNNNNNNNNNNNNNNNNNNNNNNNNNNNNNNNNNNNNNNNNNNNNNNNNNNNNNNNNNNNNNNNNNNNNNNNNNNNNNNNNNNNNNNNNNNNNNNNNNNNNNNNNNNNNNNNNNNNNNNNNNNNNNNNNNNNNNNNNNNNNNNNNNNNNNNNNNNNNNNNNNNNNNNNNNNNNNNNNNNNNNNNNNNNNNNNNNNNNNNNNNNNNNNNNNNNNNNNNNNNNNNNNNNNNNNNNNNNNNNNNNNNNNNNNNNNNNNNNNNNNNNNNNNNNNNNNNNNNNNNNNNNNNNNNNNNNNNNNNNNNNNNNNNNNNNNNNNNNNNNNNNNNNNNNNNNNNNNNNNNNNNNNNNNNNNNNNNNNNNNNNNNNNNNNNNNNNNNNNNNNNNNNNNNNNNNNNNNNNNNNNNNNNNNNNNNNNNNNNNNNNNNNNNNNNNNNNNNNNNNNNNNNNNNNNNNNNNNNNNNNNNNNNNNNNNNNNNNNNNNNNNNNNNNNNNNNNNNNNNNNNNNNNNNNNNNNNNNNNNNNNNNNNNNNNNNNNNNNNNNNNNNNNNNNNNNNNNNNNNNNNNNNNNNNNNNNNNNNNNNNNNNNNNNNNNNNNNNNNNNNNNNNNNNNNNNNNNNNNNNNNNNNNNNNNNNNNNNNNNNNNNNNNNNNNNNNNNNNNNNNNNNNNNNNNNNNNNNNNNNNNNNNNNNNNNNNNNNNNNNNNNNNNNNNNNNNNNNNNNNNNNNNNNNNNNNNNNNNNNNNNNNNNNNNNNNNNNNNNNNNNNNNACAAUUUUGUUAUGCCCCAAACCGUUGGGAGAAACAUGACGCCCCACGUUUACCCACGAUUCGGUGGUUGGAGACCCAUGAAGGUUUGUCAUCACCCGAAAAUGAGGGGCAUGAAUAAGACUCAGAAAACAGGGAUGAUUGCCUAUAAAAGGCCAAGAAAUCGAUGAAAAAUGGGAGACACAAAUUGAGAGUAAAGGGGAAACUCUGUCAAAUUAUAAUCAGAAAUUCAUAUAUCCAAAUCCUUGAUACAUUUGGUAUUGAGAAUAUUGCAACUAAUAUGUACAACACAAAUCAUUCACUUUUCUCGUAAACACCUUGUACUAACUUAAGUAUCGAAGGGUUUAUGCCCAAAAAACCAUCGGCGUCUCUGAUUUGUUUCUGUGAACGCAGGCCUGGAAGGAAGAAGACGGGUGAUUUGGGUCCAGAAGCUCGGGAAAUUGCUGAAGCUAAUGGAUCGCAGCCUCUGUUCCUUUGCCAAUACAAGCGUUGGUGAACCAAUCUGGUCGGUCCAAAGGCGACUAGAUUUCAGCAUCAACAGAUAUUAUUUUGAUGAAUUUUUUAAUAUUAGAAUAAUGUUAGGAAUUCCAAUAAUAAAAUUCUAACUUGAGACCCAAUUGUUAUGUGUUAUUUUUUAUUGAAUAAUGAAUUUCACAACUAAUAAAAUUUAUAUUUCCAUCAUCUAAUAAAUGACUACCAUAUCAGUUGGGACUCAAUUAUUAGGAUCCUUAACAUUGCUCUUAGUAUUAAAUUGGACAUCUUAGCUAAAUCAGAUUAAAAAUCAAAUUAGUUUUUAGGCUUUUAUUCAACAUCUCUUUUUUUUUUUUUUUUGUCUAUUGGAAGUGAACGAAUAAAAAUACAACAGGGUCAACGACUGGGCAAUUGGUAGUCAAGUAGAAGCAAAUCAAGGCUAAAUGGGAAAGAGAAAUGAUAUUUGUGCAAAAUAAGGAGAAAAUCAGUGUAACAGAAGAGAAUCAAAGUGCUUUUGAGAUAAAAAAUUGAAACAAGAAAAGGGUCGCUUGAUCCAAUGAAAAUGCAAAGAGCUGAUGGCAAAAGGGAACAAAGUUAAAUAAGAAAACAGCUAGCGCUAGCAGCGACCACAAUAAACAGAAAAUUUGAGAUGGAUUUACAAUAUUUCUGCCUUUCUUUAUGCUUUAAAAAUAUUGCUCUAUCAAAAAAAAAAUAUUGAACAUUUUUAUUAUUGGAGUCACAAAUGACCUACACAAUAUAGCAAGUGACUAGGAAUAAUAAGAAUAUAUAACUCUCUCUAAUUCUCACUCUGGCUUUUAAUUGUCACUCAAAACCCAGAAUUCAUCCUUAAAGUGUAGGCAAAUCAAGGAUGACACCGUUUGGUUGUCAUACGUGCCUUUUAGUUUUCGGAUGACAUGGCGUACACUUCUUCUGUAAACCCAACAAGACAUGUCGUACUCUUUUGUUUUGAGAUUCUAUUUCAAACUUUUCAUGCUAUGAAUGAAAGAUAAACUCCAAUCAUCAAAAUAUUUAGUGUUUGGUAAUGUAAUGUCAUAGUUGUGAAUUGAAAUUAUUUCUAUAAAAAUAAAGGAUUUGGGUCAUUGUUUGUUAUUUUCUGACAACAUUUAUUAAAUAUUAAAAAUAAAUUUAUAUUUAUUAGGUAUUAAAAAUAAAUAAACAAACAAAAAUAAAAGUAAAAGUUUAUACAUUACGUAAAAAUAAUGACAAUAUCAAUAUUUCGCACUCUAUAAUGAGUGAUGUGUGUCCAACUGGCAUACAUUGUCCCAAACGGAGACUUAAAUAUCAAAGUCCAAAGUUAUUAUGAUGAUGACUUAUAAUCGCCAAACUUGACAUACGGGUAAUCAUGCAUUAUAAGGUGCUAAUUUCUUCCGAUCGGAACCUUAUUUUCAUUUACAAAUAAAUAAAUGAUGUGACUUCACGGUUGGCGGGGUCCUUUGUGUCAUUUGGGCAUUUCACUAAAUGAUUGAUUGUAGCAGGAAGAUUCCUGGAAGUUGCCAUUUGCCAAUGCUACUAACAUUUUCAAACUUGGAAAACCCUUCAAUCAAUCUUUAGUGGAGGCUCUGGUAACUUGGUUUGAUUAUGACGUUAAUAUUUGAUAAUAAAGUUAGAGGAUGUAUUAAUAUAAAAUUUGUUUAUUGGUGUUGAAGUUAAUUAUCUCAUUAAUUAUAGUAUAAAAAGUUAAUUACUAAGAAACACAUAGCAAUAGUUAAUGGUGUCAUAUUAUUGGGAUUCUGGGAUACAAUUUAUAUCAUAACUUGUAAGUGUAUACUUACUCAUCAAACUAAUAAAAUUAUUUAAAAAUUUCAGUUGGAAAAAUAAAUUAUAUUAUUUUCAUUUCAAAUAAUCUAUAAGUUAACUCAAAACAUAAUCAAGCUGAGAAUUAAAAUAAUGCUACUGUAUGAGAGGAUUUUUAUUUUUUCCCGGAAGUUUCACUAGGAAAUUAUUGAUACAUAGCUUAUUCGGAUCAUUCUCAGUUCAAACGACAAAUAAUUGAAAGACUAAGCUAAAUAGACCAGCCAACAACUUUGUACAAGAGAGUUCAAAAAUUAAGGUCAUGGUAUUAAGGUGUUCUAUCUUGAAAAGUAUAGAGUAGUAAUAAAAUAAAAACUAAUAUUUUUGGUAAGAUAUGACAUUUAAAUAAUAAUUUCACAAAAUACAAAGGAAUAUUUAUAAAUUACUUUUAUAGUGAGGGGACCUCACUCUGUUAAAGUGAAAAUAUCAAUAAUAUACAAAAGACAUAUAUUUUAACACAUUAAAAAUUGUAUUUUUUUUAUCUAUUGUUAUUGAAAUAUGUGUUAUUUAGUUUGUUAGUGAUAUCAUUACUUUGUUAAAAUGAGAAUGUCGUUACUAGAGAAUCAUUAUGUAUACAUAUAUAAAGUGCUUCUGUCCAAGAACUAGACUUUAUUAAAAUUUGAGAAAGCAAAUAUAUUUUAUAUGGUAUAAUAGUGUAAUAACAUCACACUAUUAUAUCAUAUAGAGUAAUAGUUUUUCGAACUUUAAUAAAAUUCAAGAUUAUAGAAUGAAUGAUUUUUAUAUAUUAUAAAUUUUUUUAUCAUAAAUGGAGGACAAAAUUAACAUAUUUCAAAUUAUAAUAAGCAUUUAUCAAAUAAUUUAACAUUGCAAUUUCUCCUAACUAGUAUAGUAAAUAAUACGACCUAGGAGAUACAUUCAAAGCAUUUCAUAAGUUAGUUGUUUAAUAAUAAAUUAUAUAUGCAGCUCCAAUCAUCAUUGUACGGUGAGUAAUUUCCAGUUAUAAAUAGAUAUUACUCCCUUCCCAGCAAUUUUUGAUGACUUAAUUUAGUGGAUCAAAAUCACAUUGAAUUUUUGACCAGCUGCACAACUUGUGAGCAGUUCACAGUGGGUACUGCACAUGAUGCCUGUUUCUCCUUUUGCAUCUAUUUUGUUGUUAACAUUAAUUUCAAUAGCAGCUCGUUAAUCCCAUUUGUUGAUUUGGGACUAGAUAAGAAUUUAUCUUGGAACUCCAAUUCUCCAAUUAUUUUAGUUGACAAUAUAUUUAACAUUAUUAAUUGCAUAUUAUUUAAUUAUCAGUAUAUAAUAUUCUUUAAUUUUCUAAUUUUAUAGGAUUAGACACAAAAUUGAUUAUGCCUUUUGAAAUUUAAGGGUUAUGUCAAUUGAAUAGAAAACUUGGAGGUAAACUUGUGGAUGUUUUGUUGAUUAUCAAUUUAUGCAUGAAUUUUUGUACGUUUACUUUGGUUUAUAAUUAUUACUUUUAAACAUUUUUAUUGGUUUGAUUUAGGGUCAAUUUGGUAAUCCUGUAGCUUUUAAAAUAAUUACAAUUAGCUAUGCUGUAGAAAAUUGAUCAAUCGUCAAGAGAAUCAGCUGAGCAUUUAGUAAAAUUUAUUUUUUAAAAGUACUUUUAGUUUUAAAAGCGUUGUAUGAAUAAAACUGUUACACUAAAAAUUAAAUGUAUUGCCACUUGGGUAAAUAAAGCUAUAUAUUACAACUGUUACACUAAAAAUUAAAUGUAUCUUAAACCCAAACUUCUUCUUCUUCUUUUUUUGACUAACAAAAUUAAAAACAAUAGUGAACACAUUCUUUAAUAAACAAUAAGUAAUAAAUAAAAUCGUGUUAAAUUUCUUAAAAACUUUCUUUCACGGUUUGCUAAAUAUUUUUAUUAGUAUUUUAAAUAAAUAAAAUAGUUGAUUUAAUUUUUUAAAUAAACUUAUUAGGUUCAUGUAAAGAUGUUUUUGUUAUUUUAAAAAGUGUAGAAAGUACUCCUAAAAAAAAGCGUAGAAAGUAAAACUUAAUUUUUUAAAUUUAUUAGCUGAGUGCAUAAAUAAUUGAGUGUUCAUAAUGAUUUUAAAGUAUAGAUAGUCGGACCCUAAUAUUUUUAAUAAAUGGAAAUUUUGCUAAUAUGUUAAUGAGAAUUAAAAAGAUAAUUAAGGGAGGCAAUCGAGACAUUCAGGAUAGUUAGGAUGGGACAUGAUUGUGAGCGGUUAGAUAUUGGUCCUAAUUUUGAUCACAAAUAUAUAAACAGGACGAGUUUAUCUCUACUUACAUUCCAUUUGAUAAUUUAAGAUGAGAGUGGAAUUGUCAAAUCCCAAUCAUCCCGGACCACUGCCACAAGGGGUACUCUCACUAAUAAUAUCUAAAGAAAAAUCUACAUCUAUUUCAUACUUUUUUUUAAUGGAAAGAGCCCUCAUGGGGCUUGAAUGGUAUCCUAAAUAAUAUUGAGAAUAUCAGGUCAUGAUUGGGUUUGUGACAAACAAAUACUACAUAGUUGGGAUACGUAGUUAUAAUGUCCCAAUUUAUGUAGUAUCUAUCAUUUAGCGCACAUAUAAAAUAUUAAUCAGCUUAAUUAAUUUAUAAAAUUUAAAUCUAAUUAAUAAGUGAUACAUAAUGCCAAGUGCAAUACUGUAUAUGCAAAUCAUGUUUGUGGAUCAUUACAAAAUUGGCUCUUGAAAACAAGCAAGAAAGCUUAAUUAAGAACUUAAAACAAAAGAAUUAGAUUGAGAACAGUCAAGCCUUAUUUUUUCAAGGAUGGAGCUUAUAAAUCUUCAAGUACCAACAUACGCUUGGCCCAAUUGUUGUUAUUAAAAUUUCAAUAUACAUAUAUAAGUAUGAUAUAGCAAAAAUUUGAUGGUACAUAUGUCGGAAUAUACUAGUUCAUGGGUGCAUUUGAUUAUUGUUUCCAUAAUUUUGAACCAGGAAGGACGACACGAUUAAAAUUUGAUUUUAUGGUAUGGUUGAUUUCAUAGCUCAUGCACUCAUUUCUUAAGAUAAUCAAAUUUUCUCUGACAUCUUUUUCAACUGUCGAAAUAUCAAUUAUGAUCAAUCAAAACGAUUUCAAAACCUUUCAACGAGACAUAUUUCUAAUACAAUAUUGUGAAAAUUACACUAAAAAAUUAAUUUAUUAUAUAUUAUUAUCCAACGAGCACACAAAAUGAUUUCGUACAAAUCUAAAAUACUAAGCAAUUUUCAAAUAGAAUUUACCAUGUACUACAAGAAAAUAGGGUAUAUGUGACCCCUACUGUGAAUGCAAAAGCAGCCAUUACGCAUAACCCCGAGUUGCUUUUGUUACCCUUUAUGUGACGGCCACACUGCUGUCACAUAUGUUACGAACCGCGUGACGGUGAAGAGCCGUUCGGUUAUACUAAUAUUUUAGAAUUUUAAAUUUAUUUCCAGUUAGAAAACUAUUCGCUGGACUCCGUGUUGCUGGCCACCAUCGUAAACAUAACUGGUUGCCAGCGAACGGCGUAAAACGCCGGCCAUCUUCUUCUUCAACGUAUUCUCCCUUCAUCUUUUGAGGUAAGCUUGUGAUUAUGAGUUUCUUCUCUUACUUAGCUUGUAAUUAUAGAUUUUGAUUUUUUUUAAUUCGUAUUGUAGCCGUUAUUGUCAAUUUUUGUCCCGCCAGCAAUAUUUUUUUAUUCCUACAAGUUGAACCCCUGUGUUCUUGUUCCAUUGGUGAGUUUGCUCACUCAAAUUAAUUUUGUUCUGCGGAAUUUACAAAGUUCAAAUGGAUUCAUUUGAAUUACUAUUGAAUUUAGCUUUAAUUCCAACAUCCAUUCUAAUGUUUUGCAAUUAGAUUUAAUUUAAUUUUAUGUUUAAAGCUUCUACAAUGAAUAGCGGAGCUUGGGUUUUAGUUUCAUUUUCUGGAUAACUUGUUUUAGUUUAUCUUGUAUGCUCACCAAAUGCUUGUUAUAUUGUCUGAUAAGUUAUAUACAUUGCUGAUUCUACAUUAAUAAUGUUACGUUGUAUUUUCAGAAAUUAUAAUACAAAAGUUUUUGCAAUGGCGUGCAUCUACAAACUGAAUUGACUUGUAGAAUAAGAGCUCGGAGUAGUGUUAUGUUCUUGAAUAAUUGAAAGUUCAUAUUGUGUAAGAGCAUGUAGAUGUAAAGCAUCAUUACCAUUUCUACAAAGUGCUUUCAUUCUGUUCAUAUGCUCUUCUUGAACUUUGAAAGGUGCCUCGUUCAAGUCCUAGCUAUAACUACUAGCUUUGAUUAAUUAAGUUCCUAUACUAGCUGAAACAGAUUUAUUUAAUUAAUUAAUUGUGUAUGUACUAAUUAUAUUGAAAGUAUAUGAAUUUUUUUUUAACAUGAAUGACUUCUAAAUGACUUAAAAACCUAAAGGAUGUGUGAAACAAUGCUCAUUUCAUUUGAAUGAGCCCAUUAAUACUUUUAUGUCUAUGAUUUUCAAUAUUGGCUAAAGCAUUUCAGUUAAGUGGUUUACCUAACAGAGAAAAAAAUUUAAUAGAAAACUUCAGAGUUCUAACAGAAAUAUAGUUCACUAUGCAGAUAUAGUUAUUUUACGGUAUACAAAUCAAGUUGUCCUAAUCUCAAUGUCCUAUGACCGAUUUUAUUUUAUAUAGUCAUUAAUUUUUUCCUUGGUUUUUUGUGUUUAUGAGUAUGAAAUAGUGGGAUUUGGUGUACCUUAGCAUCUUUUGAAAAUUCUCUUUCAGUGUGGCCAACAGAAAUAUACAUAUAAUCAAGUUUCUUAAUCGUGUAUAUUAGUUUUGGGUAUGAAUGUUCCUAUUCUAGUUCGAGGCAAAGCUUCUUCGUUUUGGUCUUCAGAUUUCCAGUAGGUUAAGUUAAUCAACUAUCAUAACUGGCUAGCUAGUUAUUGUCUGCCUUGGCGCCAUUACCCAGGCCAUUAUAUUGCAUAGCAUAAGGAAUAGUGAUUAGGGGAUUAUUAGUGAUUUGUUGAGCUUAUUAUCGACCAAACAAACAUAUUCGCCUUUGCCCACAACUUAGUUUGAUUAGUUAUUAGACCAUAAAGAGCCUUGAUCUAUUCAUUGGCUUUAUUAUUUUUAUUUGGUUUUUCUUUCAACAAUAUUGUUGAUUUCUUAUAAAAAUAUUCAUUGGUUUUUAAAACACCUAAUCAUUGGCUAUAUGAAGCUAAUUAAAACUGAGGCUUUGGAUCAAUUUCUUCUAACAAGAUACAAAUGAGCAUUAACCUAUCUCCUAUGAGUAAAUUUUUUUAAUAUCCUUGAUUUGUAAGGAUCUGGAGGCCUGAAAUCCUCUAGAUUUUUUUUAACACUGUCAAUGUUCUUUUUAUUCUGAGAAGGAAAUAAAAGGUUUUAUCUUUCAUACCCAAAUAGUAAGCUGGCCUUGUCUUAACAUGGCCUCCGAGGACUUGCAAGAUUCAUAGUGCCCCCCACCCCAAAAAAUAAAAAAUAAAAAACACAAAUAGGAAGAUUUUGCAAGAUUCACCACCAGGUUUUUUUUUAAUUUGUUAAUUGUGUGUACGUGCUAGUUAUAUGUUGAAAGAAUAGGAAGAAGUAUUUCAACAUGAAUGACUUAAAACUUAUUGCUCAGUAAACAUAAUCUGCAUGUAUUUAUCGUUUGUAUUUUUUAUGGUUUUGCUAAAGAAAUGAUAUGUGAAAUAAUGCUACAUUGCAUCAGGAAUAAAUUGAAGAGAUUUAUGAUAUUUAUGUGUUAUUCAAAUUUCAGAUUCAAUUUUAAACUUUUGAUACGUGCAUUGAAAGCUUAGACUUGUUUAAGAAAUUAUUAAUAGACACAUGUUUUUAUUAGUGUCAUCUUUGGAUGAUAGUGAGGAUCAUAUGUCUAUUAAUAAUUCUUGAAUUGUCCAGGCUUGGACAGUUUGGGAAUGCAUAGUUCACUCUGGUAGCUAGUAGCUGAAGUUUUUUCCCACGUAAAAAUGGGUUUUUCAGUAGCUGCUCCUCGUGUUCUCUGGGUACGUACUAGGUGAAUGGGUGUCAUGUGUUGUUUUGGCAUAACGCAUAAACACUUAUAUAGCUAUGUCGUGUGCUUGGAGAAUUAUAGGGAGAUGGUGCCGAAAUUUUUAUAAACGUGGAAGAAAACUUUAGGUACUUGAGAUUGAAGAAACUUAUGCAUUCUUGAGUGGGAUAUGUAGGAUUACUUACCUUUUGUAAAUAUGAAGGGAAUGUUGGAUAUAUUGGGGAUAGUGUAGGAGCUGAGUUGGAUGAAUGUAAUUGGUGAUGAUUUUGCUGAGCUGACCUUGGUUUUGAGCUUGUAAUUUGUUGUAAAUGGAGUGCUAUCUCCAAUGUUGGUUUAUAAAUAUGUUUCAGGACUUGCUGACCUAAUUUUUUGUUUCUAGGUUACAGGCUUUAUAUAUCUGUAAUUGAUGGCGAAGUGAAGUUCCCAGAACUUGGCGAGGAUGUUUCUUUACAGAAGGUAUUGGAAACUGUUUUUUACAUUAAUUAUUGUUGUAUAUAUACUUUGAUUUUCACAUCUUUUUCUCUGAUUCUUGUGGCUUUGCUUGCUUUCAUAUAUGUAAAUUCUAAUGAAAUUAACCAUAAAAUUGUAAAAUGAUCUUUUUAUUAUAUUGCAAAACUGUGCACACACGAAAAUAUAUUGUUUAGUAGUAGAAAUGAAGAACUAAAAUGAUUUACUUAACUAAUUUUUGUAGCGCAUUAAAAGGAGAUAGUCAUGGACAUGUGUUGGGUUGGUUUGCCAAAUAGAUAUCCAAGUCAUAUACUGAUGGGGAUGAAAAAUUUAUAGAUUUUGCAUUUGAGAAUGUUGUUGGUGGUACAAGAAUUUAAUGUCCUUUUAAGAAGUGUUGUAAUCUAUAUUUCGUUAUAAGGAAAGUGGCUGAUGAUGAUAUGGUUGGAAUGAUACAAUGCAUCACGUAAUCAAAUGUUCAAGUUACACGGAGCAUUGUUAUGGACUAUCAGUGACUUUCUAGCAUUGCCAACUUGUCUGGGUGGAGUAUUAAAGGUAAAUAAGCAUGUCUUGUUUGCCAACAAAACACUAGAUCUAAUUGGUUGAUACAUAGUAGAAAAUUUUGUCACGUGGGUCACCGUCGAUUUUUACCAACAAAUCAUAGGUUUCGAAAAUAUAGUGUCUUUUGAUAAAACUAGAGAGUAGGGACCAGCACAUUCUCGGUUGUCUGGAUCUGAAGUGAAAAAGCAGUUUAAUAUACUUACUGAGUAUAAGAUUGAAGACUUGAAAAUAGGAGAAUGAAUAAAAUGAGAGAAAUGAUAAGAUUACUUGGAAGAAGAAAAGCAUAUUUUAUGAACUACCGUGUUGGGAGUUCAAUUUGAUUCAUCAUAAUCUUGAUCUCAUGGGCUGUUUUGAUUUUUGUUAUGAACUCAGAUCAAAAGUUUAAUGUGAUCAAAAUUUCUUAAAAAUAGUGAAAAACGACUCCUAAUAAUAUGGAAGAUGGCUAUAAAAGAUAAAAGGAAAGGCUUAAAAAGAAAAGCCAUGCCUGUCCAAAAAAAAAAAAAAAUCAACAAAAAUCAAAACGGUGCGUUUGAGAGUGUAUAAAAUACAUUUAGAGUGGGAGUUGUGUUGUUGCUUGAAGGCAGAAAGAUAUUUGUCGACGAAGCCAAAACCAAAGAUGAAGCCCAUAAAGCUCAAAACUCCACCGGAGCAAAUUCAGACAAUUACGAGGGUUAUGUUUGACAUAGUCAAGGAAGACGGUCCUCUCACCGUUGCCGAAACUUGGGAACGCGUCAAGGUGUGUGUAUCUGUUAAAUUGAAUUUCAACCGUUUGAUCUGUAAUUAUAAUUAAUCCAAUCGAUCUGACAGUGAUCACUGACCAUAAUACUAGUAGUUGUUUUACAUUUUCAGCAGGCUAGAGCGGGUGGAUUGACGGGCAAAAGCUCAGGCUCGUCUGCAAUCACAUGGGCCCUCAUAAGCAAAUCCUGUACACAACUUGGUUCACUAAACCCAACAACUUGAAGCAGCCAAAAUCAGGGAAUGAUCCUUCUCCGUCACAACCCUAGCUGCCUUAACCUUGUAGUGACACGGUGAAGAUGGAAGCCCCUCAGCAUGUAAACUUUUCAACAGCGACAGAGCUCUUAUUCCAGAGGCUGCACAGAAGAGCGACCUGAAUCCUCUUCAAAACUUUCAAAUUUUUAUCAAGUAAAGCUUUCAAAAUUUCUCAACAAACUGAUUAUUUGGUGUGGUUGCCACAUUUUGUGCAACUGCUAUUCGUCUUCAAGUACAAAUUCCUUGCCUUCUAAGUUAGGGAACAUAGAUGUGGAGCAAACAGGGAAAUAGAUGUGGAGCAAACAGGGAAACAGCAAUGAUGGCAAUUAACAAACUAAUAGCAGUAUUACAUUUGAUUCUUUAGCCCAAUUUUGUUCCUUCUGUCAGCCAUUCUUCAAAAGUUUUUGAAAAUUAGAUGUGAAGCAAAAAAAAAACAAAUUUAGACAACAGAAGCCCUGUGCUCAACAUCAUAUAUAUACCUUGAAUACCUAAUAUACUAAAUUUCACAUAUAAAAUACUAGAGAUUUCAAACAGUACCAGCAAUAGAAUAAUGACAACGACAACAAUAACAGAAAAUUACAAGAUUGCUGACAAAAUUUAUGUGAUUUACUGUGCCUUUAUGCAUGCAAAAUGAAACUGAAGAUAAAAAAUUUAGGGAAAAGGACACAGAGACCCCCAACGUUUGAAUAAGGGACACAAAAUCCCUUAAUGUUUCAAAAAAGACACUCAGACCCCCAUUUGUUAACAUUAAAUUAUAAUUUUACCAUUGUACCCUUAUAGCAUAUUAAAAAAUAAUUAUUCAUUAUCCAAUUUAUUUCUAUAUUAUUAAUAAAAUUACGAAUAUAACUUCAUUACUCAAUUUUUCCAUUUAAUUUUUAUCAAAUUUUAUCUUCAAACUAAAUAAAUUUAAUCCAUUGCUCAAAAAUAAAAAUAAAUUAAAUUGAUUAUUAAUAUAAUAAAAAUAACAAUUCUCCAUAUGUUAUUUCUUAUAAUUUCUUAUAUAUAAAUUAAAUUGAUAAUUUCUUAAAAAUAACAAUUCUCCAUAUAUAAAUUAAAUUUAUUUUAAUUUAAUAUAUGUUAUUUUUAUAUUAAAUAUAUGUUAUUUUUAUUAUAUUAGUAAUCAAUUUAAUUUAUUUUUAUUCUUGAGUAAUGGAUUAAAUUUAUUUAGUUUGAAGAGAAAAUUUGACAAAAAUUAAAUGGAAAAAUUGGAUAAUGAAGUUAUAUUCGUAAUUUUAUUAAUAAUAUAGGAAUAAAUUGAACAAUGAACAAUUAUUUUUUAAUAUGCUAUGAGGGUAUAAUGGUAAAAUUAUAAUUUACUGUUAACAAAUGGGGGUCUCAGUGUUUUUUUUGAAACAUUAGGGGGUUUUGUGUCCCUUAUUCAAACGUUGGGGGUCUCUGUGUCCUUUUCCCAAAAAUUUAUAAACUAGAAAUUUAUAAUAAUCUAACUUAUUCUCGUUACUAUUAAAAAAUAAGUAAACAUAUCAAUAACAAUAUAGUUUAUUAUGAUUAUAAUUCAUUCAAUUAAAAUAAAUAAUUUAUUCUUAUUUCUAUUCUCUAUUCUAAUUUCAGUAAAUUUUGAUUUUAGUUUAUUUUAAUUAUUGAUUAGUUGUAAACUUAACUGGAAAUUUAUUGCAUAUAUUACGAGAAGCAGUACACACCAAUGGUAAAUUGAUACAUCGUUUUUGAGCUUAAGAUAGUCAAAUGAAAGAAACACAACGUAGGGUUCAUGAAACACUUUCAAAGCUGCUGAUGACUUAAAGUGAAUAACCUCAGCAUGUAAACUUAACUUCAAAGGACGGAGCACAAGUUUCACAGAAAAACAGCUCUUAUUUCUGAUGCUGCGAACACAGAGGAGUGACCUCAAUCUUCUUCAUCACUUGGGAAUUCUGCAAUUAUAGAGCACGACAUUGAGCAUGAACUAGAAAAAAUAUUUAUUUUCUACAAUUUUCAUAUAACCUCACUAACCAAGAUUAAUUUUGUGGUAAUGUAUUGGGUCAUUAAUUCAUAUGUUUUUACUGUCAUCACUUUAGAAAAAACUAAUUUCUCAAUGUGAAAUGGCCCAUAAAAGGUAUUCUCAUUUAAAAACUAAAUUUGACAAACCCCUCGAUUAAAGCAGGGGAGAGAAAAGAAAAAAAAAAAGAUCUGAAGGCUUUCCACAUGAAAAUGUUGUCACUUUGGAUGAUAUUUUCAAGGGAUUUCAUUCUAAAAAUAAAAUACCUGGGACCUUAUUCUUCAAAUUGACAGCUCGCCCAGUACUAAACGCGUAUGAGAUCAGUACUGGGACAAGUAACGAGACGACCCCUCCAACAGCUGAAAAUAAAAUUCGCAUUCAUCAAUUUAAAUUGAAAUUCAUAUUAUGAAAUUAAAACUAAUGAUUAAUGAAUUUUCAAGGAAUUUAAUAAGAUUCUCAUAUAUAAACGUGAUAAAAAAUUCACUCAUCAAUAACAAAUAUUCUAACAUUUUGUUGAUGUAAUUGUUGUAUGGUUGUGUUAAGGUCAUUAUUAGACCAACGCAGUUUGUCAUCACUCAUUCCGUACCAGACGUUUACUCUCGGAGGCGUGAUUGAUUCUCCUUUGGUGAAAUCUUCAUCUUCGGACAACCAAUCACAGUAAGAUAUUCCAAAGAUGGGAAUUUGAAGGCGUAAUUGCCAGAGGAGAAGCUUGUGAGACUAUCUAAAUCAAACAGGGACAACGUAGUCAGUUUGCUGAAAACAAUCUCUUCUUUUAAAUAUGCUGUUUCAUUUCAAGACUGGCAAAAUUCAUUGUGUAAUCAAAGUUUUCAAUGAUCCAACUAAUAUAUAUAUAUAUGUAUGUAUAUUCCUUCUCUAGUGCAGACAUUCUCAUUUUUUUUUUUCAUGUGGACCAGUUUUUAGAUCCCCUGGUUUAAAAGAGUUAGUUUUUAACUCUUUAAAACCGCAUGGCUUCAUAAUUUAUUUAAAAACUAACUCUCUUAAACCGCACGGUUUAAAAGCGUGUCCACAUUAAAAAAAAAUACGGACCCCCACACCUGAGAAUGAUUAUAUAUAUAUAUAUAUAUAUAUAUAGACACACGCUCUUAAACCGUGGGAUUUGAAAGCUUCUCCGCAUGAAGAAAGUAAAAAAUAAGGGCAUUCCCACUAGAAACAAACUCCAUAUAGGUAUUUAUUAAACCUCCUGAUCUGUGAGUGAGGAACAACAAAUAUAAUUGAUAAAAAAAAUCUAAAAUUUGGUUUCAUACCUUCUUGAACGAGAACAGGGGUUGUUGUGCCGGAAUACCAAAUUGAUCAUUCUCGUUAUUCUGGGACAACGUUAUUUUAUCACAAUUACAGGCCUCCAAUGUUUUUUAGUGCUGGCCAUUCUGAAGUAUGCAUUCCAGGGUAUAAACAUCCGAGUUCUGGUAGACCUUCGAGAUUCAGAGUGGUCACUUGUGGAAAGACAAAAUAUGGGGUCACUUGAUCUGCUCUGUCUUUGGAGAUGAUCUCUUGUAAACCCAUACAUAUCCGUAUCUCCAGGUGUUGGAGGUGCUCAAGGCUUUGGAUCAUAGAAGCUGAAAAUAUGUAUUUUAAUUUGUCACAGCCCCACACUAUCAAUCGUGUCAAACUUUGAAAGCCGCAAGUUGAUUGUCAUGCAAAAUCUCGUCGACAUUAAUAGCAUUCAGCUCCAAAGCCUCCAAAUUUGGCAACACUACCUGAAGAUAAUUUUCUCUUUAGAUCCAAUAUCCGUAUGGAAAGCACUUGUUUUGACACAAUAUCCAUAUAAGAAGCACUUAAUUAAGAGCUUAAUUAGCGAGUGUAUGAGACUUUUUUUUUUUCAAAUGCCAGUGCAUGAUAGAACUAAAAAAAAAAAAGAAGCAUUAGCCUACGUACCUUCUCGUUGAAAAGCAGAGUUGACGUUUCCGAACUGAUCUCGUUGGAACUGGCUGUCAAUUCCUCUUGCGACUCUUGUCUGUUUGGUGAUGUGGAAGAAGUCUUCACUUCACCGCAAAACCUUGUAACCUUUGGAAGCUUUCCCAGACUCAAAGAUCUUAAUUGACCAAACUCUAUCUUCCCAUCAACAUCAACAUCAGCUUCUCCUCCAGUUGCAAAAAUCUCUUCCAUGCUGCUGCAAUUGAUAACUGCAAUCCUCUCCAGUCUUGGAAGGCAUUUUGUACUACUAGAGAGCCAGAAGAUAUUACUCAACUCAUCACAAUUUUCUACUUUUAUGGUUUUGAGUUCAUUGAAGGACUCUAUUUUGAGUCGAUCAAUACAUAUCCUCUCCAUAUUGAUCAAAUUUUGAAGAGUAUGGGACUCCAAAAGAGGAAAGGCGACACAUGGUUCUCUCUCCAUUGAAUCGACGAUACACAGGAAGUCUGGAUUAUUUUGAACAUGGAGAUGCUUCAAUUGUGAAAAGCCCUCAGUGUCCAAUUCUAAAACAACAUUCUUGAUUCCUUGCAACUUAUCCAAACAUAAGUAUUCAACGUUAUUGAUGCGCUGCAACUUCUCGGAGCAAAUGGCCAUAGAAUCAAGCUUGAGCUUCAAUGUUCUUAAACUCUCAUGAUUACUGAUCAUAAAGUGCUGCCGACUUUCAAACCAAUCAUUCUCAAUAACCAGGGUAGAGUCGAAUGAUGCAUCUCCUAUUGAUAUAUCAAACCUUUCCAGCUUUUUGGAAAAAAAGCCAUCCGGUAAAAUGCUAUCAUUUUUAACAUCUAUCUAAGGUGGUCAAUCGCCUCAUAUGCAUCAAUUCGUCGAGGGUGGCAUUACUUCUUUCACUAUUGGCCUUUUCAACUUCCCAUUCAAUAGGGGAAUUACCCAUAUACAGUUCUUCCAAUCGAGUGAAGCUUGAUAAGACGUUGGGCACAAUAAAUUUUAGUUGCAAACAAUCUGUUAAAUCUAACAGCCUUAACUUAGUCAGUUGACCUAGUUCGCCAGGCAACCGUACAAUAUCAGAAUUUAAAAAGCUAAGGAUUUCUAGAUUCUUCAACUUUCCAAUUAUGGCUAUGUCUCCCAACAUGCUUUGAUCUAGACAGAGUGUUUGAAGAUUUGCUAGAAGACCGAUUGAAGAUGGCAAUGAAAAUAAUCGCAUUCGUGUCAAAUCUACAACUCGAAGCUUUUUCAGCCCUUUGAAAAUGUUGUCAGGAAUAUUGACCUCAACAAAAGUGUUUUGGGAAAUAUGUAAAAAUUCAAGUUGCAGACAUUCAAAUUCCUCAGAAACUUCAUGAAUGCUACUAUUUAGUAAAGAGAUUGCAUAGCAUUUUUUAAGUGCAUCCUCAUCUGGCCACUCCCACACAGCCUCAUUUCUCACCAAUAAAGCAUGUUGGUCUCGAUUUAAACUUUAACUCAAUUUGAAAAACUGAGCAAGUAUGCGUUACAGGAAAUCAAAAAAGCUCCACAUACCCAGAUCAUGAUCUCACGUUGAAUCCAGGUGGGAGAUAUAUUUAUGAUCAAGCCCAACAUCGAAGGGGGCAAAAAAAAAAAAAAAAAAAAAAAAAUCUACCAGACAUAUGAUCAUAUUGACCACGAGCUUCAUACGCCGUGGAUUUAUUAACAAAAGUGGGAAUUAAUUAAUCAUGAGCAUGUGUUCUAGUUAAGUCAAAAGAGAGACUUAAUUAAGAACGCAUAUAUAAUUCAUAAUCAGCACAUAAAAAGAUCACUAGUGCUUGCCCCUCCUGCCCUUGCCGUGCUUGCCGUGCUUGCCCCUGCCCUUGCUCUUUCCAUGCUGGUAGUAGCCGCCGUGCUUGCCGUGUGUGUAUGCACCGUGAGCUCCAGGAUAUGCGUUAUUAUCUGCAACAAAAUAAGAAAUUAAAUCAUAAGCUUAUAAUUAGCUCGCUCGCUAAGAGUGAUUAAAAUAAUACCGUGCGGAACGGAUGGGCCAGGAUAUCCCGUUGGUGUGUAACCACUGGCGAGUGCUGCUCCUGUAGGCGGGUAGCCGGCACCGGCUGGGGCAGCAUGAUCAGCACCUUCCAUGAUUUUGAUGAUCACCUAAUAAAUAAUAACUUGGUCCAAAAUAAACAACAAUAAAUAAUUGUGAUUAAUAAAAAGUAAUAUAUUCUCUAAUUAAAACAUUAAUGAUCAUUGGAGAGCAAGCGAGAAAUACUUACUGAAUGCGAUGGGACAGACAACAUCAUGCAUAGAGAAUUGUUCAUCUUCAACGAAUUUGGCUGCCCGGUCAAUGAUGCCGUUAGCACUAACCAGCCACUUCUCAACCUUCUCUUCAAUCUCUUCCCCUUUUUCUUUUGCCUCUGAAACUCUGCGCCGAAUGCUCGUACGUUCAACCUUCAACUUCUCCAUUUCCGUCUUGAGAUUCUCAAGGUUGGCAUUGUAGUUCCGCUUGCGCAAAUAAACAAGUUGGCGUUCUGUUGGAGGAGCCAAGCAUUUUACAAGUUCCAAAACGAGAGUAACAAUGAUUUCCAGCAUCUUGAAUCCUGACAACAAUGUAGAAGUGAAGAAGGCCAAAGGACAGUCAAAACAGAGAGACAGCGUUACGACAAGCAGUUAUGGAGCUAAAAAUAAAUAACAAACAAACAGAAGCAAAGUGUUUUUCGAAUGAGAAGAAGGAAGCAAGAAAAACUUAAAACUAGUAUAAUAAAUUUAUACUAAAACUAGUAUAGUAAAACAAGAAGUCAAGAACCAGCAACUUUUACACACAAAAUAAAACCUUAAAACUAGUAUAAUAAAUUUAUCAUCAAGUUGCAGCCUUCUUAUUCAACAAUUACAGCAUUAUCUUGAGCUCUGUGUUUCUUUUUUUAAAAAUUAUUCAAAAAAAUCUGCAUUUGUUUUUCAACGAUAAAAAUUAUAUUUUUGUCUCAUAUAAUAUAAAAUUAAAAAAAAAACAAACAUAUAUUAAAGGUCUGUUUGGGAUUAUUUUUAGAGGCUCAAAAGUAAUUUUAAAAAGUUAAAUGCUAAUUUUGGUAUUUAAUAAAAUUUUUAGAAGUCACCUUUGGUAAAAUCAUCAAUCCUACAACAAAUUUUGAAAGCAAAUAGUUUUUCAAAUUUUUAUUUUGAUAAUUAAUUUUAUACUUAAUAUAAUUCCAUAUACAUCCCUACAUAUAUUAAUUAUCCUUAUUAAUUAGAAAAUAAAAUUAUUAACUUUAAAGAUAUUAUCAACAAUUACAUUGAGAUAACAAACUAAAAAUAAAAUUAAUAAUAUAAAAUAUUUAUUUUAGUAAUCAAUUAUUAUACUUACAAGAUAAAAAAUAUUUUAUUUAAAUGUUUAUAAAUGUACAAAUAAAUUUUAUUUAAUAUUAUAUUCAAUUUAGUCAUUUACAUUGUCAAUAGGACUUCUAAAAAUAAAUUUUCCUAAAUGUUUAACUAAUUCUCUUCAUAGUGAUUAUUUCCAAACAUAACUACCAAAAAUUACUAUAAUAGAUACAACAUUACCAAAAAAAUAUUGAGAUAGAUUUUAAUUAGGUAAUUGACUUAAUUAUGAAUCAAUUUAUUAUUUCCAUAUGUGUUAUCAAAACCAGCUCAAUAAUGAGAUCACUCUUUUUCUUAAAUAAAAAUAUUUGUGCCAAACAAUUGUUGCAAAAUUUCAAAUAUAAAUUACAAACAACAAAAUUUUCUAAAAUCAUAACAAUAAUUUAUGUUGUGAAUACAUGUAACUAAACCACAUUGAAAUUUUAUUGUUAGUAAAAUUGUUUUUCACGCAAAUGCAGUGACGGAUUCAGUUUCAUGUUUCACCCUCAAUAACUUAAUUUUCAUAUCUAACAAAUCAUCCAUAUUAUUAACAAUAUCAUCACCAAACAUAAUCUACCUAAACAUAAACUAAACAUAACACAUACAUAUAACUAUAUACAUACCGAAUCAGGAAAACAAUGAAAGCUACACGUAUCCGGCUCUACAAUUCCUUCUUGAUACCCUUGUGCUUCUAAAAUAAUCAACCAAUUAUAAAAAUUAGCUUAGGUGCAACUUUACCCCUUUUUUUGGGAAACUUAACUAUAAAUAAAGUAUACAAAUCUCUAAAUUAACUUCGUCCCCAUGAAAUUCGGCAUAAAUAGAAAUAGAAUUAUAGAAACCUUACUACCUUUUAUGAGAAAUCCAACUUAUAUAUUUGAGACCUCUCUCUCUAAGCACGCGCUUCCUCUCUCUGCACACUUUCCACCUUUAAAUUCUCCUUCACUAAGUUUACCUAAAAGAAUUUAGCGUUCUCCCAGUUUCUUUCGCAUUUUUCUCCGUGAAAAUUGGUGAAAAAGAGAAAGUGAUUUGAUUAUUUUAAUGUGCGACAGAUAUGGUUUCCAUCUCUGUAAUAUAAGUGUAUCAAAACGAGGUGAACAACUCUUUGUCGAGUCAGUCAAAUAUAAAAGACAAAUUACGAAACCAAGCAGAGCCAAAAAAAAAAAAAAAAAUUUCCAAUUAAAUAAUCAUCAAGUCUUUUUCAAUUAAAAUCGGAGGUGCAGAACAACUGUCAGGAGAUAAUCAUUGUUUAUGGAGCCAUAUUAUAUUUUCGAUUAAAAUAGUUGCGCGUGAACAAUUGGCAGAAUUCGUAUAAAUUGUUUUAAGGUCUAUUAUAAUUAACAUUUAACAAGUGGAAUGGCCAAUGGAUGAAGAACCACUAUAAUUAGGGGGGUUUUGUGUCCCUUAUUCAAACGUUGGGGGUCUCUGUGUCUUUUUCCCAUAAAUUUAAAAUGCUAAAGAAACUGGGGAAAUUUACAAAAAUAACCAUAAAAUUUUUGUUAUUUUUACAAUUAACCCUCUCAACUUUUUUCUAUCAACAUUAGCCAAACACGUGCUUUUCUCCCCAAAUUACCCUUCUUUACAAACCAAAAGCAACAUUCUUUCUCCCCUUUCGUCAAACAAAGGCAGCUUCCACUCUUGAAUCAUCAACCAACGACAACGGCAAAAGGCAACGAUAAAAAGUGAAAUCCGAUCAUAAUUUAUUCGGAUCCAACACUAAUCGGCAUCACAUAGUGGUAUGAGUUAUUUUCUUGCUCGUGAGUUUGCCUGUCGCACCAAAAGCCAGAUUCAUUAUAAUUAACUAUUAAUUUGAUAGGGCUGAAAUAAUUUAUUUUUUUAUAAUUUCAGGCUUAAUGGAUUCAGUUGUACUUGAAUUGUGUUACGAUGGUUGUUGGGAGACAUUAGAGGAUGGGCGUAUGGAGUAUGUCAAUGGUAAAAAUAGAGCUUUUUUGGUUGGAAAAAAUUGUCUUUUUGAUCAGUUAUUGGCAAGAGUAUACGAUGUGUUACAAAUUAAUCCUAAUGAAUAUAGUAUCACAAUGAAGACAACUUUGAGGUCUAGUAACACAUUAUAUCGUGUAUGUGCACUGCCCAUGGAUAUAUUUGAUGAUGAAAUGGUGAGGGUUGUGUUACAUAUGGCAUCCGACGUAGCUAAUUUUGGAUGCAUUCCUAUAUUUGUUACCACAUCACCUCGAGUUCCGAGUGGAGGUAUUGAGCCACAUGUCGAUACAGAAACUUCGUUUAGAGCAAAUAUGUCUAGCCUCGAUAAUGAAGAAGAGGUGUUGCCAAGGACAAUAUCACUGCAGCAAUAUUACUCUCCAAUCCACGACAAUUAUGACAACAUUGAUGAUGACGGCGUUACGUUACAGGAUGUUGGAGCAACGGUAUUUCCAAUAACGACGUCGUUGGAGCAACGGUAUUCUCCGUAUCACAAUAAUGAUUUUCGGGACAAUGAUGAUUUUCAUGAUGAGACAGAGGGGGAUAAUGUUUGUGCAGAACCUUCUAAUAAUAUGAGGGGCACUCAUUUCAAUAAUGAUGGUGAUGAUGGAGGAGCCGGUCCUUCGAAUGUUCCGUCGUUUCAGCAUGAGGAUGAGUGUGAAGACAAUACUCCUGCGAAUAAUAGAGGCAAUAGACCUAUUCUAGCAAUGGUUCGAUCGAGAAGGAGAAUUGACCCUCUCACAAGUCUUGCUCCAACUUUGCCUUCGAACAUGGUUGCUCCAAGUUUUGUUAGCAGUUGUGACUCAGAUGAUAUCAGUGUCGGUAAGCUAUUUGCUGAGAAGAAUGAGUUUAUAUUACAACUACGCAAGGUUGCCUUUCAGGAUAAGUUUGAUUUCAAGAUUGCACGGUCUACUACGACACGUUUCGAGGCUCACUGUAGUUCAGAAUCAUGUAAAUGGCGUAUUCGAGCAACUAGAUGUUCGAACGAGGAAAAUGUUCCUUGGGUGGUGCGGAGAAUUGAUAAUGUACACACUUGUCAUAAUGAGGUGUUGGUUGCUGGAUGUCAUCAAGUCAGGAGCCGGGUUGUCAGUCAUAUUAUCGCAGAUAAAUAUAUUCAAGUCAAGAGAAUUUAUACUCCGAAUGACAUAAGAGCAUAUAUGCAACAAGAAUACGGUGUUCAGUUAACAUACCAGCAGGCAUAUCGGGCAAGAGAAGUUGGUCUUGAAAUAGUUCGAGGCAACCCUGCAGAGUCAUACAACUUGCUCCCUAAAUACUCUCGCGUACUAACUGCAGCGAAUGAGGAUACAGUCACUCACAUCGAGCUGGUGCGACAGCCGCGCCUGUUACACCAAAAAAUUGGUGCGACAGGCGCGCGCUGUCGCACUUGAUCUGGUGCGACAGUGGGGCACGCAUGGGCGCGCGCGCGCGCCCUGCCCCCCUCCCUCUCCACCCCCAAAAUUAAGCCACAACACUUUAAAAUCGAAAAACAAUACUCCCAAACACCACCAACCACCACAAACACCACCACUACCACCAUUAUUCUCAAGCUAUAACUAUUAUUAUUCUAAAAUCUCAUUUUAAAUUAAUGAAAAUAAGAAAAAUGACUAACCUAGGUUUUGUUGAAGGUUGUAGAUCGUAGAUCGGAUGCCGGUGAGAGAUGGAGCCACCGCCGACGAGGGUUGAUGUUGCCGCCGAUGAUGGGAGUUGGAUCGGUUUGGGAGAGAUGAGUGAAAGGGAGUGUUGGGGAAGAGAUGAGGGAGGGGUAUUUUGGUCUCAAAAGUUGUUUAAUGGCUAAUGUUGAUAGAAAUAUUUUUGGGGGGUUAAGAUGAAAAAAAUCAAAACUUUUAUGGUUAUUGUUGUAAAUUUCCCAAGAAACUGACAUCAACGCUAAACGUGAAUCUGCAGCCCUUGCCUCAGUGUCUUUCAGGCGUUACUCGGGGUAGUUGAUAUACUGACGAGCCCUUUAUCAAUUAAUAAUCGAAAUAGAUUAAAAUAUGAAUGGAUUAGAAUAGAAUGAGUUGGAAUUAAAAUACGAAAUCACAAUCAGAUUAAUUUAUUUUUUUAAAUUGAGGAAUUAGAAUUGGAAUAAAUUAUAUAGUUAUUGAUGUGUUUAUUUUAUUUUAAAAUUACAAGAGUUGUUGUAAAUUACUAAUAUGCCCUUAAUUUUUUAUUAUAAUUAUAAUUAUUUAUUACUACAUUUGUCAUAUUAUUAAUAUUAUAAUAAUAAUGAUGAUAAUAAUAAUAAUAAUGAUUGUAACAAUUAAUAUUGAAAAAAAUUUAUUGUUAAUAAUAGUAAAUAAAAUAAGAAUAAAUAGGCAAUUAUUCACUGACCACGUGAUCUUUCGGACUCUUUCAAAAAUACACAAAUACUUUUUUCUUUGCAGAAAUCCUCCUGAAGUUUACAAAGUGUUUCAAUUGUUCACUGUCAUCUUAACUCUAUUAGAAUCUUGUUGAUGUUGUCAGGAUAAAAUUGUCAUUUUACCUAAACAUCCAAAAGGAAGUAUAAGAUGAAGCUCAACUUGGAGAAGUGUGCUUUCGGGGUUGGAUUCGGCAAAUUCCUUGGGUUCAUGGUGAGUGAUAACUCUAUGAAAUGAGAGUUAUCAUGAAAUUUUUAAGUUUAAAUCAAGACUACUCAGAGAGUAAUUGAUAUGUUUUAGUGCACUUUAAUGAUAGUUUGCAUUACAUUCAUUUUAAUUUAAGUUUAAUAAAGUUUAUGUGAUUUCUGAAUAAUUGUAUGCUUAGAACAUAUGUUUAAUUGUAGGUCAAUGGAAACUUGAAUUUCAUGGAAAAGAUGCUUUUGCAAUGGACUUAUAAAGAGGACAAACGAGCAUGGCUAUAGUAGAAUUGGAGCAAGUUUGGAACAGUGGAGUUGCUGUAGCCAUUACUGUAGCAACCAUUGAUGUAGCAAUCCUCGAGCAUUGCGAUCUGCAGUUUCCUAAUCUGAAGAAAAAGUGGCAUAAGAGAGAGAGCCAUCAAUUAAGAUCAAAAACAGAAAAGAACCAAGGAAGUAACAGAAUUCCUGAGCAGAAUUCAAGGCUGAGCCAGUUGAAGAAAUUUGCAGAGUCAAUUGGAAUUCACUCUUUCUCAUUCUUUUCUUAUUUACUUGUUAUUUAUUGAUUAUGAAGAUGUACUAAAUGGCUAGAAUUUGGUUGUUUAAUCUCCUUUCACAAAUUAUGAACUAAAUUCAUUUGUGGUUGAGUAUUAAACUAUCUUGAUGGUUAAUUGACUAAAUAUAGGUGUUGCUAUAUGUUUGCUACAACAUUUUGCUUUAAUAACAUUUAUUUACAUUCAUUAUUUCGGUUGACCACCCAUUUAAUGAUACAAGUUAAGAAAGAGCUGUAAAAAGGGUCUAUCUUAUUGAAACAUAUUAGAGUAAUACUUGGUCUUAAAUUGGGUUUCCUAGAUUGAGUUUAACUUGAGACCAAAAAGGGUUGUACUUAAUUUAAGAUUAGUAAUGAACUAGAUAUAGGGAUUUGCCUUGUAGGGUAAAAAGAACAUAAAUGUGUAAUACUAUAUCUUACGUUGACAUAGUAACUGGUCACUGUUAGGUUGUAUAAAGAUAUAAAACAUUCGAACAUGCUACCGUUGAGGAUAAAGAUGGUUUCUGCCCAGUGCUGUAGCAGAUGCUGCAGCAACUGAGCUUGACAUGAAUAACACAGUCAACACCAUCAAGAGAGUUUAAUCACUCAACUACUCUAUUCUAAUUAAAUUUAAUUUCAUGUUUAAUGUAAAAAAUUUAUUUAUUACAUUUUUAAUUAUUGUGAUUUUAUUUUACCUAGUCAUUUAGUUGUAUUAGUUGCAUUGAUUUAAUUGAUAACAUAGGUUGCUCUGUGAAAUUACUGUAGCAAGUCUAAUAGCAUCAAUCCCUAUGGAGACGAUCUUGGAUACUUAUCCUUAUAUUACUUAUUGUGUACACUUGUGCAUUGACACUAAUAGCAAUGGAGUUAAAAUUAGCAACAAAUUUUUUGUGCUAUUGCUGGGGUUUGAUUGUUUACUUUUCAGUUGUGAAAUCAAUUUUGACGGUGCUAAUCUUUGAUUUUAUUUUGAAUUGUUUACUUUGUUAACAGAUCACUCUUGCAUGUGAAAAUACAAACUUGUUGAAUUUCAAUUUGAUCCAGAGAUUGAAAGAACUACAAGGAGAUUGAGAAGAGAGCAAAGAAAUUCAAAAGCUGCUGUAGCAAUAGAUGACUUGCAAAACUUAGGAAACUUAGACCCUCACGGACCAAUAUAACCUGUUAAUGCUCAAGAAAGUCAGAAUGGGAAAAUUAAUCAGAGACCAUCAGGGAAUAACAAUAUUAGCUACAUGGAAAAUGAUAGAGACAGGGCCAUUAGAGAUUAUGCUUUGUUAGCCCCUUAAGUUAUACAUCCUGACAUUGUCAGACCUGAGGUAAAAGAUGCCAAUUUUGAACUCAAACCAGUGAUAUUUCAAUUAUUACAAACAGUGAGGUAAUUUAAUGGAUUACCAUCAAGAGGUGAGUGAUGCUUUUAAAAUUAUUGGAGCAUCACAAGAUGCAUUGAGACUCAGAUUCUUUCCUUACUCCCUAAGAGACCGAGCAAGAGUAUGGUUGAACUCUUUACCACCAGACUCCAUUACAACAUGGAAUGACUUAGCUGAUAAGUUUAUGAUGAAGUACUUCACACCAACCAAAAAUACAAAAUUAUGUAAUGAGAUUACUUCUUUUCGUCAACUAGAAGAUGAAAACUUAUAUGAGGCUUGGGAAAGAUUCAAUGAGUUAUUCAGGAGAUGUCUUCAUCAUGGCAUUCCUUACUGCAUACAAUUUGAAACCUUCUAUAAUGGGUUGAACCCAAGCACUAGAUUGAUGGUCGAUACUUCAACAAAUGGGGCUUUGUUAUCUAAAUCUUACAAUGAAGCCUAUGAAAUUUUAGAGAGAAUUGCUAAUAACAAUUAUCAGUGGCCAUCACCUAGACAAAUUGUAUCAAGAGGAGCAGCAGGUAUACAUAAUGUGGAUGCAUUUACAGCAUUAUCAGCCCAAGUAACAUCAUUGACCAAUAUGGUGAAAGCUAUGACUACUGCUCUAUCGAAUGACAAUCAAGUUGCCGAUGUUUCUUGUCUGUAUUGUAGAGAGGGGCAUUUAUUUGAUAAUUGCCUAAGGAAGUCAACGUCAGUCAAUUAUGUGGGCAACUCCAAUAGAUAGAACCAGAACAAUCCAUAUUCCAGUACCUACAAUCCUAGAUAGAGGCAGCACCCAGUGGACAGAACAGACCUACUCAGCCAGUUGAUUUUCAUCAGCAAAAUCAAGGGUAAAAAAACACCAGCAAUGAUCAAUUCAGUUCUUUGGAGACCCUAAUUAAGGAGUACAAUGUGAAUAAUGAAGUAAUUGUCCAAAGUCAGGCUGUACCAUUGAGAAAUUUAGAAAAUUAAAUUGGACAGCUUGCCACAUUAUUAAGUAACAGACCUUAGGGGAGUUUACCCAGCAACACAGAAGAUCCAAGGAGAGAAGGUAAGGAAUAUUGAAAGGUGAUCAAAUAUUGCACAAACUAGAAGCCUCAGGUCGGCUGGUGAAAUGGGCAAUAGAGUUGAGUAAAUUCUAUAUAAGCUACAAACCCCGAGCAACAAUCAAAGCCCAUGCAAUGGUGAACUUCGUGGAAGAAUUUACAGAAUCACAUGUGGAACCUAGCCACAUUGAUAUUGCUAUAGGCAACAACAAAGGUCAAAUCUGGCAGAUGACAGUGGAUGGAUCUUCAGGUGAGCAAAGUACUAGAGCGGGGUGGUCCUGGAGAGUCCAGAUGGAGAGGAAAUCUCUUACGCUGUUAGACUGGAGUUCAAGGCCACAAAAAAUCAGGCUGAAUAUGAGGCUCUAAUUGCAGGGCUAGAGUUAGCUAAGGCGGUGCAGGCAAAUAAGGUGAAAAUUCGGACAGAUUCACAGCUAGUCGCCAACCAUAUUAGUGAAAUGUUCUAACCUAAAGACGAAAAGAUGGGGCAAUACCUGAGGAGGGUCAGGCAGAUGAUCAAAAAGUUCGAGUCGAUGGAUAUUGUGCAAAUUCCAAGGAGUGAAAACUAUCGAGCUAAUAUCCUAGUUGGAAUGGCUGCUACAGCGGACUAAAAAAUGCCAAAAUCAGUCCCUAUGGAAGUCAAGUCCUCCCCCCAGCAUUGUGUAAAGUCUGGAGAUGAUGCAGAUAGAGCAAAAAGGCUCAUGGAUAGACCCAAUAAUCUCAUAUAUACUGGAUAGAGUGUUACCAGCAGAUAAAACGCAAGCAUGAAAAAUCAAGGGCCAGCGUCUAGGUGUACACUAAUUGAUGGGGUGUUAUACCGACGAGGGUACACCUUGUCGCUCUGCGGUGUCUGGACAAAGACGACGCGAACUACGUUAUAAUGGAAGUACAUGAAGGGGUUUGUGAAAAUGAAUCUAGAGUUAGAUCUCUUGCCUACAAAGCCUUAAGACAAGGUACUUAUGGCCGACGAUAUACUAAGAUGCUCAAGAGAAAACCAGGAGUUACAGAAGUUGCCAGAACUUUGCUAGUUUCCCUACACAGCAAUAAAAAAUACUUACUACUAUGACUUCACCAUGGCCGUUUACUCAAUAGGGAAUCAACCUAAUCGAGUCUUUGCCAAAAUGAUGAAGAGCAGUUACACAUGCUAUCGUGGCAAUAGAUUAUUUCACAAAAUGGGUCAAGGUAAAAGCACUCAGAAGAAUCACAGAGAAUGAUAUAACUGAUUUCAUGUGGAGAAACCUUGUCAACCGGUAUGGAAUCCCAUACGCCUUGAUAGCGGACAACAACUAACAAUUUGACAAUCACAACUUUAGGGAGUUUUGUCAGAACUUUGACAUAGAGCUAAGUUCUGCUCCCCUGCCCACCCUUAGUCCAAUGGACAGGUGAAAGUGGCCAACAAGGUUAACAAAAAAACUCCUGAAGACCAAACUAUGAGAGAAGAAGUGUGCAUGGGUUGAUGAGCUUCUAGGAGUGUUGUAGGUAUAUAGGACUUCUCAUAAAACCGCCACCGAUGAGACACCCUUUGCUGUAGCCUUUGGGCAUAAAGCAGUCUUGCAUGCAGAGAUAGGGGUAACCACGCACCAAACUGAGCACUUUGAUGAGAGUGAGAAAGGUGAAUCAGAGUACCAAAGAUUCGACCCAUGGUGUGUAUCCGGAUCAAGAGCCUACAAGCUUGCUCUCGCGAAUGGACAUGAGCUGAAACAACCAUGGAACGUAACACAUCUAAAAAAAUACUUCCAAUAAGGCCCAUUGGUAGCGAGUUAGAGUUAUUUCUGUUCAUUUCUGUUGUUGUUUAAACUUUAUGAUCAGUCAAUUUCAUGUAUGUCGUAUGCCAUGAUUAAUAAAGUUUGGAGGAAGUUCAUUCAAUUAAUUUAAAGAAAAAAAAAGUUCGUAAGGUAAAUAAAUGCCUCAAAGUCUCAAAGCCUGCUCGAUGGUGAGACCAGAAGCCAGAUUUUCCAGACUCUGCUCUACCGAACGAUGACGAGCAGACAAUCAAAUAUUUCAAAAAGUUUCUAAGGCAGACAAAAGCUUCAAAGUCUCAAAGCCUACUCGAUGGCGAGACUAGAGGCCAAGUUUGCCAAACUCUGCUCGACCGAAUGAUGGCGAGCAGACGAUCAAAUAUUCCAAAAAAUUUCCUAAGGGAAAUAAAGGCUUCAAAGUCUCAAAUCCUACUCGAUAGCAAGAUUAGAAACCAAGUCUGCGAGACUUUGCUCGAGCAGGCUACAAGAAAAACCAAGUUAUUCGUUAAUAAUCUAGUGACAAUGACAACUAGCCUCAAAACUUGGCAUACAACGUUUACAAAAGAAAAUUAUGGUACAUUCACGAGGAUGAAGGAUCUAUAAGUAGAGCAGCUUUUGUUGGAUUUUCAAGCAGUAGAGAAUGAGGGGUCUGGCCAAUUCUGCCCGAGGGAGUGCUUGCUUCGAUCGGGGUUUUGCCUUUCAAGACCGGCAAUGAUGCAUCGACAGAAGUGCCUGAGCCCUUCGUUAAAUUGUCAUCAACUUCCUUUUCCAAGUUCUCAAUCUGAGUCUGGUGUGAAGCACAAAGUGAUUCCAACUAAGACUCGUAGGAAGCUUUUUAUGUCUCCAAAUUCUUAUUGACCUUGCUCAGCUACUCCUCAAGGGUGAUCACAUUGGCCUGUGCAAGAGAUGUCUGCUCCACUAAUUUCAAGUUCUCGAGGGUGAGGUCUCUUGCUUUCUUCUCAGUAGCAUCAACUUCGUUUUUAGUUGAUUGAAUAUUAUACUUCAUCUUGUGGUCAUAACGGCCAACUUUCACCUUGUAGUAGGUAGUCAUGCAACAUAGGUGGAAAACACUGAAUUGCAUAGCCCUAACUAGCUCACGAGGGUAAUGCCGUCAAAGUCCUCUAAAUCGUUUUUUUUCACGAGCCUAGAAAACUCACUUAUGUAAGGGCCAUAUGCUCUGGUCGAUCCUCAGGCAAUUGCGGUUCGGAUCUUGGUGGAGGAGGAGUGGUAACAAGACCAGUGCCGCUCGCAGCUCCACCAACUUCACCUGCCUUAGGACGGGGAGGAGGAUGUGGCAGCAUCUUCAGAGGGGAAGCUUUCCCUACAAUAUUGACCCACUUCUCAAGGGAGCAUAGUUGCUGCAACCCCCCUUUACACCACGAAAGCGAGGGCGUUUUCUGUUCAAAGCCCCAAUCACAGCAUCCUCUAUAGCAAUUCACCUUCGAUGCGGUAUUAGACACUCCAGGAACUUGCAACAUAGGCAGAGACUCUGUUAGAAAUUACUCAAUCACUUGAUCAGCUGGUGGUGUAAAACAACUUAAAUAAGCAGGCAACCUGGAACUAAGAAACGGAUGGGGACAUGGACAUUCUCAUCAUCAGUCGGCCACUUGACCCUAAGGACCCCCAGCAAAAAAGAAACUGCUUUUCUAAUUCUCACCACCUGUUAGGAGGCCAGUUAUAGGUUUCCUAGUCUUGGUACUUGACAUAAAAUAGUACCAACUAACAUCUUUAAGGCUACUCUUUAAUUGGUAUAAGUGUUUAACCUCAUCAAUUAUAGGCUCACUCUGACCACAUCUGUCCCAAAGUACGAGUACACCAGAAAGUACCCUCUAUCCAUUAGGGUUAAGCUGACCAUGAGCUAAGUGUAAUCUACCAAGCAUCUGGACGAAGUAAAGCGGCAAAGGAAGCCUCAUCCCUUGUUUAAAACUCUCUAAAAAUAUAGCAACAUACCCCCUGGAAGGUCGAUUAGGGGUAUCUUUUUUCUUAAGAACCCUAAGGUUUAUGUCAUCAGAAAUCUUGUAAGUAUUUUGGAGGGGUUUAAAGUCAUCUACUGUGGUCCUACAAGUCAUGAGGUCAAUAGGGUAGUUUUCGGCCGGAGUCCUACCACCUAAUUUCCUCCUCUUUGCUGGUCUUACUACCUUUAGUGAGGAUGCUUCACCAAACUCUUCAUCUGGGUACCCGCUUAGGGUCUCCUCUGAGCUAGAAGAUUCGUCAUUGUUACUUUUGCUAGAUGAGGUAGAAACCUCAGGAGACAUCCUCCUAGCACUACUUCUAACACUAGAAUGGCCUACAAGCUCUAAGGGGAUCCUAGGGUCGAAAAUGGGCUCUGUGAGCAAACCAGGUAGGAAAUCCAGUUCGUCAUCAUCAAUCUCAAUUUCUUUUUCCUUGCCUUUUGACAUUUUCUAAGCGAUAUCCAAGAAGAUACAACUAAAUCCCUCUUAACCCUAGAAAAAAAUGACAAAUAUCUAAGACAAGAGAGAAGAAGACCGUACCUAAAGCAGCGGCACCUCAAAAUCAAAAUGGAGGAAGUGACUUGAUAUUCGAUGGAGGAAAUAGCUGAGUCACCAAAGGGCGAAAGAAAAGCCGGAAAAAAACUUUCUUGUGAAGAUUAGGGUUCCCCAAGAGACACGGAGACCCCUAAUUUAUUACCAUUUAACGACACGCACUCCGAGGGUUCUUAACAGGCAGUUAAAAAUUUAAAUGAACGAGUGGAUUCCUGCCACAUCACCUGCUUUUAAUUAUGACGUGACUCUUUGGAUAAACAGCUAAUAGUAGCUUAAAGGAUCAAGUGGAUAAGGUGACCAGUCCUCAUUUCAAUGCCAAGAAGCCAAAGUGUGUUUUGAGCAAGAUAAGACUACCAAGUUUCUAGUGUUGAUCCAUUGCAUUAUCAGCACCAGAAACUGAGGGACUAGUAUUUGAGGCGUAUAACGACGCGACCAGCUACACUCGAGCGAGGAUUUCCUUUUUGUGGGCGAUGGGCUAUAUAGUGUCCGUGAGCAGAAGUGCUCUAUUCGACACCGAGGAGUUUUCUGCUAAACACCGAGGAUAUCUCCUGAUGGGGCCAAGGUCGGAAGACCCAGUCUAUGGCAGUUGUUAGAACAUGUGUCGCUCUCCGAGAAUCCAGGCACGAGGCCUAUUCAGCCACGAUCACAACGCCCGAGCAUCCAUGACCGGGAACUAAGGUAGAGUGGCAAACGUGGGUCAUGGUGACUAAAUUCUCAGGAGGGCUAUAAAAGGGGCUUGCAAAGAAGGUAAAGGGUUUAGACAUUUUUAAACUAAAAAUUAACCUAAGAGAAUUGGGGGGUGCAUCUUUAUUGGCGAGAAUUGGGAAAAUUUUUGAGAUUUUUCCAGUGUUUGAGAAAUUAUUACAGAGCCACGAGAUUAGUGGCAGGGUUUUUUCACAAUAAGCCCAGAUUGCUGACUUGAGCGUCGGAGGGUUUACGUCGGGAAAACCCUCAGCGUUCUUUGACCAAUUUCUGUGUGUACAGGAAUUCACAGAGGAGGAACGGUGAGCCUCAUAGUUCUGCUUAUCAAACAGGAGCAGAGUAAAGUUAUCCCCUACCACUACAAAUUUAAGUGUUGAAGAGAGAUCAUGGUCUCGAACGAGCAGAUGCAAAAUCCCGUAUCAAUAAUAACAACAACAACAACAACAACAUCAUCAAUAAUAAUAAUAAUAAUAAUAAUAUAUUAACUUUGUAGGAUGGAGCUCUCGCAAAUCUUCAAGACACAAAAUGUGUUUGACCCCAUUGUUGUUAUUAUAAUUUCAAAAUCAUUUGUAUAUAUAAUAUUAGGGAAUAUGACAUAGAAAAAUUGAUGGUACAUAUGUUGCAAUAUUCUUGUUCAUGUGGCGGCACACUGAAGUAAAGCAUAAGCAGAGCAACAACAAAUGUAAUGAGAGAGCUCUCAUUAUGUAGAUUUUCAAUAGAAGUAAUGCAUAUUUCACAAAGGCAAUGGCCUUAUUUUGAAUGCUGCACCUGAGGGUUGACUUGAAUCUUCUAUAGAACUCAGGCAUUCUGUAAUCAUAGAGUAUAGCAUUUCAACAAAAAUAUUAUACAGGUCGUUCCUUUAUAUAUUUUCUGGGUACACAUACAGAAAUAUUAUUUUGGGUACAUUUCUUGCAGUAAAACCUGCCCAGUCUAGCGUUCUCGUAAGUUGGGUUUCUCAUUUGCAUGUUUUUUCCAUUGGUUAAUUAUCACAAACCUCCACUAACAUUUAGCAUAUUCUUAGUUUAAUAGAUUAUAUUGGCGUAUUCUCAAAUAUAAAUUAAGCUGGUGAGGAUAAAAUCGUAAAAGCACCAUUAAUGAUAAAAAGAAACCAAGUAAACUUGAAAUUUUCAAGUUGUGUUUUGAAAUUGGUCUCAACUUUGUAAAUGUCCAUUGGGUAAAGAAGUAAAGAACAGAAGCAAGCUGUUCCCAGCACACAUAAGCAAGCUUUACGCAGCACAAAUUAACACCCACAAAAAAUGAAAAGGAAAAAUGGUCAUCUCUUUCCUCCAUUCGAAUUGAAGCCAUGAAACACAACAUCCCUUUCAUCUUCUCUCUAAUGCUUUGAUUAGAAAACUUGCUUACAAACGGGAGACCAUGACACUGAAUCCUGAGACGGCAAUACCAGAGACGACUGAUUUACGCCAACGGUGUGGAAGAAUACCAACCAGUGACUUUCGCUGUCGACCCACAAACAAUCCCAGUGUUUUCUAGCUGCGAAUGAGGUAUGAAUCAGAUUAUUUCCGUGCAUUUCAAUUUUGUCAGCUGACAUUAGGAGAUUUGGUUAAAAAAAAAAGAAUAAUGGGUCUCGAAAAUUUUUUGAGAGUGUUUUUGUUGCUUACAUUAUUUUCCAUCGAUUAAUGUUAGUUGUAGGUGAAUGAUUGUUGCAAAUGCAUGUUCGCUUGUGAUUGAUUGAAAAUGGCUUGUGAUUUGUUAUGCUGCCGUGUGACUGAUUAAAAAUGGCUCUGAAAAUUUUUCAUUUGUUUAAGGUACUGCUGUUGAUUAUUGAACCAGGAUUCAUGCUAGUUUUUGUUAAAUUGAAGAUGAGAUUACUUUUUAAGAGAUCUGCAAAACCUUCUCUACUAUAGAUUUGGCUUCUGGCAUACCUGGUUGGCUGGAGAUAAUUGUUUAUAUAGUCAUUGCUGCCCAUAUUAAUCAGGAAUAUUGAUUAGCAAUGUACUGGAUUAGUGAUUGGUAUAAUUUUGGAAAAUCAGUCGUAGAUGCAACCUGGUUAUGGUCUCAAAUAGUGUGAUCUGUCAAUUCCGUUUGCUCUGGCCUAACAACCUUGAAUCUGAGCUAUGCCACUAUACAAUGUCCUGACCCAAUCAAGCUUGUUAGCCAACGUCCAAAAUUGCAAUGUCUUUAGAUAAGUCCCGUCUUAUUUGUUUGAGUUAUAAAUGAAAAUUGCAGUGUCUUUGGAUAAUCACGCUGAUGUUCACGUUAUUGACGAGAGGAACCUCCAGAUUCAAGGCCGGAGCUCCUUGUUGAGAAACUUUGCAUAUAUAGGAUUGUUGCCGAGUGGAGGAUCGAUAUGACUGGUCUUGUUUAGAAUAGGGAUGGAGAUUUUGCAUUAAGGCUUUCUUAACAGAUCAUUCUGCAAAUCAAGGUCCAUGUACAUCUCUUUAAACUCUUUGAUAUGUAUAAAGCAGGUGCAUGCUCUAUAUGUUACUUAUUGUAUCACAAUUAUUUUUCUAUUGCUUAAUAUAAUUGCAGUCCUUGAUGAAGUUGAAGACAACUUAUGGAGGGUAUACAAAGGCUCAAGAGCUUGAUCGCCAUUCAUUUUACACUUGGCUGAGCUACAGCAUACCAACUAGUGAUUAAUAAAGAGAAGGUAUGAAGGUCCUGUUGCUGGUGGUAUUAUCAAUCAGAAUUGUUAUUUUACUUAGUCAUAGUUACCAUGUAUAAGAUUCGUAGACUUUUUGCAUGCUUAUGCAUUCGCAUCAUCUUUUUGUUAAGCUAGAAAUGGUUGAUUUGUGUACUCAUUUGUAUCACUUGUAGCCCUUCAGGAAUAAAAUUUAAAAUUCUGUUGCAUCUCAUGUACUAAAUACUAAUUUUGUUGGCUUUAUGUAUGGGAAAUGGUUCAUUAUCUUAUUUCUUUGAUGCGUAUAGUGUGACAAUGUCUAAAGGUGAAAAGUAUUUAUAUCACUUGUGUAACACUGUCUAAAGUCAAAAAGUGUUUCUAUCACUUGUGUGAAAAACAACCUACUUUUUUUUCACUCUUCUUAUAUUGAAUAAAAGACAGACGCCAAGAUUGAACGAAAUUUGAUGCAGAAAGCAUAGCAAUUAGGCCAGUGCAAAACAACUUCCUUCUGAUUCUCUGAUAUUUGACUUAAAUCUUUUGUCUGUUUCAUUCAUCAAAGUCAUUUUGGAAAGUAGCAGGGGUGAUGUGAUAUUUUCAUUGUAUUCACAUCCCUGGCACCAAAAACAAACAUGCUGGUACUAACCAACAAUUUUUUAUUUUCAGUAUACAAAUUUUUUUUUUUCUAAAUUAGGGGUAUUAAGAAAAGGUAUACUAGCACCAGAGGAGGUAUUUGAGAAUACACAAAUACAAUCUAUCAAAUUGAGAAUACGCCAAAUCUCAGGAGUGGUUUUUGAUAAAUCCUUUUUUUCUUUUUCCUCCAUUCACUAUAGGUUCAAUUUAGGGUGGUUGUUAAGUUAUAUCAUUGUGUAAUAUAGAUCAAUUCAACAGUUGUUAUCAGUAACACAAAAGUAUAACGAACAAAAACUAAUUGUGUGUUACUGAUAGUAACUAUUAAAUUGAUGUAUGUUACAUAAUUAUGUAACUUAACAAGUUCUUCAAUUUAGACACGGUUGACCAAACUGAAGGUUUAGGUUGGUAAACGCACUAGUUUUAAUGUCAACAACCCAAGGGGCUUCAUGGUCCUCUGGGUCGAAAUCGCGUAAUUAUUAAUUCUCCAACACUGAAAGUCUUUAUCAUCUUGGGACAAAUAAUUACAAAUUGACAUUAUAGCCGUGGAAAUUUGGAGGUGUAAUAACCGGAAAAAUAAAAAUCUCAAGAGACUUUUUAAAUAAAAAAGAUAACACCUUCAAUUUGCUAAAAGUAAUGGUAUCAUUUCUUGUAUGGAUAAUGGAUGAUUAGAUUUUGUUUUUGGUUAUCUGACGAAGGAUAUUCAGUUGUUCUUUAUGUGUUCAUAGGCAAGAGCAUGAGCAUAUGCAUGAUUUGAUAUAUGGUUCUUGCAUUUUCUAAUUAAGUGCUCUUUUUCCUUGCCUUCUUAGUUUUGAAAGAAAGAUGUGAAGCAAAGCAAACCCAGUGAAAUGUACAGAGAAACAGAACCAUCAGAGGAAAAACUAAAUAACAGAACUACAAUUGAACCAAACAAAAUCAAAUAAACGGACGCAACAGAUGCCCUGAACCUAGUAAUUACUCAAGAGUUGAGGAGUUGGAAUGAUUUGGUAUUCAUAUCUUCACAAAUCAUAUGCUUUAAUGCAGAAUCGACAGCUUUAUAUUAUUUUAUUCAAAAAACGAUAAAGCAGGAAAACCACAAUAAUCCACCAACUUUUGAUACUUGUAGGAAUUUUUUUUAGUCAAAUUAAGUUUCAUGAUGAAACAAGUGGCUCGUCCACACACUUGCACUUGCUUGAAUAUUUGUGCCGACAUUUUCAUAUGUGAUGGUACUUCUUAGCCAGUAGAUAUGUUGAAGUACUACAAAACAGAGUAUUUGAUGAAGUUUUGCUACAUUCGUAUCCCCUUUUUUUGUUGCAUAACUAAAUUCUUUAUAAACACAAAUUAGAAAGAUACAAAUAAUACAGUAGCUUGAAUUUAUAUGCUUUUAUGGUUAUUUGAUAAUCUAGUGCUGAUCAUAUGUGAUGAUAAACUUAGCUAGUAGUUUUAUAUUUGUUUUCGCAGUUUCCUUAGCGUUCACAUUUUGAUGAGUAAAUUAAGGAUUUCCAGAUGAAGUACAUAAUUAGAUGAAUGCUAAGGAACUGAAGUUUAAUUAAUUGAAAACAAAAAUAAUAAUGAACGUAAUUACGAAAAUGAACAAUGCAGAAGUAGUCCCUAUAGUAUUUCUAAAUUUUCUCUUGGGAUUUCUUAGUAUUCCUCAAUAUUUUAAAAAAAUGACAUGACGAUCUUUGAGUGGACAAAUCUUGGCCUGCUGCUUAGUACCCUUCCAACAUAUAAAGUACUAGAUGUUUUACUGAGAAAAUGACAAGAUCAUUUAUCAAAUUUCUUGCGCAUAUAUACGUAUGUAUAAGAGAAAUGAGAAUCAGUGAUUAUAAGACCUUGCAAUGAGACAAUAAUACAUCAUCAAAUCUAAAAAUACACAAGAAAUUCGGGACAUAUAUAUAACAAAAGACCUCUCAUUGAGUCAUACAUAUUGAGAAUGAAAUGUCAAAAUGCAGACAAAGAGCUUAUACAGAAAAUGAAUAAACUGUCUUUGAACUUCUGAUGGUCAAACAAAGGAAACAGGCAGGAUAUAACACACACUAUCAUAGAUGUAGCGACACGAUGAAGUAAAUCACAUGAAGAUGGAAAGGGGAACCCCUCACAGCAUAAAAUUUGAAUAGAGAGGGGAAAAAGGCUUCAUUUCAAAUGUUGCACAGAAGAAGAGUGACUUGAAUCUCCAUCAGUAUCCAGACAUUCUGCAAACACAGUGCUGAGAAUUUUAACAAGAAUAACAGACAAAAUAUUGUGCUUCUAUACUUGUCACAAAACUAGACCAAAUUAGUCCCCUUUUUGGUUUGUGAAAACUUGAUAUUUUUGAAAAUUCUAUCCAAUGCUUUCAAACAAUAUUUCCAUAAUAUAGUUGUUCAUAGCUAACCUUUGAUGGUGUAAGGAUUUGUUGUAGGCAUAAUGGGCUAAUUAUAUAUAUAUAUAUAUAUAUUUUACCCCCUGAAUGAUAUUCAGCUUCUUAAUUAUGUGUUCAUAGGCAAGAGCAUUUUCUUAAGUACUUUCGUUGCCUUCCAAGUUUCCAAUGAACAAACAGAGCACAAACAAAUUUAACGGAACAGUAACGAUGACAAUAAAUAAUUGGCAAGGAAAGAAAGAAAAAAGUUUGCAUGAUUUCAAGGAAUUAUAAAAUCUGAACACUUUCAACAUGCAAGUGUUGCCCCUUUUGAUGAAAUUUCAUCAUAAAAUGCUUGCAAAGAAUUAUAAAAUUUUAGAGAACAAGCGAACUCUCAAACAAAAUACUCAAAUUAAAUUAAAUUAGACCAAAAGACACUCAAUGACGCAAAAUCUGCCAUUCUAAAUAAUUGAGAUGAAAUUGUGAAACAACCCACGAGAUCAAAUAAAUAAAAUAAGAAUUAAUUACCAGCUUUGACUUUCUUCUCCAAAUUCGCAACUCGAAGACAUAAGAAGCCAAUGAAAUUAGUCGUAACCCAUAAAGUACGACGACGACCCCGCCAAUAGCUGAAAAUAAAAUACUUAUUCAUCAAUUUAAACUAACUUUAUAACAAAUAUCUUAUCGAUAUUUUAUUUAAAAAAAGCAAAUUUGUAGAAUUUUUCCAUGGGAGGUAGAGAGUAAUAUGUAUAUCCGUACCUUUUCAGUAUGUAAUUGUUGUAUGGUUGUGUUAAGAUCAUUAUUUGCCCAACGCCGUUGAUCCUCUGACUCUCCAUACGAGACGUUUACUCUCGGAGGCGUGUUUGAUUCUCCUGAAGUGAAAGUCUUCAUCUUGGGACAACCAAUCACUUCCAGAUAUUCCAGAGAUGGGAAUUUGAAGGUGUAAUUGGCAGAGCAGAAACUUGUGAGACUGUCUAAAUCACACAGAAUCAACGCCUUCAAUUUGCUGAAAACAAUCUCUUCUAUGUCAACUCCUUCUUUGUCAUUUAUUACCACCUCUGUCAUUGCUCUGCAUCCAUAUACUUGCACUGUUACGAGUCGCACCAGAGUUUUUGCUGUGGAGGAUGUUACUAAGUGUAUCAAUUCCUUGCAACCGACAGCUACCAGUUUUGCUAGGUUCCGAAAAGAUACCGAUGAUGAUGGCAAUAGACUUAACAGAUUUUGACAAUGAUAUACUUUUAGAAUUUCAAGAUAUUGAAAAAUGGAGUCAAGUUUGGAGUCUUGUUUACAUAGCUGCUUCAGAUGAUUAAGGUGGCCCAGCUCUAUACAUUUUAUCAUUGCCAACUUCCUCAAACGGUUCUCUAAGCAUCCUUCCGUUGAAAAUACCUCUUCGUAUGAACAAUGAUACAGUAAGAGUAAUUCGAGAUUGUGAAAUCUCUCAAGUACAUUCCUGAUUGGAAAACAAGCCGAGUCAUCAUAAGUUAUGUCUAGUUUUUUAAGACUGCCAAAAAGGUGUUGUGGGAAAUCGGCGUCCAAAAUCAUCUUCACAUCUUUUCCGCUUAACGCCAGUGACUCCAAGUUGGGUAAGAUCUGAUCAUCGUCAAUCACGUAGUAACUAAUCAGGUCAGUUGAUGUUCUCUCCAAUAAUUUUACCUUAGAGUACUUGUUGUAGAUUAUAUAUAUUUUACCAAAAAAAAAAAAGAAAAGAAAGGAAAAAUUGAAUUAGUGAUAAAAUUCAUUCUAGGAUUUUUGUAUGUUAAUUUGAGAGAUAAGAGAGAAAUUAGAAAAAAAAAAGGAUGAUUUAUACUGGCAUAAAAAUAUUUUAUUGCACAAUAAUAAAUUAUUAAUUUAUAUUGUAAGUGAUUAUAUAUGAGAAAACUGAGGAUUCUUUUUUAAUGCUAUACCUAAAAUAAUUCAUCUAACUAUUAAUUUAGUACAUUGAUCCCUUAGUCCAGACUAGCAAAAAUAUUAAUUUUGUACUAAAAGUUUUCAAUUUAUUGAGUAUUAAUUUAUUGAUGUUUAGUUAUAUUUUACAAAGUCAAAAGUCGCUAAUGAUCUAAUUGAUAAGAAAUCUAGAAAGCGGCUUCAUACCUUUUUGAACAAGAAUAGGGGCCGUUGUGCAGGAAUACCAAGUUGAUCAUCCUCAUUAUUCUGUGAUGAAUCUGCAGCGAAUGUCUUCAAUUUGUCACAACCAGACACCACUAAAAUUUUUAGUGCAGGCCAUUCCGAAGUAUGCAUUCCAUGGUAUAAACAUUUAAGUUCCGGUAGCUCUUGGAGUAUAAGAGUGGUCACCCGUUGAAAGACAAAAUGAGGGGUCACAUGAUCUACUCUGUCUUCCGAAAUGAUCUCUUGCAAACCCCUACAAUUCACUAUCUCUACUUGUUGGAGAUGCUCAAAGCUUUGAAUCAUAGAAACUAAAAAUAUGUAUUUUAAUUUGUUACAGUGGCACACAAUCAAUCGUGUUAAACUUUGAAAGCGAGGAAGCAUGACCGGACGAUGAUUGUAAUGCCAAAUCUUGUCGACAUUAAUUUCAGAUAUCUCCAAAGCCUCCAAAUUAGGCAACCCUACCUAAAAAAAUAUUAAUUUCUUGUUAGAUCCAACACCCAUAUGAGAAGGACUUAUUGAAAUUUUCUUCUUUGAUUACAGAUUAAUAAUUCAAGUCAAAAUCAAUUUCCAACUGACAGCUGAGUAUGCAUUCUAAUUCGUAUUACUUGUUAAGAGCUCAAUUAGUGAGUGCGUGAGAUUCUUUUUAUCCUUUUUUUUUCACUUUCUUUCAAUUCUUUAAAUGAUUUAAUUAUUUUCCACGUAUGACAUCAAAAGAGAAUGCACAAUAGCAUAAAGAAAGUGUUAGCCUACGCACCUUGCCGUUGAAAAGCAGUGUUUCCAAAUUGAUUUCGUUGGAGCAAGAACUUGUCAAUUCCUCUUGCAGCCCUUGUCUGUUUGGUGAUGCUGAAGGAGUCUUCAAAUUACGGAAAAAAGUUGUAACCUCUGGAAGAUUUCCCAAACUCAAAGAUCUUAAUUGAGCCAACUCUAUCUUCUCAGCAGCAUUAUUGUUGUCAACAUCAGCAUCUCCCCCAGUAGCAAAAAUCUCUUUCAUCUUGCUGCAAUUAAUAACUGCAAUUCUCUCAAGUCUUGGAAGGCAUUUUGCAGUGGAGAGCCAGAAGAUAUUACUCAACUCAUUACAAUUUUCUACUUUUAUUGUUUUGAGUUUAUUGAAAGACUCUACUUUGAGUCGAUCAAUGCAUAUCCUCUCCAUGUUGAUCAAAUUGUGAAGAGUCAGUGACUCCAAAAGAGGAAAGGCAUCACAAGCGACCAUCUCCAUUGAGUCGACAAUACAAAAGAAGUCAGGAUUAUUUUGAACCCAGAGAAGCUUCAAUUGUGGAAAGCCCUUUGUGUCCAAAUCGAAAAGAACAUUUUUGACACCUUGUAGCUUGUCCAACCAUACGUAUUCAACGUUAUUGAUGGCCUGCAAUUUCAUGGAGCAAAUGUCCGUAAAAUCAGGCUUGAGCUUCAAUUCUCUUAAACGCUCAUGAUUAUGGUUGAUCAAAAAGUGCGACCGACUGCGAAACCAAUCUUUUGUAACAGGCAAGGAAGCCAUGAAUGACUCAUUUCCAAUAGAUAUUUUGAACCUUUCGAGCUUUCUGGCCAAAAAGCCUUCCUGUAAAAUACUGUCAUUUUUAACAUCAAUUUCUAGAGUGGUUAGCCAAGGUAAAAGCAUCAAUUCAUCAAGGCUUGCAUUACUUCUUUCAGUGUUGGCUCUUUCAACCUCCCAUUCAACGGAGCAAUUACCCAUACACAAUUCUUCUAAUCGGAUUAAGCUCGAUAUGACAUUUGGGGCAAUAACUUUUAGAUGGAAACAGUCUCUUAAAUCUAACAGCCUUAGCUUAGUCACUUGCCCUAGUGCUUUUGGUAACUCUACAAUAUCAGACCACACAAAGCUAAGGAUUUCUAGAUUUUCCAACUUUCCAAUAAUGGCUAUGUCCAUGUCUCCCAAAAUGCUUUGAUCAAGACAAAGCGUCGGAAGAUUUACUAGAAGAUCAAUUGAAGAUGGCAAUGACAAUAACCGCAUUCUAGUCAAAUCCAAAACCCGAAGCUUUUUUGUCCUUUCGAAGAAGUUCUCAGGAACAUUAGGCGCAACAAAAGAGUUCUUGGGAGACAUGAAUAAAAAUUCCAAGUUGUGGAGAUUCCAACACUUCGGGAAUGUCAUUAAUAAUACUAUCUUUAAAAAAAUUGCAGGAUAUUUUUUUAAUGCAUCUGCAUCUGGCCAUUUCCACACAUCCUCAUUUCUCACCGCAAAUGCAAUUUUGUCACGACGUGCAAUUGAAAUGGCAACAUCGCGAACAACAUCAUGCAUGGAAAAGAAUUUACUGCCACCAUCCUCAAGCAACAAACAAGAGUCUCUUAGUUGAUGGACCCAUGCAUGUAAUUUGUUAUGUGCAUCUUCUAGCUUAUAGACACUUUCAAAUGCACCCAAGCCCACGCUAUAUUUGAACAAGUCCAUAAUUGAAGUUGGUGUAAUUAGACUACACAGUAAAAAAGUUUUCUUGAGUUGCUCACCUCUUAAAUACUUGUAACUUAGCUCAAUUGUUGAGUAUGCCUCUACUGGUACUCCUUCAUCGAAGCUUGCCUCUGAAGGCGUUUGGAGUUCUUGUAAGACGUUCUUCCACACAGGCAGCUCUUUGUUUCUCAGUGCCUUUGCUACUGUGGUUAGGGCAAUAGGCAAACCUCCACAUGCCUUGGCUACAUUUGUUGCUGUAGAUUUUAACUCACGAUUUUCAACAUAAUUACCAGCCAUUAUCUUGAACAACCUCCAAGCUUCUUGCUCAUUUAGAAUGCCAAUCAAGAAGUUUUUUUCAGAUCCCAUACUUAACAAAACAUUACGAUCCCUUGAUGUUAAUAAUAACUUGCAUCCUCUAUGAUCAACGCCAAAAGGAAUUCCGACUGUCUCUAAAUCAAGAUAUUUCCAGAUGUUAUCCAGAAUCACAAGGAUCAUCUUCUCUUUCUUCAAUCGUUCAUAAAGUCUACUAGCUCUUCUAGAUUCAGCCUCCUCGGACAACUCCAGACCUAGUUUCUCUGCAAUUUCCCCUUGAAUCUUUUUUAUGUCUGGAGUUUGGGAAACCUCUGAAAAAACCACCUGAUCAAAGAGUUUCUCUUCACUGGCUUGCCUUGCAAACUCCUUCACCAGUGUUGUCUUUCCAAUGCCGCCCUUUCCGUAUACCCCAACGAUGCUGACAUUGACAUCAGUCAAUGCAUCUUGUAUAGACUUCAGAGUAGAAAGUCUUAAUUUAAAGGCCUCGUAACCUUUGUUAGACUUUAGCCAUACCUCCUCCGCAAUGGUACGGUAGAAAAUUCUAUCAUCAAAUCUCCUAGCUUCUUCUUUGAGUUCAACAAGGGCCUUCACCUCUGUUUCUGCUUUCUUGCUAAGCUGAUAGCGGGUCUUCAAAUUAGGACACAAGCCCUUGAAACAUCGCUUACUUGUUGUCUCCCCAUCUUCAAUGAAUUUGGCUGCCUGCUCAAUGGUGUUGUUCGCACUAACCAGCCAGUUCUCAACCUUCUCUUCAAUCUUUUCUCCUUUUCUUUCAGCCUCAGAAACUCUGUGCUGAAUGCUCUUACUUUCAUCCUUGAGCUUGUCUAUUUCUGCCUUGAGAUUCUCAAAGUUGGCUUUAUAGUUUCGCAAAUAACCAAGUUGGCGUUCUGUUGGAGGAGCGAAGCAUUUCACAACUUCUAACAGAACAGUAACAAUGCUUUCCACCAUCUUCGAUCCUCUUUUUUUCAAAGUUCCGAAAUGAAAAUAAACGACGAGCGAAAAACAGAGAGAAAGAGAGGCAAAAAAAAAAAAAAAAAAAGAAAAAGAAAAAAAAGAAAAUGAAACAACAAAGAUGACAAGUGUAUCUGUUUGUGGAAGCGGAGAAAUCAAAGAAAGCUUAAAAACUGUUGUGAAUCUGGUGAGAAGAUGGAAACAAGGAAAAGGUUUCUAGUUCAAAACUGAUUGAAUUGAUAUAAGGAAUGAUUUAGAUAAUAGAGGAAAAUUGAAUCAGUCAAAAUAACUUAAGUAUUGACCAGAAGAAAGAUGCAAACAAUAUUAGAGACAACAACCGCGCUAUUGACUGGUAAUAGAGAUGGAGAAAAAGAAAAUAUCUUCACACGGUGGAAGUACAAAGGGUAGAUAUGGAACCAAACAGAGACAACAACAGGCCACAACUAGAUUGGGAAUGGAGAGAAACAAAUUAACAAAGACUGGAGAUUACAACAGAACAGAUGCCAAGAGAAAAGGGUUUCUUCAUCCAGUGAAAUUCAAGAGAGUUGACAGCAAAAGGGAGCACAUGUGUUUCUUGAUUGAGAACGAGUGCAAAGGAUGACUUUUUAAUGAGGUUCUGAAGCUGACGAAUAACGAUUUGCUAAAAUUUUGAGAAAGUUAUAUAUUCCGUAACUUCAACAAGUGAAGAAUAAAAGAAUAAUAGUUCGUCAUCUUCACAAUGAAGAUCAUGGACGAGAUUAAAAGCUAAAACUAGUCCAUUUGAAAAGCCAAAGUUCAAGUUCCUUGGCUAAGUUCAGAAGUGAAGCAAAGAAUAAAUAAAUAAAGAUCAAGGGAUGGGAAUAAAGUCACCCCCAGACAGUUGCAGAAAGAUUAUUAUUUGGUAAGCGUAGUUGAUUAUUAGUACAAAACAGAGUAGGUGAAACACAUCCUUUCUAUUUAGACUGAUCAGCAUCUAAAAUUUUAUGAAUUAUGAGUUGCAUUUUAUUUUGUACAUUCUGUUAACACAUUUUAAUUUAGCCAAUUUUGCAAUAAAUGUUAUUGAUGUAUUAAAUUGCAACAACAAAACACAAUUAUUGGUAUUAAAGAAUGAAAAAAAAUAAAAAUAGAAAAUGAAUUGAAUUCCACUCAUCGUCAUCUUGGGAAAUCAAGUCAAAAAAUAAAAAUCCAUAUGCUUUUGUUAAAGUUAAAAGCUACAUAAAUAAUAUCACAGAAGCUUCUGCUAAGGUUCAUGUGAAGUCACAGCUUUGAUACUUGUACUACAAGGAGCACGGAGAAACCAUAAACUUCAGUUUAGGUAUGUACAUUGCUUGUCUUUCAAACUUGAAUUGAUAAGGGGGAAAAAAAUAAUACUAAAGCAAACAGAAGGAUCAUUUAGUUGACAAAAUUAUUAUUAUUUUGAAAUUCGGGUCAUUCAGUUACUUUCAUUUCAGUUUCACUUCUGAUUCAAUUUAACCAGUUAACGUUGACAAAAAUAAAAUGCAAAUAUAAGGCUAAGGCUGCUAAUUUGAUGAACUAAUUAUCUCAGGAACCAAAGCAUCUAUAAGCAUGCAUGGGUGGCAACACCAUAAUUACUCAAGACUGGAGGAGUAAAAAGAUUGAAGAUGAUAAACAUUAAAUUUUAGGAAAAUCAUUCACAAAUAUGCUUUUAUAAAAGUAUUGUUGGUAAAGUUCGAGAAAUGCAUACAUGUCAAAUUUCCAUUUCUUGUGAGCAUUUCACCAAAUAGCUGAUAUGCAUUAAUAACUCCUAUCCUAUACUAUUGGCCAGUAGGUUGUUGCUGCUUCCCCAUUUUUAAUGAUGCGAACGUCUCAUACUUAGAAAUAAGGGCGGAGCCUGGAGAUUGAUGUAUAAGAUAAUCUUUUGAAUAAAAAUAAAAACAAUUACAGAUUUCAAAUGUGAGAAAAAUAAAAUUGCGUUAUAAAAUUAAUCCCACUAAGAAAGUCGUCUACGAAAUUGCCACAUUAAAAGAAAUUUUUUCCAUAAAUUAAAAUAAAAUUAAAUGAAAACUAUUUUUCAGUAAAGUCAAUUGCCCACGCUAGGCUAAGGCGUUUGUUUAUUUGUUUGUUUGUUUUUAUAAUCUGAAUAGGUAUAAAUUUUUCGUAAGCAUGAAUGAGCUGAGUACAAAUAUAUGAAUGAUAUAUUUAUUUUUCUUUUUCUUAAUACCCAAAUAUAAGUGACAUCUUAUUUAUCUUAAAUAUGGUUAUUUGAUAUUUAUAUUUUUACAAAUAAAAAUAAAAAAAGUAGUUAGAUUUUAUAGUUUAAGAAAUAAAUAUAUUUUAUAAAAAUAUUUUUAGAAUAUAUAUUUAAUUCUUAUUUAGACUUUUUUCUAUUCAAUAAAAGUCACAAAAGGUACUUUUUCUAUUCAAAUGUAAAUGCUUAAAAAUCAGAUAUAAGUUACAAAAAAAAUAAAUUUUAGAAAAAGUCAUAAAUUAAUAAAAUUUCAUAUAUUUAACUCCCAAUGCAGAUCCACCCCUAUCAGUGUGAGGAAAUUGACUGGUGAAGUAGGUUCACAGCUAAAAUGAAAUUGGAAGAAAAUGAAGAACAAGCACAUAGAGGACACCAAAAAUUACAUGGUUCGACUUUUAGCCUACGUCUACGGGUAAAGACAAAAGGAUAAAACUUUACUGGUGAAAUGAGGAUUACUAGUAUUAUAAUAUUUUGUUUCACUUCCCAGAACCCCAAUCCACUCAAUCUCUUAAAAUACUAAUCACUCAAGAGCAUUAAAACUCUUAGUCUCUCACUCUAGAAUUGAAGAAGAAAAGAAUGAAAUGCGGGGGUGAACCCCUCAUUUAUAGUUAAAAAUUUGGGCACUAUUUAUAUUUUUAUAUAUUUUUUUAAAUUAAAAGUUUGAACUUGACAUUCAAACUUUGAAUAUCAAAAGGUAUUGGUCACUCUUCUAGAAAAGUGACAUUGACUUUGACAUUCUCCCACUUAGAAAUUUGAUUGAGAAUCAAUCAAUCUCCACACCAUCCUUUCUGCUUCGCCGCUAUCAUGUUGCUUAUGUCUCUACUAGGCCAUAAAAUGAUCUACUCCAAACAAAUUUAUCAGCAUUGAUAGGCUUGGGCAAAACAUUUGUUAAGUUCUCCUUGGUAUCCACUCUUGUAUCUUUCACUACUUCACGAAGAAGUGAUAUUGUACUCCUAUAUUCUUUGUCCUAAAAUAAAAGGUUGGAUUCCUUGCAUUCUAACUAUCACAAACCAUAAAAAUUUUAUGCCCAAGCUCCUUCAGUAACCUUUGUAUCCAAAUAGCCCUUCCAAGCUUGUGUAGCUGCUAUGUAAUCUGCUUCUAUUGUUGAUAAAGCCACAAUGGUCUGCAAUUUUGAAAUCCAACUAACAAUUUCGCCUUCUGGUGUAAAUACUUAGCCAGUAGUGGGUUUCCUUUUAUUAAGAUUUUCUGCAAAAUCUGAAUGCACAAAGCCCUUGACAGUAAAUUCUAAUCCUUCGUAGCAUAAUGCAACAUCUGAUGUUCCUCUGAUAUUUCUCAGAAUCCUCUUAAUAGUCUUCCAAUGUUCUUUGCAAGGAUUCGCUAUGUAUCGACUAACUGCUCCCACUACUUGUACAAAUCAUAGCGAACCUUAAAUUUUCCACUGCUGAUGCAUACAGUUCUCAAGACAUCUCUUCUUCUCUACUUCAUUACUAUAUGAAUACUUAAGAAUAACUUGAAAUUAAUAGGAGGCGGGGUAGAAAGCCAAAUCUUCUUGCUAUUACUAUCUCGGUGAAUUUGCAUCCCUAAAAUCUUGUUUGUUGGUUCUAAGUCUUUUAUUUCAAACUCCCUAGUUAACUGUGCCUUCAGUUCUUGGACUCGAUCUUUGUUGGGGCUUGCUACCAAUAUGUCAUCCACAUACCACAGUAGAAUGAUGAAAUCAUUAUUAUCAAACUUGUUGUAAUAUGUACAAUAGUCUGAACUGAUUCUAUUGUAUCCAAGGUUUAUGAUGAAGGGAUCAAUUCUCUUAUAUCAACAUCUCGGUGCAUGUUUGAGAUCGUAUAGAGAUUUGUUCAACUUGCAAACCAAGUGUCCCUUUUUAGUAAAACCUUCUAGUUAGAGCAUAUAAAUCUUUCCUUCAAGUUCUCCAUGAAGAAAUGAAAAUUUCACAUCUAACUGCUCCAAAUAUAGGUCAAAUGUAGCACACAUCGACAAGAACACUCUAACUGUCCUGGGUCAAAUCACUGGAGAAAAUAUCUCAUUGAAGUUAAUACAUUCUUUCACCACCAAUCUUUCACGAUACCGCUCCACUAGGUUAUUACCAUCAUGUUUGAUCUUGUGAACCCAUUUGCAACCAAUGGUUUUUUUUUUAUAUGGUAGUAGUACGAGUUCCUAUGUCAUAAUCUUGUGUAGAGCCUUAAUUUCUUCCUGCACUGCUAUCAUUUACAAAGUAACAUCUAAGCUGUUUAAAAUUUCAUAGAAAGUUGAUGGCUUUCCAUUCUCUAUUAAAAGACAGUAUGCAAAAUUGAUAUCUGUGACAUAAUCCAAAUGCCACACAUACAGUUAUCUAUCACGAGUUGACCAACAAACUUUUAGGGCCUCAGACUCGAUUGGUUCUUGUUCUCAUACUUUAGUGCUGCUUCAAAAAAAUCUGAAUCUUCAUUUUCCAGAUUAUUUUCAAACAUAUAUUAGCACAAUCUCUAAAUUUUAAUAGUGCUAUCAUCCAUAUCUCUCUUUUGCAUUUGAUCUUCUACAAAGAUAAUAUCUCUGCUAAUAACGAUUUUGUGGGCAUUGAGGUCCCACAGAUAAUACCCUUUCACUCCAUCAAUAUAUCCUAAGAAGAUACAUCUCUUGGAUUUUGGAUCCAUCUUUAAUCUCACUUGGGUAUCGUAUAUCACGUAAAAGGACAUCAAAAUGCCUGAGAUGAGAGUAAUCAGUUGGCUUUCCUGUCCAUUUUUCCAUUGGAAUCUUCAACCCGAUUGCCUUGAAUGAUGACCCACUUACCACAUAAUAAGUAGUUUUUGCUACUUCCGCCUAGAAUGAGUUGGUAGACCAGCAGUUCUCAACAUAAUUCUUAUUUUUUCUAUAAGAGUCAUGUUCUUUCACUCCACUACUCUAUUUUAUUGAGGAGUGUAUGCCACUGUGAACUAUCUCUAGAUACUUUCUUACUUACAUAUGCAAGAAACAUGCUAUAUGUAUACUCUCCACCAUUGUCUGUCCUCAGGCACUUGAUCCCUUGCCCUGAUUUAAGUUCAAUCUAUGCUUUGAAUUCUUUGAACAAUGGAAAUACAUUUGACCUUUUCUUGAUUAGAUACACUAAAUAUCUCCUAGAAUAAUCAUCAAUAAAAGUCACCAAAUACUUUGCACCUCUCAUAGAUAUAUCAAUUGAUUCCCAAACAUUAGAAUGAAUCAAGUCUAAAAUACAUUUACUUUUGAAAGUGGAUCUGCUAAACUUUCAUCUAUGUUGCUUCAUUGUUUCGACAUGUGGCUAAGCUUAAGAUGCCACAUCAUCGCUGAAUUUUCUCUAUUUGAUGUGACACACACAAAAGCUUUCUGUAGUGUUUCCAUUUAAUUAUGAAUAGAUUAGCACCGAUCUUUUCCACCUUCAUUAAUGCAAGUGUGCCUUUGACUAUCUUUAUGAUCCCAUUUUCUACAUGAGUUUUGUGCACAAGGCUAUCUAUUUGUCCUAAAGACAAGAGAUAUUUUUCAAGUUUUUGACAUGUCUUACCUUCUCAAUUGUGCGAACCGUACCAUUAAACAUAUUUAUUUUGACAGUACCAAUAUCAAUGAUCUCAAAGGCAUGAUUAUCGCCUAUGUAUACAGAUUCUCUUGAAAUAGGUUCAUAUUUGUGAAAUCAUUCUCUUGGAGAGAUCAUGUGCCAGGCAACUAUUAAGUCUAUAAGCCAGACGUCAUAUAGUGGUUUUCUGCCUUCUGAAGCAGUUGUUGCCUUACUGUAGAGAAUUUUGCCAUCAUACGAGGUACUUACUACAUACCCUUGAGCAUUUGAUGACUCAGGAUCUUUACCCUCUCUUCUCUUCUAGUUGUUCCAAUACUCUUCCUUGACAUACUCUUUCUUGCCACAGUUGUUGCAUUCAACAUUCUUAUUACUUCUUGAUUUCGAUCUACUGUGAUUGUGGCUCUCACUAGGGCCACGUUCCAUGGAUCUUCCUUUCAUCAUCAAUAGUGUUUCUACUUGCUGCGAACUUGUCUGUCUAUCUUUUUUAUUUUUUGCUACUCUCCUCAUUUAAUACGGAGGCUGCCAUAUUGUCAAAGACUAACUUGUCUGCUCGAUUGUUAUUAGUUAGAUUAAUGACGAAUUGAUCAUACGAAUCUGGUAAACCUUGAAGUAAAAGCUCUACAUGAUCAUUUUCCUCUAUUUUAUGACCCAAUGUUGUAAGUUAUGAAAAUAAAGUCUUUAAAGUGUUGAUAUGGUCGAUCACUGAUGUAGAUUCCGUCAUUCGAAGAGUAUAAAGCCUCCUCUUUAAAAAGAUUUUAUUUUGUAGUGAUUUGACCUCGUAUAGUCUUGUGAGAGUAAACCAUAUUUCCUUUGCUCUCUUUUACUCUACUACAUUGAAUAAUACCUUAUUUGAAAGUGGUAUGUGUAGAUUUGCAAUGGCAUUAUUGUCUAUCUCAUUCCACUUGUCAUCAUCAGUUAUCUUUGUGAGCCUCUCUUCAAUUGCUGCCAAGCAAUUACUCUUCCUCAAUACAACCUUCAUCUUCAUUUUUCAUGACGAAAAAUUAUUUUUGUUGAACUUCUAAAUUUUGUAUUUUUCUGCCAUCACUGUUCACCACGAGCUACCUUUGCUAAGAUUGAUUCCUACCAUUUCACAUGAGCAGUAACUGUAUAUAUGAAUAAAGUGUUGUAUACAGAAACAAUAUCAUAGACAUGAACAGUACAAUAUAUGUAAACAGUAUCUCGACCCCAAAAAAUACAACCCGACUCUAAUACCACUAUUAGAAAAUUAAUUGGUGAAGUAGGGCCGCGACUAAAAUAAAAUUGGAAGAAAAUGAAGAACAAGCACACUGAGGACACCAUAAAUUAUUUGGUUCGACUUUUAACUUAUGCCCAUAGGUAAGGACAAAAGGAUAAAACUUUACUAGUGAAAUGAAGAUUAUAAGUAUUUUAGUAUUUUGUUUCACUUCUCAAAACCUUAAUACACCCAAUCUCUCCAAACACUAGUCACUCAAGAGUAUAAAACUCUUAAUCUCUCAUUAUAGAACUAAAGAAGAAAAUAAUAGAAUGAAUGAAAUGAGGGGGUGAACCCCUCUAUUUAUAGCUAAAAAUUUGGGCACUUUUUAUAUUUAUUAUUAUUUCAAAAUUUAAAGUUUGAACUUGAUAUUCAAACUUUGAAUAUCAAAAGAUACGGGUUGUUCUUCUAGAAGAACCGCACCAACAUUGACUCUUAGGCAGACCUUUAGAGCUUUAAAUAAAGAAAAAGCUUUUAAAAAUGCCAUGUGUACUUGAUUAUACAAUAAUCUCCACCACAUAGAAUGAUUUGAUAAAAGAAAUUUUUAAUUUUUAAUUUUACUUUUAUCAGGCACGGUGUAUUUCCCCUUGGGCUCAUAUGUAAGGAUGUCAAUAAGAUGGGAAGGAGAGGGGAUUGAUUUCCCCAUACUCAUCUUUAAUACUCUGUGUAUCUCUUUGUACUCUAGACAGUUCCUUCAAAAUUACUUGAAACGAGGGGAUGGAUGUUUCUAAAUAAUACAAAGGGAUCUCUUAUGGCAUCCGAUCUCUGAUUAUUUAAUUUCUUUUUUUUUUCUUAAUUUAAUCAUCUUAAAGUAAAAAUAUAAAAUCAUAUUAACACAAAAAAUAUCAAAUUAACUAAAGUGAUUAAAAUCAUUUCCAUCAAAUUAAGUCAAUGUCAUCAAAUUAGAAGAUAAUCUUUGAACUAAUUAAGCAAAAGUAAAUCUUCAAAGUUGAACUCAUCCAUAAAUGUCAUAUAGUAUAAACCAUCAAUUAAAUUAUCUUUGUCAAUUUUAAAGUGUUUAUAUUUACUUUAUAUUGGCUGUUAUUUAUAUUAUUUUUAUAAAUGUAUUAUGAUAUUUUUUAUUUACAUCACACUAUUACAAUUGAAAUUUUAAAUGUAUUUACUAUAAAUUUGAAAAAAAUGAAUUAAAAAUAGAAACUAAAGAUAGAAAUAAAAAAAUGUGGAGCCAAAUAAAAUAUUAGGGCAAACACUAAGUUAUAAUUCAAGUAACUUACACCCACACAUAUUAAUUUAUCACAGCCUUGUCUCCACAUAGAAAAAUUAGAUCUAAAAUUAUCAAACUCCCGAAUGAGGAAGAUCCCUCGGGGCCAUCGUCCCUGUGGAAAUUUCUGCAUCCCUGCAGUCUACAACGCCUAAUAAUGAAUUGAACGGUUGAAAUCCCUCUAAAUUUUUUAUAAUUUCUAAUCGCCCCUCCAUAUUUGAUUGAACAUCAAAACUAUGGAGUCCAAAUUUAUAACUUUGAUUUAUCUUCCAUUCCAUAGUUUUCAAGUUCUCUCUCUCUCUCUCUCUCUCUCUCUCUUUUAACCCUUUUUACUGCAACCACCAUCAAAGCCUAGUAGUUAAUAUGUAUGCUGCUUUGCUUUCAAAAUCGGACACUACUGGUAUUUAUGGUUUUUAUUCUUUAUUUGACACAAAAUUUGGCGAUAUCUCCGAGGAAAAACACUACUGGUGUAUUCAAUUUUAUCCGGUAAUGAUUAAAUUGAUUAUUACAUGAACCGUAACUUCGCCGAGCCCAAAAUACAUAUUAAGUUAUAAAGCGUUCGCACUCAUUAUUUUUCGCAAAAAGUUUCGCCCAAAAUACAUAUAUUUUUUUAAUUUUUUCUGUGAAAAAAACUACUGUUAUAUUCAAUUUUAUCAUUAAAGUUGUUAGUUACAUGAACCUUAAAUUAACACAAACCGUAACUUAGCCAAGCCCAUAAUACAUAUUUCAUAUUUGUAUGAAAUUUAAAGUUUUUCCACUUAUUAUUUUUCGCUAAAAGUUUCUAAAUUGUAUUGUAGUUUGAACUUGCCCAUCAUUCAAUUUUUUAACUCCACAAUUAUUUGACCUUACCAAGCUUGAAAAUAUCCUUCCAUACAUAUUUAAUUUUCUCCAAGUAUGAUGAAGAUUUAAUCAAGAGCCUCCGGGAUCUUAAAGUGCAAGAAAGGUCCGGAAAAUUUUUAAAACCCCACUGUUUAAAGUUUUUUUGGACUUUCUUGCACUUUAAAAUCUUGGAUUGAUAUAUAUAUAUAUAAUCAUUAUUAGGUGCUAGUGUUCUCAUUUUUUUUUUUAAUGCAAACACCCUUUUAAGCCGUAGGGUUUAAUAACAUUAAAAACUAACUUUCAACUAGCUCUCUUAAAUUGUACGGCUUAAAAGCAUGUUAGCAUGAAAAAAUGAACGUGUCUGUACCAAAAAAGGACUAUAUAUAUUAUUUACUUUAUAUAGACAUACGUGCGCGCGCUCGCAUAUAUAUAUAUAUAUCAUUUUAAUAUAUUCCAUUACUUUAAUAAUCAAUUUAAAAUAGUUUGUGAUAUUUCCAGCUAUUUAUUUAUCUACUUUUAGUUAGUUAUUUACACCGAAUGAAGUGAUAGGGUCCAACUUUUAGUAUCCUUCUCAGCUGUUUGGGGUUAGUAAAUACUAAUUAGCUUAUUCGUCCCGAACAGCCGCGUAAAUGCUGUUAGAUUUCGGAGAGAUGCUGAGGAUGGUACAAGAUUUAUCAAAUUGUGGCGACAUUUUUAUACCUUUAGAAUUUCAAGAUUUUGAAGAAAUAAAUGGAAUCUGUUUUCCAUAAGUGAUCCACUAUCUAUCAGGAGGAAUUCUAAAAUACAUUACAGAUUAAUGAUUUUUCAUAAUAAAUAAACAUAUGUUAUAAUAUUAUUUAUUUAUCAUAUGACUGAUAUAAUACUUCUGAUAUAUUUUGAAAUUUUUAAUUCACCAAAGUUCAUUUUUAGCUUUUAAGGUUUUUAUGUGUGAGCCUCUCAGCAUGUUCCCCAACCUCCUCACGUGAAAAUAUUUCUAUGUACGGUUACAAGCUUUUCCAGAUUGUGAGUAUUCCGAAGCAAUCCAACUUGAAAAACAGCUGGUUCGUAGAAAACGACAGUUUACGAAGCUGGCCCUGCUGCCAUACAUAUGAUGAUGAAGACCAUUUUGCUUUAUGUCAAUUCCUCCAAGUUGAAAUCUUUCUCGGUCUGGGACACUUCCAACACAUAAAGUACUACUAGGCUAGAUGAUUUUAAAAAAUGUCAAGGUCCUUUAUCAAAUUUCAUUUGCAUUCAAGACCAACCCCCUUUGAUGAAAAUCAAUAAUUAAAGACUUUCCAAUGAGAAAUUAUUACGUCUUCAAAUCUCAAAAAACGCCAGAAUAUUAAUUCGCUACAUAUAAUCAAGAUAUCUCAUUGAGACGCAUUAAUAAAAAAUGUCAAAAUGCAUAGAAAGAGCAGACACACGGAUGAUGAAUUUACUCAUCUUUAUUAGUAUUUGAAUUUGAGAGACAGAAUGAAGUACAUGUCAAGAAUAUCAUAAAGAUGGAAACCGGAAGUCCUCCGCACAUAAACUUUGAAGAAACUGGAAAACGACUUUAUUCCAGAUAAUGCACACCAGAGUGACCAAAAUUCUCUUCAGUAACUAUGGAGAAAAUAUUAUUUUGCAUGCAUUUCACGUAACUGGAUCAAACUACUCCCCUGUUGGUUUGUCAGACCACAUUUUUAUGGUGCAAUAUAAACCAUCUUUUCAAAACACUUCGACAAUGUGAGAAACAAAUGAUUUUUAUAUAGUUGUUCAUAGCUAACUUUUGAUGGUUUAAUGAUCUGUAGAUUUUGUUUUAUGCUGUUCAAGGAAUGAUAUCCAAUUGUUCCUAAGAGUUCAUAGGCAGGGGCAUAUAUGCAUGAUUUGAUAUAAUUCUUGCAAUUUCUAAGUACUUGCUCUUUUCAUCCCUUCUAAGUUUUGAAAGAAAGGUCGAAAUAAACAGAGAAACAGGACAAACAGAAGAAGACUGAAUUAACAGAUCAACAAAGAUGGCAACUAACAAAUGGAAAAGUUCUCUUGUAAUCAAACUAUAGCAAACAGACAAUACCAUUGCCAUAUAUCUUAAUCAGUAGAUUGAUUCUCAACAUAUAUGUUAGGAUACAUUUGGUUGUUUAAUAGUUCGAAAUAAAGAGGAUGAGAUGGUUUCCACAUAAAAGUGCUGGGCCUUUCAAUGACAUUUUCAAGGAAUUAUAAAAUUCAAAAUAAAAAAAAAAAUAGCACAUUAUAAAGCCACACCGUCAAAAAAAUAAAUAAAUAAAUAAGUGAAGACCUUUAAUGAUAUAAAAAUAAAUAAAUAGAUAAGUCACUAAGACCUUUAAUGAUAUAAAAUAAGCAUAUAAAUCUCAUAACAAAACAUUAAAACUCAUUCUAAAAGUAAAAAUAAACUAGUGGUGUAUUCCAAACAAUUUAGAUGAAGCAAUAAAACAAGCCAAGAAAUCAAAUAAAAUGAAAUGAAAUUGAAUUAACCGGGACUUUGUUUUUCAAAUUCACAACUCGCUUGUAAUUAAAGUAAAAUGCCAAUGCCAUUAGGACACAUACAUCGUUGAAUAAGAUGAGGACCCCUCCAACAGCUGAAAGUAAAAUUUUCAUUCAUUAGUUUCAAUUAAAAUUAAAGCACACAGAGAUUUGCAGGGAAGCAAGAGAUUUAAUAAAUUUAACAGCAGCAAUUUAAUUUGACAGGACUUCCAUACAGUAAUGAAGUUAAAAACUAAUGAUUAACGAAUUUAGUUUGGUCCCAAAGCUGUUGAUCAUCUCUCUCUCCAUAGUAGAAGUUUACUCUCAGAGGCGCGUUUAAUUCUCCUUUAGUGAAAAUCUUCAUCUUGGGACAACCAAUUAUAGAUUCCUUGAAGGUGUAAUUGGCAGAGCAGAAACUUCUGAGACUGUCAGCAGAAACUUGUGAGACUACCCAAAUCAUACAGAUACAAAAUCUUCAAUUUGGUGAAAACAAUCUCUUCUUCAAAAUUUGCUGCUCCAUCUUCGUCAUUUAUCACCACCUCUCUCAUUGCUCUGCAUCCAUACACCAACAUUGAUAAGAGUCGCUGUAGAGUUUGGAGUGACAGAUUCGAUAAUGAUCAACUCCAAAUACUCGCCAAGAUCGCAAAUCAAACAACCAAGAUGCAAAAAGAAUCAAUCCAGAACAAAUCACAGAGAAACUUAAGAACCGAAAAGAAUUAAAGAAUUAGCAGCAAAGACAAAAGAUAUAACAGAUUUUGACAAUAAUGUACAUUUAGAAUUUCAAGGCAUUGAAUAAAGGAGUCCAAUUUGGAGUCUUGUUUCCACAAUUGCUUCAGAUGAUUAAAUUUGUGCAGAUCUAAAUGUUUUAUCAUUGUAAACUUCCUCACAUGUUUCUUCAAGUAUCCUCCAUUCGAAAAUACCUCUUCGCAUGAACAACGACGCCGUAUGAGAGUUUCCAGAUUAUGAAAUCUCUCAAGUAAAUCAAGUGGAAAACAAGUUGAGUCAUCAUCCACUGUUUGUAGUAGUUUAAGACUGCCAAAAAGGUGUCGUGGGAAAUCGCUCUGCAAAGUCAUCCUCGAGUCUUUUCCACUUAAUGCCAGUUGGGUAAGCUCUGAUCAUCAUCAAUCACGUAAUAACUUAUUAAGUCAAUUCAUAUUCUCUCAAAUAACUUUUAAUAAUCCAAUCAUACACAGUGACUUUAAUAUAAAUGCAUAAUAUUUUACAAAAAAGAAGAAAAAAUCGAAUUAGAGGUAAAAGUUAUUCUACGAUUUUAUUUUUUAUAUAUAUCUUGCAUGCUAUUCCCAAAAGCAAUCCCAAACGACCCUUAAAGCAAUUUUACAAAAGCGGCCCGUACAUGUAUUGCCAACUUUGUUAGGAAUGGCAAUGGAAAGGGGAGGGGAAGAGACUGAUCUCCCCGUACCCAUUCCCGAUAUUCUGCAUAUAUCCAUGUCCUCUUCCCAUUCCCGACAAAAUUACUUUAGGGAAUCCCCCUCCCCUCCCCAAAUAAUAAUAGGGGAUCCUUAAAGGUCCUCGAUUGUCGAAUAACUGAUACGUUUUUAGUUUUAAAUUUUAAUUUAAUCAUAUUAAAAUAAAAAAUAAAAAUAAAGUUUGACGAUAUAUCUUACAUUAACAUUAAUCUAUUACAAAAGUCACAUUACAAAGUAUAAAUCACCAUAAUAAUUAUCUUCGGCAAUCUUCAAAAUCAUAUAAUAAAAAAAAAAGAAAUUACUUUUAUAUCAACAAUGAGAUAAAUGAAAUGAAUAUAGAUACUUAAUCAAUAUUUCUAAUAAAAGUAUUUACCUCUUGUGUCUCCUACUCUUCUUGUUCUUCCUCGAGGAAUGUGACAAAUUGAGAGAUAGCCUCAGAUUUCAAAUUUAAAACAACAAAAAUAAUAUAAGUAAUGUAAAUUCUAAGUGAAAAUAUUAAUAAUUAUAUAAUAUAAUUACAAUGUAAAAUAAACUCAUACUGCCAUUGUAAGCUUGUAGUCAACUUUGACAACAUAUUAAAGCCUCCAAUGUGCUUGAAUAAAGCGUGUUACAGUACUCUAACACUGGUGCUAAAAGCUAAUUCAAAAGCAACAUUUGUAAUUAGAAUUGCCAAAAUAUCUCUAGCAAUUCAUAUACCCUCCUUAUGUUACUAACCACGUGACGGUAGAGAGCCAAUUGGCAUACUAUUAUUUUGACGGUAGAGUUAUAAAUUUGUUUCUAAAUAGAAAACUAUUUGCUGAAGUCAAUAUUUUCAAAACCAAAGUCCCAAAUUCUCUCUCGUGCGUGCCUGGCCAUCCUAAACCUUACUGGUAGCCGGAGAAUGGCGUAAAACGGCGGCGAUCUUCUUCUUCAUCUUAUUAUCUCUCUCAUCGUUUCAGGUAAGCUUGUGAUUAUGAGUUUCUUCUCUUUCUUAGCUUGUAAUUAUAGGUUUUGAUUUCUUUAAUUCGUAUUGUAACCAUUAAUGUCAAUUUUUGUCCCGCCGGCAAUAUUUCUUGUUCCUAGAAGUUGAAGCCCUUCUGUUCUUGUUCCAUUGGUGACUUUGCUCACUCAAAUUAAUUUUGUUCUGCGGAAUUUACAAAGUUCAAAUGGAUUCAUUUGGAUUACUAUUGAAUUUAGCUUUCAUUUCAACAUUCAUUCUAAUGUUUUACAAUCAUGUAUUUAGAUUUACUUUAAUUUUAUGUUUAAAGCUUCUACAAUGAAUAGCGGAGCUUGGGUUUUAGUUUCAUUUUCUAAUUAACUUCUUUUAGUUUAUCUUAUAUGCUCGCCAAGUGCUUGUUAUAUUGUCUGAUAAGUUAUAUAACAUUGCUGAUUCUAUAUUAGUAAUGUCAUGUUCCAUUUACGGAAAUUAUAGCACAAAAGUUUUUACAAUGGCUUGCAUCUACAAACUGAAUUGACUUGUAGAGUAAGAGCUUGGAUUAGUGUUAUGUUCUUGAAUAAAUGAAAGUUCAUAUUGUGUAAGAGCAUGUAGAUGUAAAGCAUCACUACCAUUUCUACAAAAUGCUUUCAUUCUGUUCAGAUGCUCCUCUUGAACUUUGAAAGGUGCCUCAUUCAAGUCCUAGCUAUAACUAAUAGCUCUGAUUGCUUAAGUUCCUGUGCUAGCUGAAACAGAUUUAUUUAAUUAAUUAAUUGUGUAUGUACUAAUUAUAUUGAAAGUAUAUGAAGAAAUUGUUUAACAUGAAUGACUUCUAAAUGACUUAAAAGCCUAAAGGAUAUGUCAAAUAAUGCUCAUUUCACUUGAACGAGCCUAAUACUUUUAUGUCUAUGAUUGUCAAUCUUGCUUAAGUGUUUCAGUUAAGUGGUUUACCUAACAGGGGAAAAAAUUUAAUGGAAAACUUUAGAGUUCGAACAGAAAUAUAGUUGACUGCAGAUAUAGUUAUUUUACGGUACAUAAAUCAUAUUGUCCUAUACUCAAUGUCCUACGACCUAUUUUAUUUUAUAUGGUCAUUCAUUUUUGCGAUGGUUUUUUGUGCUUAUGAGUAUGGAAAUAGUGGGAUUUGGUGUGGCAAACAAAAAUAUACAUAUAAUCAAGUUUCUUAAUCAUGUAUAUUGGUUUUGGGUAUGAAUGUUUUCCUAUUCUAGUUCUAGACAAAGUUUCUUCAUUUUGGUCUUCAGAUUUCCAGUAGGUUAAGUUAAGCAACUAUCAUAACUAGCUAGCUAGUUAUUGCCUGCCUUGUCGCCAUUACCGACGCCAUUACAUUGCAUGGCAUAAGGAAUAGUAACUAGGUGAUUAUUGGUGAUUCCUUGAGUUUAUUAUUGGCCAAACAAACAUAUUCGCCUUUACCCACAACUUAGUUUGAUUAGUUAUUAGAUAAUAAAGAGCCUUAAUCUAUGCAUUGCUUUAUUAUUUUUAUUUGGUUUUUCUUUCAACAAUAUUGUUGAUUUCUUAUAAAAAAUAUUCAUUGGUUUUUAAACACCUAAUCAUUGGCUAUAAUGAAGCUAAUUAAAACGGAGGCUUUGGAUCAAUUUCUGUUAACAACAUACAAAUGAGCAUAACCACCCCCCCCCCCCCCCCCCCAACCACCACCAAAAAAAAAAAAAACCAAAUAGGAAGACUUUGCAAGAUUCACAACCAGGUUACAUUUAAUUUAUUAAUUGUGUGUACGUACUAGUUAUUUGUUGAUAGAAUAGGAAGAAGUAUUUUAAUAUGAAUGGCUUAAAACUUAUUGCUCAGUAAACAUAAUGUGCAUCAGUGCUAGAAAAUGUAUUUAUUGUUUGUAAUUUUUUAUGGUUUUGCUUAAGAAAUGAAAUGUGAAAAAAUGCUACAUUUUAUUAGGAAUAAAUUGAAGAGAUUUAUGAUUUUUAUGUGUUAUUCAAGUUUCAGAUUCAAUUUUAAACUUUUGAUACAUGCAUUGAAAGCUUAAACUCCUUUAAGAAAUUAUUAAUAGACACAUGUUUUAUUAGUGUCAUCUUUUGGAUGAUAGUGAGGAUCUUAUGUCUAUUAAUAAUUCUUGAAUUAUCUAGGCUUGGACAGUUUGGUAAUGCAUAGAUUUCUAUGGCAGCUAGUGCCUGAAAUUUUUUUCCCACGUAAAAAUGGGUUUUUCCGCAGCUGCUCCUCAUGUUCUCUGGGUGCAUACUAGACAAAUGGGUGUCAUGUGUUGUUUUGGCAUAACACAUAAACACUCAUAUAUCUAUGUCGUGUACUUGAAGAACUAUAGGGAGAUGCUUCCGAAGUUUCUAUAAACGUAGAGGAAAACUUUAGAUACUUAAGAUUGAAGAAACUUAUGCAUUCUUGAGUGGGAUAUAUAGGACCACUUACCUUUUGUAAAUAUGAAGGGAAUGUUGGAUAUAUUGAUGGGAGUGGAGGAGCUGAGUGGGAUGAAUGUAAUCGGUUAUGAUUUUGCUGAGUUGACUUGGUUUUGAGUCUUGUAAUUUUGUUUAUAAAUGGAGUACUAUCUCCAAUGUUGGUUUAUAAAUAUGUUUCAGCUGGCUGACCUAAUUUUUUGUUUCUAGGUAACAGGCUUUAUAUAUCUGUAAUUGAUAGCCAAGUGAAGUUCUCAGCAGUGGGUGAGGAUAUUUCUUUACAGAAGGUAUUGCAAACUGUUUUUUAGAUUAAUUAUUAUUGUAUAUAUACUUUAAUUUUCACAUCUUUUUCUCUGAUUCUUGUGGCUUUGCUUGCUUCCAUAUAUAUAAAACCAUAAAAUUGUAUAAUAAUUUUUUUAUUAUAUUGCGAAACUGCGCACACAUGAAAAUAUCUUGUUUAGUAGUAGAAAUGAAGAAUUAAAGUGAUUUAUUUAACUAAUUUUUCUAGUGCAUUAAAAGGAGAUAGUCAUGGACCAGAGUUGGGUUGGUUUGCCAAAUAGAUAUCCAAUUCAUAUACUGAUGGGGUCAAAAAAUUUAUAGAUUUUGCAUUUGAGAAUGUUGUUGGUGAUAAAAGAAUUUAUUGCCCUUUAGAAGUGUCGUAAUAUCGAUAUUUCAUUAUAAGGAAAGUAGCAAGAGACCAUAUCAUUAUAAAUGGCUAUUGGUUAAAGUAUUAAAACUGGAUAUUGGAGGGUGAGCCAUCUUCAUCUUUGAAAUCUAACUAAGAAACAGGUUAGUCAUGACUCGGGUAGUGAUGCUAGUAUGCUUGGAAUGAUGCAUAAUGCAUCACGUAAUCAAAUGUUCAAGUCACACGCAGCAUUGUUAUGGACUAUCUCCGACUUUCUAGCAUAUGCCAACUUGUUUGGGUGGAGUAUUAAAGGUAAAUAAGCAUUUCUUGUUUGCCAACAAAACACUAGAUCUAAUUGGUUGAUACAUAGUAGAAAAUUGUCACGUGGGUCACCGUCGAUUUUUACCAACAAAUCAUAGGUUCCGAAAAUAUAGUGCCAUCUGAUAAAACUAGAGAGUGGGGACAAGCACCUUCUCGGUUGUCUGGAGCCGAGGUGAAAAACCAGUUCAGUAAUGUACUUAAGAUUGAAGACUUGAAAAGAGGAGAAAAGAGGAGAAUGAAUAAAAUGAAAGAAAUGAUAAGAUUACUUGGAAGAAGAAAAGCAUUUUUUAUGAACUAACGUAUUGGGAGUUCAAUUUGAUUCAUCAUAAUCUCGAUGUCAUGCACCGUUUUGAUUUUUGUUAUGAACUCAGAUCAAAAGUUUAAUGUGAUCAAAAUUUCUUAAAAAUAGUGAAAACGACUCCUCCUAAUAAUAUGGAAGAUGGCUAUAAAAGAUAAUUUCUUAAAAGUUUAAUGUGAUCAAAAUUGCUUGUGAACGCAAGGGUUUUAGUUACACUGUCAACGCUGUCAAUGUAGUGAUACAAUGAAGAUGAAGUAAAGCAUUAGUAGAAUAAUGAAGUUGACCAGUAACACAGUAAAGCAAAUUUUAUUCCAGAGCAUGAAAACUUUUAAACAGUAACACAGCUCUUAUUCCAGAGGCUGCACGCGAGUGACCUGAAUCUUCUUCAGAACUUUCAAAUUUUAUCAAGCAAAGCUUUCAAAAUCCUUUGCCUUCCUAAGUUAGGAAAGAUAGAUGUGGAGCAAACUAUUUUUUUUAGAUAUUUUCACUUUGGGCUGUCAGCCCGAGGAAGUAGGGGGGUCUGAGUUAUUCAACUGAAAAUGUCGGCCAAGUUCUUGUGUUAGUUUUAGUAUAUUGUGUACAAAUGAUACACUAACUUGAAUUUAUAUGCUUUUAUGACUAUUUGAUAAUCAAAUGGGUAAAUGACACGAAUAACUUUGAGUUUAAAAAUCUGGCCCUGAUGCCUGGUAGCCCUCCAACCUAUGAAGCACUAGAUGUUUUAAUGAUAAAACGACAAGACCAUUUAUCAAAUUUCUUGUGGAUAUAAAUACAUACACAUAGACGAGACCAACCUCCUCAAAUGAGAAUCAGAGUGAUUACAAGACCUUUCAAUGAGACAAUAAUACACCAUCAAAUCUCAAAAUACAAUAGAAAUUCAUGACAUAUAUAUAAUAAAAGACCACUCAUUGAGUCAUAUAUAUUGAGAAUAAAUUUUUUUUAAUACAUACAAAGAGCUUAGCUAGAAUGAAAUGUCUUUGGACUUGCGAUGAAAACAAAGGAAACAGACAUGUUGCAACUCACACUAUCACAGAUGUAGCGACACAAUGCAGUGAAUCACAAGAAGAUCACGAAGAUGGAAACGGGAACCCCUCAGAAUGUAAACUUUGAAUAGAGGAAAAAAGGAAAACGACCUUAUUCACAGAGGACGAGUGACUUAAAUCUUCAUCAGUAUCCAAACAUUCUGCAAUCAUAGAGUAGAGAAAUUUUAACAGGAACAGCAGAGAAAAUAUUAUGAAUAUGCACUGAUUACGUUUUUUUUUUUAAUUUUUUUAAUCCGAUUAAUGAUAUUCAGCUGUUCUUUAAUUAUGUGUUCAUAGGGAAGAACAUUUUCUAAGUACUUUCCUUGCCUUCUAACUUUCCAAGGAAAUAUAGGUGUGAAGAAAAGCAAACCCAAUGAACAAACAGAGCACAAAGUAAAAUAAAAGAACAGCAAUGAUGACGAUAAAUAAUUGGCAAAGAAAGAAAGGAAAAAGUAUGCACGUUUUCAAGGAUUUAUAAAAUACGAAGGCUUUUAAUGGAAUUUUAUCAUAAAAACGUAUGCAAGGAGUUAUAAAAUUUUAGAAGACGAGGGGAGCUCGCAAAAAAAAAAAAAAAAGACUCAAAUUAAACUAGACUAAAAAGACAUUCAAUUAUGCAAAAUCUGUCCAUAAAAGUCUGAAAGGAUCAUUAAAAUUGCAUUGCAAAUUUAACAGUAAACCGAGGGAUCCAUUCUAAAUAAUUCAGAUGAAAUUGCGAAACAAGCCAUGGGAUUAAAUAAAUGAAAUAAAAAUUAAUUACCAGUUGAGACUUUCUUCUAAAAAUUCGCAACUCCAAGUCAUAAGAAGCCUAUGAAAUUAGUCGUACUGCGUAGAGUAUGACGACGACACCGCCAACAGCUGAAAGUAAAAUUCUUAUUCAUCAAUUUAAACUUUUACUUUAUAAAAAAUAUCUUAUCUAUAUUGUAUUUAAGAAAGCAAAUUUUGUAAAAAUUUAUCAUGGGAGAUAGAGAGUAAUAUGUAUAGACGUACCUUCUCAGCAUGUAAUUGUUGUAUGGUUGUGUUUAGAUCAUUAUUAGCCCAGCGCCGUUGAUCCGCUGUCUCUCCAUAGCAGACGUUUACUCUUAGAGGCAUGAUUGAUUCUCCUGUAGUGAAAAUCUUCAUCUUGGGACAACCAAUCACACACAAAUCUUGCAAAGAUGGGAAUUUGAAGGUGUAAUUGGCAGAGCAGAAACUUGUGAGGCUAUCUAAAUCACGCAGUUCCAACGUCUUCAAUUUGCGGAAAACAAUCUCUUCUUUUUCAACUCCUUCUUUGUCAUUUAUUACCACCUCUGUCAUUGCUCUGCAUUCACGCAUACGCACUGUGACGAGUUGCACUAGAGUUUUUGCUGUGGAGGAUGUUACCAAGUGUAUCAAUUCCUUGCAACCGAAAGCUACAAUUUCGGUUAGGUUCCGAAAAGAUACCGAUGAUGAUGGCAAUAGAAUUAACAGACUUUGACAAUCAUAUACUUUUAGAAUUUCAAGAUACUGAAAAAUGGGGCCAAGUUUGGAGUCUUGUUUGCACAGCUGCUCAAGAUGAUAGUGCUGGUGCAGCUGUAAUUCUUUUAUCAUUGCCAACUUCCCCACAUGUUUCUCUAAGCAUCCUUCCAUCGAAAAUACCUCUUCGUGGAAUGAAAAAUUACACAGUAUGAGUAUUUCGAGACUGUGAAAUCUCUCAAGUACAUUCCAGAUUGGAAAACAAGCUGAGUCAUCGCCACCAAUAUUUAGUUGUUUAAGACUGCCAAAAAGGUGUUGGGGGAAAUCGGCCUGCAAAAUCAUCUUCACGUCUUUUCCAUUUAAUGUUAGGUCCUUCAAGUUGGGUAAGAUCUGAUCAUCAUCAAUCAUAAUAAUUAUUAAGGUCAAUUGAUGUUCUCUCAAAUGAUUUUAAGUAAUCCAAUCACACGCAGUGACUUUAUAGUAUUUGUUUUAUAUUAUAUUUUACACAAAAAAAUGAAUUAUUGAAAAAAAUUAUUAAAUGAUUUUUUAUAUGUUAAUUUUAGAGGUAAAAAAGAAAUUAAGGAAAAAAUUUUGAUUUAUACUGGCUGGAAAUUAUUUUAUUGCACAAUAAUAAAUUACUAAUUUAUUUUGUAAGUUCUUAUAUAUGGAAAGACUAAGUAUCUCCAAAAGGCUCUAUAAAUUUUACUCUUUCAAAUUUCUAUUUGCUUACCUAUGUGGCAAAUAGAAAAGUGAAAAAAUAUGUUAUUCUCCAAAAGACUCUUCAAAUAGAAAUGAAUUAAUAUUAUUUUAAUUAAAUAACUAUUUUUAAAAAAUAAAAAGUCAAUAGUAAUUAAAACACCUCUCUCUCUUUCUCCAACAAAAAGUAAUAAAAUAUAAAUUGAAGAGGGGGAAUGCAACUCUCCAAAUUUGAAGAGAGAUGAUCAUUUCUUAUUUGAAGAAUCUUAAUUGGAGUAUCUUUUGGAACUUUAAAUGCUGAUGUGGCUCUUCAAAUAAGUAAUAAAAUCUUAUUUAAAGAGUCUUUUGGUGAUGCUCUAAGGAUUCUUUUAUAAAUGCUAUACCUAAAAAAGUUCAUAUAAUUAUUAAUCUAUCAAUAAAUCCCUUAGUCUAGACUAGCAAAGAUUAUUGUAUAAUAAAAGUUUUCAAUUUAUUGAGUAUUAAUUUAUUGAUGCUUUGUCAUAUUUUUUAAAGUUCAAACUAAGCUAUUGAUAGAAAUCUAGAAAAUGGCUUCAUACAUUUUCCAACGGCAAUAGGGCCUGUUGUGCAGGAGUAUCAAGUUCAUCAUUCUCAAAAAAAAAAAAAAGAUUGAAUUAUUGAUAAAAUUUAUUAAAUGAUUUUUUAUAUGUUAAUUUUAGAGGUAAAAAAGAAAUUAGGGAAAAAAUGUUGAUUUAUACAGGCUCGAAAUUAUUUUAUUGCACAAUAAUAAAUUACUAAUUUAUUUUGUAAGUUCUUCUAUAUGGAAAGACUGAGGAUUCUUUUACAAAUGCUAUACCUAAAACAAUUCAUAUAAUUAUUAAUCUACCACAUUGAUCCCUUAGUCUAGACUAACAAAGAUUAUUGUAUAAUAAAAGUUUUUAAUUUAUUGAGUAUUAAUUUAUCGAUACUUUGUCAUAUUUUUCAAAGUUAAAAAUAAGCUAUUGAUAAAAAAUCUAGAAAAUGGCUUCAUACCUUUUCCAACGGCAAGGGGGGCAGUUGUGCAGGAAUACCAAGUUGAUCAUUCUCAUUAUUCUGCGAUAAAUCUGCAGCGAAUAUCUUUAAUUUGUCACAACCAUACACAUAAAGAAUUUCUAGCGCGGGCCAUUCCGAAGUAUGCAUUCCAGGGUACAAACAUCUAAGUUUUGGUAGAUCUUGGAGUCUCAGAGUGGUGAGCGGUGGAAAGACAAAAUGAGGGAUCACUUGAUCUGCUCUGUUUUCAGAAAUGAUCUCCUGUAAAUCCUUACAGAAGCGUAUAUCUAGGUGUUGGAGCUGCUUAAGGCUUCCGAUCAUAGACGCUGAAAAUAUGUAUUUUAAUUUAUGACAACGAUGCACAGUCAAUCGUGUUAAAUUUUGAAAGCGAGGAAACAUGACCGGAAGAUUAUUGUAGUGCCAAAUCUUGUCGACAUUAAUUUCAUAUAUCUCCAAAGCCUCCAAGUUAGGCAACGCAACCUAAAAAAAUAAGAAUUUCUCGUUAGAUCCAAUAUCCAUAUGGGAAGCACUUGUUGAAAUUUUCUUCUUUGAUUACAAAUUAAUGCAAGUCUGAAUCAAUUUCCAACUGACAGCUGAGUAUGCAUUCUAAUUCAUACUACUUGUUAAGAGCUCAAUUAGUGAGCGCGUGAGAUUCUUUUUAUCCUUUUUUCCAUUUUCUUUCAAAUCUUUAAAUGAUUUAAUUACGAAAAAUUAAAUGAUUAAGCCCAUUUUAGUUGACCAAUUUUCUUAAUUAUAUGAAUAAAAUCUGUUAUAUAUGAAGAAAAUGUUAGCCUACGCACCUUCUCGUUGAAAAGCAGAGUUGAAGUAUCCAAAGUGAUUUCGCUGGAGCUAUACGUAGUCGUCGAUUCCUCCUGCGACGCUGGUCUGUUUGGUGAUGCUGAAGGAGUCUUUACUUCACGGCAGAAAUUUGUAACCUCUGGAAGAUUCCCCAGACUCAAAUAUCUUAAUUGAGCAAACUCUAUCUUCUCAAUUGCAUUAUCAACUUCUUCCCCAAUUGCAAAAAUCUCUUUCAUCUUGCUGCAAUUAAUAACUGCAAUUCUCUCAAGUCUUGGAAGGCAUUUUGUAGUAGAGAGCCAAAAGAUAUUACUCAAUUUAUCACAACUAUAUGCUUCUAUGGUUUUGAGUUUGUUGAAAGACUCUACUUUGAGCCGAUCAAUACAUAUCCUCUCCAUGUUGAUCAAGUUGUGAAGGAUAAGUGACUCCAAAGGAGGAAAGGCAUCACAAGCGACCAUCUCCCUGGAAUCGACGAUACAAAAGAUGUCAGGAUUAUUUUGAACCCAGAGAAGCUUCAAUUGUGAAAAGCCCUCCGUGUCCAAAUUGAAAAGAACACUCUCGAUGCCUUGCAGCUUGUCCAACCAUAAGCAUUCAACGUUAUUGAUGCCCUGCAAUUUCAUGGAGCAAAUGUCCAUAAAAUCAAGCUUGAGCUUCAAUGCUCUUAAACUCUUGCGAUCUCUGUCGAUCACAAAGUGCUGCCAACUUUUAAACCAUCUGUGUCUAAAAAGCAUGGGAUGUGUGAAUAACCCAUUUCCAAUAUGUAUUUGGAACCUUUCGAGCUUUCUGGCCAAAAAGCCUUCUGGUAAAAUACUAUCAUUUUUAACAUCAAUUUCUAGAGUGGUUAGCCGAGGUAAAUGCAUCAAUUCAUCAAGGCUAGCAUUACUUCUUUUGCUGUUGGCUCUUUCAACCUCCCAUUCAAUGGAGCAAUUACCCAUAUACAAUUCUUCUAAUCGGAUUAAGCUUGAUAUGACAUUUGGGGCAAUAACUUUCAGACGGAAACAGUCUGUUAAAUCUAACAACCUUAGCUUAGUCAGUUGACCGAGUGCUUUAGGCAACUCUACAAUAUCAGAUUCCAAAAAGCUGAUGAUUUCUAGAUUUUCCAACUUUCCAAUAAUGGCUAUGUCUAUGCCUCCCAAAAUGCUUUGAUUAAGACAGAGUGUCUGAAGAUUUACUAGAAGACCAAUUGAAGAUGGCAAUGACAAUAACCGCAUUCUAGUCAAAUCCAAAACCCGAAGCUUUUUCGUCCUUUUGAAGAAGUUCUCAGGAAUAUUAGGCACAGCAAAAGAGUUCUUGGGAGACAUGAGUAGAAGUUCAAGUUGUAGAGAUUCGGACCCUUCAAGAAUGUCAUUAAUAAUACUAUCUUUUAAAGAAAUUGCAAGAUAUUUUUUUAAUUCAUCUGCAUUUGGCCAUUUCCAAUCAUCCUCAUUUCUCACCACAAAUCCAAUUUUGUCACGACAUGCAAUUGAAAUGGCAACAUCGCGAACAACGUCGUGCAUAGAAAAGUAUUUACUGCCACCAUCCUCAAGCAACAAACAAGAGUCUCUUAGUUGAUGGACCCAUGCAUCUAAUUUGUUAUGUGCAUCUUCUAGCUUGUGGACACUUUUAAAUACACCCCAGCCCAUGCUAUAUUUGAACAAGUCCAUAAUUGGUGCUGGCGUAAUAAGACUACACAGUAAAAAAGUUUUCUUGAGUUGCUCACCUCUUAAGUACUUGUAACUCAGCUCAAUUGUUGAGUAUGCCUCUGCUGGUACUCCUUCGUCGAAGCUCGCCUCUGAAGGCGUUCGGAGUUCUUGCAAGGCAUUCUUCCACACAGGCAGCUCUUUUUUUCUCAGUGCCUUUGCUACUGUGAUUAGGGCAAUAGGCAAACCUCCGCAUGCCUUGGCUACACUUGUUGCUGUAGAUUUUAACUCACGAUUUUCAACAUAAUCACCAGCCAUUAUCUUGAACAAACUCCAGGCUUCUUGUUCAUUUAAAAUGCCAAUCGAGAAGUUUUUUUCAGAUCCCAUCCUUAACAGCACAUCAAGAUCUCUUGUUGUGAAUAAUAAUUUACAUCCUCUGUGCUCAACUCCAAAAGGAACUCCAAUAGUCCCCAAAUCAAGAGGUUUCCAGAUGUUAUCCAGAAUCACAAGGAUCUUCUUCUCAUUCUUCAAUCUUUCAUAUAGUCUACUAGCUCUUCUAGACUCAGCUUCCUCGGACAACUGUAGGCCUAACGUUACCGCAAUUUCCUCUUGGAUCUUUUUUAUGUCUGGACUUUGGGUAACCUCCGAAAAAGCCACCAUAUCGUAAAGCUUGUCUUCAAUGGCUCGCCUUGCAAACUCCCGCACCAGUGUCGUCUUUCCAAUGCCGCCCAUGCCGUAGACGCCAAUGAUGCUGACAUCAACAUCGAUCAAUGCAUUUUGUAUGGCCUUCAAAGUAGAAAGUCUUGAUUCGAAGGCCUCGUAGCCUUUGUGAGACUUGAGCCAAAUCUCCUCCGGAAUGGUACGGUAGGAAAUUCUAUCAUCAAAUCUCCCAGCUUCUUCUCGGAGUUUAAAAAGGGCCUCCUUCUCUGUUUCUGCUUUCUUUCCAUGCUGAUAGCGAGUAAUCCAAUUAGGAAACAGCCCCAUGAGACAUCGUUCAUUUGCUUUCUCUUCGUCUUGAAUGAAUUUGGCUGCCUCCUCAAUGCUCUUGUUCGCAUUAACCAGCCAUUUCUCAACCUUCUCUUCAAUCUUUUCACUUUUUCUUUCAGCCUCAGAAACUCUGCGCUGAAUGCUUUCUCUUUCAUCCUUGAGCCCAUCGAGUUCUUCCUUGAGAUUCUCAAAGUUGGCAGCGGAGUUAUACCAAUAACUAAAUUCGCGUUGUGCGUGAGGAGACAAGCAGUUUACAAUGCUUUUCAAAAUGUCCAUUGUUUUUUUGGGUUGGGGGGGGGGGGGGGGGGGGGGGGGGGGGGGGGGGGGGGAGGGGGGGGAAGGGAACGAAAUAGAAAUAGAACAGGGUCAUCGACCGCGCAAUUGAUAAUCAAGUAGAAGCAAAACAAGGCAAAAUUGGAAAAAGAAAUGAUAUUUGUACAAAACAAGGGGAAAAUCAGUGUAACAGAAGAGAAUCAAAGUGUUUUUGAGAUCAGAAAAUUGAAUCAAGAAAAGGGUUGCUUGAUCCAAUGAAAUGCAAACAGCUGGUGGCAAAAGGGAACGAAGCUAAAUAAGAAAACGGCUAGCACGAGCAGUGACCACGAUAAAUAGAAGCAAAGUGUGUAUGAGAUCAAAAGACGAAAAUCAGGAGAGGUUUUCUUGACUGAGAAUUGAAGGCAAAGAGUAGGAGCUGACGAAUACGGGGAUCAAGAGGGAAAAACUGCUUGCUCGUAAAACUACUUUCAAGCGAAUCUGAUAAAAUUAUUUCAAUACUCAUGGGCGACUCCUUUUUAAACUGCAGAAGGAAAAAAAAAAAAAAAAAAAGAGUUCUGAAUUUCAAUAUAUUAAUUUUUAUCCUAAUUUAUGUUGAGAUUCGUAAUCUCGUCUCAAUGAUUAAUUAGUAGAUAUUCUUUCUAACAAAUAUGUGUUGAAUAGAUAUAUUUCUUGACUAUUAGUAAGUUAGAUAUAUUUUGGCAUAGGAAUGAAAGUACCAAGUUGUGUCAUAUUAGAAUAAAAAUUUGAGCUAAAAAUAUUUUUCUAUGACCUUUUAAUUAUUUGUCAGCAAAUAAUUAAGUCAUAUAAAAAAAUUAAUAAUCUGAAUUAGUCUUUAAGUAUUAUAAAUAUUAUUUUUAUUUUUAAUUAUAAUAUCAUUAUUUAAAAAUAAUUGCUUGACUUAUAUUAGUAACAUUACGAUUGUCAUAAAACAUGUGAUCCUGAUCCAAUAUCCAUUAUUUGUGAUCCUUAAUCAAUAAAAUAUCUAACAAUAUCUUCACCUAAAGUUUGAGACAUGUGAUCCUUAUUCCACUGCGUCAAUUACACUCCAGACCAAUGCUGCCGUCAUUAUCGAACGGUCGAUAUCCAACACUUGCACGAAGAUUCCAAGAAGUUGCGUGGCUGCCGACUUUUAGAUGCAAAGCCUCAUUGUGUCGAUGUUACACAAAAGAGAGCAAGUCCGGGUAAUUGCCGAAACUUAGAACUAAACAGUAGCUUAGUCAGAAAAUCAAACGCCAGUAACCGUUAAAAUGACCGAUAAAAAUAUAAAGAAACCAAAGCUUUAAAAGAAAUCAGCCAAAUCACGAAGAUUGAAGAGUAAAUCUAUGGUUUUAGAUUUUUAUUUUAUUUUUUUAGAUAAUAGAUAUUAUUUUGAUGAAUUUUUAAUAUUAGAAUAAUGUUAGGAAUUUCGAUAGUAGAUUUCUAACUUGAGAUCCAAUUGUUAUGUAUCAUUUUUUUAUUGGAUAAUGAAUUUCAUAACUAGUAAAAUUAAUAUUUCGAUCAUCUAAUAAAUGACUAUCAUAUCAGUUGAGACUCAAUUAUUGGGAUCCUUAACAUUGCUCUUACUAUUAAAUUGGACAUCUUAGCUAAAUCAAAUUAGAUUUUAGGCUUUUAUCCAACAUCUCUUUUUUUUUUUUUUUGGUCUAUUUGAAGUGAACGAAAUAAAAAUACAACAGGUUCAACGACUGGGCAAUUGAUAGUCAAGUAGAAACAAAUCAAGGCUAAAUGGGAAAGAGAAAUGAUAUUUGUGCAAAACAAGGAGAAAAUCAGUGUAACUGAAGAGAAUCAAAGUGCUUUUGAGAUAAAAAAAAAUUGAAGCAAGAAAAGGGUCGCUUGAUUGAAUGAAAAUGCUAAGAGCUGAUGGCAAAAGAGAACAAUGUUAAAUAAGAAAACAGCUAGCUCUAGCAGCGACCACAAUAAACAGAAAAGUUGAGAUGGAUUUACAAUAUUUCUGUCUUUCUUCAUGCUUUAACAAAUAUUGCUCUAUAAAAAAAAAUAUUGAGCGUUUUUAUUAUUGGAAUCACAAAAGACCUACACAAUAUAGCAAGUGACUAGGAAUAAAUAAGAAUAUAUAACUCUCUCUCUCAUUCUCACUCUAGCUUUUAAUUGUCACUCAAAACCCAUAAUUCUUCCUUAAAGUGUAAGCAAAUAAGAGAUGACAGCGUCUGGUUGUCAUACGCGCCUUUUAGUUUUCGGAUGACAUGGGGUACACUUCUUCUGUAAACCGAACACGACAUGUCGUACUCUUUGUUUUGAGAUCAUAUUUCAAACUCUUCAUGCUAUGAAUGAAAGAUAAACUACAAUCAUCAAAAUAUUUAGUGUUUAUUUGGUAAUGUAAUGUCAUAGUUGUUGUGAAUUGAAAUUAUUUAUGUAAGAUAAAAGGAUUUGGGUCAUCGUUUGUUAUUCUCUGGCAAUAUUGUUUGGCCGUGACUACUUGAAAUUAUUUCUGUAAGAUAAAAGGAUUUGGGUCAUUGUUUGUUAUUCUCUGGCAAUAUUGUCUGGCCGUGACUAUUUGUUAAAUAUUUAAAAAAUAAAUUUAUAUUUAUUAAGUAUAAAAAAAAUAAACAAACAAAAAUAAAAGGAAAAGUUUAUACAUUACAUAAAAUAAUAAGAACAAUAUCAAUAUUUCACACUCUAUAAUUGAGUGAUGUGUUGUCCAACUGCCAUACUGAUAAACAGUGAACUCGAAACUCAAGUACUACAAGUCGUUUAGAGGAUUCAGUCUCGGAUGACUUGUCACUUGUAGAAGUUCCUGAAGCCAGAACCGACAUAAUCUUAGUCAUCUGUUCUAUCUUUAGUAGUACACGUGGUUUGCACAUGUGUUGAAGCUAACUCUUGCUUGGAUCAAGAAACGACGUCUCUGAGUGCAGUUUCUUAAUCACACUUAAAUCAGCGUGUGACAAGCACGUGAGGCAGAGCUUCUUGGAUAGAUUUGGCGGGAAUGGUAGUUGGCGUAACAACCCAGAAACAGAGGAUAAAAAGGUGCAGGCUUUGUCAUCGUCUUCACAUGAUUUGGGAAACACUGAGAGUAGAGAGAAGAUAGAGAGAGAAAGGGGUUUACAAGUUCUUGUUCUCUGUAAAUCAAUUCCUAUUCUUGUAUUGUUUUGUGAACGAAAUAGUGAAAGACUGUUGCUUUGUUUCCAGUGGAUGUAAGCACCACUUCUUGGUGCUGAACCACUUAUGCUUGGUGUCUUGUUUGUGAUCUUGAAAACUUUGAUUCGUGUGUGUAUUUGUUGCUGAAUAGUCUGUGUUAAUCAUUCUUAAAACCAUCGAUACAGAACUAAGUGUCUUGGGGAGAAUUUGGUUAAUCUUAUCAAAGCCAAAUUCACAACACAUACAUUGGUCCCAAACAGAGACUUAAAUAUUAAAGUCCAAAGUUAUUGUGAUGAUGACUUAUAAUCGCCAAACUUGACAUAGGGGUAAUCAUGCAUUAUAAGGUGCUGAUUUCUUCCGAUCAGAACCUUAUUUUUCAUUUACAAAUAAAUAAAUGAUGUGACUUCACGGUUGGCGGGGUCCUUUGUGUCAUUUGGGCAUUUCACUAAAUGAUUGAUUGCAGCAGGAAGAUUCCUGGAAGUUGCCAUUUGCCAAUGCUACUAACAUUUUCAAACUUGGAAAACCCUUCAAUCAAUCUUUUAGUGGUAGGCUCUGGUAGCUUGGUUUGAUUAUGACAUAUGAUUAUUUGAUAAUAAAGCUAGAGGAUGUAUUAAUAUAAAAUUUGUUUAUUGGUGUUGAAGUUAAUUAUCUCAUUAAUAAUGGUAUAAAAAGUUAAUUACUAAGAAACACAUAGCAGUAUUCUGGGAUAUAAUUUUAUAUCAUAACUUUGUAAGUGUAUAAUUACGCAUUAAAUUAACAAAAUUAUUUUAAAAUAUUUCGUUAGAAAAAAUAAAUUAUAUUCUUUUUAUUUCAAAUAAUCUAUAAGUUAACUCAAAACAUAAUCAAGUUGAGAAUUAAAAUAAUGCUACUGUAUGAGAGGAUUUUUAUUUUUUCCCGAAGUUUCACUAGGAAAUUAUUGAUAUAUAGCUUUAUUCGGAUCAUCUGAGUUCAAACGACAAAUAAUUGAAAGACUAAAGUAAAUAGACCAGCCAACAACUUUGUACAGCAGAGUUCAAAAAUUAAGGUCAUGGUAUUGAGGUGUUUUGUCUUGAAAAGUACGGCAUAAUGAUAAAAUAAAAACUAUUAGUCUUUGGUAAGAUAUAACUUUUAAAUAAUAAUUUUCACAAAAAUACAAAGAAUAUUUUAUAAAGUACUUCUAUAGUGAGGAGACCCUCACUUUGUUAAAGUGAAAAUAUCAAUAAUAUACAAGAAACAUAUAUUCUAACAUAUUGAGAACUGUAUCUUUUUAAUCUAUUAGUGUAUUGAAAUAUGUGUUAUUUAGUUUGUUAGUGAUAUCAUCACUUUGUUAAAAUACGGAUGUCAGAACCAUUAUAUUUUAAAGUUUUACUUCAUUGCUUUAUUAAUCUUAUUACUAUUUCUCCUUUGCACUUCUAAAGAAACCAAUUAACCAAAGCUUUAAAAGAAAUCAGCCAAAUCACGAAGAUUGAAGAGUAAAUCUAUGGUUUUAGAUUUUUAUUUUAUUUUUUAGAUAAUAGAUAUUAUUUUGAUGAAUUUUUAAUAUUAGAAUAAUGUUAGAAAUUUCAAUAGUAGAAUUCUAACUUAGGACCCAAUUGUUAUGUGUCAUUAUUUUAUUAGAUAAUGAAUUUCAUAACUAGUAAAAUUAAUAUUUCGAUCAUCUAAUAAAUGACUAUCAUAUCAGUUGAGACUCAAUUAUUGGGAUCCUUAACAUUGCUCUUAGUAUUAAAUUGGACAUCUUAGCUAAAUCAGAUUAAAAAUCAAAUUAGAUUUUUUGCUUUUAUCCAACAUCUCUUUUUUUUUUUGGGGUCUAUUUGAAGUGAACGAAAUAAAAAUACAACAGGGUCAACGACUGGGUAAUUGAUAGUCAAGUAGAAGCAAAUCAAGGCUAAAUGGGAAAGAGAAAUGAUAUUUGUACAAAAUAAGGAGAAAAUCAAUGUAACAGAAUUACAGAAGAGAAUCAAAGUGCUUUUGAGAUCAGAAAUUGAAGCAAGAAAAGGGUCGCUUGAUCCAAUAAAAAUGCAAAGAGCUGAUGGCAAAAGGGAACAAAGUUAAAUAAGAAAAUAGCUAGCGCUAGCAGCGACCACAAUAAACAUAAAAAGUUGAGAUGGAUUUACAAUAUUUCUGUCUUUCUUCAUGCUUUAACAAAUAUUGCUCUAUAAAAAAAAUAUUGAGCAUUUUUAUUAUUGGAGUCACAAAAGACCUACACAAUAUAGCAAGUGACUAGGAAUAAGAAUAUAUAACUCUCUCUCUAAUUCUCACUCUAGCUUUUAAUUGUCACUCAAAACCCAGAAUUUAUCCUUAAAGUGUAAGCAAAUCAAAGAUGACAGCGUUUGGUUGUCAUACGUGCCUUUUAGUUUCUGGAUGACAUGGCGCACACUUCUUCUGGAAACCCAACACUACAUGUCGUACUCUUUUGUUUUGAGAUCGUAUUUCAAACUCUUCAUGCUAUGAAUGAAAGAUAAUCUACAAUCAUCAAAAUAUUUAGUGUUUAUUUGGUAAUGUAACGUCAUAGUUGUUGUGAAUUGAAGUUAUUUCUGUAAGAUAAAAGGAUUUGGGUCAUCGUUUGUUAUUAUCUGGCAAUAUUGUCUGGCCGUGACUAUUUGUUAAAUAUUAAAAAAAUAAAUUUAUAUUUAUUAAGUAUAAAAAAUAAAUAAACAAACAAAAAUAAAAGGAAAAGUUUAUACAUUACGUAAAAUAAUAAGAACAACAUCAAUAUUUCAUACUCUAUGAUUGAGUGAUGUGUUGUCCAACUGCCAUACAUUGGUCCCAAAUGGAGACUUAAAUAUCAAAGUCCAAAGUUAUUGUGAUGAUGACUUAUAAUCGCCAAACUUGACAUACGAGUAAUCAUGCAUUAUAAGGUGCUGAUUUCUUCCGAUCGGAACCUUAUUUUUCAUUUACAAAUAAAUAAAUGAUGUGACUUCAUGGUUGGCGGGGUCCUUUGUGUCAUUUGGGCAUUUCACUAAAUGAUUGAUUGUAGUAGGAAGAUUCCUGGAAGUUGCCAUUUGCCAAUGCUACUAACAUUUUCAAACUUGGAAAACCCUUCAAUCAAUCUUUUAGUGGUAGGCUCUGGUAGCUUGGUUUGAUUAUGACAUAUGAUUAUUUGAUAAUAAAGCUAGAGGAUGUAUUAAUAUAAAAUUUGUUUAUUGGUGUUGAAGUUAAUUAUCUCAUUAAUAAUGGUAUAAAAAGUUAAUUACUAAGAAACAAAUAGCAGUAGUUAAUUGGUGUCAUAUUAUUGGGAUUCUGGGAUAUAAUUUUAUAUCAUAACUUUGUAAGUGUAUACUUACUCAUCAAACUAAUAAAAUUAUUUAAAAAUUUCAGUUGGAAAAAAUAAAUUAUAUUAUUUUCAUUUCAAAUAAUCUAUAAGUUAACUCAAAACAUAAUCAAGCUGAGAAUUAAAAUAAUGCUACUGUAUGAGAGGAUUUUUAUUUUUUCCCGAAGUUUCACUAGGAAAUUAUUGACACAUAGCUUUAUUCGGAUCAUCUCAGUUCAAACGACAAAUAAUUGAAAGACUAAGCUAAAUAGACUAGCCAACAACUUUGCACAAGAGAGUUCAAAAAUUAAGGUCAUGGUAUUAAGGUGUUCUAUCUUGAAAAGUAUAGCGUAGUAAUAAAAUAAAAACUAAUAGUCUUUGGUAAGAUAUAACAUUUAAAUAAUAAUUUUCACAAAAAUACAAAGAAUAUUUAUAAAGUACUUCUAUAGUGAGGACACCCUCACUUUGUUAAAGUGAAAAUAUCAAUAAUAUACAAAAGACAUAUAUUUUAACACAUUAAAAAUUGUAUUUUUUUUUAUCUAUUGGUGUAUUGAAAUAUGUGUUAUUUAGUUUGUUAAUGAUAUCAUUACUUUGUUAAAAUGAGAAUGUCGUUACUAGAGAAUCAUUAUAUAUACAUAUAUAAAGUGCCUCUGUCCAAGACCUAGACUUUAUUAACAUUUAAGAAAGCAAAUAUAUUUUAUAUGGUAUAAUAGUGUAAUAACAUCACACAAUUAUAUCAUAUAGAGUAAUAGUUUUUCGAACUUUAAUAAAGUUCAAGAUUAUAGAAUGAAUGAUUUUUAUAUAUUAUAAAUUUUUUUAUCAUAAAUGGAGGACAAAAUUAACAUAUUUUCAAAUUAUAAUAAGUAUUUAUCAAAUAAUUUAACAUUGCAAUUUCUCCUAACUAGUAUAGUAAAUAAUACGACCUAGGAGAUACAUUCAAAGCAUUUCAUAAGUUAGUUGUUAAUAAUAAAUGAUAUAUGCAGCUCCAAUCAUCAUUGUACGGUGAGUAAUUUCCAGUUAUAAAUAGAUAUUACUCCCUUCCCAGCAAUUUUUGAUGACUUAAUUUAGUGGGAUCAAAAUCAACAUUGAAUUUUUGACCAGCUGCCAACAACUUGUGAGCAGUUCACAGUGGGUACUGCACAUGAUGCCUGUUUCUCCUUUUGCAUCUAUUUUUGUUGUUAACAUUAAUUUCAAUAGCAGCUCGUUAAUCCCAAUUGUUGAUUUGGGACUAGAUAAGAAUUUAUCUUGGAACUCCAAUUCUCCCAAUUAUUUUAGUUGACAAUAUAUUUAACAUUAUUAAUUGCAUAUUAUUUAAUUAUCAGUAUAUAAUAUUCUUUAAUUUUCUAAUUUUAUAGGAUUAGACACAAAAUUGAUUAUGCCUUUUGAAAUUUAAGGGUUAUGUCAAUUGAAUAGAAAACUUGGAGGUAAACUUGUGGAUGUUUUUGUUGAUUAUCAAUUUAUGCAUGAAUUUUUGUACGUUUACUUUGGUUUAUAAUUAUUACUUUUAAAUAUUUUUGUUGGUUUGAUUUAGGGUCAAUUUGGUAAUCCUGUAGCUUUUAAAAUAAUUACAAUUAGUUAUGCUGUAGAAAUUGAUCAAUCGUCAAGAGAAUCAGCUGAACAUUUAGUAAAAUUUAUUUUUAAAAGUACUUUUAGUUUUAAAAGCGUUGUAUGAAUAAAACUGUUACACUAAAAAUUAAAUGUAUUGCCCACAUGGGUAAAUAAAGCUAUAUAUUACAACUGUUACACUAAAAAUUAAAUGUAUCUUAAACCCAAACUUCUUCUUCCUUUUUUUUUUUACUAACAAAAUUAAAAACAAUAGUGAACACAUUCUUUAAUAAACAAUAAGUAAUAAAUAAAAUCGUGUUAAAUUUCUUAAAAACUUUCUUUCACGGUUUGCUAAAUAUUUUUAUUAGUAUUUUAAAUAAAUAAAAAUAGUUGAUUUAAUUUUUUUAAAUAAACUUAUUAGGUUCAUGUAAAGAUGUUUUUGUUAUUUUAAAAAGUGUAGAAAGUACUCCUAAAAAAAAGCGUAGAAAGUAAAACUUAAUUUUUUAAAUUUAUUUGCUGAGUGCAUAAAUAAUUGAGUGUUCAUAAUGAUUUUUAAAGUAUAGAUAGUCGGACCCUAAUUUUUUAAUAUAUGAAAAUUUUGCUAAUAUGUUAAUGAGAAUUAAAAAGAUAAUUAAGGGAGGCAAUCGAGACAUUCAGGAUAGUUAGGAUGGGACAUGAUUGUGAGUGGUUUGAUAUUGGUCCUAAUUUUGAUCACAAAUAUAUAAACAGGACGAGUUUAUCUCUACUGACAUUCCAUUUGAUAAUUAAGAUGAGAGCGGAAUUGUCAAAUCUCAAAUCAUCCUGAACCAUUGCCAUCAAAGGUACUCUCACUAAUAAUAUCUAAAGAAAAAUCUACAUCUAUUUCAUACUUUUUUUUUUUAAACGGAAAGAGCCUUCAUGGGGCUUGAAAUGUUAUCCCAAAUAGUAUUAAGAAUAUCAAGCCAUGAUUGGGUUUGAGACAAACAAAUAUUACAUAGUUAGGAUACGUAGUUAUAGUGUCCCAAUUUAUGUAGUAUCUAUCAUUUAGUGCACAUAUAAAAUAUUAAUCAGCUUAAUUAAUUUAUAAAAUUUAAAUCUAAUUAAUAAGUGAUACAUAAAAGCCAAGUGCAAUAUUGUAUAUGCAAAACAUGUUUGUGGAUCAUUACAAAACUUGCUCUUGAAAACAAGCAAGAAAGCUUAAUUAAGAACUUAAAACAAAAAGAAUUAGAUUGAAAACAGUCAAGCUUUAUUUUUUCAAGGAUGGAGCUUAUAAAUCUUCAAGUACCAACAUAUGCUUGGCCCAAUUGUUGUUAUUAAAAUUUCAAUAUACAUAUAUAAGUAUGAUAUAGCAAAAAUUUGAUGGUACAUAUCUCGGAAUAUACUAGUUCAUGGAUGCAUUUGAUUAUUGUUUCCAUAAAUUUGAACCGGGAAGGAUGACAUGAUAAAAUUUGAUUUUAUGGUAUGGUUGAUUUCAGAUCUCAUGCCCUCAUUUCUUAAGAUAAUCAAAUUUUCUCUGGCAUCUUUUGCAACUGUGGAAAUAUCAAUUAUGAUCAAUCAAAACGAUUUCAAAACCUUUUAACGAGACAUAUUUAUAAUACAAUAUUGUGAAAAUUACAACAAAAAAUUAAUUUAUUAAAUAAUAUAUUAUUAUCCAACGAGCACACAAAAAUGAAUUCGUACAAAUCUAAAAUACUUAGCAAUUUUCAAAUAGAAUUUACCAUGUACUACAAGAAAAUAGGGUAUAUGUGACCCCUAAUGUGAAUGCAAAUUUGCAAAAGCAGCCAUUACGCAUGCCACUAACUUCUAACUUUGCAACCUCGAGUUGCUUACUUGCUUUUGUUACCCUUUAUGUGACGGCCACACUGCUGUCACAUAUGUUACUAACCACGUGACGGUAAAGAGCCGUUCGGUAUAGCACUAUUUUAGAAAUUUAAAUUUAUUUCCAGUUAGAAAACUAUUCGCUGGAAUAGCCACCAUCGUAAACCUAACUGGUUGCCGGCGAACGGCGUAAAACACCGGGCAUCUUCUUCUUCAUCGUAUUCUCCCUUCAUCUUUUGAGGUAAGCUUGUGAUUAUGAGUUUCUUCUCUGACUUAGCUUGUAAUUAUAGAUUUUGAUUUUUUUUUUUAAAUUCGUAUUGUAGCCAUUAUUGUCAAUUUUUGUCCCGCCAGCAAUAUUUUUUUAUUCCUACAAGUUGAAGCCCCUGUGUUCUUGUUCCAUUGGUGAGUUUGCUCACUCAAAUUAAUUUUGUUCUGCGGAAUUUACAAAGUUCAAAUGGAUUCAUUUGAAUUACUAUUGAAUUUAGCUUUAAUUCCAACAUCCAUUCUAAUGUUUUGCUAUUAGAUUUAGUUUAAUUUUAUGUUUAAAGCAUCUACAAUGAAUAGCGGAGCUUGGGUUUUAGUUUCAUUUUCUGGAUAACUUGUUUUAGUUUAUCUUGUAUGCUCACCAAGUGCUUGUUAUAUUGUCUGAUAAGUUAUAUACAUUGCUGAUUCUAUAUUAAUAAUGUUACGUUCUAUUUUCAGAAAUUAUAAUACAAAAGUUUUUACAAUGGCGUGCAUCUACAAACUGAAUUGACUUGUAGAAUAAGAGCUUGCAGUAAAUGAAAGUUCAUAUUGUGUAAGAGCAUGGAGAUGUAAAGCAUCAUUACCAUAUCUACAAAGUGCUUUCAUUAUGGUCAGAUGCUCUUCUUGAACUUUGAAAGGUGCCUCGUUCAAGUCCUAGCUAUAACUACUAGCUUUGAUUAAUUAAGUUCCAAUACUAGCUGAAACAGAUUUAUUUAAUUAAUUAAUUGUGUAUAUACUAAUUAUAUUGAAAGUAUAUGAAACUUUUUUUUUUUUUAAACAUGAAUGACUUCUAAAUGACUUAAAAACCUAAAGGAUGUGUGAAAUAAUGCUCAUUUCACUUGAAUGAGCCUAUUAAUACUUUCUAUGAUUGUCAAUAUUGGCUUAAGCAUUUCAGUUAAGUGGUUUACCUAACAGAGAAAAAAAUUUAAUAGAAAACUUCAGAGUUCUAACAGAAAUAUAGUUCACUCUGCAGAUAUAGUUAUUUUACGGUAUACAAAUUAAGUUGUCCUAAUCUCAAUGUCCUGUGACCGAUUUUAUUUUAUAUAGUCAUUAAUUUUUGCCAUGGUUUUUUGUGUUUAUGAGUAUGAAAUAGUGGGAUUUGGUGUACCUUAGCAUCUUUUGAAAAUUCUCUUUAAGUAUGGCCAACAGAAAUAUACAUAUAAUCAAGUUUCUUAAUUGUGUAUAUUAGUUUUGGGUACGAAUGUUCCUAUUCUAGUUCUAGACAAAGCUUCUUUGUUUUGGUCUUCAGAUUUCCAGUAGGUUAAGUUAAUCAACUAUCAUAACUGGCUAGCUACUUAUUGUCUGCCUUGGCGCCAUUACCCAGGCCAUUAUAUUGCAUAGCAUAAGGAAUAGUGAUUAGGUGAUUAUUAGUGAUUUGUUGAGCUUAUUAUUGACCAAACAAACAUAUUCGCCUUUGCCCACAACCUAGUUUGAUUAGUUUUAGACCACAAAGAGCCUUGAUCUAUUCAUUGGCUUUAUUAUUUUUAUUUGGUUUUUCUUUCAACAAUAUUUUUGAUUUCUUAUAAAAAUAUUCAUUGGUUUUUAAACACCUAGUCAUUGGCUAUAUGAAGCAAAUUAAAACUGAGGCUUUGGAUCAAUUUCUUCUAACAAGAUACAAAUGAGCAUAACCUUUCUCCUCUAAGUAAUUUUUUUUAAUAUCCUUGAUUUGUAAGGAUCUGGAGGCCUGAAAUCCUCUAGAUUUUUUUUAACACUGUCAAUGUCCUUUUUAUUCUGAAAAGGAAAUAAAAGGUUUUAUCUUUCAUACCCUAAUAGUAGGCUGGCCUUGUCUUAACAUGGCUUCUUGAGGAUUUGCAAGAUUCAUAGUUCCCCCAACACACGCCCCCCAAAAAAAAAGAAGAAAAAGAAAGAAAAAAGAAAAAAGGAAGAUUUUGCAAGAUUCACCACCAGUUUUUUUUUUUAAUUUAUUAAUUGUGUGUACGUACUAGUUAUAUGUUGAAAGAAUAGGCAGAAGUAUUUCAACAUGAAUGACAUAAAACUUAUUGCUCAGUAAACAUAAUCUGCAUCAGUGGGAAAAUGUAUUUAUCGUUUGUAUUUUUUAUGGUUUUGCUUAAGAAAUGAUAUGUGAAAUAAUGCUACAUUGUAUCAGGAAUAAAUUGAAGAGAUUUAUGAUAUUUAUGUGUUAUUCAAAUUUCAGAUUCAAUUUUAAACUUUUGAUACGUGCAUUGAAAGCUUAGACUUGUUUAAGAAAUUAUUAAUAGACACAUGUUGUAUUAGUGUCAUCUUUGGAUGAUAGUGAGGAUCAUAUGUCUAUUAAUAAUUCUUGAAUUGUCCAGGCUUGGACAGUUUGGGAAUGCAUAGUUCUCUCUGGUAGCUAGUAGCUGAAGUUUUCUUCCCACGUAAAAAUGGCUUUUUCGGUAGCUGCUCCUCGUGUUCUCUGGGUACGUACUAGGUGAAUGGGUGUCAUGUGUUGUUUUGGCAUAACGCAUAAACACUUAUAUAGCUUUGUCGUGAGCUUGGAGAAUUAUAGGGAGAUGGUGCUGAAAUUUUUAUAAACGUAGAAGAAAACUUUAGGUACUUGAGAUUGAAAAAACAUAUGCAUUCUUGAGUGGGAUAUGUAGGAUUUAUCACUUACCUUUGGUAAAUAUGAAGGGAAUGUUGACUCCUUGAAAUAUGCCCAAACCCAUGGAGUAUCUAAAUAAGUCUGAAAACCAAACACUGUUACCUACUAGACGACAAAGCAGAAAAAUUUUCUUGACUCGCUCACCUUUUAAAUAAUUGAAACUCAGCUCAAUACUUGAAUAAGUUUCUGCAGGCACAUCUUCGAAGUUUACCAUUGAAGGCGUUCGGAGCUCUCGCAAGGCAUUCUUCCAUUCAUGGAGACUCUAGUUUCUCAGUGCCCUCAACGCAAUGGGCAAACCUCCAUAUGCCUUAACUACAUUAAUUGCUGUAGACUUGAACUUACAAUUUUCAACAUCAUCACCAUUCAUUAUCUUAAACAAUCUCCAGGCUUCUUGUUCAGUUAGAUUGCCAAUCAAAAAGUUAUCUUUGGAGUCCAUACUUAAAAGCACAUUAUUAUCUCUUGCUGUCAGCAAUAGUCUACAUCCUUUAUGAUUAUUUCCAAAAGGAAUUCCAACCGUCUCCAAAUCAAGAUGUUUCCAGAUAUUAUCUAGAAUCACAAGAAUCUUAUUCUCACUCUUCAAUCGUUCAUACAGCCUACUAGCUCUUCUAUAUUCAGCUUCAUCGGACAACUCCAGACCUAACUUCUCUGCAAUUUCCCCUUGAAUCUUUUUUAUCUCUGGAGUUUAUGAAACCUCUGAUAAAACCACCCCAUAAAACAGCUUUUUUCCCUGGCUUGCCUAGCAAACUCUUUCACCAGUGUGGUCUUUCCAAUGCCGCCUAUGCCGUACACCCCAAUAAUGCUGACAUUCGCCUCCGUCAAUGCAUUUUUAAUAGACUGCAAAGUAGAAAGUCUUGAUUCGAAGGCCUCGUAACCACUGCUAGACUUAAGCCAUAUCUCCUCCGGAAUGGUACGGUGGGAAACAGUAUCAAACUUCUUAACUUCUUCUCCAAGUUCAAUAAUGGCCUUCACCUCCGUCUCUGCUUUCUUGCUAAGCUGAUAGCGACUCUUCCAAUGAGGACUCAAGCCCUUGACACAGCGCUUAUUCGUUGACUCCUCAUCUUCAAUGAAUUUGGCUGCCCGGUCAAUGAUGCCGUUCGCACUUCGCAGUAACCAGCCACUUUUCAACCUUCUCUUCAAUCUCUUCCCCUUUUUCUUUCGCCUCUGAAACCCUGCGCUGAAUGCUCGUAUGUUCAACCUUCAACUUCUCCAUUUCCGCCUUGAUAUUCUCAAAGUUGGCAUUGUAGUUCCAAAUAAACAAGUUGGCGUGCAGUUGGAGGAGCCAAGCAUUUUACAAGUUCCAAGACGAUAGUCACAAUGAUUUCCAGCAUCUCGAAUCCUGACAAAAACGUAGAAGCGAAGAAAGCCAAAGGAAAGUAAAAACAAAGAGACAGCGAUAGGACAAGCAAUUGUGUUUUUCAGAUGAGAUGAAGGAAACAAGAAAAGGGUUUCUAUCACGACGUAAAGAGCUAAAAGAGCUGAUGGGUACAGAAUAAGAAAUGAGACUGAGGAGUGAGCAAAGCUAAAUAAUAACAGAACAAGAACAAUGACGAAUAGAAGAAACAGUAGCAAAGAGCCGUUUAGAUGAUUAGAAUGAAACUAAGCGACUGGAAAUAGUAGAUGGUAGACUAAAGAGAAAGUGAUUGAUUAUUUUAGGAGGCCAAUUAACGUAAUGACAGAUCCGGUUUCGAUGUUUGUAAUUUGAGUAUGAGGUAAAUCGAUUCUUUGUCGAGCCAGUCAAAUACAAAGGCAAAUUAGUAAAACACGAGCCAGCAACUUUUACUCACACAAAAGCCAAUAAUAUAUUGAGAUCACGCAACAUUGCAAUAAAGUUAUCAUCAAGUUGUAGCCUUCUUAUUCAAUCAAUUAUGGCAUUAUCUCUAGCUCUGUAUUUUUCAAAAAAAAAAUUAUUAUUCAAAAGAUGUCUGUCAUUAAUUUUUCAAUGAUUAAAAUUAUAAUUUUUGUUUAAUAUAUAUAACGUAAAAUUUUAAAAGAAUCAGACAUGCAUUAGGGUUAAAAUAAAAAAUAUGGAGGUAGCUUUUAACUAGGUAAUUGGCUCAACUAUGGAUCAGUGUGAGAUCACUAUUUUUCUUAUUAAAAAAAAUUCCAGCCAAACAAUUGUCGCAAAAUCUUAAUAUAAAUUACAAAAAAAGACAAUAUUUUCUAAAAUCAUAGCAAUAAUUUAUAUUUUGAAUACCUGUAAAUAAACCACUUAGAAAGCUUUCGAAACACGAAUAUUGUUGUCGUUUUUAAAGACUUGACAUUUUGGGUAAUCUGAAUUAACAAUGCACAUCACUUGUUUGUCACAAUGUCCAAAUAAAUAAUUUUAAAAAAAAGUUAUUUUCAUUCUUUCUUUUCAGGUAUCCUAAUUCCUUUUGCAGUUUGAUUCCUCUUUUCCUGAAUUUCACACAGCGCACCCACAUUUUUUGACCAUGUGCACCUCCCCCUAUUUCUAUUAAAAAAUCAACUAAUCUAACUGUUUAGGCUGUUAUAAAUUUAAAAGACUAUACUACCCUUAUUUUGAAUGAAUUGGGUAUAUAAGUACUAAAAUACCCUUACAACUAAUAAAAUUUAAAUCAAAAAGUAAAAAUUUAUUAUAAUAUUUUUAAAUUUAUAUGUAUACGAUUUUUUCCCGGAUUACAAACCCAAGAUUAUAAACCUAGUAAAUUACAAAAUCAGAGGCAAAGCAUGAUUCCAAUGUGAAAGAAAAAAAUCAAACACACAUUCAUCAGUACAUUACAAAAUAAAUCCGAUAAUCCCACCAAAACAAAUAAAACCCAAUAGAAAGAAACCCUAAACUAAUGAUACCAAAAUCCCUGAGAGCAAAUUUCAUUGUAAAAUUCUAUUACAAAAUAAAUUCAUACUAAGAAAAUUCAAUAAAAAGAAACCCAAUAAUCAAAAAUCUUAAAACUAAAGAUAUCAAACCCAAAAUUAAAUUAUAGAGGUGGCGAAAGAAAAAGGGUUUUUUUAAUUAUAUAUAUUAUUUUAAUCUUGUGUUAAUUACCAUUCUACCCUUCUUUCCGUUAACAUUAGAUUUGAAAGAAAUGAGGGUGGUGGACAUGGUCUGUAGAUUGGGGGCACAAUGCAAAAUGUCAAAACAAUUGGGGCUAAUGCUAAAUUACACAUUAUUUAAAUUAAAUUAUCCUAAUUGUAUUUUUAUUAAUUAAUUAACAAUUAGUUUCAUUACUAUGAUAGUUUUGUCACUAUGUUUGUUACCAUCUCUCAAAAAAAAAAAAAAUUACUUUUACAUGUCGAAUUGUGUAACAACGAUUUAAUGAAAAAUUAGAAAACAGCACGACAUCUCGUGGCUUAACAUGGUCAUCAUGAAUAUCCCUUAUUAUUAAAAAAUGAACAAACAAACUCUUUUUUAAUACAUGUAGUCCUUUUUUUUAUAUUUCAAAAUAGUUAAACAGAUCCUGAAUUUGUGUGUUCCUCAAUAAAUUUUCAUGAUCAUUUUUUAAAAUAAGGGAUUUUUGUGAUUAUUUUGCCACGUCCAAGGAUGCCGCUGUUCUUGUCACCAAAAAUUAUUCUCAUAAGAGUCAUGAUUAAUUGGACGUCAGCAAUGAGGGCAUGUAAUGAAAAAAAUUUGUUUUGCAUGGGAUCCAAUAAUUUUAAUUACAAUGGUGGUGACAGACCCAGCUGGAAAAUCAACUGAUUUUAGAAUUCUGUUGAAAAUUCUUUAAAUGAUCACUAUAUCUCUAGUUCGAUUAUAUCCUUAAGCUCAUUGAUUCUUUUGUAUUGAUUUUGUUACUUCUUUUCUAAGAAAUAUUAUAAGAACUGCUCAGGCUGUAAGAUUGAUAAGCUUAAAGAGUCGGAACGAGGCUUACCAGUUCGUAAGCUUUUAAUUAUUUGGAUUGCUGUGCUUGCAACUGGUAAAUUUUUCAACUUCAACUCGAUAUAAUGAUUUUGGAGAGAACCAUUUACAGUGAUUUUCAAUUCUUUUGUGAUUUUUUUUUUCAGUUCUGCCAGUCUCAUCUCUCUUUCCCUUCCUUUAUUUUAUGGUGAGUGGAUUAUUAUUGCCUUCAGCGCAGUGGUUAUUAGUGAGAAAAUUUAUAUUUUCCUAUCAAGCUUGGUGAUUUUCUGAGAAAUAUAAGAAAAGACAAGUUUUAUAUGUCAAAUAAUUCAUUGCUUUUUCACAGCAGUCAUUUAUGAUUUCUUUUCAGAUUAGGGAUUUUCACAUUGCAAAAAGGGAGGAAGAUAUUGGAUUCUAUGCUGGUUACGUGGGUGAGUUAUUCUAUGUUUUUUUUUAUCGUAUUUAAUAAAUGACACACAGUAUGGAGUCCGUCUUGGGUACGAAUGUCCACACCUUAUAAAGUGCUGACUCACGCCUUUACAACUCUGGGAAGACAUUCUACCGAGACUUUACAUCACUGUAAACGCACUGUACAAGAGCUUUACAAUACGGACCCGCGUCUUUACAACUUUAAAGGGCCAAGUCUAUGCUUUAAAAAGUACAUAUGUUCGCACCUGGAAACGAUUUACAUAUGUAUGUAUAUAUGUAUAUAUGUAUGUAUGUGUGUGUAUAUAUAUGUAUGUAUGUAUGUGUGUGUGUGUGUGUGUAUGUAUGUACGACCAAUAAAACAGUUCAAAUUCCUCGAGAAGUUAUCCUAACAAGCAUCUUAAUACCUUGAUGAAAUUGAAGGGUCUUAAUACAUGCUUGGCAGAGCUCUAACAUCUGUUUUGUGGGGAAUGGUGGCUGACCGCUGUGGUCGAAAGCCUGUAAUAAUAAUAGGAAGCAUCACAGUGUUAGUGACUUCUAUUUUCAUAUGAUCAAGCUUGAAAUUGAUGAUACUUCGGCAAUUUCUGGAUUUCUUGUCUGUCUUAAAAUGCUCACAGGGUUAUUUUUAACACUCUUUUUGGGCUUAGUGUGAAUUUCUGGAUGGCCAUAGCUACAAGGUUUCUCCUUGGGGCUUUGAAUGGUUUACUUGGACCAAUAAAGGUAUUGAUUGGGGGUAUUUGUUGAUAAUUCCAAUUUAAUUCCUGCAAAUAUUUGUGCUCAAACUUCUCUUACACCACGAGGCAUAUGCAUGUGAAAUAUUGCGCGAUCAGCACCAAACUUAUUACGAAACCAAAAAUGUUACUUGUUUUCUGUACUUGCUUUCGCAUGCAUCACCCCCACAAAACUGCUUGACGAUUGUCCUCAUUUUGAACUUACUAUAGGUUUCAUUCUCCUUGUUUUUCAACUUACUCUGUACCCUUACGUCGAGAGGAUUAUUGGGCCAAUAAUCAUAACACGAAUUGCAGGGGGUAAUAUUUUGAACACCUCAUGCGGCAUUUGGACCAUUUGAUAGUUUGUUUCAAACAUAUCUGUUUAUAAAAUACUUUUCUUCAUGGUUUUGGUCCCAUAACUUUCUAUGUAUGUACAGGUUUUAUCGAUACCGCUUUUGACAAGUUACACUUACAUAGCAAUGCUAUCUGGGUUCAGCCUUGCCUUUUUGAUAAACUGUGCUUCUGUGAUGAAGAAUGUUUUAUCUGUAAGUGGAUAUCCUAAUCAUUGAUCCAUAUACUAAGGUUAUAUUAUCCAUCAGCAAGUAUGUAUAAAAUUAUUUUGUCUUUUUUAUUAGAAUUUUUGUAAUUCUUUUUUACUUUUCCUGAAUUGUAGCAUCAGGUGUCUAUAAUAACUGGAUCGUUCCUUCUGCAAAUCAGAGCAGUGGUAAAUAUAUUUUCUUUUGUUUGUUUAGUACAUUUCCAUGCUUUCAGCUUUUUCAAAUUUUGUAUGUGCCAAAGUUUAAAUUAAUUGGUUGGUUUAUGGUAUAAUAACAGGUAUGAUAAUUUACUAAUGAAAUUUCUCACUAGUUUGUGAAUUACUUGGUGCUAAUUAGCUUAAUCAGCUGCUUAAACUAAAGUGCAGGUAACCAGAUGAUUUUUUUCAUUCUGAAUUCGGUGGAGGCACUUGGAGUAAUAUUGACAUUCAAACCGUUUCUAACUCAACGUGCCCCGUGAGUGGAGAAAAGAUGCAUCUGUUGAAAUAUUCAAAUAUAUAUCAAGCAAAUUAAAGCUUUCAAAAUCUUUCAACAAUUUGAUUGUUUGAUGUGGUUGCCACUUGCCAUAUUUUGUGUUACUUUUCUAAAGGCUUAAAUAUGAAAAUGGUUGUUGGUGCUCACGCCAAUUGAUUGCUGGUAACAUUAAUUGUGCAGUACUUGUCAGAACUACCACAAUUUAUCUUCACAAUGAUGCUAGCUAGAAAGAAAAUUUCAUGUUAAGUAAAAUAUUGAAGCCAUAAAGAGUCUUAUUCCAGAGCCUCAUUAAGUACUAAGUUUUCUGCCAUGCUUUCAAAGUUUACAAAUUCGAAGCUUGGGGAUUCUGUAACAAUGGAGGAUAAAAAUUAUAUAAGAAUAUUUUUUGUACAAUUUUCAUACGACCAGACAGAAGCGAGCAUAAUUUUUUGAUCAUAACUCAGAUCAAAAGACCUUCAAUGAUGUAUAAUAUGCACAUAAAGCUAGCUCAGAACCAGACAUUAAAACUUAUGAUGAAAGGGAAACAUAGAUGUUGAGAUUGAAAACAUAGAGAAAUUUUUUUAAAAAAUCUGAAAUUUUAUUAAUAGAAGUUUGAAUAACAAAAUUAGGGUAUUGGACCCUUUUUAUACAAAUUCUAAAUAUUAUGUAUUUAUCAAAAUAGGCAAACUUGAAAUAUUAUUACAUAAUAACGUUCUCCUAACUGAAAUAAAAAAAAUAAAACAAAUCAUACUUAAAAUCUUAUAUUUAGAGAAAAAAUAUAAAAAUAUUGAAAAUAAUAAGAAAAAUAAGAAAAUAACUUAAACUUUGUAAAAUAACUACGAAAUAAACAGAAUUUCUUGCCGAAUAGAUACCCGCUCAAGUUAUGAUCUAGGAGUGAUAUCCUACUCAUCCUAUGCAACCAUCAGCUGCAUCAACUUCAUUCCAAAAUUAACAAAUAAACCAACUGACGCAUUGCAAAUAAUAAGAUGAAACGAUAAAAUAAACCUAGAGAUCAAACAACACAAGGUAAUAUAUUAAAAAGCCUAUGGGAUCAAAACACAUCGUACUAUGUCGAGAGAGAUGACGACUCCUCCAACAGCAGAAAAUAAAUUCUUUCAUUCAUUAAUUUAAAGUAAAUUUGGUGCUCCAUCUUCUUCUCCGUCACCUAUUACCACCUCUGUCAUUGCCCUGCAUCCAGCUACCUUCAUUGAUACGAGCCGCACUAGACUUUCUGCUGUAGUGGACGGAUGUUACAAUUCCUUGCAAUGGAAAAUCAACAGUUCUGUUAGAUUCCCAAAAGAUAUAGAUGAUCAUGGGAAUAGACUUAAAUGCUUGUAAAAUAGUCGUAGAAUGUCAAGAUAUUUAAAAUGGAGUCCAGUUUGGAGUUGCUUCAAUGAUUAAGUCUGGACAGGAUUAACCAUUUUAUCAGUGCCUACUUCCCCACUUGUUUUUAGCAGUAUCCGGCUUGAUUUAAGAAUCUCUUUGUAUGAACUAUAUUACCCAAAAAAAAAAAAAAUCUUAUUUCAAAUGAUGCACAGGAGAAGAGUUACUUGAAUCUUCAUCAGUAUCCAGACAUUCUACAAUCACAGAGUAAAGAGUUCUAGCAGGAAAAACUGAGAAAACAACGUACUUCUAUAGUUUUUCACAAUAUUUCCAACGUUUUCAAACAAUAUUUCCACAAUAUAGUUUUUCAUAGCGAAGAGUUUUGCUUUGGUGGUCUAAGGAUUUGUUCUAGGCAUAAUGCUCUGAUUAGAUUUUGUUUAUUUUUAAUUUUUUAUCCGAUGAAUGAUUUUCAGCUGGUCUUAAUUAUGUGUUCAUAGGGAAGAGCAUUUGGAAAGAUCAUCAAAAAAAAAAAAAAAAAAAGUUUCCAAAGAAAGAUAGGUGUGAAGCAAACCAAACUAAAUGAACAAACUAAAAUAACAGAACAGCAAUGAUGUUUUCAAGGAAUUAUAAAAUAUGAAGGCUUUUAAUGAAAUUUUAUCAUACAAAGUAUGCAAGGAAUUAUAAAAUUUUAGAAAACAAGGGGAACUCUCAAAAAAAGAAAAAAAGAAAAAAAUACUCAAAUUAAACUAGACUAGAAGACAUUCAAUGAUGCAAAAUCUGUCCACAAAAGUCUGAACGAAUCAUUAAAAUUGCAUUCCAAAUUUAACAGUAAGCCGAUUGACCCAUUCUAAAUAAUUCAUAUGAAAUUGCGAAACAAGCCAUGAGAUCAAAUAAAUGAAAUAAAAAAUAAUUACCAGCUGAGGCUUUCUUCUAAAAUUCACAACUCCCAAGUCAUAAGAAGCCUAUGAAAUUAGUACUGGGUAGAGAUCGCCGACUGCACCGCCAACAGCUGAAAAUAAAAUUCUUAUUCAUCAAUUUAAACUUUUACUUUAUAACAAAUAUCUUAUCUAUAUUUUAUUAAAAAAAAAAAUUGUAAAAUGUUUCCAUGGGAGAUAGAGAGUACUAUGUAUAUCCGUACCUUUUCAGCAUGUAAUUGUUGUAUGGUUGUGUUUAGAUCAUUAUUGGUCCAAAGCAAUCGAUCCUCUGUCUCUCCAUAGCAGACGUUUACUCUUGGAGGCGUGAUUGAUUCUCCUGUAGUGAAAAUCUUCAUCUUGGGACAACCAAUCACCCACAAAUCUUGCAAAGAUGGGAAUUUGAAGGUGUAGUUGGCAGAGCUGAAACUUGUGAAGCUAUCUAAAUCAAACAGUUCCAACGUCUUCAAUUUGCUAAAAACAAUCUCUUCUUUUUCAACUCCAUCUUUGUCAUUUAUUACCACCUCUGUCAUUGCUCUGCAUCCACAUACUUGCACUUUGACGAGUUGCACUAGAGUUUUUGCUGUGGAGGAUGUUACCAAGUGUAUCAAUCCCUUGCAACCGAAAGCCACCAGAGCUGUUAGGUUCUGAAAAGAUACCGAUGAUGAUGGCAAUAGAAUUAACAGACUUUGACAAUGAUGUACUUUUAGAAUUUCAAGAUACUGAAAAAUGGGGCCAAGUUUGGAGUCUUGUUUGCACAGCUGCUUCAGAUGAUAGUGCCGGUUCAGCUGUAAUUUUUUUAUCAUUGCCAACUUCCCCACAUGUUUCUCUAAGCUUCCUUCCUCCGAAAAUACCUCUUCGUUGAAUGAAAAAAAACACAGUAUGAGCAUUUCCAGAUUGUGAAAUCUCUCCAGUACGUUCCAGACUGGAAAACAAGCUGAGUCAUCUCCAGCAAUCUCUAGUUGUUUAAGACUGCCAAAAAGGUGUUGUGGGAAAUCGGCCUGCAAAAUCAUCUUCACAUCUUUUCCACUUAGUGAUAGUUCCUUCAAGUUGGGUACGAUCUGAUCAUCAUCAAUCAUAAUAACUAAUGAGGUCAAUUGAUGAUCUACGGUCACACGCAGUGACUUUAUAGUAUUUGUUUUAUAUUAUAUUUUUUUAAAAAAAUUGAAUUAUUGAUAAAAUUUAUUUUAUAUGUUAAUUUUAGAGGUAAAAAAGAAAUUAGGGAAAAAAGGUUGAUUUAUACUGGCUCGAAAUUAUUUUAUUGCACAAUAAUAAAUUACUAAUUUAUUUUGUAAGUUCUUCUAUAUGGAAAGACUAAGGAUUCUUUUAUAAAUGCUAUACCUAAAACAGUUCAUAUAAUUAUUAAUCUACCACAUUGAUCUCUUAGGUAAUGUUUAUAUAAUUAUGGCAAGGCAUGAUUAAAUUGAUCAUUUGUUUGGUAACAACUUUAUUAAUCGGGUUCUGGCAGAUUUUCUUGGUCACAAAAGCGUCAAGAUGCUGGUUUCCUCCCAGGUAUGAUGAUAUACUAAUGAAAAUUCCCACUAGUUUGUGAGUUGCUUUGUGCUAAUUAGCUUAAUUAGCUGCUUAAAUUAAAGUGCAGAUAACCAGGUGAUUUUUUUCAUUCUGAAUUUGGUGGAGGCACUUGGAGUAAUAUUGACAUUCAAACCGUUUCUAACUCAACGUGCCCCGUGAGUAGAAAAGAUGCUCUGUUGAAAUAUUCAAAUAUCUAUCAAGCAAAUUAAAGCUUUCUAAAUCUAUCAACAAUUUGAUUAUUUGAUGUGGUUGCCACUUGCCAUAUUUUGUGCUACUGUUCUAAAGGCUUAAAUAUGAACAUGGUUUUUGGUGCCCACGCCAAUUGAUUGCUGGUAACAUUAAUUUAUCUUCACAAUGAUGCUAUCUACAAAGAAAUUUUCAUAUCAAGUAAAAUAUUGAAGCCACAAAGAGUCUUAUUCCGGAGCCUUAUUAAGUACUAUGUUUUCUGCCAUGCUUUCAAAGUUUACACAUUCGAAGCUUGGGGAUUCUGUAAUAAUAGAGGACAAAAAUUUUAUAAGAAUAUUAUUUUGUACAAUUUUCAUACAACUGACAAAAGCAAGCAUAAUUUUUUUAUCUUAACUCAGACCAAAAGACCUUCAAUGAUGUAAAAUAUGCACAUAAAGCUAGCUCAGAACCAGACAAUAGAACUUAUGAUGAAACGGAAACAUAAACGUUGAGAUUAAAAACAUCGAGAAACACCCUUUCAAAAAAAAAAAAAAAAAAUCGAGAAACACAGCUUUUGAAAAGUCUGAAAUUUUAUUAAUAGAAGUCUGAAUAACAAAAUUAAGGUUUUGAACCCUUUUUAUACUAAUCCUAAAUAUUACGAAUUUAUUAAAAUAAGCAAACCUGAAAUAUUAUUACAUAAUAAGGUUCUCCUAACUGGAAUAAGAAAAAUAAAAUAAAUCGUAUUUAAAAUCUUAUAUCUAAAAAUAAAAUAUAUAAAAAUCUUGAAAAUAAUAUGGAAAAAUAAGAAAAUAUCUUAAACUUGUAAAAUAACUAUGAAAUAAACAAAAUUUCUGGUUGGACCAUGAGGCCAAUAGGGUGUCAUAGUAUUAGAUUAAUGGUAUAUUAUACGCCCUAGAUAGAUACUAUAGCUCAAUUUAUGAUCUCGGAGUGAUAUCCUACUCAUCCUAUGCAACCAUCGUCUGCAUCAACUUCAUUCCAAAAUAAACAAUAAACGAAUUGACGCAUUGCAAAUAAUUUAGAUGAAACGAUAAAAUAAACCUAGAGAUCAAAUAAAAUGAAAUGAAAAUGAUAGUUACCUCGGACUUUCUUCUUCAAAUUUCGCAGCACUAUGUAAUAAAUUAAAAAGCCUAUGGCAUCAGAACAUAUCGUACUGCGUCAAGAGAGACGACGACUCCUCCAACAGCUGAAAAUAAAUUCUCUCAUUCGUUAAUUUAAAGUAAAAUUUGUAAAUUUAGGUACUUGCUGAAGAAACGUGUUUUCAUUUCUUAAAUAAAGCAUUAUACAUUGAGAGUUAUUUAUAGAUGCAGAGGCUACAUUUUUUCAAAGAUUACAUAUGUGAAUACGGAAGGAAAUGUGUCAAUCCGUUCGGCGCGAAUCAUCCGUUCGGCGCGAAUCUUGUCUUUGACAAGUGCAGAUUACCCCUUUGACAAGUGCAGAUUCUGUCUUUGAAAGCUUCAUUCAAUGUCGUUUUAUUUGAUUUUCAACACUCCCCCUCAAGCUGGUGCAUAGAUGUCUUUCAUACCCAACUUGUCUAGGAAUUUUGUAAAUGCCCUGCUUGAAAUGGCCUUCGUUAAAAUAUCUGCAAGUUGAUCUUCUGAUCGAAUUUUCGGCAGUUCUAAGAUUUUUUCAUCUAAUUUCUCCUUGAUGAAAAAUCUAUCUACCUCCACAUGUUUUGUUCGAUCGUGUUGAACUGGGUUAUGAGCAAUAUCUCGUGCAGCUUUGUUGUCACAGUAUAGUUGUAUUGGUUGUUGUGAUGGAUAGCCCAUAUCGUUUAAGAUAAAACUUAUCCAUAGCCCUUCACAUAUCCCAAGGGCCAUGCCUCGAUAUUCUGCUUCAGCGCUCGAACGGGCAACGACAUGUUGUUUCUUGCUUCUCCAUGUGAUAAGGUUUCCUCCCACAAAGGUAAAGUAUCCUGAAGUAGAGCGUCUAUCACUAACUGACACGGCCCAAUCUGCAUCAGUAUAAACUUCUAUGUUGCUGUAAUCUUCAUUUUUGGAAAGUAAGAUUCCUUUUCCUGGAUUUGUCUUCAGGUACCUCAGGAUCCGCAUUACUGCUUUCAUGUGUUGUUCUCCGGGAUUAUGCAUAAACUGGCUUACAACACUCAAUGCAUAAGCAAGAUCUGGCCUUGUGUGGGACAAGUACAUCAAUCUUCCAAUCAGCCUUUGAUAUCUUCCUUUGUCUACUGGAACUUGGUCUGAAGUAAUACAAAACUUCAGUCCUUCUUCUAUUGGGGUGUCAAUAGGCUGACAAGCUGUCAUUCCCGUUUCGUGCAAUAGAUCUAAGGCAUAUUUCCUUUGAGACAGAAAGAUUCCUCCCUUAGAUCGAGAAACCUCAAUUCCAAGAAAGUAUUUUAAGGCACCUAAAUCCUUCAUCUCAAACUCUCUUGACAAGUACUUAUGAAGAGCCUCUGUUUCUUCCUCGUCGUUGCCUGUAACUACCAUAUCAUCCACAUAGACAAUAAGGGCAGUGAUUUUACCUUGUCGUUUUUUAAUGAAUAAGGUAUGAUCUGAAUUGCUUUGGUUAUAUCCAAAACGAACCAUAGCCUUUGUGAAUUUCCCGAACCAUGCUCUUGGGGAUUGCUUCAACCCAUACAAUGAUUUCUUCAAUUUGCAUACUUUCUGAUUGAGUCGUUCUGGUCCACUGCAUCCUGGUGGCAGAUCCAUAUAAAUUUCUUCAGACAGGUCUCCAUGGAGGAAAGCAUUCUUUACAUCGAACUGUUGCACUGGCCAAUCCAAGUUGACUGCUAAUGAUAAUAAGAUACGAAUAGUAUUAAUUUUUGCUACCGGUGCAAACGUAUCAGUAUAAUCAAUCUCGUAGGUUUGGGUGUAACCCUUAGCUACGAGUCUUGCUUUGUAUCGUUCAAUAGAGCCAUCUGCUUUGUAUUUUAUAGUGUAGAUCCAUCGACAACCCACUAGUUUCUUUCCUGGUGGAAGAUCAACUAGUUCCCAUGUUUGAUUUUUCUGAAGAGAUCUCAUUUCAUCAUUCAUAGCCGCUUUCCACUUUGGAUCUUUUAAAGCUUCCUGCACACUGUUAGGAAUAGAUACAGCAGAUAAUUGAUUCACAAAUGACUGAUUUGAUUCUGACAAGCAAUGGUUAGACACAAAAUGACUUAUAGGGUAUUUGACUAUACUAGAGAAGUCAGGCUCAUAUGUGGGUUUAGGGAUACCUCUAUUUUGACGCUGGGGAAGAAUUCUUCUGAUUGGACUUGUGGUAGGAACAUCCUCUGCAGACGAUUGGUUAGGUAUUUCUUCAUGUGACUCAUUCUCGAUUGCAGUUGUGUCUGAGUUAUUGUGCUCCCCAAAUGUGUCUUCACAUAUCUUAGCCUGCGAAUUAUCACCAUUUGCUUUUCCAGUAUCUUGAAGGUUUACUAUCUCAAUGGAAGAUUGACUUUCUUCAGGUGGAAGAUAUGUAAGAGUAUGAAUUUCCUCUUCAUUAUACUCCCCCUGAAAUUCAGACUCUGACAAGUAGUACAUGAUAUCUUCAUGAAAAACGACAUCCAUGGUGAUGUAUAUUUUUCUUGAUGGUGGAUGAUAGCAUCGGUAUCCCUUUUGAUGUAAGGCAUACCCUACAAACACACAACGUAGUGCUCGAGGAGAUAAUUUUUCUUGUUGCGGCAAAUGAACGAAGGCAACACAGCCAAACACAUGUGGGGGCAGAUUCGGCACAUUUGGUGACAUAAUUGCAUCAUUCAGAACUUGGAAAGAAGUCUGGAAUCCAAGGGAGCUUGAAGGUGUUCGAUUGAUCAAGUAUGUUGCGGAUGCCAGUGCUUCUCCCCAAUAAGAUAAUGGCAUGUGGGCUUGGAUUAGUGAUGCUCGAACAACUUCUAGUAAAUGUCUGUUUUUUCGUUCAGCAACGCCAUUUUGUUGGGGUGUCCCCACACAAGUGGUUUGAUGGACAGAUCCUUGUGAUUUCAAAAACUGUUGAAUUGCUGUGCUCAUAUACUCGCCUCCAUUAUCAGUAUGUAGAACUCGAAUUUGUGUCUGAAAUUGAGUUGUCACCAUCUUAUGAAAUCUUUGAAAUAAAGAGUUUACUUCGUCUUUCGAUUUCAUCAGAAAAAUCCAUGUCAUUCUGCUACAAUCAUCAAUAAAUGUAACAAACCAACGAGCACCUCCAAUUGUAGAAACUUUAGAUGGCCCCCAUACAUCAGAAUGUACUACCAUAAAAGGAACUGGAUUUUUAUUUAAGGACAAUGGAAAAGUAGUUCGAUGGCUUUUUGAAAGUUCACAAACAUCACAUUUAAAGUUACAAACAUCAAAUUUCAGAAACAAACUAGGAAAUAAUUUUUUUAAGUAACCAAAUGACACAUGCCCUAAACGUCUAUGCCAUAACCAAAUUUCUGAUUUCCCUUUUUUUAUGGAACUAUCUGCGACUAGUGCAGGGCUUAGCUUUCCAGUGUUUGUUGAUGACAUCUCCAAGUAGUACAAGUUGCCUCGUCUAAUACCAUAACCAAUCGUUUGCUUCGUUUGGAUGUCCUUAAACACACAAUGAUCAGGCCAAAAAAUUACAACACAUGAUAAGUAAGUGGUUAAUUGAGACACAGAUAAAAGAUUAUAAUCUAAAGAUGGAACAAUUAACACAGCGUCUAAAUUUAAUUCAUUUGUGAGUCGUAAAGAUCCUUCCCCAAUAACUGAGGUUGUGGUUCCAUUUGCAGUGGAAAUAUGUUUUUGUGAAGAUGGUUUCAAUUGAGAAACUUGUCGAGAAUCAAAAGUCAUAUGAUCAGUUGCCCCAGAAUCAGUUAUCCAUGUACUAUUAAUAACAGGUGUAAGAGUUUUAAGGGCCUUACCUGGACUGACAGAGGUUGCGAUUUGCACUGAAGAUUCUUUUUUAAGAUCUGUAGUGGAUGUGGAUUCAGCUACUGCAGUUUUUGAUCCAUGCUUGGUGUUCUUCUUUCGAGUAUCCCACCAGUCAGGAUAUCCAAUGAUUUCAAAACAUUGUUCUUUCGUAUGACCCUUCUUUCUACAAUGAGUGCAAUGGAGUGAUGACUUGUCAACAAACUUCCUUUGAGGUUGCUGUCGUGCUAUCAUAGCAGACGUUUCUGAGUCGACCUUCUUGUUUAGUUUGCUUUGCCAUAUAUCUUCUCUUCGGAUCAGAGAAUAACAUUCUUCUAAGUCUGGAAUAAUGUCUUUUCGUAGAAUUUCUCCACGAACUUGGUCAAAUUCUUCAUCUAGCCCAGCAAGAAAAAUGUGCACUCUCAAUCUUUCAACAGACCUUCUGUAUAUUACAACAUCUUCUGGAUCCUUCAUGACCACUUUAUCUCGGUGAUCAAGUUCUCGAAAUAUUUCGACCAAUUCUCCAUAGAAUUUAGAGAGUGGUUGUCCAUUUUGCUUGGUAGAGAAUGCCUUUUGGUUUAGAGUGAAAACUUGUAAUUCAUCGCUUCCAUCAUAGAAGGCUUUUGAUAAUGCAUCACAGAUUUCGUAGGCUGUAGAAAUUCGUAAAUAUUGCUUCAUGAUCUCCGGAGACAUGGAUAUGAGUAACAAUCUUUUUACUUUUUGGUUCUCACUAUACCAUUUCUCAUAUUCCUUUUAAGAUUCCUCAAAUGGCUUUGUGCUGCUACGAAUAUAUGAGAGUUUUUCUCUUUCUGCAAGAUGCAUUUCCAUUAUUUGAGACCAAACAUCGUAGUUUGUCUCAGUGAGGAUAAUUCCAGCAUUAAAUACUCCAUCAGAUUGAACAGAUUGAAUGACAACAGGACUAGAUUCAGUUGGAGUUUUCUCCAUUUUUUUUGUUUUUGUUUUUUUUUUCUUUUUCUUUUUUCUCUUUUUUUUCUUUUUUUUUGUUUUCUUUUUUUUUUUGUUUUUUUUCCCGUCUAGAUUGAAAGAAGAAAAAAAAAAUAACCUUUUUAGGUAACAAAACGACAGGUCGUUUAGCCACUGCUUACCAAACCGACAUGUCGGUUAUGGUGGAAUAUAAACGACAUGUCGUUUUACUCCUGCUGCACUUCUGGAAACUAAGCGUCACGUCGUUUUAUCUCUAAUUUAGAAAAGACAUAUCGGUUUUAAUAUAACACAAAACGACACGUCGGUUUUUGACUGCUGCACUUCUGAGAUAAAAAUGACAUGUCGGCUGACGUCUUCUUCAACCUCUGGAGCGCGUGAGGGCGCGUGAAUGAUGACAGAGGUGCGUGGUUGACUGGCCGUGGCUUCGGUUGGCGCGUGGGAGCGCGUGGGAAUGUGUUUAAAUGCGAAAGUUUUACAGUUUCCUCACUAAAAACUGAGAAAUUUUAUGGUGUUCUUGGUUUUGGACGAACACACUCUCGGAAAAUUGAUGGGAUUGUUGAUAAAUUUGUAAACUCAAGUUUUUUACGUAUUGGUGGCUUGUUUCUUGAUCGGCAUGGAUAUCUGUAAUGGUAGGAAUGGGUUUAAGAAAGAAAAUGGUGGGAAAAAUGGUUGUGGGAGGAAUUUGGUUUCCUCUGUUUUUGUUACAAACAGAGCAACGGAACUUGAAGAAACUUGAGCGUAUUCAUGGCUCUGAUACCAUGAAGAAACGUGUUUUCAUUUCUUAAAUAAAGCAUUAUACAUUGAGAGUUAUUUAUAGAUGCAGAGGCUACAUUUUUUCAAAGAUUACAUAUGUGAAUACGGAAGGAAAUGUGUCAAUCCGUUCGGCGCGAAUCUUGUCUUUGACAAGUGCAGAUUAACCCUUUGACAAGUGCAGAUUCUGUCUUUAAAAGCUUCAUUCAAUGUUGUUUUAUUUGAUUCUCAACACUUGCACAUAGAGAUUUGCAAGGGGAGCGAGAGAUUCAAUAGCAGCAAUUUAAUUUGACGGGACUUUCAUUGAAUAAUGAAAUUAAAAACUAACGAUUAUUGAAUUUUUUAUAUUCUCUUAACUCUUGUGGAAAUGUCAGCUCUAAAUAGGACAGCUUCAAGAAUCUUUAUCUGAAAGUGUAAUUGGCAGAGCAGAAACUUGUGACACUAUCUAAAUCACAAAGACUCAACGUCUUCAAUUUGCUGAAAACAAUCUCUCGUUUUGAAUUUACAUUUGGAGCUCCAUCUUCUUCUUCGUCACCUAUUACCAUAUCUGUCAUUGCCCUGCAUCCAGCCACCUUCACUGAUACGAGCCGCACUAGACUUUUAGCUGCAGUGGAUUUUACAAUUCUUUGCAAUGGAAAACCACCAGUUCUGUUAGAUUCCCACAAGAUAUAGAUGAUCAUGGCAAUAGACUUAAAAGAUUUUUACAUGCAGUAAUAUACUCUUAAGUGGUGUUUGGUUGGGAGGAGAGAAUAGAAGAAAGGAAAGUAAUUUAAAUGCUCUUUUUAUUUCCAUUAUUUGGUUUGACAAAAUAGAUAAGAAUUUAAUUUCCAUUAGAAUUUGAAUUCCACACCAAGUAGUGAAAAAUUUAAAUUCCUCUUAUGUUAAAAACUAAAGUUUCCAAAAUUAUCCUUCAAAUUUUUAACUUGUUUAAUGUCAUUAAUAAUUAUUAUUUAUAAUUUUAUUUUAUUGAUUUAAUAUUAUAAAUAGACCUCCACCGGUAAGUCGCCGGACCACUGUCGGACUUCACCGGACCACCGCUGAACUUUCGCCAGACCAUUGCCGAACUUCCACCGGAAAGUCGCCGGACUUCCACCGGAAUAUAGUUUUUCAUAGCGAAGAGCUUUACUUUGAUGGCUUAAGGAUUUGUUCUAGGCAUACUGCUGUGAUUAGAUUUCGUUUAUUUUUAACUUUUUUUAAUCUUUUAUCCGAUGAAUGAUUUUCAGCUGUUCUUAAUUAUUUGUUCAUAGGGAAGAGCAUUUUCUAAGUACUUCCUUGCCUUCUAAGUUUCCGAAGAAAGAUAGGUGUGAAGCAAAGCAAACCAAACCAAAUGAACAAACAGAGCACAAACUAAAAUAACAGAACAGCAAUGAUGACAAUAAAUAAUUGGCAAAAAAAGAAAAGAAAAAAGCAUGCACAUUUUCAAGGAAAUAUAAAAUAUAAAGCUUUUAAUGAAAUUUUAUCAUAAAAAGUAUGCAAGUAUUUAACAAGAUGUUUGGAACGAUAGAAAAUGAAAGAAAAUUGAUUAAGAAGAUUCUGGAACAAUCAUAAUUCUUAUUGAUGAAACUGAUCAAAAUCGUACAUUGUGAACGAGCUCAGCACUAUUUAUAGUUACACACAUGCUGAUUAGAAAGUGUAGAGCUCAAAACUGCAAUAUUAACAAACUAAUUAACCUUCCAAUCAUAUUAAGCCAGCUGGACAGUUAGUUACAACCAAUCAGUACAAAUAACAACCUAAUCCAGCUUGGCAACUUUGUUACACAUCAUCAGCCAGCUCAGCUUAGCAAACUUACACUCUUAACAGCAAGGAAUUAUAAAAUUUUAGAAAACAAGGGGAACCCUAAAAAAAAAACUCAAAUUAAACUAGGCUAAAAGACAUUCAAUGAUGCAAAAUCUGUCCAUAAAAUUCUGAACGAAUCAUUAAAAUAGCAUUCCAAAUUUAACAGUAAACCGAGUGACCCAUUCUAAAUAAUUCAGAUGAAAUUGUGAAACAAGCCAUGAGAUCAAAUAAAUGAAAUAAAAAUUCGCAACUCCAAGUCAUAAGAAGCCUAUGAAAUUAGUCGUAAUGCGUAGACAACGACGACGGCACCGCCAACAGCUGAAAAUAAGAUUCUUAUUCAUCAAUUUAAACUUUUACUUUAUAACAAACAUCUUAUCUAUAUUUUAUUUAAAAAAAGCAAAUUUUGUAAAAUUUUUCCAUGGGAGAUAGAGAGUAAUAUGUAUAUACGUACCUUCUCAGCAUGUAAUUGUUGUAUGGUUGUGUUCAGAUCAUUAUUAGCCCAGCGCCGUUGAUCCGCUGUCUCUCCAUAGCAGACGUUUACUCUUGGAGGCGUGAUUGAUUCUCCUGUAGUGAAAAUCUUCAUCUUGGGACAACCAAUCACCCACAAAUCUUGCAAAGAUGGGAAUUUGAAGGUGUAGUUGGCAGAGCUGAAACUUGUGAAGCUAUCUAAAUCAAACAGUUCCAACGUCUUCAAUUUGCUAAAAACAAUCUCUUCUUUUUCAACUCCAUCUUUGUCAUUUAUUACCACCUCUGUCAUUGCUCUGCAUCCACAUACUUGCACUUUGACGAGUUGCACUAGAGUUUUUGCUGUGGAGGAUGUUACCAAGUGUAUCAAUCCCUUGCAACCGAAAGCCACCAGAGCUGUUAGGUUCUGAAAAGAUACCGAUGAUGAUGGCAAUAGAAUUAACAGACUUUGACAAUGAUGUACUUUUAGAAUUUCAAGAUACUGAAAAAUGGGGCCAAGUUUGGAGUCUUGUUUGCACAGGUGCUUCAGAUGAUAGUGCCGUUUUAGCUCUAAUGUUUUUAUCAUUGCCAACUUCCCCACAUGUUUCUCUAAGCUUCCUUCCUCCGAAAAUACCUCUUCGUUGAAUGAAAAAAAACACAGUAUGAGCAUUUCCAGAUUGUGAAAUCUCUCCAGUACGUUCCAGACUGGAAAACAAGCUGAGUCAUCUCCAGCAAUCUCUAGUUGUUUAAGACUGCCAAAAAGGUGUUGUGGGAAAUCGGCCUGCAAAAUCAUCUUCACAUCUUUUCCACUUAGUGAUAGUUCCUUCAAGUUGGGUACGAUCUGAUCAUCAUCAAUCAUAAUAACUAAUGAGGUCAAUUGAUGAUCUACGGUCACAUGCAGUGACUUUAUAGUAUUUGUUUUAUAUUAUAUUUUAAAAAAAAUUGAAUUAUUGAUAAAAUUUAUUUUAUAUGUUAAUUUUAGAGGUAAAAAAGAAAUUAGGGAAAAAAGGUUGAUUUAUACUGACUCGAAAUUAUUUUAUUGCACAAUAAUAAAUUACUAAUUUAUUUAGUAAGUUCUUCUAUAUGGAAAGAUUAAGGAUUCUUUUAUAAAUGCUAUACCUAAAACAGUUCAUAUAAUUAUUAAUCUACCACAUUGAUCCCUUAGUCUAGACUAGCAAAGAUUAUUGUAUAAUAAAAAUUUUUAAUUUAUUGAGUAUUAAUUUAUCGAUGCUUUGUCAUAUUUUUCAAAGUUAAAAAUAAGCUAUUGAUAAAAAAUCUAGAAAAUGACUUCAUACCUUUUCCAACGGCAAUAGGAGCUGUUGUGCAGGAAUACCAAGUUGAUCAUUCUCAUUAUUCUGCGAUAAAUCAGCGAAUAUCUUUAAUUUGUCACAACGAUACACUAAAAGACUUUCUAGCGCGGGCCAUUCCAAAGUAUGCAUUCCAGGGUACAAACAUCUAAGUUUUGGUAGAUGUUGGAGUCUCAGAGUGGUGAGCUGUGGAAAGACAAAAUAAGGGAUCACUUGAUCUGCUCUGUUUUCAGAAAUGAUCUCCUGUAAAUCCUCACAGAAGCGUAUAUCUAGGUGUUGGAGCUGCUUAAGGCUUCCGAUCAUAGACGCUGAAAAUAGGUAUUUUAAUUUGUGACAAUGCCGCACAGUCAAUCGUGUUAAAUUUUGAAAGCGAGGAAACAUGACCGGAAGAUGAUUGUAGUGCCAAAUCUUGUCGACAUUAAUUUCAGAUAUCUCCAAAGCCUCCAAGUUAGGCAACGCAACC
Molecule: long non-coding RNA, 207522 nt
Filed under: Citrus maxima (pomelo)
Lineage: Eukaryota; Viridiplantae; Streptophyta; Magnoliopsida; Sapindales; Rutaceae
Description: long non-coding RNA (CMAX_LNC001310)
Source: RNAcentral